RNAcentral lists this long non-coding RNA (235243 nucleotides) under Triticum aestivum (bread wheat). Its description in RNAcentral is "long non-coding RNA (TAES_LNC010930)". The stretch from base 5109 to 5195 matches the Rfam family "MIR1120/MIR1122 microRNA precursor family". Lineage: Eukaryota; Viridiplantae; Streptophyta; Magnoliopsida; Poales; Poaceae. The record is from RNAcentral.
CGCAGCCACACCUGUUCCCUCCACCCUGAGGCUCUCGCCGCGCCACCUCGCCCGCGAUAUCCACCCCGCCAAUGGCGUCCGAGCUCCAGAUUUUUCUGGCCCCCGCACGUCUCAUCCCCUUCCCCUUCCUCCCGCCGGGUUAAAUAGCCGCCUCCGCCGCUCCUCUCAAACCAUCCCGCCAUACACCACCACAGCCCCACUCCUAGAGAGCACGCACAUCGGACACGCACGAAGUCUCCUCGACCAGCGAGCAAUGGCGACCACCGCGAUGGCGCUCUCCCCCUCCUCCUUCGCCGGGAAGGCGGUGAAGGACCUGCCGUCGUCGGCGCUCUUCGGGGAGGCGCGCGUCACCAUGCGCAAGACCGCGGCCAAGGCCAAGCCGGUGUCGUCGGGCAGCCCGUGGUACGGCUCCGACCGCGUGCUCUACCUCGGCCCGCUAUCCGGCGACCCCCCGAGCUACCUCACCGGUGAGUUCCCCGGCGACUACGGAUGGGACACCGCGGGGCUCUCGGCCGACCCCGAGACCUUCGCCAAGAACCGGGAGCUGGAGGUGAUCCACUGCCGGUGGGCCAUGCUGGGCGCGCUCGGCUGCGUCUUCCCGGAGCUGCUCGCCCGCAACGGCGUCAAGUUCGGCGAGGCCGUGUGGUUCAAGGCCGGCUCCCAGAUCUUCAGCGAGGGCGGCCUCGACUACCUCGGCAACCCCAGCCUCGUCCAUGCGCAGAGCAUCCUCGCCAUCUGGGCCUGCCAGGUCGUGCUCAUGGGCGCCGUCGAGGGCUACCGCGUCGCCGGCGGCCCGCUCGGCGAGAUCGUCGACCCGCUCUACCCCGGCGGCAGCUUCGACCCCCUGGGCCUCGCUGACGACCCCGAGGCGUUCGCGGAGCUCAAGGUGAAGGAGAUCAAGAACGGCCGCCUCGCCAUGUUCUCCAUGUUCGGCUUCUUCGUGCAGGCCAUCGUCACCGGCAAGGGCCCUCUCGAGAACCUCGCCGACCACCUUGCCGACCCCGUCAACAACAACGCCUGGGCCUUUGCCACCAACUUCGUGCCCGGCAAGUAAGCUGCUAGGUGUUGUGUUAUGUCUGGAAACCGACCGUGCACGUACGUACGUACGCGAUCAAGUGUGCGCAUGCAUGCGUGCAUGCAGCUGGGUUUCGUUUGUACUACAACCAUGCAUGAUGUAAAGUACGAAGGUUGAAUGCAAAAGGCUGUUGUUAGACAUGAUGAUCUCUUAGGAUCAACCUGAGCAUGCAAUCACCUGUGUUAAUUAACCGGUAGUUGAUCUUGCAAUCGAUCGGCUUUCAGUUUCUUAGUUCAGUGGAUGCUUAUCAUACAGUGGCCGGCAGUGGAUCUUUACAGCAGUAAAAGUAGAUGUCUUUGGCGAGAAUCAAGAGGAACUUUUUUUCCAAGUGGAGAACAAAUAAUCUGUCUGAAAGUUGAACUUGAAACCACCGUUAAGUAAUCUACGGCAAUCUGACGAACCUCUCCAUGAAUGGCGAAUCCAUCGGCGAGAAGCUACGUCGCAAGCUAAAGCAGGCAGCAGAACUUUCAGGAACAUUGCCCACCCUAACAAGCAGCAGGAAUCCUGAAGGAAAAGAGGACCUUUCAGAAAUGACAGAGUAAGCAUGUACUAGAUUUGAAGGCUUCAAGACACAAAACUGAAGAAACUAGAAAUGCAUGGCCUAAAGAGUCACUAGAAGAAAAUUAAAUUAGCAUCACAAGAUUUUAUGGGCUGCAAAGGUAUGAUGCCAUGCCAGGCAACACAUUCAGUGAAGGUGGGGCGUAAAAGAUAGCAUUAGCAGUACAGCAAAACAAAUCAAAAUUUCAAACGGCGCCAUAAUCUUGCUCCAGGGAAGAAGAAUAUAAAGAGAAAUAUAUUCAGACCAGCGAGUCAAGAACAAAAUUCACUUGGCAUCAUCAGCCGGUACAGUAAUUACGUAUGAUGUUUCUGUUGUUUGAACACCCAAUAAUCCUCAGACACAUACUCCCUCCGUAAACGAAUAUAAGAGUGUUUAGAUAGUGAUCUGAACGCUCUUAUAUUUCUUUACGGAGGGAGUACUAGGUACCAAAUCACUACACUUGCUGGAAACUGUAAUCAUGAGGAGUGGUAGUUUGUAGCUACAAUACAUGCACUGCCUUUUCUGGUAGUUGAUAGCACCUGGACUAGUACAUGGUAGUAGCACCACACACAACAAAGUACAACUUGCUCUCCAAAUCACAAAGCAAUACGGCAUACAGCUCUUGAGCAGUUCGACUGAACAUAUAUGCCGUGAGGUCCUCACGCCGUGUCGCCGUGGGUCUUCUUCAUCAGGCGAGCCCGAGCUAUAGCCACCGUAACGAUGGCAACAAGAGUCGGGACUAUAUACACACACGCACAGGGCGCACAGGUCCGUUGUGAGCGACAUCGAGUAGCAGAUAGCCAUUGAUCGACGACGGCGUGAUUCAUCAGAACAUUUAGCGUCUCAGGAUCAGAUAGAUAGACAAAAGCGCUACACAUGCACAAACGGGGGUACGGGUAUCUGCAGAGGGGUUCAUGAAAGGAGAAGGAUUUGCAUGCAAGUUAUACUGAGUCGGUCGGAAAGGCUGUUUACUGCUCCUUGCAGUAUACCGUUUGUCAAGUCUUGGCCCCUCAGAAAAUUAUAUAUCUUGAAGAAACAAAAAACAAAAAUGUGAAUGUGUAUCUGUGAGAUGUACUAGCUAGAGGGGAGGUAUAUAUCAAGAGAAUAGUGGAUUACAUCACAAUUCUCGAAGCUAAAAAGACUUUGAAUAACUAGUUAAACUAGAUGAUACCCCGUGAAUUGAUGCGGAAUGAAAUCGGUUGCAAAAUCCUUGGUUGUAUAAUAAGCGUGAUACAUAUUAUAUAUUGCAUUUAAUUAUUCUAUAGUUUGCAGAUAUUUAUUGAAUUUAAGUAGCAUAAUAAGCGAACUGAUAUCCUGCAAAAAGUAAAAAACGAUCUGAUAAAAGGUCUCUUAAAUAGGGUUCAACUUUAUUGCAGCUUGCAAAGACAGAAGGAUCUGUAUAUGUAAGGAAACAAAUUCGUAGAUAAUUACCCGUCAAUCAAAUUGCCUACAAAGUUUGCGAAGAUCACCAGCACAUUAACCCAUGCAUUCAUGGAACGCUCGUACUCUUCAGAGCACUUCGUCUGUUCCUCAUUCCAUCCACGGCGAGACUUGUAGGCGAUGAUCCGCAGAGUACCGUAGAUCAAGCCAUACACGAAGACAGUUCUCCAGAUGACAAUGUAUCAGGGAUCAACUACUUAGCUAUAUAGGGUUUUGGGGGGGGGGGGGCAUUGGUCCCCUUCCCCUCACUAACUAUUUCUUUAAUACUUGUUUAUGAGAGAGAUUAACGUAUGCUCGGGCCAUGACCUUUUCGAAACCGGAGCCCACCACGUCCAUUGAAAUAGGUAUUGUCGAUAACAAAAACUACGGCGAUGCUGAAACCGGAGCCCACCACCAUGACCAGCGAGUUUUUUUGCUACAUCCAUUUUAAUGGUGAUGAUUGGUGGCCGUGUUCGUGCAACCCUAUGCUGUGAACGUCGACGGAGGAAAAAACGUCAACCAGCAUGGGAAAAUGUUUCAACUGACACGAGAAAAAGCUUCAACGGGUUGCAAGCGGUGCUGCUGAGAGCUGCAGGCCGGCAGCACGGUGGUGUUGCGACGGACGUGCUACAAUGGCGGCACGGUGGUCCUGCGGCGUGCUACGUCUAGCACCACGGCUUGCUGGAACCAUUCGCGGCCGGAACUGGAACUGGAAGACGAUGGAUACCGCAGUUGGCGACGGCCGGAGAGCCGGCGACGACUAGCCAGCGAUGCUACAACCUCUGGCGAGGAAGGGGCAAAUAGAUACGGCGCAGCAACAAUCAUGUGGAUGCUUUUUUUUCUUUGAGCGGUGCUGUGACGGGGUUGGUAGUCGCCGCGGACGCCAGCUGCCGUUGUUUCCCCUCGCGUGAGAUGUGCUGUUUGGUUGACCUUUUCCCUUUUUUCUCCUGUACGCGUGGGUGUACGCGUGAGAGCUGGACGAAGAACGAAUACCGCUUCGAUCCAACCGUAGUUAAUGGGCAGAUCGUUCGGCUGCGCGGCGACCGGCCCAAAUUUGGGCCGGCGCGCCGGCGCCUAGCACCCGCCAUUCAGUUUCCCUUUGUGCAAAUCUCACGAGAGAGGUCUCCAAAGGUGUGACCCUGUCUGCUUUGCUAGAGUGUUCAUCAGGCAUAGCUCCUCAACGCUGGCUAAACACAUACCGUAUUAAAAAUUUAAAACGACAAAUUCAGUCAUAAAUUACAUUAGGCAAACAAAAUAUAUAUUAGGAAAACCAUACAGAGGCCGCAGGCAUUAAGAUAACUCUACUAAUCAAACAACGUGAUCACCAAAAGGAUGCAUUCCAUUGAGGACAGCAACAAGUAGGGCUGAACCAAAAGCUCGUAGCUCACGAGCUUAAUGAGCGCUCGAUAGUUUGGCUCGUUAAGCUCGGAGCUCGCUUCUUAAUGAACAGAGCCAAUCAUAGAUUUCAGCUUGUUAAGCUUAAUGAGUUUAACGAACGAGCUAACGAGUUUCACGAGUAGCUUGUUAAACUCGUUAGUAACAACAUAACACAUAUUUUCAUCUUACGUGACAAAUUUUUUGUAGUAACUCAGCCCAUCAAUCAAUCUAAUCGACAUAUGAGGCAACAAACUAGUGCAUUUCUAUCUGUAGUCACCAUAUUUCAUCUUGAAAACCACACCUAUACAUUCAUCCUGCAUAUCGAAACACAUUAUAAUCUGUUAACGAGCGCUCGCGAGCGCUCACGAGCUUAACGAGUUUCAAACGAGUCGAGCCGAGCAGGGUUUUCUGCUCGUUAAUCUUAAUGAGCUUAACGAGCCGAGCCUUAACGAGCACGAGCUUAACGAGUACGAGCUUAACGAGUCGAGCUGCUCGUUAGUCCACCCCUAGCAACAAGAUUAUCUAUUGACCAAAGUUAAAAGAAAAUCUAUCGACCAGAUUUGCACAGAUGUCAGUUAUCGACCAUUAGCAAGAACUUGUUUCAAUUGCAUAUCAUAAGGAAUUCGAAGAACUGCUUCAAGUACAGUAUUGGGCCGGGAAGCACAGCUUGGGGAACUUCAAUAUCGACGGGCUUGCUAGCUACUCCCUCUGUCCCAAAAUAUAAGAACGUUUUUAACACUAUACUAGUGUCAGAAACGUUCUUAUAUUAUGGGACGGAGGGAGUAAAUGGCAAUUGGCACAUACAAUAUUUAUACCGAAAAAGGCUUUCGCCCCGCUUUAUAAAUAAAGCAAACCGCCACAAGACAUACAACCAAAGCAGGUUCACACACACACACCACCCGAGUAUCACAACAAAGUACGAAGGUUCUGCUGAGGGCACAGCUCAACAAGCCCAAAAGAAAGAGAAAAAACAGAGCCUGCCCAGCGCAGGGAAUCUAGUCAGGCUCCGGCGGAGGCGGCGGGGGCGGCGGCGACAGGCGGACGGCCAUCGAGCGGAGAUCGGCGAUGAAGGCUGAGAUGGCGUCCCGGUCCGGGGGGCGGCUAAGCGGCCGCCAAAGCUGCAAGAAACCCGAGAAUUUGUAGAGAGCGUCAGUAGCGCGACGAAGAGGAGUACGCUGGAUCACAAGCUUAUUGCGAACGGUCCAAAGAGUCCAGGCAAGAACCCCAACCUCCAGCCACCUAAUGUGGCGAGAGGACAUGGGGGACAAUUGAAGUUCAGCAAAUAAGUCCGGGAAAUUGGUGUGGCACCAACUUCCACCAACAAUCUUGCGAAAGCAGCUCCAGAGGAACUGGGCGGAGACGCAGGCGAAGAAGAUGUGGUUGGAGUCUUCAGGAACAUCACAGAGGGGGCAGAUACCAGUGCCCGGGCCAUUGCGCUUGACCCGUCCACGAAUCCACUGCCACAUGAAGAUGCGAAUCUUUAGGGGGACGCGGACGGACCACACCAUCGAUAAGGGGAGGGGAGCGGAGGAGGGGGCAAUGGCCAGGUAGAGCGAUUUGGUAGAGAACUGGCCCGACGGCUCCAAGUGCCAGCGCACAAGGUCCGGACCCCCAUCCACCAACGGCUCAUGCAGAGCAACACAGUCAAGCAACUCACGCCAAGCGGCGGAUUCCGCCGGCCCAAAGGGCCGACGGAAAGCAAGGCGCCCUAAGUCAAGAAGGGCCCUAUCAACAGAAAUCAUAGGGUCGACGGAGAUAGAGAAGAGGGUGGGGAAGCGGGCCGCAAAGGGAGAGUCGCCGGCCCAGUGAUCAAACCAGAAUAGCGUCAAGAGGCCGGACCCCACCGAGAUAGAGGUACCAAUGCGGAGCACCGGGACAAGAUGGACGAGAGACUGCCAGAACUGAGAUCCGCCCGAUUUCUGGCAGAAGGCAAGGGGUUGACCACGCAGGUACUUAUUCCGGAUAAUGUCCAGCCAGAGGCCACCAUGACCCUGCGCGAUACGCCACAGCCACCGGGAUAGAAGGGCAAUAUUCAUCCGUUUAGACCACAUGAUGCCCAAGCCACCCUGCUCCCUGGGCUUGCAGAUGUCAGGCCAGCUGACCAUGUGAUACUUCUGCUUGCCAUGCUCGCCAGCCCAGUAGAAUCGGGACUGAAUUUUGGCGAUCUCCUUAUGGAGAGAUUCAUGAAGGCUGUAGAAACUCAUAAGAAACAAGAGGAGGCUGGACAGGGAUGAGUUGAUAAGGAUAGUCCGGGCCGCCUUAGAGAGCCACCUCCCCUGCCAGGGCUCGCACCGGGACUGGAGCUUGGUCACGGAGGGCCGCAGGUCCGCGACAGAGAGACGCGAGUCACUAAUGGGCGUCCCAAGGUAGGUAGUGGGGAAAGAGCCCAGGCGGCAAUUAAGUCUGUUGGCAAUGGCCACAGAAUCAGAGGGGGAAUAUCCCAUCACCAUCACAUCACUCUUAUCAAAGUUGAUCUUGAGGCCCGACAUCUGUUGGAAGCAAAGAAGGAGGAACUUGAGGUUGGUGAUGUCCAUCUCCGAGCCUUCGACCAUGAUGAUCGUGUCGUCAGCAUACUGGAGGAUGGAGAUCCCCGAGCCCCCAGAGAGGUGGGGGGUAAUCCCUCGGAUGUGGCCAGUGGCUUUUGCCUUAUCCAGAAUGGAGGCCAAAGCGUCCACGACCAUAUUGAAGAGGAACGGGGAGAAGGGGUCGCCUUGGCGCACCCCACAUAGGGUAGGGAAGAAGGGACCGAUCUCGCCAUUGAUGUUGACCGCCGUGCGACCGCAAGAGACCAUUUGCAUGACUCUCGUGAUCCACCGGUCGUCAAAGCCCUUCUGAAGAAGGACUUCCCUAAGGAAGGUCCAGCUAACCGUGUCAUAGGCUUUAUGGAAAUCGAUCUUCAGAAAGAUCGCCUUCAGGCGCUUGACCCGGACCUCAUGAAGAACCUCAUGAAGCACCAGGACACCAUCCAGGAUGUACCGACCCUUAAUGAAGGCCGAUUGGUUAGGGUGGGUAAUCCGAUCAGCUAGCAGGGUCACCCUAUUGGCGUACCCCUUGGCCAGGAUCCGGAAGAUCACGUUAAUGACCGUGAUCGGGCGGAACUGGCGGAUGUCAGCCGCCCCAGGGACCUUGGGGAUGAGGGAGAUGGUCCCGAAGUUGAGGCGACCUAGGUCAAUGGAUCCCACAAAGAAUUCAUCAAAGAUGGCCAAGACCUCUGGUUUAAUCACGUUCCAGAAGGUCUGGAAGAAAAUGACCGGAAGACCGUCCGGGCCCGGCGCAGAGGAGGAGUUCAUACCCUUGAUGGCCUCCCAGACCUCCUGCUCAGAGAAGGGAGCUGUCAGGGACGCGUUCUCCGCGUCAGAAACUAGUUGGGCGCCGGCCCAACAAUCAGGGGCGAGAGAGAUGCCGCUCCUAGGAGCAGGAGAGAAGAGGGACCGAUAGAAACCGUCGACAUGGGUGCGGAUGUCACGGGGAUCCUGAAGGAGGGUUUCCCCAUCCCACAGGCAGGGGAUGGUGUUGCGUCUACGGCGACCGUUGGCAAUCGCCUGGAAGUAAGCCGUAUUCGCGUCUCCCUUCAGGACCCAACGCUGAGCGCCCCGAAGGCGCCAAUAUGCUUCCUCAUCGGUGUAAAUCACGGAGAGCUGGUCUUCGAGGUCAUAGCGGGAAAGCCACUCGUCCGGGGAGAGACCCACCGCGUCAGCCCGAAAGUCGAGGGCCUGGAUCGCGGUAAGCAACGCCUUCUUACGCUCCCUGGCGUCACGGCCCAGGUUGGCCCCCCAACCCUUCAUAAAUUGCCGUCCACGCUUCGCACAGAAGUGCCACGUGUCAAUAGCAGAAGGGUGGCGAGGGUGGGGGUGGGCCCGAGCCUCGAUCCACCGAGCACACACGGCGUCGGUAAAACCCGCCUGGGAGAGCCAGAAAGUCUCGAAGCGGAACCGAGGGGGGAUCGGCGGACGUUCGUCCACGGAGGAGAGAAGCAAGGGGACAUGGUCCGAACCAAUCCGGGUGAUGGCGCGGAGAGAGGCUAGGGGGCAACGGAGGUCCCAUUCCGGGGAAACUAGGACCCCGUCCAAGACGGACAGGGUCGGGGAGGCUUGUCGGUUGGUCCAGGUAAACCGGGCCCCAACCUGAUCAAUCUCCCGGAGGGCGAGGUCGGCAAUGAAGUCCAUCCACGCACGUGCUAGAUCGGUGCCAGAAUGUAAUUUUUGUGCAUUCUGCAAGAAGAAAAGUUAUGUACAGAGAAAAACAUGGGAAGGAGCUCAUAGCAGCAUUCAGAGAAAGCAUCACAACCAAUAUUCUCCCAGACCCUACGUCGACCAAAGCUACAUGGAUUGGUGUCCACCAUUCAUCCGAAAGGAAACAAGCAACCGACCAGGCACCUAUCGACAAAGCUUUGUUCAGGCCCUUCAUUAAGCAUCCUAUUCGCACCCAGCCAACAGGGGGUUCCCCUGACUCUGGAACAGGAGACCUUUCAUGGUCGCCGCAUUUCUCCGACGAAACAUAUACUCCAUUGCACGAUUCAUUGAUUCAACCAACCUGUCGACACGACGAGGAGGAUUUCUCACCUGUACUUCAGAAUCCUUCUCACUUCUUAGUUCAGAAGUUCCAUCCUCGCGCGCUCUGUACACCGCUCUGUUUUGGUAACCGCUCGAGAUAUUCGGUUACCGCGCGGUUACCACGUUUAUCGCUCCCUCACGAUAAACACUCAUACCGAGCAAAAAAUCCCGAUUUUUUGAAAUAUUUGAAUUCAAACGAUCGCCUUGUAGUUAAAUAAGCUGCAUCUGUGUUUUAAACAGAGAACUUAUCGUGGCCCAGUGGCAAAAGGUGUUUUAUCGCCAGACGUUGGUCGAGGGUUCUACUCGGGCUACGCACUGCUUUUCUAAACUUUUAGAGAUGCAAAAGUUUUUACCUAUGAAAAAUUCUGCAGAAGACAGGGAACGAACUCGGGGCGCCUGAGCAAGGGAUAGCUGCGGGUUGAGAGCCACUACGGUAGAACAACUUUACUGACUAUUAAUAGUUAAAAGCUCAUCUAUAUAUAACUCAAAAAAAUUGAAUUCAAAAUUUGGUUUUAAAUUUCGUCCGAUUUUUUUUCGGUAAUUCGUGGUUACCGUGGUUACCGAGAAUCUCGGUGCCCCUCGCCUGAGCAAGGGAUAGCUGCGGGUUGAGAGCCACUACGGUAGAACAACUUUACUGACUAUUAAUAGUUAAAAGCUCAUCUAUAUAUAACUCAAAAAAAUUGAAUUCAAAAUUUGGUUUUAAAUUUCGUCCGAUUUUUUUCCGGUAAUUCGUGGUUACCGUGGUUACCGAGAAUCUCGGUGCCCCUCGAGAAAAAAAUCUCCACUUGGGAUCCAAAACCUUGGUACUCCGUUGGAAAUUUCUCGCUCGCUCACUUCAAGUACUGUAUCUAGCACUCUCAAGUUCAAUCCUUCAUACAGAUCCUUGCACUGAGUUGCCGGCUUGCCGCAUCGCUAUCGAUGUGGAAUCUAGUAAGAAAUAUGGCUAGAAUCAACAAAUGUACCCAUCAGAAAGAGACCCCAAAGCAUGUGGUUCCGAUUACUUCCUCUCGAUCAAUUCCUUCCACUUGAUCAAUGAGAGGUGUGACACAAAGGAUUUUCAGAGAGUAGUUCAUAAGCAGCAAGCCCACGAUUUGAGCAUGUGUAGAUAAAACCAUCCACAAAUACACAUGCGCCGUUUAAAAGGCGGUUUCUAGGCAUAGCCCUUGGCAGGUAUUCUCCCCAUAGAGUCCAAGGCACGACAACAUGCCACUUCAUUGCACCGAUGUCAAACCGAAGACAAGAACAUGUGAUACUAUCAGAGACUAUAAAGGAAUCAUCACCCAGUGCUACAUAUCCCGAGAGCUUGACCUUCCUGUCAAGAACAUAAGACUGGUCUGUGUGGCAGCGCACCCAUGAGGUGGAUCCAGGAGGAGAAACAGAGUGGGCCUUAGAGUAAACUUGGAGAGUUUCAGUAAGAGCAAAAGUCUCUCGACCAACUUGGAUAACCAUAACAAAAGGAUCAACAGAAACAGGCCGUCGUGCAAGGAUAUCCAUAGUGUGACAUGUGGUGUCCAGAUUAAUCACAUCCAUGCCAUCUUUUAGGAAUGAGACAGCACAUAGAUCUGAGCUACUCCGAAAAAAAUGCCUGUGACCAUGAUCAUCUCCAUGUACAAUGUAAUGUGGUUUGAGAGGAGGGUCUGUUUCUAACUCUAGAAUCUCAUCCAGACUGGUUUUAUAGAUAAAUGAUUGUGAACCACCUUGGCAGAUAAUAAACAAGAUAUCCUUGUCAAUAUGGAUAGGUGGUGGCUUCACGUACCUAGGAGGACUUGGUGGGAGAUAAUGCCUGCAUGUGCAAGAAGCAAAAUGUGUCAUGCAAUAAUUAAAAAGCUUGGAAGGUAGGCACAAAGAAAGAAACUUGGAACCAAAUUAAUAUCUAGACCUGCAAGGAUCAUCAGGCACUUGGUCUUCAUGGGGUUGAGGCAGCAUCUUCUCGUCCAUAUACUCUCUAAGUGGUUGAUUAGUGGACAAAUUAAAAGAGUAAUUUGUAAGCAAGAUGACCAAAAUGAACACAUGGAUUAGUGGAGACAAAAACUUACUGCACAAAGCAUAAUUGAAAGUCAUGGAUGUGUUUCAUGGGCAACAUGUCGAGCCGGCGGAAGGUGGAGUGCAGGACCUUGACAUCCCAGGGCAGGGGAGCAAUGUGGAAGGUGGUGACAAAGGCAUGUAGGUGGUCACACCCGCAUGAGAGGUCGAGGCUGAUCCAGACGGAGCACAGGACCCCCGAGCCGAGAUGGGCGAGGAAGCCAUCUCCUGUCAUCACAAUGAAAGGACAGACGGAGUCGAUCCUCGCAGGCGGAUGCAGCUUGAUCCUUGGCUCCUCAUCUGCCGGUGUGAGCUUGUAUUCGUAGACCACGUUGUUCCACAGCAUGUAGAUGGCGUUGCUCUCUUGUGCGUACAGGCCACGGCCAUUGAUAGGGACGUAGUGGUCGUCUGAGGUAGUGUGGAUUACCUUGGUCCAGCCGGAGUCCGGGGCGGAGCAAUCGAAGGUGAAGAAGAGGCCAUUCUGGAGGGAGAUGAGAAUCAUGGUGCCCCCGUCCCGGCCGUGGCCGGGGAGCACCGCGUAGCCCUGGAGGAAGCUGCCACCCCAGAUGGGGAACGAGCGGUCGAAUUUGCAAUGGUGGAUGGAGGGGCUGCCGACCUGCUCCCAGCAUCCUCCGGCUACGCCCUCUUCCUCCUCGUGGAUGACGAGGCGUUGCACCACCACGUGGAAACUGGAGAUAGAGCAGCGGUCCGCGGACACGGCCCAUAGGUGGCCGUCCGCGGAGAUGGGCAUGCACCGGCCUUGCGUGCUCCAGGCCAGCGGAGGGAGGGGCGCUUCAGCCCGCAGCUCCUCCUCGGCGGCUUCCAGCUGCAGCCGCAGGGCGUGGGUUGGCUCGUUCUCCUCCUGCUGCACGACGCAGAGGGAGCGGCCGUCCGGAGCCAGGGCGGCGUCGGCCCCCAGGCUGCACCCCGGCGGCCUUUCGAGGUCGUGAAAGAUCUCCAGCACCUCGUUGCUCCGGCCGGAGAUCCGCCCCGAUCUCGCCACGCGGAGACGGUGGAAGCGUAGGGCGCCCCUCAUGACGCCGACGAGCAGCGACCAGGCAGGGCCCUCGUCGGCGUUCAAGGGAAUGUCGACGAAAUCGUUGCCGGGGAAGACCUGAGGGAGCGGGGCCGCCCUCUUNNNNNNNNNNNNNNNNNNNNNNNNNNNNNNNNNNNNNNNNNNNNNNNNNNNNNNNNNNNNNNNNNNNNNNNNNNNNNNNNNNNNNNNNNNNNNNNNNNNNNNNNNNNNNNNNNNNNNNNNNNNNNNNNNNNNNNNNNNNNNNNNNNNNNNNNNNNNNNNNNNNNNNNNNNNNNNNNNNNNNNNNNNNNGCCCUCUUCGGGUUAGGGUUAGCCUCCGCUGCCGCCAUCUUCGGGUUAGAAUUAGGGGUUUGGAGACAAGUCCGGGUCACUAAUUAAAUUGGCGGGAUGUUUUUUUUUUUUUGAGGAUUUGAUGCUUCGUGAUGGGCUGCUGGCAAUACGCCCAUGCCACGAACCCACGAGCCACACGCUAGCGCCAGUUGGGCUGGCCCAACUUUAUCUAUUUGAUUUUCUUAUUAAAUAAAUCUUUAAAAGUGUUCAUAUAAAAAAUAUAUUUAAAAGUGUUCAGAUGUUGUAAUAAAUCUGUUUACAUAUUUUUUAUAAAAGUGUUAAACUAUUUAAGUUUUUACCGAUCCUAAAGAAAAACAAUAAGGUUUUCUAUACAAUUCUAAAAAACCAUGAAACUUAAAAGAUGUUCAAUUAAUUAAUUUUGUAAGGUGUUCACGCUUUAAAAAAAGUGUUUGCGUACUUUUUAAAAAUCAUGCAUUUUUCUCAUGACAUUAAAAAAUGUUCGCAUAAUUCGCAAAAAAUAAGUUCCUGACAUUAAAUUUUCAAAAUAUUGUUUGUGGAAUCAGAAGAUUAUUCGCGCAUUUGUUUUUAAGAAAAAUGCUUAUGUGAGUUUAGAAAAUUGUCUAUAUGAUUUUAAAAAACAUCAAACUUAGAAAUGUUGGGGAACGUAGUAAUUUCAAAAAAUUUCCUACGCACACGCAAGAUCAUGGUGAUGGCAUAGCAACGAGAGGGGAGAGUGUUGUCCACGUACCCUCGUAGACCGUAAGCGGAAGCGUUAUGACAACGCGGUUGAUGUAGUCAUACGUCUUCACGAUCCGACCGAUCCAAGUACCGAACGCACGGCACUUCGAGUUCAGCACACGUUCAGCUCGAUGACGAUCCCCGGGCUCCGAUCCAGCAAAGCUUCGGGGAUGAGUUCCGUCAACACGACGGCGUGGUGACGAUGAUGAUGUUCUACCGGCGCAGGGCUUCGCCUAAACUCCGCGACGAUAUGACCAAGGUGGAAUAUGGUGGAGGGGGGCACCGCACACGGCUAAGGAACGAUCCGUAGAUCAACUUGUGUGUCUAUGGGGUGCCCCUUGCCCCCGUAUAUAAAGGAGGGAGGGGGGAGGCCGGCCGGCCCUUGUUGGGCGCGCCAGGAGGAGGAGUCCUCCUCCUAGUAGGAGUUGGACUCCUCCUUUCCUACUCCUACUAGGAGGGGAAGGAAGGGGGAGAGGAGGGGAAGGAAAGAGGGGGGCGCCGCCCCCCCUCCUAGUCCAAUUCGGACCAGAGGGAGAGCGGGCGCGCGGCCCUUCCUGGCCGCCCCUCUCUCUUCCCACAAAGGCCCAUGUGGCCCAUUAACUCCCCGGGGGGGGGGGGGUUCGGUAACCCUCCGGCACUCCGGUUUUCUCCGAAAUCACCCGGAACACUUCCGGUGUCCGAAUAUAGUCGUCCAAUAUAUCAAUCUUUAUGUCUUGACCAUUUCGAGACUCCUCGUCAUGUCCGUGAUCACAUCCGGGACUCCGAACAAACUUCGGUACAUCAAAACUUGUAAACUCAUAAUAAAACUGUCAUCGUAACGUUAAGCGUGCGGACCCUAUGGGUUCGAGAACUAUGUAGACAUGACCUAGAACUAUUCUCGGUCAAUAACCAAUAGCGAAACCUGGAUGCCCAUAUUGGUUCCUACAUAUUCUACGAAGAUCUUUAUCGGUCAAACCGCAUAACAACAUACGUUGUUCUCUUUGUCAUCGGUAUGUUACUUGCCCGAGAUUUGAUCGUCGGUAUCCAAUACCUAGUUCAAUCUCGUUACUGGCAAGUCUCUUUACUCGUUCCGUAAUGCAUCAUCCCGUAACCAACUCAUUUGGUCACAUUGCUUGCAAGGCUUAUAAUGAUGUGCAUUACCGAGAGGGCCCAGAGAUACCUCUCCGACAAUCGGAGUGACAAAACCUAAUCUCAAAAUACGCCAACUCAACAUGUACCUUCGGAGACACCUGUAGUACUCCUUUAUAAUCACCCAGUUAUGUUGUGACGUUUGGUAGUACCCAAAGUGUUCCUCCGGUAAACAGGAGUUGCAUAAUUCUCACAGUUACAGGAACAUGUAUAAGUCAUGAAGAAAGCAAUAGCAACAUACUAAACGAUCAAGUGCUAGGCUAACGGAAUGGGUCAUGUCAAUCACAUCAUUCUCCUAAUGAUGUGAUCCCAUUAAUCAAAUAACAACACAUGUCUAUGGUUAGGAAACAUAACCAUCUUUGAUUAAUGAGCUAGUCAAGUAGAGGCAUACUAGUGACUAUAUGUUUGUCUAUGUAUUCACACAUGUACCAUGUUUCCGGUUAAUACAAUUCUAGCAUGAAUAAUAAACAUUUAUCAUGAAAUAAGGAAAUAAAUAAUAACUUUAUUAUUGCCUCUAGGGCAUAUUACCUUUAGUCUCCCACUUGCACUAGAGUCAAUAAUCUAGUUCACAUCGCCAUGUGAUUUAACACCAAUAUUCACAUCUGCAUAUGAUUAAUACCCAUAGUUCACAUCAUCAUGUGAUCAACACCCAAAGGGUUUACUAGAGUCAAUAAUCUAGUUCACAUUGUUAUGUGAUUAACACCCAAAAGAGUACUAAGGUAUGAUCAUGUUUUGCUCGUGAGAGAAGCUUAGUCAACGGGUCUGUCAUAUUCAGAGCCGUAUGUAUUUCACAAAUAUUCUAUGUCCACAAUGCUCUGCACGGAGCUACUCUAGCUAAUUGCUCCCACUUUCAAUAUGUAUCCAGAUUGAGACUUAGAGUCAUCUGGAUUGGUGUAAAAAAACUUGCAUCGUUGUAACUUUAACAACGGGCUCUUUUAUCACCUCCAUAAUCGAGAAACAUCUCCUUAGUCCUCACUAAGGAUAUUCUUGACCCAUGUCCAGUGAUCUACUUAUUUGACUGUUCCAUUUUGAACUAUUUCAAAAAUUUAUCAAGGUAUGUACUCAUUUGAAAAAUCUUAUCAAGUGUCUUGAUCUAUCUAUAUAGAUCUUGAUGCUCAAUGUGUAAGCAUCUUCAUUGAGGUCUUGCUUUGAAAAACUCUUAUUCAAGUAUCCUUUCAUGCUAUCCAGAAUUUCCAUAUCAUUUCCAAUUAACAAUAUGUCAUCCACAUAUAAUAUUAUAAAUGCUACAGAGCUCCCACUCACUUUCUUGUAAAUACAGGCUUCUUCAAAAGUCUGUAUAAAACCAUAUGCUUUGAUCAACUCAUCAAAACAUAUAUUCCAACUCCGAGAUGCUUGCACCAGUCCAUAGAUGGAUCGCUGGAGCUUGCACAAUUUGUUAGCACCUUUAGGAUUGACAAAACCUUCUGGUUGCAUCAUAUACAACUCUUCUUUAAGAAAACCAUUAAGGAAUGCAGUUUUGUUUAUCCAUUUGCCAGAUUUCAUAAAAUGCGGCAAUUGCUAACAUGAUUCAGACAGACUUAAGCAUAGAUACGAGUGAAAAACUCUCAUCGUAGUCAACACCUUGAACUUGUCGAAAACCUUUUGCGACAAUUCUAGCUUUGUAGAUAGUAACACUAUCAGCGUCCAUCUUCCUCUUGAAUAUCCAUUUAUUUAACAUGGCUUGCUGAUCAUUGAGCAAGUCAAUCAAAGUCCAUACUUUGUUCUCAUACAUGGAUCAUAUCUCAGAUUUUAUGGCCUCAAGCCAUUUCGUGGAAUCUGGGCUCAUCAUCGCUUCCUCAUAGUUCGUAGAUUCAUCAUGGUCUAGUAACAUGACUUCCAGAACAUGAUAACCGUACCACUCUGGUGCGGAUCUUACUCUGGAAGACCUACAAGGUUUGGCAGCAACUUGAUCUGAAGUUUAAUGAUCAUCAUCAUUAACUUCCUCACUAAUUGGUGUAGUAAUCACUGGAACUGAUUUAUGUGAUGAACUACUUUCCAAUAAGGGAGAAGGUACAAUUACCUCAUCAAGUUCUACUUUCCUCCCACUCACUUCUUACGAGAGAAACUUCUUCUCUAGAAAGGAUCCAUCUUAGCAAUGAAUAACUUGCCUUCGGAUCUGUGAUAGAAGGUGUACCCAAUAGUUACCUUUGGGUAUUCUAUGAAGACGCACUUCUCCGAUUUGGGUUCGAGCUUAUCAGGUUGAAAACCUUUUUCAUAUAAGCAUCGCAACUCCAAGCUUUAAGAAAUGACAGCUUAGGUUUACUGCUAAACCAUAGUUCAUAUGGUGUCGUCUCAACGGAUUUAGAUGGUGCCCUAUUAAACGUGAAUGCAGCUGUCUCUAAUUCAUAACCCCAAAACGAUAGUGGUAAAACCGAUAAGAGACAUCAUAGAUCGCACCAUAUCUAGUAAAGUACGAUUACGACGUUCGGACACACCAUUACAUUGUGGUGUUCCAGGUGGCGUGAGCUGUGAAACUAUUCCACAUUGUUUUAAUUGAAGACCAAACUCGUAACUCAAAUAUUCGUCUCCGUGAUCAGAUCGCAGAAACUUUAUUUUCUUGUUACGAUGAUUUUUCCACUUCACUCUGAAAUUCUUUGAACCUUUCAACUAUUUUAGACUUAUGUUUCAUCAAGUAGAUAUACCCAUAUCUGCUCAAAUCAUCUUGUGAAGGUCAGAAAAUAACGAUACUUGCCACGAGCAUCAACACUCAUUGGAUCGCAUACAUCGGUAUGUAUUAUUUCCAAUAAGUCAGUAGCUUGUUCCAUUGUUCUGGAGAACGAAGUUUUUAGUCAUCUUGCCCAAAAGGCACGGUUCGCAAGCAUCAAAUGAUUCAUAACCAAGUGAUUCCAAAAAUCCAUCUUUAUGGGGUUUCUUCAUGCGCUUUACACCGAUAUGACCCAAACGGCAGUGCCAUAAAUAAGUUGCACUAUCAUUAUUAACUUUUCAUCUUUUGGCAUCAAUAUUAUGAAUAUGUGUAUCACUACGAUCGACAUCCAACAAACUAUGUUCAUUGGGUGUAUGACCAUCGAAGGUCUUAUUCAUGUAAACAGAACAACAAUUGUUCUCUGACUUUAAAUGAAUAACCGUAUUGCAAUAAACAUGAUCAAAUCAUAUUCAUGCUCAACGCAAACACCAAAUAACAUUUAUUUAGGUUCAACACUAAUCCCGAAAGUAUAGGGAGUGUGCGAUGAUGAUCAUAUCAAUCUUGGAACCACUUCCAACACACAUCAUCACAUCACCCUCAACUAGUUUCUGUUUAUUCUGUAACUCUUGUUUCGAGUUACUAAUCUUAGCAACCGAACAAGUAUCAAAUACUCAGGGGUUACUAUAAACACUAGUAAGGUACACAUCAAUAACAUGUAUAUCAAAUAUACCCUUGUUCACUUUGCCAUCCUUCUUAUCCACCAAAUAUUCAAGGCAUUUCCGCUUCUAGUGACCAUUUCCUUUGCAGUAUAAUCACUCAGUUUCAGGCUUUGGUCCAGCUUUGGGCUUCUUCGCGGGACUGACAACUUGCUUGUCAUUCUACUUGAAGUUCCCUUUCUUUCCCUUUGCCCUUUUCUUGAAACUAGUGGUCUUGUCAAUCAUCAACACUUGAGCUCUUUCUUGAUUUCUACCUUCGUUGAUUUCAACAUCACGAAGAGCUCGGAAUCAUUUUCGUCAUCCCUUGCAUACUACAGUUCAUCACAAAGUUCUACUAACUUGGUGAUGGUGACUAGAGAAUUCUGUCAAUCACUAUCUUAUCUGGAAGAUUAACUCCCACUUGAUUCAAGCGAUUGAAGUACCCAGAUAAUCUGAGCACAUGCUUACUAGUUGAGCGAUUCUCCUCCAUCUUUUAGCAAUAGAACUUGUUGGAGACUUCAUAUCUCUCAACUCGGGUAUUUGCUUGAAAUAUUAACUUCAAUUCCUGGAACAUCUCAUAUGGUCCAUGACGUUCAAAACGUCUUUGAAGUCCCGAUUCUAAGCCGUUAAGCAUGGUGCACUAAACUAUCAAGUAGUCAUCAUAUUGAGCUAGCCAAACGUUCAUAACGUCUGCGUCUGCUCCUGCAAUAGGUCUGUCACCUAGCGGUGCAUUAAGGACAUAAUACUUAUGUGCAGCAAUGAGGAUAAACCUCAGAUCACGGAUCCAAUCCGCAUCAUUGCUACUAACAUCUUUCAACACAAUUUUCUCUAGGAACAUAUCAAAAUAAACAUAUGAUAGCAACAACGCAAGCUAUUGAUCUACAACAUAAUUUGCAAAAUACUACCAGGACUAAGUUCAUGAUAAAUUUAAGUUCAAUUAAUCAUAUUACUUAAGAACUCCCACUUAGACAGACAUCUCUCUAGUCAUCUAAGUGAUCACGUGAUCCAAAUCAACUAAACCAUAACCGAUCAUCACGUGAGAUGGAGUAGUUUUCAAUGGUGAACAUCUUAUGUUGAUCAUAUCUACUAUAUGAUUCACGCUCGACCUUUCGGUCUCCAUGUUCCGAGGCCAUAUCUGCAUAUGCUAGGCUCGUCAAGUUUAACCUGAGUAUUCCGCGUGUGCAAAAUUGUCUUGCACCCGUUGUAGAUGGACGUAGAGCUUAUCACACCCGAUCAUCACGUGGUGUCUGGGCACGACGAACUUUGGCAAUGGUGCAUACUCAGGGAGAACACUUCUUGAUAAUUUUAGUGAGAGAUCAUCUUAAAAUGCUACCGUCAAUCAAAGCAAGAUAAUAUGCAUAAAGGAUAAACAUCACAUGCAAUCAAUAUAAGUGAUAUGAUAUGGCCAUCAUCAUCUUAUGCUUGUGAUCUCCAUCUCCGAAGCAUCGUCAUGAUCACCAUCGUCACCGGUGCGACACCUUGAUCUUCAUCGUAGCAUCGUUGUCGUCUCGCCAACUAUUGCUUCUAUGACUAUCGCUACCGCUUAGUGAUAAAGUAAAGCAAUUACAGGGCGUUUGCAUUUCAUACAAUAAAGCGACAACCAUAUGGAUCAUGCCAGUUGCCGAUAACUUCGGUUACAAAACAUGAUCAUCUCAUACAAUAAAAUAUAGCAUCACGUCUUGACCAUAUCACAACAUGCCCUGCAAAAACAAGUUAGACGUCCUCUACUUUGUUGUUGCAAGUUUUACGUGGCUGCUACGGGCUUAGCAAGAACCGUUCUUACCUACGCAUCAAAAACCACAACGAUAGUUUGUCAAGUUGGUGCUGUUUUAACCUUCGCAAGGACCGGGCGUAGCCACACUCGAUUCAGCUAAAGUGAGAGAGACAGACACCCACCGGUCACCUUUAAGCAACGAGUGCUCGUAGCGGUGAAACCAGUCUCGCGUAAGCGUACGCGUAAUGUCGGUCCGGGCCGCUUCAUCUCACAAUACCGCCGAACCAAAGUAUGACAUGCUGGUAAGCAGUAUGACUUAUAUCGCCCACAACUCACUUGUGUUCUACUCGUGCAUAUGACAUCUACGCAUAAAACCUGGCUCAGAUGCCACUGUUGGGGAACGUAGUAAUUUCAAAAAAAUUCCUACGCACACGCAAGAUCAUGGUGAUGGCAUAGCAACAAGAGGGGAGAGUGUUGUCCACGUACCCUCAUAGACCAUAAGCGGAAGCGUUAUGACAACGCGGUUGAUGUAGUCGUAUGUCUUCACGAUCCGACCGAUCGAAGUACCGAACGUACGGCACCUUCGAGUUCAGCACACGUUCAACUCGAUGACAAUCCCCGGGCUCCGAUCCAGCAAAGCUUCGGGGAUGAGUUCCGUCAGCACGACGGCGUGGUGACGAUGAUGAUGUUCUACCAGCGCAGAGCUUUGCCUAAACUCCGCGACAAUAUGACCGAGGUGGAAUAUGGUGGAGGGGGGCACCGCACACGGCUAAGGAACGAUCCGUAGAUCAACUUGUGUGUCUAUGGGGUGCCCCUUGCCCCCGUAUAUAAAGGAGGGAGGGGGGAGGCCGGCCGGCCCUUGUUGGGCGCGCCAGGAGGAGGAGUCCUCCUCCUAGUAGGAGUAGGACUCCUCCUUUCCUACUCCUACUAGGAGGGGAAGGAAGGGGGAGAGGAGGGGAAGGAAAGAGGGGGGCGCCGCCCCCCCCCCCCCUCCUAGUCCAAUUUGGACCAGAGGGAGAGGGGGCACGCGGCCCUUCCUGGCCGCCUCUCUCUCUUCCCACAAAGGCCCAUGUGGCCCAUUAACUCCCCGGGGGGGUCCGGUAACCCUCCGGCACUCCGGUUUUCUCCGAAAUCACCCGGAACACUUCCGGUGUCCGAAUAUAGUCGUCCAAUAAAUCAAUCUUUAUGUCUCGACCAUUUCGAGACUCCUCGUCAUGUCCGUGAUCACAUCCGGGACUCCGGACAAACUUCGGUACAUCAAAACUUGUAAACUCAUAAUAAAACUGUCAUCGUAACGUUAAGCGUGCGGACCCUACGGGUUCAAGAACUAUGUAGACAUGACCUAGAACUAUUCUCGGUCAAUAACCAAUAGCGGAACCUGGAUGCCCAUAUUGGUUCCUACAUAUUCUACGAAGAUCUUUAUCGGUCAAACCGCAUAACAACAUACGUUGUUCCCUUUGUCAUCGGUAUGUUACUUGCCCGAGAUUUGAUCGUCGGUAUCCAAUACCUAGUUCAAUCUCGUUACCGGCAAGUCUCUUUACUCGUUCCGUAAUGCAUCAUCCCGUAACCAACUCAUUUGGUCACAUUGCUUGCAAGGCUUAUAAUGAUGUGCAUUACCGAGAGGGCCCAGAGAUACCUCUCCGACAAUCGGAGUGACAAAACCUAAUCUCAAAAUACGCCAACUCAACAUGUACCUUCGGAGACACCUGUAGUACUCCUUUAUAAUCACCUAGUUACGUUGUGACGUUUGGUAGUACCCAAAGUGUUCCUCCGGUAAACGGGAGUUGCAUAAUUCUCAUAGUUACAGGAACAUGUAUAAGUCAUGAAGAAAGCAAUAGCAACAUACUAAACGAUCAAGUGCUAGGCUAAUGGAAUGGGUCAUGGCAAUCACAUCAUUCUCCUAAUGAUGUGAUCCCAUUAAUCAAAUGACAACACAUGUCUAUGGUUAGGAAACAUAACCAUCUUUGAUUAAUGAGCUAGUCAAGUAGAGGCAUACUAGUGACUAUAUGUUUGUCUAUGUAUUCACACAUGUAUCAUGUUUCCGGUUAAUACAAUUCUAGCAUGAAUAAUAAACAUUUAUCAUGAAAUAAGGAAACAAAUAAUAACUUUAUUAUUGCCUCUAGGGCAUAUUUCCUUCAAGAAAUUAGGGUCAAAAUUUAAGUGAUCAAAAGAUGAUUGGAGCAUAAAGCUAAUAGUCUUGUAAACUUAGAAAUUAGGGUCAAAAUUUAAGUGAUCAAAAGAUGAUUGGAGAGUAAAGCUAAUAGUCUUAUAAACUUAGAAAUUAGGGUCAAGAUUUAAGUGCUCAAAAGACCUGAGGGAUCGCGAUCGAGCAGCCACCCCUCCCCUUUGCUCUUCUCGGGCGCCCACAUCUUUGGGUUAGGGUUAGCCUUCGCGGCCGCCAUCUCCCACUCCGACUUGCUCUCCGCCACCGUCACCUUCAGGUUAGGGAUUUGGGGGUGACUAAAUCGGCAGGUUGUUUUUUUACCUGCAAUUGCAAUUAUAAGUAAGCUACGUAGCCUGCCUUGUCUUAAUUUUCGGAUCCACCUGAUAUGAACUUGGUUUGUAGUGUGCUAUAUAUACAUAGCAGUAGUAUUUUAUAGAUGAUGAAAAUGGAUUUUUCAAUCCUACUCCAAUAUACUCCCUCUGUAGAUAAAUAGAAGACGUUUUAGGUCACUAGAGUAGUGUGAGAGUCUAGCUUAAUAGGAAUGAUAGGCUAGUCAUAUCAACAAGGAAUUCCUUAUUUUCCGAGAGCCCAUUUGAAAAAUUUCAAAGUUAAGCAUGCUUGACUUGGAGAAAUUCUAGGAUGGCUGACCGACCGAAAAUUUUGGCUAGUCCCGAGUGUGUAGGAAAGACUAGUGUUGGUCUGUGGGGCUAGUCUAGAUCCCUCAAGGUGUAAGUGCCGGGAACUGGUGGGAACGUUCCUGUGGGCCGACGAGCAAGUCGAUUCCUUUGAGUGGGCGUGUAUGUGAGAGCCUAUCUUAAUAUAAAUGAUAGCCUACUCAUAUCAACAAAGAAUUACUUCUUUCCCAAGAGCCCAUUCAAAAAGAACUUCAAAGUUAAGCGUGUUUAGUUUGGAGCAAUUCUAGUAUGAGUGACCAAACAAAAAGUUUGUCCUAGAUGCACACAACUGAGGACAAAGUGUAAGGGCAUAUUUAUCCCUUAGGUGUUUUGGUGAUUGAUGACAAUGCUUUUGCGGACUAAUCGUGUGCCUUGAGUUUCUCAGAUACUUCAUCACUAGGCACGAGACGAUUCGGUGCCCCUCGGAGACUAUUGAAGUCGGCGUUGUUCUACGUUCCUCUUUGGUGGAUUUGAGUCGUAGGAGAGCCGUACUAUUAAGAGGGGGUCCGCGUCGGAAAGGUUUGGGUGGAAUCAACAUGUACACUUGUCCUACCUUUCCCUGCACUUUGGAGCUUUUCUUUGUUAUCUUGGUUGUGCUGAAAUCUGACGACUACUGAUGUACUUGCGGUAGUACCGCUCCUCCUGAGCCGUAGUACCGCGGCUCCUAGGCCUAGUGCCGCUUCGGUAUGGUAGUAGGGGCGGAUGUAAUUUUUUACAUCCGCGCCACCCACGGUAGUACCGCUCCCCAGGAGUCGUAGUACCGUGGCCCUCCUACCUAGUACUGCAGCGUCACGGUAGUAGGCGCGGAUGUAAUUUUUUACAUCCGCGCACGCAACGGUAGUACCGCGCCUCGCGAGUGGUAGUACCGCGUCGGAUUUUUGUACUACCUCAUGUUCAGCGGAAGUAGGCACGGAUGUAAUUUAUUUCAACCGCGCCCUUGCCAGGCGAUGACUUUCCUGCCUUGCGGUAGUACCGCAAGGAGGAGCGGUAGUACCGCUCAAGCGGUAGUACUACCCCCUAGUCAGGUAAGUCCCAGCCUCUGCUGCGGUCGCAGAAGUACCAUGAUCUGCCACGGUAGUACCGCGCGGCCUCGCGGUAGUACCGCGCCCCUGGAGCGGUAGUACCGUGUGUCACGGGCUGAACAUGUGAAUAACGGUUGGUUUUUUCCCUCGCCUAUAUAAGGGGUGUCUUCUACCUCUAGUUGACUAUCUCUUCCACCUCUAAGCUCCAUUGUUGCUCCAAGCUCCAUUUUCGCUCGAUCUCUCUCCCUAGCCAAUCAAACUUGUUGAUUUGCUCAGGAUUGGGUGACAAGGGCCCGAUCUACACUUCCACCACAGGAUAUUUGAUUCCCCCCACUUAUCCCUAGCGGAUCUUGUUACUCUUGGGUGUUUGAGCACCCUAGACGGUUGAGGUCACCUCGAAGCCAUACUCCAUUGUGGUGAAGCUUCGUGGUGUUGUUGGGAGCCUCCAAUUGUUGUGGAGAUUGCCCCAACCUUGUUUGUAAAGGUUCGGUCGCCGCCUUCAAGGGCACCAUUAGUGGAAUCACGGCAUCUCGCAUUGUGUGAGGGCGUGAGGAGAAUACGGUGGCCCUAGUGGCUUCUUGGGGAGCAUUGUGCCUCCACACCGCUCUAACGGAGACGUACUUCCCCUUAAAAGGAAGGAACUUCGAUAACACAUCCUCAUCUCCACCGGCUCCACUCUUGGUUAAUUCGUGCCUUUACUUUUGCAAGCCUACUUGUGUUACAUCCAUUGCUUGCUUAUGUGCUAGUUGUUAUUGCAUCAUAUAGGUUGCUCACUUAGUUGCACAUCUAGACAACCUAUUUUGUUGCAAAGUUUAAUUUGGUAAAGAAAAGCUUAAAAAUUGUUAGUUGCCUAUUCACCCCCCUCUAGUCAACCAUAUUGAUCCUUUCAAUUGGUAUCAGAGCCUCGUCUCUUUAUUAAGGACUUUGCCGCCCGAAGAGUAUGGUUGACACCAACGACGGUGCGGAGGAACACUCCGGUGUGAAUUCCAUCUCGUCUUCGGCCGAAGAGGGAACCUGGUGAAGGAAAUAUGCCCUAGAGGCAAUAAUAAAGUUAUUAUUUAUUUCCUCAUAUCAUGAUAAAUGUUUAUUAUUCAUGCUAGAAUUGUAUUAACCGGAAACAUGAUACAUGUGUGAAUACAUAGACAAACAUAUAGUCAUUAGUAUGCCUCUACUUGACUAGCUCAUUAAUCAAAGAUGGUUAUGUUUCCUAACCAUAGACAUGUGUUGUCAUUUGAUUAAUGGGAUCACAUCAUUAGGAGAAUGAUGUGAUUGACAUGACCCAUUCCGUUAGCCUAGCACUUGAUCGUUUAGUAUAUUGCUAUUGCUUUCUUCAUGACUUAUACAUGUUCCUGUAACUAUGAGAAUUAUGCAACUCCCAUUUACCGAAGGAACACUUUGGGUACUACCAAACGUCACAACGUAACUGGGUGAUUAUAAAGGAGUACUACAGGUGUAUCCGAAGGUACAUGUUGAGUUGGCAUAUUUCUAGAUUAGGUUUUGUCACUCCGAUUGUCGGAGAGGUAUCUCUGGGCCCUCUCGGUAAUGCACAUCAUUAUAAGCCUUGCAAGCAAUGUGACCAAAUGAGUUGGUUACGGGAUGAUGCAUUACGGAACGAGUAAAGAGACUUGCCGGUAACGAGAUUGAACUACGUAUUGGAUACCGACGAUCAAAUCUCGGGCAAGUAACAUACCGAUGACAAAGGGAACAACGUAUAUUGUUAUGCGGUUUCACUGAUAAAGAUCUUCGUAGAAUAUGUAGGAACCAAUAUGGGCAUCCAGGUUCCUCUAUUGGUUAUUGACCGAGAAUAGUUCUAGGUCAUGUCUACAUAGUUCUCGAACCCGUAGGGUCCGCACGCUUAACGUUACGAUGACAGUUUUAUUAUGAGUUUAUAAGUUUUGAUGUACCAAAGUUUGUUCGGAGUCCCGGAUGUGAUCACGGACAUAACGAGGAGUCUCGAAAUGGUCGAGACAUAAAUAUCGAUAUAUUGGAAGCCUAUAUUUGGACAUCGGAAUCGUUCCGGGUGAAAUCGGCAUUUUACCGGAGUACCGGGAGGUUACCGGAACCCCCCGGGGGGUUAUUGGGCCUACAUGGGCCUCGAGGGAGAAAAGGGAAGGAGGCAGGAGGGGGCCACGCGCCCCUCCCCUUCCUAGUCCGAAUAGGACAAGGGAAGGGGGCGGCGCCCCCCUUUCCUUCCCCUCUUCCUCCUCUUUCCCCCCUUCUCCUAUUCCAACUAGGAAAGAAGGGAGUCCUACUCCCGGUGGGAGUAGGACUCCCCCCUUGGCGCGCCCUCCUUGGCCGGCCGCCUCCUCCCCACUGGCUCCUUUAUAUACGGGGGCGGGGGCACCCCAUAGACACACAAGUUGAUCUACGGAUCGUUCCUUAGCCGUGUGCGGUGCCCCCCUCCACCAUAUUCCACCUCGGUCAUAUAGUCGCGGAGUUUAGGCGAAGCCCUGCGCCGGUAGAGCAUCAUCAUCGUCACCACGCCGUCGUGCUGACGGAACUCAUCCCCAAAGCUUUGCUGGAUCGGAGCCCGGGGAUCGUCAUCGAGCUGAACGUGUGCUGAACUCGGAGGUGCCGUACGUUCGGUACUUGGAUUGGUCGGAUCGUGAAGACGUACGACUACAUCAACCGCGUUGUGUUAACGCUUCCUCUUACGGUCUACGAGGGUACAUGGACAACACUCUCGCCUCUCGUUGCUAUGCCAUCAACAUGAUCUUGCGUGUAUGUAGGAAAAUUUUAGAAAUUACUACGUUCCCCAACAGUGGCAUCCGAGCCUAGGUUUUAUGCGUUGAUGUUAUAUGCACGAGUAGAACACAAGUGAGUUGUGGGCGAUACAAGUCAUACUGCUUACCAGCAUGUCAUACUUUGGUUCGGCGGUAUUGUGAGAUGAAGCGGCCCGGACCGAUAUUACGCGUACGCUUACGCGAGACUGGUUUCACCGUUACGAGCACUCGUGCUUAAAGGUGGCUGGCGGGUGUCUGUCUCUCUCACUUUAGCUGAAUCGAGUGUGGCUACGCCCGGUCCUUGUGAAGGUUAAAACAGCACCAACUUGAUGAACUAUCAUUGUGGUUUUUAUGCGUAGGUAAGAAUGGUUCUUGCUAAAGCCCGUAGCAGCCACGUAAAAUUUGCAACAACAAAGUAGAGGACGUCUAACUUGUUUUUGCAGGGCAUGUUGUGAUGUGAUAUGGUCAAGACGUGAUGCUAUAUUUUAUUGUAUGAGAUGAUCAUGUUUUGUAACCGAAGUUAUCGGCAACUGGCAGGAGCCAUAUGGUUGCCGCUUUAUUGUAUGAAAUGCAAACGCCCUGUAAUUGCUUUACUUUAUCUCUAAGCGGUAGCGAUAGUCGUAGAAGCAAUAGAUGGCGUAACGACAACGAUGCUACGAUGGAGAUCAAGGUGUCGCGCCGGUGACGAUGGUGAUCACGACGGUGCUUCGAAGAUGGAGAUCACAAGCACAAGAUGAUAAUGGCCAUAUCAUAUCACUUAUAUUGAUUGCAUGUGAUGUUUAUCCUUUAUGCACCUUAUCUUGCUUUGAUUGACGGCAGCAUUUUAAGAUGAUCUCUCACUAAUAAUCAAGAAGUGCUCUCCCUGAGUAUGCAUCGUUGCGAAAGUUCUUCGUGCUGAGACACCACGUGAUGAUCGGGUGUGAUAGGCUCUACGUUCAAAUACAACGGGUGCAAAACAGUUGCACACGCGGAAUACUCAGGUCAUACUUGAUGAGCCUAGCAUAUACAGAUAUGGCCUCGGAACACGGAGACCGAAAGGUCGAACGUGAAUCAUAUAGUAGAUAUGAUCAACAUAGUGAUGUUCACCAUGGAAACUACUCCAUCUCACGUGAUGAUCGGACAUGGUUUAGUUGAUUUGGAUCACGUGAUCACUUAGAUGACUAGAGAGAUGUCUGUCUAAGUGGGAGUUCUUAAGUAAUAUGAUUAAUUGAACUUAAAUUUAUCAUGAACUUAGUACCUGAUAGUAUUUUGCUUGUCUAUGUUUGUUUGUAGAUAGAUGGCUCGUGCUGUUGUUCCGUUGAAUUUUAAUGCGUUCCUUGAGAAAGCAAAGUUGAAAGAUGAUGGUAGCAAUUACACGGACUGGGUCCAUAACCUGAGGAUUAUCCUCAUUGCUGCACAGAAAAGUUACGUCCUGGAAGCACCGCUGGGUGCCAGGCCUGCUGCUGAUGCAACUGACGAUGUAAAGAACGUCUGGCAGAGCAAAGCUGAUGACUACUCGAUAGUUCAGUGUGCCAUGCUUUACGGCUUAGAACCGAGUCUUCAACGACGUUUUGAACGUCAUGGAGCAUAUGAGAUGUUCCAGGAGUUGAAGUUAAUAUUUCAAGCAAAUGUCCGGAUUGAGAGAUACGAAGUCUCCAAUAAGUUCUAUAGCUGCAAGAUGGAGGAGAAUAGUUCUGUCAGUGAACAUAUACUCAAAAUGUCUGGGUAUAAUAAUCACUUGAUUCAACUAGGAGUUAAUCUUCCUGAUGAUAGUGUCAUUGACAGAAUUCUUCAAUCACUGCCACCAAGCUACAAGAGCUUCAUGAUGAACUAUAAUAUGCAAGGGAUGAACAAGACUAUUCAUGAGCUCUUCGCGAUGCUAAAAGCCGCGGAGGUAGAAAUCAAGAAGGAGCAUCAAGUGUUGAUGGUUAACAAGACCACCAGUUUCAAGAAAAAGGGCAAAGGGAAGAAGAAGGGGAACUUCAAAAAGAACAGCAAGCAAGUUGCUGCUCAAGAGAAGAAACCCAAGUUUGGACCUAAGCCUGAAACUGAGUGCUUCUACUGCAAGCAGACUGGACACUGGAAGCGGAACUGCCCCAAGUAUUUGGCGGAUAAGAAGGAUGGCAAAGUGAACAAAGGUAUAUGUGAUAUACAUGUUAUUGAUGUGUACCUUACUAAUGCUCGCAGUAGCACCUGGGUAUUUGAUACUGGUUCUGUUGCUAAUAUUUGCAACUCGAAACAGGGACUACGAAUUAAGCGAAGAAUGUCUAAGGACGAGGUGAUGAUGCGCGUGGGAAAUGGUUCCAAAGUCGAUGUGAUCGCGGUCGGCACGCUACCUCUACAUCUACCAUCGGGAUUAGUUUUAGACCCAAAUAAUUGUUAUUUGGUGCCAGCGUUGAGCAUGAACAUUAUAUCUGGAUCUUGUUUGAUGCGAGACGGUUAUUCAUUUAAAUCAGAGAAUAAUGGUUGUUCUAUUUAUAUGAGUAAUAUCUUUUAUGGUCAUGCACCCUUGAAAAGUGGUCUAUUUUUAUUGAAUCUCGAUAGUAGUGAUACACAUAUUCAUAGUGUUGAAACCAAAAGAUGCAGAGUUGAUAACGAUAGUGCAACUUAUUUGUGGCACUGCCGUUUAGGUCAUAUCGGUGUAAAGCGCAUGAAGAAACUCCAUACUGAUGGGCUUUUGGAAUCACUUGAUUAUGAAUCACUUGGUACUUGCGAACCGUGCCUCAUGGGCAAGAUGACUAAAACGCCGUUCUCCGGAACUAUGGAGCGAGCACCUGAUUUGUUGGAAAUCAUACAUACUGAUGUUUGUGGUCCAAUGAAUGUUGAGGCUCGCGGCGGGUAUCGUUAUUUUCUCACCUUCACAGAUGAUUUGAGCAGAUAUGGGUAUAUCUACUUAAUGAAACACAAGUCUGAAACAUUUGAAAAGUUCAAAGAAUUUGAGAGUGAAGUGGAAAAUCAUCGUAACAAGAAAAUAAAAUUUCUACGAUCUGAUCGUGGAGGAGAAUAUUUGAGUUACGAGUUUGGUAUACACUUGAAACAAUGCGGAAUAGUUUCGCAACUCAUGCCACCCGGAACACCACAACGAAAUGGUGUGUCCGAACGUCGUAAUCGUACUUUACUAGAUAUGGUGCGAUCUAUGAUGUCUCUUACUGAUUUACCGCUAUCGUUUUGGGGUUAUGCUUUAGAGACGGCCGCAUUCACGUUAAAUAGGGCACCAUCAAAAUCCGUUGAGACGACGCCUUAUGAACUGUGGUUUGGCAAGAAACCAAAGUUGUAGUUUCUUAAAGUUUGGGGCUGCGAUGCUUAUGUGAAGAAACUUCAACCAGAUAAGCUCGAACCCAAAUCAAAAAAAUGUGUCUUCAUAGGAUACCCAAAAGAGACUAUUGGGUACACCUUCUAUCACAGAUCUGAGGGCAAGAUUUUCGUUGCUAAAACCGGAUCCUUUCUAGAGAAGGAGUUUCUCUUGAAAGAAGUGAGUGGGAGGAAAGUAGAACUUGAUGAGAUAACUGUAUCUACUCCCUUAUUGGAAAGUAGUUCAUCACAAGAACCGGUUCCUGUGACAACUACACCAAUUAGUGAGGAAGCUAAUGAUAUUGAUCAUGAAACUUCAGAUCAAGUUUCUACUGAACCUCGUAGGUCUACCAGAGUAAGAUCCACACCAGAGUGGUACGGUAAUCCAAUUCUGGAAGUCAUGUUGCUUGACCAUGACGAACCUACGAACUAUGAGGAAGCGAUGAUGAGCCAAGAUUCCGCAAAAUGGCUAGAGGCCAUGAAAUCUGAGAUGGGAUCCAUGUAUGAAAACAAAGUAUGGACUUUGGUUGACUUGCCCGAUGAUCGGCAAGCAAUUGAGAAUAAAUGGAUCUUUAAGAAGAAGACUGACGCAGAUGGUAAUGUAACUGUCUAUAAAGCUCGACUUGUUGCGAAAGGUUUUCGACAAGUUCAAGGAGUUGACUACGAUGAGACUUUCUCACUCGUAGCGAUGCUUAAGUCUGUCCGAAUCAUGUUAGCUAUUGCUGCAUUUCAUGAUUAUGAAAUUUGGCAAAUGGAUGUCAAAACUGCAUUCUUGAAUGGAUUUCUAGAAGAAGAGUUGUAUAUGAUGCAGCCAGAAGGUUUUGUUGAUCCAAAAGGUGCUAACAAAGUGUGCAAGCUCCAGCGUUCCAUUUAUGGACUGGUGCAAGCAUCUCGGAGUUGGAAUAAACGCUUUGAUAGUGUGAUCAAAGCAUAUGGUUUUAUACAGACUGUUGGAGAAGCCUGUAUUUACAAGAAAGUGAGUGGGAGCUCUGUAGCAUUUCUGAUAUUAUAUGUAGAUGACAUAUUAUUAAUUGGAAAUGAUAUAGAAUUUCUGGAUAGCAUAAAGGGAUACUUGAAUAUAAGUUUUUCAAUGAAAGACCUCGGUGAAGCUGCUUACACAUUGGGCAUCAAGAUCUAUAGAGAUAGAUCAAGACGCUUAAUAGGACUUUCACAAAGCACAUACCUUGAUAAAAUUUUGAAAAAGUUCAAAAUGGAUCAGGCAAAGAAAGGGUUCUUGCCCAUACUACAAGGUGUGAAGUUGAGUCAAACUCAAUGCCCGACCACAGCAGAAGAUAGAGAGAAAUGAAAGAUGUUCCCUAUGCUUCAGCCAUAGGCUCUAUCAUGUAUGCAAUGCUGUGUACCAGACCUGACGUAUGCUUAGCAAUAAGCUUGGCAGGAAGGUACCAAAGUAAUCCAGGAGUGGAUCACUGGAUAGCGGUCAAGAACAUCCUGAAAUACCUGAAAAGGACUAAGGAUAUGUUUCUCAUAUAUGGAGGUGACAAAGAGCUAGUCGUAAAUGGUUACGUCGAUGCAAGCUUUGACACUGAUCAGGACGAUUCUAAAUCGCAAACUGGAUACGUGUUUUUAUUAAACGGUGGAGCUGUAACUUGGUGCAGUUCUAAACAAAGCAUCGUGGUGGGAUCUACAUGUGAAGCGGAGUACAUAGCUGCUUCGGAAGCAGCAAAUGAAGGAGUCUGGAUGAAGGAGUUCAUUUCCGAUCUAGGUGUCAUACCUAGUGCAUCGGGACCAAUGAAAAUCUUCUGUGACAAUACUGGUGCAAUUGCCUUGGCAGAGGAAUCCAGAUUUCACAAAAGGACCAAGCACAUCAAGAGACACUUCAAUUCCAUUCGGGACCAAGUCCAAGUGGGAGACAUAGAGAUUUGCAAGAUACGUACGGAUCUGAAUGUUGCAGACCCGUUGACUAAGCCACUCUCACGAGCAAAACAUGAUCAGCACCAAGACUCCAUGGGUGUUAGAAUCAUUACUAUGUAAUCUAGAUUAUUGACUCUAGUGCAAGUGGGAGACUGAAGGAAAUAUGCCCUAGAGGCAAUAAUAAAGUUAUUAUUUAUUUCCUCAUAUCAUGAUAAAUGUUUAUUAUUCAUGCUAGAAUUGUAUUAACCGGAAACAUGAUACAUGUGUGAAUACAUAGACAAACAUAUAGUCACUAGUAUGCCUCUACUUGACUAGCUCUUUAAUCAAAGAUGGUUAUGUUUCCUAACCAUAGACAUGUGUUGUCAUUUGAUUAAUGGGAUCACAUCAUUAGGAGAAUGAUGUGAUUGACAUGACCCAUUCCGUUAGCCUAGCACUUGAUCGUUUAGUAUGUUGAUAUUGCUUUCUUCAUGACUUAUACAUGUUCCUGUAACUAUGAGAAUUAUGCAACUCCCGUUUACCGGAGGAACACUUUGGGUACUACCAAACAUCACAACGUAACUGGGUGAUUAUAAAGGAGUACUAUAGGUGUAUCCGAAGGUACAUGUUGAGUUGGCAUAUUUCGAGAUUAGGUUUUGUCACUCCGAUUGUUGGAGAGGUAUCUCUAGGCCCUCUCGGUAAUGCACAUCAUUAUAAGCCUUGCAAGCAAUGUGACCAAAUGAGUUGGUUACGGGAUGAUGCAUUACGGAACGAGUAAAGAGACUUGCCGGUAACGAGAUUGAACUAGGUAUUGGAUACCGACGAUCAAAUCUCGGGCAAGUAACAUACCGAUGACAAAGGGAACAACGUAUAUUGUUAUGCGGUUUGACCGAUAAAGAUCUUCGUAGAAUAUGUAGGAACCAAUAUGGGCAUCCAGGUUCCACUAUUGGUUAUUGACCGAGAAUAGUUCUAGGUCAUGCCUACAUAGUUCUCGAACCCGUAGGGUCCGCACGCUUAACGUUACGAUGACAAUUUUAUUAUGAGUUUAUAAGUUUUUAUGUACCGAAGUUUGUUCGGAGUCCUGGAUGUGAUCACGGACGUAACGUGGAGUCCCGAAAUGGUCGAGACAUAAAGAUCGAUAUAUUGGAAGCCUAUAUUUGGACAUCGGAAUCGUUCCGGGUGAAAUCGGCAUUUUACCGGAGUACCGGGAGGUUACCGGAACCCCCCGGGGGGUUAUUGGGCCUACAUGGGCCUCGAGGGAGAAGGGGGAAGGAGGAAGGAGGGGGCCGCGCGCCCCUCCUCUUCCUAGUCCGAAUAGGACAAGGGAAGGGGGGCGGCGCCCCCCCUUUCCUUCCCCUCUUCCUCCUCUUUCCCCCUUCUCCUAUUCCAAUUAGGAAAGAUGGGAGUGCUACUCCCGGUGGGAGUAGGACUCCCCCCUUGGCGCGCCCUCCUUGGCCAGCCGCCUCCUCCCCCCUGGAUCCUUUAUAUAUGAGGGCGGGGGGCACCCCAUAGACACACAAGUUGAUCUACGGAUCGUUCCUUAGCUGUGUAGGGUGCCCCCCUCCACCAUAUUCCACCUCGGUCAUAUCGUCGCGGAGUUUAGGCGAAGCCCUGCGCCGGUAGAGCAUCAUCAUCGUCACCAUGCCGUCGUGCUGACGGAACUCAUCCCCGAAGCUUUGCUGGAUUGGAGCCCGGGGAUCGUCAUCGAGCUGAACGUGUGCUGAACUCGGAGGUGUCGUACGUUCGGUACUUGGAUCGGUCGGAUCGUGAAGACGUACGACUACAUCAACCGCGUUGUGCUAACGCUUCCACUUACGGUCUAUGAGGGUACGUGGACAACACUCUCCCCUCUCGUUGCUAUGCCAUCAACAUGAUCUUGCGUGUACGUAGGAAUUUUUUUGAAAUUGCUACGUUCCCCAACACCUCGGUCUCACGUGAGGAAUUCAAUGUGGCUUUAGACACAUUGAAAACCUCCAUGAAGGUCGAGGUUAAAAGCAUGUUUACUGAAUUUCUAGAAGGACUUAAACUAUCUACCUCGCUGAUCAAAGUGGGUGAUCCUACUAACAAGGUGACGGAUGCUACCUCCGACAAGGGGGAAGCUAACAAUGAAAAGAGUCCUUCUACUAGUGGUAGAAAUGGCACCGACAUCUUUGCCCAUGUGGAACCUCCUAUCUAUAGAGGAUCGAUUCCCUCCACUCAUUUAAAUCAUGCCGGUCCUCCUCCUAAAUAUGAGAAGCAUGAAGAUUUUGACUCUUGGGUUUAUCGUUUCAAGCGUCAUUUAAAACAUGUGAACACUAACCUUUGGGGAAUCAUUGAAGAAGGUUUUUAUCCUCAUGACCGAAGCAACUUCACCCCUCGAGAAGACGUGGACAAUCAAUUCAAUGAGAGUGCUCUCUUCAUCAUCCAAUAUGCUAUCCUUCCCGAAGAUCUUCCUCAUCUUCGACCUCAUGUCAUGGCUAAAGAAGCAUGGAAAUGUGUCGAGCGUCUCUAUCGAGGAAGUGCUAGCAUUCAACGCUCCAACUAUGAAGUGGUGCAAGAUGAAGCCGAUGAGUUUGCAAUGAAAGAAGAUGAAGAACCUCGUGAGCUCUUUCGAAGAGUGACCAAACUCGCGCUCGCACUCCGAGAUCAUGGAAGCAAGGACACGGAUGACAAUUGGAUCAAGCGAAAGUUCCUCAAGGCCAUGAUGCCCUACAACAAGGCCAUGUCCUCCGUCAUUCGUCAAAGACCGGACUUCCACUCCAUGACCUCAAGUGAAGUGUUGGACGAGUUCGUUGCAAUGAGCAUCUUGGACAAGACCGCUGACAAUGUGGUGCUCCGUUCUCAAAGGGCAAAGAAGCCCAACCUUGCUUUGAAGGCCAAGGUUAUUAUGGAAGAAGAGGAAGAAGUGGAAGAUGAGGAAAGCAACCCCGAAGACACCAAAUUUGAUUACCAUGAGCACAUGGCCCUUGCUUCAAGACAAUUUUGGAGCCAGAAGAAUUCAAGACCCAACUUCAACAAGAACAACUCAAGUGGCGUCAAGGGCAAGCAACGAGUUAGAACUUGCUUCAACUGUGGCAAUGUGAGCCAUUUCGUUACGGAUUGUCCUUACGAGAAGCGAGAAGACAAUGGUGGCAAGUUCAUCCGAAAAGACAAAGCCAAGUCCUUCCCCAACAAGAACAACUUCACCAAGAAGACUCCCACUCGUGGGUUGGUGGUUCAAGAAGAAUACCAAGAGGAUGAUGAUGAUGAUGAAAAUGAAGAAGCAAUGGCCAUGGCAUCCGUUGCCAUUGCUACUACUCCCCGGGUGUCUCUCUUUGAUUCACCCAACGAAAACAUCACCGCCAAAUGCCUCAUGGCUAAAGCUUCAAACAAGGUGUUUGCUUCCGGUGGGGGAUCAUGGUUGCUCAAUAGUGGAGCAACAAAUCAUAUGACCGGGAGCAAGGACUUGGUGGUGGACGUGCAAGAGAUUCCAUCUAUGCCCACCAAUGUCGAGUGGGGUGAUGCAUCGCAUUCUAAGGUAUUGGGUCUCGGCAAGGUUGUCAUUUCUCAUGAUCUUACGAUCGAGAAAGUCAUGCUUGUUGAGUCCCUUGCAUACAAUUUGCUUUCCGUUCGUCAACUUGCACUCAUGGGUUUUGCUACAUUCUUUGACAUUGAUACCGUGGCCCUCUUGUGGAGCAAGACUCUUAAAGUAGCCUUUGUUGGGCAUGUCGAGAAUGGUCUCUAUGUGAUUAACUUUUCGGAGCGACCCACUAAGACCGUGACAUGCCUAAUGGCUAAAGUUGACGUGGGAUGGCUUUGGCAUUGCCGUUUAGCCCACGUCAAUAUGAGAUCUUUGGAAAGUCUUCUCAAGGGGGACCAUGUCCGUGGACUAAAAAAUGUUAGUUUUGCCAAAGAUCGUGCUUGUAGUGCUUGUAUCGAAGGAAAGCUUCAUGAAAAGGCUCACCCUCCAUCAACCAUCAUCUACUCGAAGAGACCCUUGGAGCUCCUUCACAUGGAUCUCUUUGGGCCUCCAUCUUUUGAUAGUCUUGGAGGUAGAAAGUAUUGCUUGGUGAUUGUGGAUGACUAUUCAAGAUACACUUGGGUAUUCUUCUUCAAGAGGAAGAGUGAGACUCAACAAACCGUCAUCGACUUUGCAAAUCAAGCUCAAUGUCAACACAAUGCAAAGAUCUUGACAAUAAGAAGUGACAACGGCACCGAGUUCAAGAACUACACCUUGGAUGAGUUUCUUAGUGAUGAGGGGAUCAAGCACCAAUAUGCUGCUCCAUACACCCCUCAACAAAAUGGUGUUGCGGAGAGGAAGAACCGGACGUUAAUGGAUACGGCUAGGACCAUGAUGGCGGAGUUCAAGUCUCCAUACAACUUUUGGGCCGAAGCCAUCAACACCGCAUGUCAUGCAUCCAAUCGGCUCUAUCUUCACAAAGGCUUGAACAAGACUCCUUAUGAGAUACUCACCGGCAACAAGCCCAACUUCAAGUACUUCCAGGUGUUUGGUUGUAAGUGUUUCAUUCUCAAGAAAGGUGUUUGUUUGUCUAAAUUUGAGGCUAGAGCUCUUGAGAGCAUAUUUGUUGGUUAUGCUACAAACUCUCAUGCUUACUGUGUCCUCAACAAGUCCACCGGACUCAUUGAGGAGACGUGUAACAUGGAGUUUGCCAAAAAUAACGGCUCCCAAGUGGAGCAAAGUGGUACUUGUGAUGUAGGUGAUGAAAUUCCUCCCCAAGCCAUAAGAAGAAUGGGUAUUGGUCAUAUCCUACCCAUUGAGGAACCCCUUGUGGCUGAAGGAGAAGGACAAUGCUCCACUCAAGUGGAGCCAUCACCUCCCCAAGACCCACACGCUUCCGAAGAACAAAGUGAAGGCUCUCACCCUCAUGAACAAGACCAAGGGCAAGAUCAACCUCAAGAUGGUGGUGAACCUCUAAAUGAUGCCCAAGGUCAAGUUCUCCCCCUCGAGCAAGUUCAAGAUCAUGAGCAAGCUCAAGAUCAAGAACAAGCUCAAGACGGCGCUCAAGAUGAUCAAGUUAACCCUCCUCCUUCCACACCCGAGGAGGAAUUAGAGCGUCGUGCCACGAAGAUUGCUUCCAAGCUCACCACCCAAGGCCAUCUCAUGGAAAACGUGGUUGGAAGCCUAAGAAAGGGGGUAAGCACUCGUAGACAAUUAGCAAACUAUUGUGAACAUCACGCGUUUGUCUCUUGUGUUGAACCCCAAAAGGUCUAUGAGGCGCUCGAAGACUUGGAUUGGCUCAAUGCCAUGCAUGAAGAACUCAACAACUUCGAGUACAACAAGGUGUGGAGAUUGGUGCCAAGACCUUCGGGGAACCACAAUGUCAUUGGAACCAAGUGGAUCUUCAAGAACAAGCAAGAUGCUCAUGGGAACAUCAUUCGCAACAAGGCGAGAUUGGUAGCACAAGGCUACUCCCAAGUCGAGGGUAUCGACUACGAUGAAACCUUUGCUCCCGUUGCUCGUCUUGAAUCCAUUUGUUUGUUGAUUGCUUAUGCUUCCCAUCACAACUUUAAGUUGCAACAAAUGGAUGUGAAAAGUGCUUUUCUUAAUGGUCCUAUUAAUGAGUUGGUCUAUGUCAAGCAACCCCCCGGGUUUGAGGACCCCUACUUCCCGGAUCAUGUGUAUCAACUCGAUAAGGCACUCUAUGGCCUUAAACACGCCCCACGUGCGUGGUAUGACCACCUUACCGAGUUGCUACAAGAUCGUGGAUUUGAAGUAGGACAAAUCGAUCCCACUCUUUUUACUAAGAAGGUCAAAGGGGAGUUGUUUGUAUGCCAACUAUAUGUUGAUGAUAUUAUCUUUGGUUCUCCCAACAAAGCUUUCAAUGAGGAAUUUGCCGCUCUCAUGACCUCCAAGUUCAAGAUGUCUUCGAUGGGAGAGUUGAAGUUCUUCCUUGGUUUUGACAUCAAACAAAGAAGAGAAGGAACCUUCAUCAACCAAGCCAAAUACACUCAAGACAUGCUUAAAAGAUUCAAGCUAAGUGAUGUCAAGCCGGCUACUACACCAAUGCCUACCAAGUGCCAACUUGACAUCGAUCCCAAUGGUAAAGCGGUGGAUCAAAAGGUAUAUCGCUCCAUGAUUGGCUCCUUGCUUUACCUUUGUGCAUCUAGACCGGAUAUCAUGUUGAGUGUGGGGAUGUGUGCACGGUUUCAAGCCGCACCAAAGGAAAGUCACUAUUUGGCGGUCAAGCGAAUCUUUCGAUAUUUGGCUCAUACCCCAAACUUUGGCUUAUGGUACCCAAGAGGAGCAAAUUUCAAGCUUGAAGGUUUCACGGAUUCCGAUUGGGCGGGGGACAAAGUGGAUAGGAAGUCCACUUCCGGAGGAUGCCAAUUUCUUGGUUACUCUUUGGUAAGUUGGUCUUCCAAGAAGCAAAGUUGUGUGUCUCUCUCGUCCACCGAAGCGGAGUAUGUGGCGGCCGGUAGUUGUUGUGCUCAACUCCUAUGGAUGAGGCAAACUCUAAAGGAGUACGGUAUCAUUUGUGACAAAGUGCCUCUUUGGUGCGAUAAUGAAAGUGCCAUCAAGAUUUCUCUCAACCCGGUACAACACUUCAAGACGAAGCACAUUGAGAUUCAGUAUCACUUCAUCCGGGCACAUUAGGCGAGGGGAGAUCGAGCUCAAGUAUGUCAACACUCAUGAUAACCUUGCAGAUAUUUUCACGAAGCCCUUGGAUGAAGCAAGAUUUCGCGAGUUAAGGCAUGAGCUAAAUAUGAUUGAUUUGAGCAAUGUGACUUGAACCCGUGCACCCCCCACCACACUUAACUUGUUGUCUAGUUUAGGUGUAGGCAUGGACAUAGGGGGAGUGUUGUUCUCUCAAUGAACUCUCCCUCCCCCCAUCAUGCAUAAAUCGAUCACCUCUUUCACAUUAGCCAUUUUUUAUGGUACUUGUGCUUCAAAGACGAGUUUUGGUCAUGGGCCCAAGGAUAAUUCUUCGCGGUGCCAUACCAUCCAACUCAAACAUAGGUGGCUUCAGCCACCGCCCUCUCUCCUCGAGAGGCUUUGUCGCUUGGUGGUUUCUUGUUGUCUCUCUGCCUCUGGUUUGUGCGUGUUCUUGAGGUUUCUUGUGUGUGAAAAGUUUCCGUGCAAAGGCUUUUUCCUCGUGUUGAAACUUGCGGUGACUUGAGUUCACGGUACUACCGCGGCCAGCUACGGUACUACCGCAGCCUGCCACGGUACUACCGCUCGCGGGAGCACGGUACUACCGUCACCACGCGGCAAUAAUUUUUUACUGCCGCCUGGUUGAGCGGUACUACCACCUCGGUGCGGUACUUCCGCCCGAGCGGUACUACCGCGAUGAUACGCGGUACUACCGUGCCGGUUUGGGCCCGUGGGGAUAAGGACGGGCAGGGGGAGUUCUAACUCCCAUACCCAUUCGCAGUUCUUCCCCCACAUCGCCUCUUUCUCUUCCUUGCUCAAGAACGGAGCCGACGUUCGUCGCCGGAUCUCCUCCACCGGCUACCCUCCCGUGAUUCCAUCCGGUGGGAUCGUUCCCCACCACGUGCUCUUGCUAUGGACCAAGGUUUUGUCCCCAACUCCCUCUCCUUGUUCUUUGGGUUUGGUGUUUCUAGGUUUUGGGGGAGGCUUGUGUGUUCUUGAGAUUCAUAGGCUUAAUCUCUGCAAGAGUAGGAUGAAGGAGCGUGGUAUUGCGUAGGAUUUAUACUUGUAUUGUUGUCUUGCGCUAGAUUUGAUCACCGUAGCACCGCCGUUGUUUCGCGGUUCUUUUCAGAUUCAAACCACCGGUUGGAUCUGACGCAACGCGGUACUACCGCCCGUCUGGCGUGGUACUACCGCUUGCAUGGUACUACCGCCCUUCGGGAGCGGUACUACCGCGCUCUGUGCGGUACUAAAAUUUUACUUCCGCUCCAACCACGGCACUAUCGUGACCUCACACGGUACUACCGCGUUUGGAGAGGUACUAAUAUUCUAGUACCGCAGGCAGUGGCAGUUCUACCGUGGCUCACAUCUAUCGCAUGCCAACUUUCUCGUAUGCCUUCUAUGUGUUUCUUGUGCUUUAUCGUGGCCUUUGCAUUGAUCUUCUUCGCGUCUUUGGUGUUUUGCGUGUGUGUCUCAGGUGGUGGCUCUCGCCGGGCCAAUCCCAGUCGUGACACUGGCUCCAAGCGUCUGCGCAACCCAGGUGAAGUACCAGAGGGCUCGUCUGCCUCCAAGCGCAAUGUCAAGACCACAACUAGCAAGCACAAGGAGCCCGCUAAGGGCAUGGAUGAGAUAGCCCCAACUGAGUAUGUCCGUCUCAGGCAGCUUCACCCUUAUGUGCACCCGCGUUCCACUGUCAGAGGCUGUGAGCUGUUCUGGAACAAGCAACAGACCAACAUCUAUCUGGAUGUCAUCAAGAACAAGCAGAAUACCUACAUGGAGGUGAAGUGGAUUGAUAUGCAUCACAUGAGGAAGGACAAGUUCCGUGACUACUUUGGAGAGGCUCUGGACUUGGUGGAGCAGUUUGGCAUUGAGCAUGUGAUAUCCUUCCACCUUGACUAUGACCCUGAGCUUAUCUGUCAGUUCUUUGCCUUAGUUUACUUUCACUCCAAUGAGGAACAGAGGAUGACCUGGAUGACCAAUGGCCGUCAACUGUCUGCUACCUGGAAGGAGUUCAUGGAUCUUCUCCAGGUUCCUGAUGAUCGGCUCAACACUCCAGUGGGUGUUCGCCCCCAUGCCAAUGCUGAGUCUGCCAACAAGGACAAGCUUGCACCAUUCAUGGUUGAGAAGGCGCUCGCCAAUGGCAAGACAACUUUGGUGCUCAACUCUUUUCUGGAUAUCAUGUAUCGCAUCUUCCGCAACUCCUUGUUCCCUCGCAUCGGUGACAAAGACAAGGUUCAUGCCUAUAUGGUGGAUAUGAUGCUCAUUUGCGAGGAGGCUCGUUCGACUCAGUCUCAGCCACUUGAUGUUUCACACAUCAUGUGGUGUGAACUCCAGUUUGCAGUGUUCAAUCGCAAGGUGCCUAUCUAUGGGCCCUAUCUGUUUCUGCUGAUCUCGAAGACUUGGGAGAAGAUGUUCCCUGGUGAGGAGUUCCUUGCUCCAGACUGGAUUCGCCAUGAGCCCAUCUGUCUGCGUAUCAAAUCCAACUGGGCCAACACCACUACUCGUGCCGAGGCGACUGCUGCGAGGGCUGCUGUUGAUGAGGAGGAGGUUGGCGCCGAGGAUGUUGCUGAGGGUCGUGCUGCUAGGCCUUCCCAGAGUGCCACUAUGCCAUCAUGGGCCAAGAAGCUGAAGGACAAGAUGAAGACUCUUUUCUGCAUGCAAGCCAAGGGGCAGUACAGGACUCACGUGGCGUCCAAGGAGAGUCAUCGCCGGGACAACAAGAUCAUGCAGCUCUAGGGUGAGGAAGUGUCUGGCGGGUCUGAGGAGCGCAUCACUCCAGAGGCCGAGUGGAUGGAGAAGCAAGGCUACAGGUGGACUGAUUCUGAGGAGGAUGUCGAGGAGACCAUCCCUGCUGCCGAGGAGACCGACGGAGAGGGUUGGGACGAGUUCCCUGCUUGAGCCACCUCUUGUGUGUAGGUGUCCUCUCUGCCUUUUUGGCGUCUCGAUGCCAAAGGGAAGAGAGUGUAGGGAUUUGCGAGUGUGUCGUGUGUUUGCUGCUUUCUCGGUUGAACUAUUUGCUGCUUUCUCGUUUGAACCUCGGUUGCUUUACUUCGUUUGGUGUAAGACAUUUGCACUCUAUCUAUCCUAGCGAGCUUGUGUUAUAUUUGUGCUAUCUUUAUGCUAUGCUAUGUUAUUUAUCGUGCCUUGGUCUCUAAAAUAUAGGGGGAGUGUUGAUCCUAGUCUGUGUGCUAUGCAGUCCAAAGCAUUCAUCUAGAGUGCACACAUCUAGGGGGAGCCCGUUUAUAUUUUAGAGAGGUGGGGUUUACCCUUGCUCUAAAUUAUCUUAUCUUUGUGCAAAUCCCGUGUUGUCAUCAAUCCACCAAAAAGGGGGAGAUUGUAAGGGCAUAUUUAUCCCUUAGGUGUUUUGGUGAUUGAUGACAAUGCUUUUGCGGACUAAUCGUGUGCCUUGAGUUUCUCAGAUACUUCAUCACUAGGCACGGGACGAUUCGGUGCCCCUCGGAGACUAUUGAAGUCGGCGUUGUUCUACGUUCCUCUUUGGUGGAUUUGAGUCGUAGGAGAGCCGUACUAUUAAGAGGGGGUCCGCGUCGGAAAGGUUUGGGUGGAAUCAACACGUACACUUGUCCUACCUUUCCCUGCACUUUGGAGCUUCUCUUCAUUAUCUUGGUUGUGCUGAAAUCUGACGACUACUGAUGUACUUGCGGUAGUACCGCAAGUACCAGCGGUAGUACCGCUGUGGGUCACGGUAGUACCGCUCCUCCUGAGCCGUAGUACCGCGGCUCCCAGGCCUAGUGCCGCUUCGGUACGGUAGUAGGGGCAGAUGUAAUUUUUUACAUCCGUGCCACCCACGGUAGUACCGCGGGGACCCACGGUAGUACCGCUCCCCAGGAGUCGUAGUACCAUGGCCCUCCUACCUAGUACCGCACCGUCACGGUAGUAGGCGCGGAUGUAAUUUUUUACAUCUGCGCCCGCAACGGUAGUACCGCGCCUCGCGAGCGAUAGUACCGCGUCGGAUUUUUGUACUACCUCAUGUUCAGCGGAAGUAGGCACAGAUGUAAUUUAUUUCAACCGCGCCCUUCCCAGGCGAUGACUUUCCUGCCUUGCGGUAGUACCGCAAGGAGGAGCAGUAAUACCGCUCAAGCGGUAGUACUGCCCCCUAGUCAGGUAAGUCCCGACCUCUGCUGCGGUCGCGGAAGUACCGUGAUCUGCCACGGUAGUACCGCGCGGCCUCGCGGUAGUACCGUGCCCCUGGAGCGGUAGUACCGCGUGUCGCGGGCUGAACAUGUGAAUAACGGUUGGUUUUUUCCCUCACCUAUAUAAGGGGUGUCUUCUACCUCUAGUUGACUAUCUCUUCCACCUCUAAGCUCCAUUGUUGCUCCAAGCUCCAUUUUCGCUCGAUCUCUCUCCCUAGCCAAUCAAACUUGUUGAUUUGCUCGGGAUUGGGUGACAAGGGCCCGAUCUACACUUCCACCACAGGAUAUUUGAUUCCCCCCACUUAUCCCUAGCGGAUCUUGUUACUCUUGGGUGUUUGAGCACCCUAGACGGUUGAGGUCACCUCGAAGCCAUACUCCAUUGUGGUGAAGCUUCAUGGUGUUUGUUGGGAGCCUCCAAUUGUUGUGGAGAUUGCCCCAACCUUGUUUGUAAAGGUUCGGUCGCCGCCUUCAAGGGCACCAUUAGUGGAAUCACGGCAUCUCGCAUUGUGUGAGGGCGUGAGGAGAAUACGGUGGCCCUAGUGGCUUCUUGGGGAGCAUUGUGCCUCCACACCACUCUAACAGAGACGUACUUCCCCUUAAAAGGAAGGAACUUCGGUAACACAUCCUCGUCUCCACCGGCUCCACUCUUGGUUAAUUCGUGCCUUUACUUUUGCAAGCCUACUUGUGUUACAUCCAUUGCUUGCUUAUGUGCUAGUUGUUAUUGCAUCAUAUAGGUUGCUCACAUAGUUGCACAUCUAGACAACCUAUUUUGUUGCAAAGUUUAAUUUGGUAAAGAAAAGCUUAAAAAUUGUUAGUUGCCUAUUCACCCCCCCUCUAGUCAACCAUAUCGAUCCUUUCACAAAGUAUGUAGGAAAGACUGUUCAUCCGUGGGGUCAGUCUAGAUCCCUACAGACGUAACGGCAGGGAACCAGUGGCCGGUCCGGGGCAUUACAAGUAUUGACCUAAUAAAACGUCUUACAUUAUUUGUUUACAGAGGUAGUAGCUCGCUAAACCGUAAAUUUUACUCCUAUUACUUAGUACUAAUUAUUUGUUUGAAAGUAUGGAUUACAUUUUUAGUGCUAAUUUUAAAAUUUGAGGGGGGGAGAUGAAUCCUAAAUGUUUCGAAAAUAUCAAGUGGAAAUGAAUGCAUGACAUGACUGGCUGGUUGAGUCGCAACAUUGCAAGAGUGGUAGUAUCUGUCUCUCUCUGCCACUGCUAGCUUAAUGCCCACAGUAAUUCUGAUGGUACAGUUUCCCUUAGUUAUUACUAGUGGAGGAACAACAACAGCCAAGGCAAAGGAUCAUACUACACUGGCAAGGAUGCAUGACUCGCUGUUUGUGCAGUACUCCCUCUAUUCACUAUUAUUAUAAGAUGUUUUAACUCAUUUCUAUUUGUAUGUAGUUUAUAUUAUUAAAAUAUCAAAAACAUUUUAGUGAACGGAGGGAGUACAAGAGUAGGAGUUGUAGGGACGUGGCUCACUGGCGCACGGGCGCCCGAUGGCAGCAACGAGCACACGCCCAAAAAAGGAAGGGGCGGCCCACGCGCACGAGCAUGCAGCCUAAAAAGGAAGGCACGCGACCAGGCAGCGCNNNNNNNNNNNNNNNNNNNNNNNNNNNNNNNNNNNNNNNNNNNNNNNNNNNNNNNNNNNNNNNNNNNNNNNNNNNNNNNNNNNNNNNNNNNNNNNNNNNNNNNNNNNNNNNNNNNNNNNNNNNNNNNNNNNNNNNNNNNNNNNNNNNNNNNNNNNNNNNNNNNNNNNNNNNNNNNNNNNNNNNNNNNNNNNNNNNNNNNNNNNNNNNNNNNNNNNNNNNNNNNNNNNNNNNNNNNNNNNNNNNNNNNNNNNNNNNNNNNNNNNNNGGUCCUUCCUCUAGCGCGCCCCGCAAACCCCCUCUCCCUCCUCUCUUUUCUUUCUUUCUUGAGCAACAAGUACAGAUCUUCUUCCUCCUUUCCUCCUCUUUUUCCUCCUUCCUCUUCCUUUUCCGCCCAGAUCUGGAGAACCAGGCUGCAUCCAUGGCGUCUUGACAAAAAGCAACAUCAAAAGGUAACCACCGUCCUCCAAAACCUCUGCCCCUCCUCUGUUCGUGAUUUGACCAGGAAUUUCAAAGAGAGUUCCCCCUUCAUCGUGAUUUACCUAGAAAAAAAUCAAGUAACUCCCCCCACCCCCCUCUCUCGUAGGAUUUGUAGGUGUGUGCAAAACACUAAGGAACUAAUGAUCCAAUUUUAGGCAAUUCUAUUGCGUUGACUAAGCAACUGCAAAAACAGUCCCUCCAUGCUUGAUCAUGAACCCCAGCCCCCUCCAUGGUUGGAAAACUAAGCAACUGAUACUCCAAUUUAGGCAAUUGCAGUGUGUUUGUUGAGCAAAUGCAAAAAAAGAGGGGAUAUGAACAAAAAAACCUUUUGUCCCUGCUUGAGAGAUCAAUAAGAUUUGUCUGUUCCUGAUUUGCAAAACUGAGCAUCUAUGUGCAUAAUGUAAGAAAAAAGUGGGGGAGGGGGGCUUUCCAAGCAACUCCCCUCUCUCAUAAGGUUUACAGAUGUUUGCAAACAAGAUAAAAUGAGCAACGGAUCCUCCUACUUUAGGCAACUCUAUUGUGUUCCUUUAACAACUGCAGAACAUUGUGUGUGUGUGUGGGGGGGGGGGGAAUAUGAACAAAAAAAAGCUUUGUCCCUACUUGAGAGAUGAAGAGGGGUUGUUCUUUUCCUGAUUUGCAAAACGAAGCAACUAUAUGCAUUAUGUAAGAAAAGGAGAAACAAUUUCCAAGCAAACUUCUCCCUCUCAUAGGGUUUGCAUGAUGUUUUGUAGAAAAAACUGAGCAACUACCAUUCCAAAUUAGGCAAAAAAUCUAUUGCAUUCAUUCAUCAAACUCUAGACACACAGAGAUAAAAAACAAAAAGGUGUGCAUCAGGAUGUUUGCAUUCAUCAAACUGCCAGUGUCUACAUAUAGUUCUCAAUGAUCCAUAAAAGCAUAGUAAAAACUGAAAAAUAUAGCAUUCACACAAAAGCAUUCAAACCUAGUUCAACACAUAUGCAUCUCCUCUCACAAAAAAAAGAUGUGAAAAGUAACAGCAUUGCAUAGAAGAUCUGCCUUAUCCACACAAAGCUACUACUUUUUUUUUUUGAAAAAGGGUCUUCUGCCCACGCUUAGAUCUGCCUAACAUAUGUGCAUUUUCCCCCACUGUGAAAAAGCAGUUGUCGCCUCUUGUGUGCCGGUGGUAACAGAAACAACAAAAUGUAUGACCAAAAAAUUGAAUUUGUGUGAAAAAUAACACAAAAGUUGCCUCUGUUUAUCUUUACAGUUGCCUAAAAGAAUGUAUAUGGUUGCCCUGUUUUAAUCUAGUACUGCUUUUACCUCAAUUUCUCCUCCCAACAAAAAAAUAUGUUUGUCUUUACUGCACUGUUAUUGACAAGAAAAAAAAUUGUUUCUGCAGGGUCAGCUGAUAAAAAGAACGGAGAGGGACAAGAAAAAAAAAGGAUGAUUGAUCUCAAUGAACUACCGGUUGACGUAGAGCCUGUCAACAUUUCGGUUGAGUCGGGUGCCCCGUUCUUAAAUACAGCCUAUAAUCAGCAGGAUAUCCAUUUGGAAGAGGGGGUUGGUGAGUCCCCAGACCCCGACAUUGGCUCUAAUAAUUCUCAUGUUUCGACCACCCAUGUCGCUGCUCCCAACGCUGUAGUUGGUCCUGCUAAUGCUACAGUUGAUGAUGCACCUGACUUGGAAGAUGAAGAAGUAGGGUCGCAGCUGCAACUGCCCUAUGUUGGUAUGCGAUUUGACACGCUAGUGGGGGCAAGAGAACACUACAAUCACUAUGCUCUAGCGGUGGGUUUUUCAAUCAAAUCAAACACGUCCCACAAGUCGGCAUACACAGGUGUGCUGGACAGUUCAAUCGGUGCAUAGGAUACGUUCUCUGGAACCAGUUACCGGUGGCAUCUAUCCCUUGUGGAUCAUGAGAAAUGAGGCGCCGAUUCAAGUGGUUUACUAGAAGUAACAAAUGACAGUAAGAUCAUAGUAAGAUAGUGCCAUCGAUGUUUGUUUUUCAUGUUCACUAUAUAAUGGUUAAAUUCUCUUUAAGAAAAAGAUGAUACAUCACUAUAUAUUAAGGGGGGAAUUUAAAAUUUUCAAUCCUUAACAUUUUCAAAAAUAUAAAAAUGGUCCCUUAACUUCAAAACUAGCAAAUCUUAGUCCCUAAUUGAAACCAGACAAGUUUAGUCCUUCCUGCUUCUUCGGGUGGUUUCCUGCCGACAUGGAGUCAUAUGCUCAAAUGUUUUAGGUGCUUGCAAAUUUUCAUCGAAAAAUAUCAUCCGACGAGCUCUACAUGUGAGCAACAAAACAAUGCUCAAAAGUGCUCAAUACUUUGAGCAAUGAAAUCUUUUUCUUGCGUAGAGCUCCUCCUCAAACAUUUUUUCAGCAUGAAAUUUGGCAAGCGCCUACAAAGUUUGAGCAUAUUUGAUGUCACAAAAUUUCAUAUUUAGUUUUCUAUUUUUUUGAAUUUACGGUUCAUGAGGGUUUAAGGACACCCGAGAGCAGACAUGGCCACCUAGGCUAUACCUAGGUUUCGGCCCAUGAGCUCACGUACCCGACACAUCAUGGGCCCCGCCCGACACAUCGUUAAACGGAGCGUACCUCACGCAGCACGCCCGAGGCCGUGUCAGGGCCGCGUGGUCAGGCCCAUGUUCCGGCACAAGGCGACACAUUUCUUUCUAGAAUUAAUUUUAUAUAGGUCAAAACAGCCCAAAUUGGCCCAGAAUCAUGUGCUCCAUAAGGGAUAAAUGGGCCAUAGGCCCAACGCCUUUAACUAAUGUGCUGGGCCUGGAGCAGGACGAGAUCACUAAUUGAGAAGUACUCUUUGUAAUACAAGAUGGGAAACUCCCAACUUCCCAGCGGUGAGAUUUUUCUUUUUUCGUAGAUUCGUUUAUACGAAAUGUUUUAUCUCUUAAACCGUGCAUCAAAAUCUCGAACCAUUUUCAUCGUUGGAUUCCUCGCGCCGAGAUCUUUGAAAUUAGAUCUCAGGUUGAUAGAUUUUGAUGUAAAAAAAUUAACGAAAAAACCAAACAAAAAAACCAAACCGGGAGCAUGUUUCCCCCUUUCCAGUAGUCAUUUUCGUGAGGCACGUCGAAACUAAAACCAUGCCUCUCGCAGAAGCAAAAUCUCACGGAAGGAAAAAAAUAGAAUUUUUUUUUGGUUUUCGAGAGGUAGCCGUGCCUCUCGCGGAAGCAAAACCAUGUCUCUCACGAAGAAACACGUUUUUUCGUUUUCGUGCGGCACGACCGUGCCUCUCACGGAAGAAAAAUCAUGUCUCUCAUCGAAGAGGAAUGUAUAUAUAUUUUUUGUUAUCGGGAAGCACGGCUGUGCCUCUUGCGGCAGCAAAAUCGUGUCUCUCGCGAAAGCAAAAUCGUGCCUCUCACGGAAGCAAAACCGUGCCUCUGACGAAGAAUGAAAGAAAAACACGUUUUUUCCAUUUUUGAGAGGCACGACCAUGCCUCCCGCGGAAGCAAAACCGUGCCUUUGACAAAAGAAAAAGAGAAAACAUAUUUUUCGUUUUUGAGAGACACGGUCGUGCCUCUCAUAUAAGCAAAAUUAUACCUCCCUCGAAAGCAAAAUCAUGCCAUCACGUUUUUUCACGCAUUUUUUUGAUAAAAUGUUAAGAAAGACGGGUGGAAAACAAAAAGAAAACACCCAGAACGCAAUAUAUGACGACGGUUGAGAGCGCGCCAAAUGGUCUCAGGCCACCCAUGUGAUUGGUGGGCGUUGCUGUCGGCACGGCACGGCCCGUCCCGUUUAUAAACGGGCUGCCGUGGGCCAUGGCAGGCACGCUUAAUAGGGGCCUAGCUGUGCCGGCCCAUUUGGUCAGGCCACUCUCUCUUCAAGCCCUAAGGCUCCACGCUCCCCCUCCCGGCCGCCUCCGCACUCUGCCUUCGCAGCCGCCGCCGCCGCCGCAGCUAUGGGUGAGCCCCUCCGUCUACCAGCUCCUCUUCCUCCCGCAACCUGGCCCGUUUGCCUUCUCGCACGUAUUAUUGCGCGCUCGUUUUGAUGGAUUCGUGGUGGCAGGCGCGUACAAGUUCGUGUCGGAGCUAUGCAGGAGGAAGCAGUCGGACGUGAUGAGGUUCGUGCAGCGCAGGGCUCUCGGCUCCCAGGCCAAGCAGGUUCGCUUUCCCUCUUACUCCAGAUCCGAUCCUCUCCUGUGUUCCUUGUGCGAUGCCAUGGCUGGGUGCAUCUAUGUCUGUGAUUGCUGGCCUAGGCCGAGUAGUUUUCUUUGUCUGUAUUUCUGGUUGUUCGUUGUGCGGGGAAAAUGCGUCUUUUCUGCCCCGUCGAUGCUAGGUUUAGUUUUAGUUGAUGGAAGUUAAUUCCUAUGCCAUUUUUCUGCAAUAAACUACAGCUGGUCUUUUGGAACAGAUCCGAGCUUACUCCGGUCAUGAUGCCACCAACAAAUGUUUAUAAAAUACACGCGCGAGGAGACACUAUCUGGUUGUCUCUUGCGUUAACUACCAAUUUUACAAGCUUUAACCGCUUGUGUUCAUUGCCCCGUUGUUUCCGAGUAGUAAUUUGGACCACCCCAUUCAGUUUAUAAUAUCUGAAACUUAUGUACUGCGGACAUAGUUAAUUGCAUCAUUCAUGUCUAAAUUCUUGCCUUGUUUCAUUGUUGGAUGCCUGUUUCUGUUUCUAUGCGAGCCUUGCACACUGAAGCAUUUUCAUUGGACAUAUACACAGCUAGUUCCUUGGGAUCAUACAUUGGAUUGAGGGUUUGAUUGGUAGUAUUAGAUGCUACCAUUUGGUAAAAUGUUAUUGUCCAUUAAGCAUUGGUGCAUAGCUGGCGCCGGAGGUGGGUCACCGCAGUGUCAGGAAUGAAGGGAAGGGCUGGCGCCGGAGGGGACUGCAGCCGCAGCCAUUAGAGGUCAGAUUGGAUCUGACCGCUGCGAGCAUGGCCAGAGACAACGGGAAGGGGCGCGGGAGAAAAGGAAGGAUCAGCGGCGGAGGAAAAACGGAACGGGAGGGUCUCGACUUGCGGGGCUCCGCCGUCUUCGUUUUGCCUGGGCGCCGCCGUCUUUGAUCUGCCUGGGUGCCGCCGUCUUUCUCGUGGUGGAGGGACGAAGGGACGAAAGAGAGGCUGGAAAUGAUUAAUGAAUUAAACAGAGAGACCCAAAAGGAUUCAAUAGAAACCAAUAGGGUAUUAAUUUCAUAGUCGAGGAAGUAUUGGCAGAGGCUAAAUCAAGCAGAGUAGACCUGUUUUCUUCUAGAUCAAAAUUGACAUUAGCAAACGAACGAAUAAAUUCAUUUAGAUUGACUGCCAUUGCUCUGCCCCAAACAAAACAAAACAAUGUAGGUCGCUAUCAGAUCUCUAGCAAAGCAAACCUCCCUGAGAAUUAGGGCAAUUCUAAUGAGGGAGCUUAGCCUAGGUUCUGAACUGGUUUCCCUUGUAAGCUAGCCCUACUCAUAUGGAAAUCCGAAUGGCGAUGAAUCCAAUCCAAUACAGACAUCCAAACAAUACAGUGGUCUCCAAUACAGACAUCCAAACACAAAGUUAGGGUAAUAUGAUGGAGCUGUUCUGUACUAUGUGAUAGGCCUAUAGUGCAAUCUUCAUUCAUUCUACUCCCUCCGUUCCUAAAUAUAAGGUGUAUUAGUUUUUCAAAAAGUCAACCGUUGUCUAUGUUUGACCAACUUUACAGCAAAAUAUAUAAAGAUUUAUAAUACUAAAUAUAUAAAAUGUAAAAAUAUAGUUCAUGAUGAAUCUAGAGAUAAUGAUUUGGUAUUCUAGAUAUUGAUAUUUUUGUCUAUAAACUUGGUCAAACUUAGAGAAGUUUGACUUUUUGGAAAAAUAAUACACCUUAUAUUGAGGAACGGAGGGAGUACUAAUUAGCUCGGUCCGGAAUUUCUCGUUUUUAUUACUCCUACAUUGAUUUGCAACAAAAUGUUGUAUGUUAAAGCGAGUUUUGAAAGGUAGGUAAAGCAAUACUAGAAAUGCGUGUACAAAAUUUUCCAGAUUUUUUCGUGACUUUUGUUAGUUCACUGCAAGUCCAUUCAUAUAUCUUGUCGAAGGAAAUGAUAUUAGAAGGAGGCUACAGAUCUAGACAUUUGCUACCCCUUUUGUUGUAAUUUGUAAUGUCAAGUUUGUUAAUUGUUGUAGCUUGGCAAGCCUAUUGAGGAGACCAAGGAAGAUGUGUACCCGAGGACCCACAAGUCGCCUGCCAAGAUACGCAUAAUUUUGAAAUCUUUCAAUAACCAGAAGAACAAUCUGAAGGAGCUUGCGCCAUACAUGCAUAAGGUCGGGCUGCCUGAAUCGCGGUCCUUAUACACCGUGCUGCGAUCACCUCAUAUUGAUAAGAAAUCCAGGGAGCAAUUCUCAACGCAUGUGAAGAAAGUGUUUGUGGAGAAAACAGCGGAGACGCAUGAACUGGCCAAGAAGUUCUUCUGGUUGAAACGGCUUCGUAUGUUGGGGGCUCAGUACGAAGUCGUUAUUAAUUUCAAGACACGCUUGGGUAAAAAGAUUGGCUGCAGCAAAGGUGGUGACCUGCUUUGACAUCCAAAACAGGGUUCAGGCAUAGAAUAAAAAGGAGGUAAUAACAAUAUGACAAAAUGUUUCUUUUGGGCAACUGAAUUAUCCCCUUAUAUUUAAAAAUAAACCAUACUGGGUUGGUCGCUGAUGAAUUAAUUGGUUUUUGCUUCCUGGCUGCUUUCUUGUCUUGUAGGUACUAGAGCUGCUUCAGGCCACACACAAGCUAUCCAUCCAACUUGUGUGGAUCUUAAUUUCUGGCCUUGGUUUGAUCUAGCAUGUAAGUACUAUAUGUUCUAUGUAAUGUCAUAUGGAACUAAGGAUGCAUGUGACCUAUGUGAGGAUGUUGCUUUUUUGGUAACCAUCCAUGUAUUUCGAAAGAAAAUGGUGAUAAUAAUAUGUGGAGAAGAGGAUAGACGAUGUCUGUCUGUCUUCUUUUGUUGUGAUAUACUAGUUCCAUCUAUCUGCCGGAGCCUGAAUAUAUGAGAGCCAGCAUGAAUGUUUGAUGUGUAAGUAACCGAAUCUGGUUAUGUUAUGUGGGUGACAAUCGAUUCACGUACUAUCGAGAUUAUGGUGUGAUGCUUCAUUAUAACCGAUAUAAAACUAUCUAUAGAGUAUCUAAUGUAGCUAGGGUGCAGAUGAGCAAUACAGAAGGCGUCUGCCGGUUGCCGGUUGCUGCAGAACACUAACCGGUCGAGGAACGGCAAUGCUGCCCUCGCGCUCCGGCGUCUGAGGCUUCCGGCUCGCCCCGCGGCGGCCGUAUCCUUGAGCAGCAACACCGCCUUACGGUGGGGUACGUCUCAAAACAUUAGCUGGACGCAUGUAUCACCUCGAAUUCGCAUUGGCUUUAUCAAGGAGGAGGAGGUGGUGAGAUUAAGAUGUAGGCGUGCCCUAAUUACCUUUGUUACGCUUACAACAAUUAUGCAAAAGACACGCUUGCGACUUGGCAGAUCUCACAAGCUUACCAAUCUUAGACUAGCCACAGUGGGAGUAACUUCAGUAGUAACAUCGAGUCCAACUCAGUAACUUUGCUUAUAUAGCAAUGAGUUAAUGAAGAGAGAGAUAGUUACAGUAACUUAGCUAGUUACUGUAACAUCACAUGUCCCAAUGCAAUAUGAGUCUAUAACCUAAUAAACGAAGCUUUGCAUGUUACCACACUUAUGUUACUAUCCACUAUGAAGGUAGUAAUAUAGUCUAGGGAUUUGUGUAUGUUACUAGUAUAUGUUAUUAUGCAUUGUGGCUAGUCUUACUCCCUCCGGUCCUUUUUACUCCGCAUAUUAGAAUUCUCUCGAGUCAAACUUCACAAAGUUUGCCCGUAUUUAUAUGAAAAAAUAUCAACAUCUGUCAUGCUAAAGUUAUAUAAUAUGAAACUUUAAGUCAUGACACAUUUAGUGGUAUUAUUUCAGAUUGUGAAUGUUGGCACUUUUUUCUACAAAGUUGGUCAAACUUUACGAGGUUUGACUUCAGUCAAAUCUUAUAUGCGAACUAAAAAGGACCGGAGGGAGUAUGCGCGUUUAUACUUUGCGGGGACAAUAAAUAUUCUGCACCUUCAUUGACUAGAUAAAAUGGCAGCCGGCAUAACUCAACUUGCGGCAUCUUUGAUUGAUUAAUUUAAUCCACCUGCUUGCGCGCGCACUCGAAGUCGAAGCCACGCUGGUAAUUCUUCUUGGAUGAUGAUGAUGUUGGACGACGACAGGCCUCCUUCCACCGGACCACGUGCGUCUGCGGCGACAGAGUCGGAUGUGUCCUCUCCGGGGGGCUUCUCGGGCAGGGCAAGCUCCUGGUCGUGGGGCUCGGGAGGAGGGGACUCGGGCUUCGGAGGAGGGGACUGGGGAAAAUACCAGGUGCUACGGGAGCACCUAAGUUGCUCCCGGAGCUCCUUAGCCGUUGGAUUUAUAAUCUGACGGUCAUCUAAGAUACGCUGAAUUUGGUUGCAAUAAUGAACUUUUAGGGGUAUUUUUUUGAAUAAAUGCGCGAGCUCUCUCCUUGGCCUUUGGAUUUUAGAUCCAACGGCUGAGAAGCUCCCGAAGCACCUAAGUUUAGGUGCUCCCGGAGCACCCGAGGGGACUGCUAGUCAUCUGUUGGAUACUGUGUCCCAUGAUUCAUAGCAAGUUUUUCUCCGUUUCAGCAACGGAGCCGCAUUAAGUUUAAGAGUUCAAUAUUAAUAUUCUCAUACAUAUCAAGUGACAUUGACGACCUUUUUUAUCAUCAAAUCCUCACACACAUAUUCUCUCCCUCCCUCUUCCUCACUCUCUCUCCCCCUCUCCUUCUCUCUCUCUAACACACACACAUAUCCAUCUUAUUGGACACGGGACCAUAAUGCAUCUAUUUCACACACACGCUAGUGCAUAGCAAUAUGGAUUAUGUGUAUUAUAUUUGCCACCACAACUGAGGGAAUUAAUUUCAUGUGAAUCGGCCAGCCACAACUCCAAGAAUACGCGAAGGAGGUGGCCCGGGUCGGCAUCGGCGCCGUCCGGCGCGGGCCACGGGCCCGCUUCCAAGUGCGUCUGCGCGCCGGCCACCCACGCCGGGUCCUUCAAGUGCCGCUUCCACCGCACCAACUCCCAGGGCCAGGGAAGUCGCCCUUCUUCGCCCCCUUCACCGGUCGCGGCCAACGCGGUGCCGCGGCACCCGGCCUCGCCGUCUUCGUCCUCCGCACCGUCGCGAGCCAGUGACGCAGCCCAAGCAUCGGCCUCGAGAAUCAAGAACACUCGACAAUGGAGAGGGAAGGGAAGAUCAUAUACAUGUCAUAAGAAAGGGAGUUUAUUUACUGCUCCCUCGAUGUAUUGUUUCCUUUGUUUGGAGAUUGAUUACCAUCCGUGAGUUAAGGUAAGGUUAAUGUGAUUUAAGGUAAAGUUAAUUAAUUUAGAUUUGAUCUUUAUAGAUUGUUCGUGAUUGAUUCUACAUUACUAAAUAACUUGCACUGGUAUGGAAAGUUCUGAUCUGUUUAGAUUUCUUUCGUUGUGUGAGAGGGUGACGCGAAAAUAAACCGAUGAAGUGGGGGGAGGGGACGAAAAAAAUCUACAAAAAAAACCAGCGAAGGUGGGAGGAGGUACCAAAAAAAACCAUGGGAGGUGGGACGAAAAAAAACCCUGAAAGCGAGACUACCAACUGCUCCAUUAGGAGUAGAGAUAUAUAGGACUAUAAACCAUGUUCAACUUUUUUUUCUCGAAUACGCAAAGCUUGCGCAUCAUUGCAUUGAUAGAAGAAGUGAGAAUGAUUACAGGAGGUGGUACAACACAUGACACGGACGCAAGGGGCGUGACCAUGGUGCCCGAAACGGAAAGAUGAGAGAUGCACGACCCAAACAAAGAAGAACACGGCUAAACUCUCCGACCAGAGAAGCAAACCAAUCUACAACUAGACGAUCAAAACUCCGAAGCCCGCACCGAGGACGCCGCGAGCAACCAAGACAACGCCUUCAAGAAGGAGAACGACACCGAGAUGCCGUCGUCGUCCGAUAUGGAAACCCAGACCUAGGGUUUCCCCUGAUGCUCGAAGAGGGGCACGGAACGGCCAUGGCAACGCCUCUAGGAAGGUGACGACACGCGCGUGCGUCGCCGCUGCCAGCAAAAGAUGCGGGGCUUUCGCUCUGGCCAAUUCCAAGCAAUCCCAAGCCGUCGAAACACGAGUCGAAGAGGAGGUCGUCGGGUGUAGGCCGGUGCUGCGACUGCAGGAAGGGGAGCCAUGCGCGGUGCCAAAGGAGGCACCAUGCAUCGCCGGGCGCGCGAACUCCGGAGGAGGAUGAAGAUGCGUGGCUGCGCGGAAUGAAGUGGGGAUGGGACGGUGACCAUAGCCCCGAAAAGCCAGGAUUUAGAAGGAACGCAGAUCCGAGCCACCGGGACCGGAGCAGCAGGGACGCCAGUGGGCCCAGGGAACUGGAAGGGGACGCAGCACCCAGAGCAUGCCAGUGACUAAGAUGCACCGGGAUGGAUGGCCAACCAAGACACCACAGGGUGGUGAUGGUGCGGAUAUGCCAAGGAGCUAAAGAGCCAAGAGAGCCGGAAAGAGCGCAUCUUUCGAGGCUAGUCGGGUCCGAAGCCGCGCCGGCCGGGCGCUGGAAGGGGGCGCAGGUCCAUUGCCGCCGGGCCGAAGCCGCCCCUGCGGGGUGAGGGAUGGCAAGGUGGUGGUGUUGAAGCGGAUUCGCGCGCAGCCAAACCCGGCCGGCGUGCCAAAGAAGGCAGACACCGACGGGCAGAGCAGCAGCCUCCAUGGCCGGCCCCCGAAGAGGCGGACCUGACAGGGGCGGGCCCAACUCAAGUCAAGGGUAUUCAACUGAAUACCCAUUAUUUUGGGCAAAAUACUAGGUAUAUAUACUGUUCUGUAUAUAAGAGAAAAAUGAAACUGGGAACACGUCCACCACAAGUCCACUACUAGCCAGUUGGCCCAGUAGCCCAACCUCUCUAUUUCCCUCGACACCACGAGUCCACGACUUGGUCGGUUGAUCCAGUAGCGCCGCAUGUACGCACACGUCUACCCUGACGAAUGGGCACCUGCCUCUCUUCCCCUGACGCACGCAUCGGUCGUUCUGUUCUCACACGAGACGCCACUCUGCCGCCGGCCGGCCAAGGCUGUUGCCGUCGCCUCGCCUGAUCGGAGAUCGCGCGUCGGCACGACGCACCACCGCAACGAAUCCACCCCUCGCUUCCUGCCUUUCUUCGUUCUGACCUUCUGAUCCUUCAAGUCGACAACGGACAGCAGGCUGAAUCAAUUCAACUGCCAGAACCCCAGAUUGAUCUAUUGAAGGUAUAAUUGCUAAUUAGAAGUACUAAUCCUUCGACUUCUGAAAGUAGGAUCUCUUCCCUCAAGCCGAUUCAAACUGAAUUUCAUCGAUAAGUGCAGAGUACCAACACACUUUUGUUCUCGCUGCCCAGCAGGCCGCUGCAUUGCUGCAGUAUAGAGAGGGGCAGGGUUUGAGCUCCUAUAAGUAAUAAGUUAGUCCGGCCACUUCUCUUUUAUUUAAUUACAGUGGAAUUAGAGACUUGUUUGCGGUCAAUUAUGAAUUGUUUAGACAUGAUAAUUUGGUAUUUUUCAUUUGAGUUUGUAAUGUGAGAAUUUUUACAAAUUUUGAAUUUGUUACAAGGAUCAUUAUGUAUAACGAUUAGUACUCUGAAACUUGAACAAUUUUACUUUUCAGGUGUAAAAAACAUGAAGAGGAAGAACACGGAUGAGGAUGGGGACAUCAUCACUCAUUUUUAAAGCAUCAAGGAUCGCAGUUAUCGUUUAAUGAGGUUUCUUAUCAUUUCUAUUUUUUAUCCUCUACAGAUCUUAGAUUUCCCCAUGAUAUGUUCAACAUUUUUUACUUCGAUAUGUUGAACAAUACCAAAGUUAUGAUUAAUUUUCGUGAAUAUAAUAUAUUAUGUGAUAUCUUGUAUAUAUUUUAGAACUAGUACAAUAUACUGUUACAAUCGGUUAUACUCGUNNNNNNNNNNNNNNNNNNNNNNNNNNNNNNNNNNNNNNNNNNNNNNNNNNNNNNNNNNNNNNNNNNNNNNNNNNNNNNNNNNNNNNNNNNNNNNNNNNNNNNNNNNNNNNNNNNNNNNNNNNNNNNNNNNNNNNNNNNNNNNNNNNNNNNNNNNNNNNNNNNNNNNNNNNNNNNNNNNNNNNNNNNNNNNNNNNNNNNNNNNNNNNNNNNNNNNNNNNNNNNNNNNNNNNNNNNNNNNNNNNNNNNNNNNNNNNNNNNNNNNNNNNNNNNNNNNNNNNNNNNNNNNNNNNNNNNNNNNNNNNNNNNNNNNNNNNNNNNNNNNNNNNNNNNNNNNNNNNNNNNNNNNNNNNNNNNNNNNNNNNNNNNNNNNNNNNNNNNNNNNNNNNNNNNNNNNNNNNNNNNNNNNNNNNNNNNNNNNNNNNNNNNNNNNNNNNNNNNNNNNNNNNNNNNNNNNNNNNNNNNNNAACGGAGGCCGGCCGGCCGGAGCGCCGCAACUAGUCGGAGAGGGCGUCCAGAUCGCGUCAGGCCGGACCAGGUGAAAGGACAUGUGGUGCCCCCAUGUGUGGUUUUGAUAAUUGAUGACAUUCUCUAUGGACUAAUGGUUGCAUUGAGUUAUAUUUGAAGGAUUUGUCCAUAGGCUUUUCUUGAAGUCCAUGUGUUGGUUUCAAGGAGUUUAUGUGUUGACCAAGGUGCUAUUAAGGAAUUAUCCAAAGAUUGGUCAUGUGAGUAUUGAGCUUAUUGCAAGCAUGUCUUGAAGAAGAAGAUUGUGUGAUCAUUCAUGUUUACCUUCAAGACAUCAUCCAAACGAAUAGAGUUGGAAAGAUUCAAGGUUGAUCAAGACUAAGUCAAGAGUGAAUCAAGUUGAUCAACUCUCAAAGCGUAGAAGAUGUACCGAGAGGGAUCAAGUGAUCCCAUGGUAUGGUAAGAAUUGUCCAUUGCCUUCGUGUACUAACCCAUGGUCUAUGUGAGAGUUCUAUGUGGGGUUAGGUACAUGUCCAUGGGCUUGCAUCAAGAGGAAGAUAUCAUACAACCCAUGGAAAGGAUGACAUCAAGUAGUGAUCGUCAUCAAGAUUGUCGUGUGCAAGUUCAAGUGUAGCAUCAUGAAGAGAUCAAGUGCUUGAAGCUUGCCAUCCAUUAUGGUGUCAAUGCACUUGUGAAAAUGUGCCGAAGAGUGGCUCACCCAUAAUGGAGUAUGGGGGAGCAAUUAGUCUCCAUCGACCCAACGCAAUCAAGGAAGGUGGUCCAUCUUGCGGAGGACAAGAUCGUCAUCAUCUAGCUCAAGUGGAUCAUGCGCAAGGCAAAGGUUUGCCCUUGAUAGGUUUUCUAUUUUACCGGUCUCAUGGUGGUAGUUGGGAGACCGGGUUAUAGGAUCGAUAGCCGUACUAUUAGGGGGGGGGGGCUCUCAAGUGAGUAGCUUGAUCGUAUCGUUCAUCGAGAGCUCAAACCAUUGCAUCCUUGCAUCAUGUUUCUUGGUUUGUGUUUGGUUCUUCUCCUUAUGAGUUUUGGAGCUUAUGGUCAUUUUUAUGACAAGCUCGAGUUCAUCGAAAACGGAGUUCACUUGCAUCUUCUAUGAUGUUUUCGAUGUUGGAGGGUAUGCCGGUUCUUCUCUGUUGGAGUUUUCACUCCUUUAUUUGUUAGGCAUACAUCCCCUGCCUCUUCUUACUAUAACCAGUCGCUGUUUUGAUGCUACUCGUUGUCUUGUAUCCAACAAGCUUGAGUUUGCUCAAUUCGGAGCUCAUAUGAAGAAGUUAUGGCAUUUCUGCUUUUCCCCCUGCUCUGGUCUGUGCGGUAGUACCGCGGUCCUCAGCGGUAGUACCGCCGAAGCUCGUCAAGCGGUAGUACCGCUCCCCGAGCGGUAGUACCGCUUCCUGAGCGGUAGUACCGCUUGUGAGCUUCGGCCGUAGUACCGCAGUGGUUCCGGGCUACUACCGCCUCGAUUCUCGACUGCUAUUUCUCGUGUCGGGUUUUACGGUACUAAUAGCGGCAGUAGGGGCGGUAGUACCGCUCCAAGCGGUAGUACCGCCUGUACUUCCGCGGUAGUACCGCUCGGGGGACAGGGCCCUGUUUUCCUCGUCAGCGCGGCAGUACCGCUGGGAGGGAGCUGCAGUACCGCUUAUAAGCGGUAGUACCGCCCUGCCCAAGCGGUAGUACCGCUCUGUGCGUGGCUGGUUGGUGGGUAACGGUUGGAUUUUUCCCCUCCUAUAAAAGGGGGUCUUCUUCCCAUUGAACCUUAUCCUUUGAGCUCGUGUUCUUCCCCCAUUGUUGACCUUCUUCGAGCUUGCUAACUCUCAAUCCCUCUAUGAAUUCUUGCUAGUUUUUGAGGGAAAAGAGAGAGGAGAUCUAGAUCCACAUUUCCACCAAUCACUUUCUCCUCUAUGUGAGGGGAACCCCUUGGAUCUAGAUCUUGGAGUUCUUGGUGUUCUCCUUCUUGUUCUUUCUCUCUUUUUCCCACCCUAGCAUUAGUUGCUUCGGUGGGAUUUGAGAGAGAAGGACUUGGGCACUCCAUGUGCCCUUGCCAUUGCAUUUGGUGCAUCGGUUUGAGUUCUCCACGGUGAUACGUGGAAGUUACUAGUUGAGAAGCUUAUUACUCUUGGGUGCUUGGUGCCCUUGAGCUUGUUCCUCUUGGGUGCUUGGGCGCCCUAGACGGUUGGUGGUGCUUGGAGCUCAAUCAUUGUGGUGUAAAGCUCCGGGCAAGCGUCGGGGUCUCCAAUUAGGUUGUGGAGAUCGCCCCGAGCAAUUUGACGGGUACCGGUGACCGCCCCCAAGGGUUGCCAAAGUGUACGGGUCCGGUGACCGCCCCCAAGGGUUGCCAUUUGUACGGGUUCGGUGACCGUCCUCAAGGGUCCCUUAGUGGAAUCACGGCAUCUUGCAUUGUGCGAGGGCGUGAGGAGAUUAUGGUGGCCCUAGUGGCUUCUUGGGGAGCAUUAUGCCUCCACACCGCUCCAAACGGAGAUUAGCAUCCGCAAGGGUGUGAAUUUCGGGAUACAUCAUCGUCUCCGCGUACCUCGGUUAUCUCUUACCCGAGCCCUUUACUUAUGCACUUUACUUUGUGAUAGCCAUAUUGUUUCUUGUCAUAUAUCUUGCUAUCACAUAGUUGAUUAUCUUGCUUAGCAUAAGUUGUUGGUGCACUUAGGUGAGCCUAGUUGUUUUAGGUUUUGUGCUUGACAAAUUAACCGCUAGGUUUAUUCCGCAUUUGUUCAAGCCUAAAACGUAAUUAUUUUAAAGCGCCUAUUCACCCCCCCCCCCUCUAGGCGACAUCCACGAUCUUUCACCAGGGCAUCACUGCGAGGAACUGCGGUCGGGGCAGUCCACCCGCGCCGCCAGCAAGCAGGAGAGGCCGCUGUCGCCGCCGGAGGAGGAGGCCGCCGCCGCAGCCGGCCCAGAUAUGGCGCGAGGGGGAGGGUNNNNNNNNNNNNNNNNNNNNNNNNNNNNNNNNNNNNNNNNNNNNNNNNNNNNNNNNNNNNNNNNNNNNNNNNNNNNNNNNNNNNNNNNNNNNNNNNNNNNNNNNNNNNNNNNNNNNNNNNNNNNNNNNNNNNNNNNNNNNNNNNNNNNNNNNNNNNNNNNNNNNNNNNNNNNNNNNNNNNNNNNNNNNNNNNNNNNNNNNNNNNNNNNNNNNNNNNNNNNNNNNNNNNNNNNNNNNNNNNNNNNNNNNNNNNNNNNNNNNNNNNNNNNNNNNNNNNNNNNNNNNNNNNNNNNNNNNNNNNNNNNNNNNNNNNNNNNNNNNNNNNNNNNNNNNNNNNNNNNNNNGCCGCCGCCAUCCCAGGGCCCGGCGCGGCUUCGCCGGCCGGCCCUCCGGCGGUGGCGAGCGGUGGGCGGGCGCCGGGCGCCGGCAGCUAGGUUCCCCCCGAGUCACCCGGCUCGGGCAACACGGGGGUCGGGGCUGAUAGUGGGUCACAACAAAGUGAUUGCGACUGUCGUCUCCAGUGUUUCCACGUUCAACUUUUUUAUCUAGUGAUUUUUCCGCGUAAUAUUUUAUGAGAGAACCGAAUGAUUCCCCUCCUCGUAGUAUGUCUUGGAGUACUAUUUAAGGCACAUUCAAGAAUAAUUCAUUGCCUCUAUUAGCAUCCAUGUGACAAAGCCGCAACGAGAUGCUGGGGACACAUGUUUAACGAGAUUUGUGCACAUUUGAAACUUAACAUUUAGAAAAUCCUAGAAAAAAAUCAAUAAACCAUACGUAUUCCCAAUACUCCUUUGAGAAACUUUUUAACUCAUUUGGACCACAAGCUUUGGAGAUAUUAGCAGUUUGUUGGCUCGGUUUUUUUCUUUUCAAAAGUCAAUACUCUUCUUUCAGGAUGCGUUCAGCCUGGGAGUUGAAUUCCCUGUCACUAAAAUGCAAAGUACUGCACAUUAAGUGUGUGGAACAGACCACAGUACGUGGGAGCGCACAGACCAACAAUGCCCAGAAUCACAUAAUAUUGUUCGAUUACGUUAUGAGGCUGCCACUAAAAGGUAAGUAUAGGAACAUACCACACACACACACUAAAUUCUGUUCAAACUUUCCAUCCAAGAAACAACAAAUGGAGCUCAGCAAUGCAUGGAAGAAGCUCAGCAAUAUAGAAACGCCCAGCCGCCAACAGCCCAUUCCGCAGGCUGUACCGGCGCCGCCUGCCUCGGUCUCGGUGGCGUCCACCCCGGCACCAGCGCCAGGCCUCAUCUAUCACCGCACCUGGGCGUUGUGCCUUUACGCCAGCGAUAGCAGUCCACCACUGCCGUGAGACAACGAUCCGGCGCCCCACAUUGUAAGUUCCAGAUUUUUCACUGGUUGUUGGUUUACACAAGAUACUUCGCCAUUCAACACGAAGUUAUCUUCUCCUAGCCUUUACCGGUCGGCUUUUAUUUAGUUUUGCUCAGAGUUAAACUGACAGCUCAACUGGUGCAAACCAAAUAAAAAAAAGAGUUAAUUACAUUUUUAGUACAUGAACUUGUACGGUGGGUACAAAUUCAUACAUAAAGUUGAAAAAUGUAGCAAAAUAGUACAAUAACUUGCGUUUGAGGUACAUUCACAUACAUUUCCGUCCCGGGCUGUUAUCUCUGUUUACUUGACAGGUGAAGCCGACGGUAUUCGAACCAAAGACCGCACAACAUUAACAUAGAGAGGCUAGCCAGUGUACAAACUGUUACAUGUUGUUUAAUUUGUCAUAGUCUCCUUCUUAUAUAAUUGAUAGAAUUGUUCUUGUUCUUUCUUCAGAUAAUUUUUGAAACCAAACCGGCGUGACUCCUGGUUCAGAUUUUUACAGACGUACUGCCCCUUUACUGGUUCAUCAGCUGGUUUUUUAGGCACUAUAAAUUAGGAUGUAUUGUUUAGUAAGAUCAUCUAUAAUCGGACCCUUCAUACUUGCCCUAAACGUCCGGACGGGCUGCCUGGGCACUGUCUGGAUCAAAAAAGGCCACCCAACCGUGCUACCCAUAUCCGGCCUAAACGUCCGGACUGACCGGCACUCUCCAUAUCAGGCCAUAUAUGGAGCGGAUAUGGGGAGUCUCGAAUGCGCCUGGGCAUGCCUGCCAAGUAGGACUGGCCGCUGGUGUUCGCGCCAAUUCAGUCAUAUCUGCCUCCCCUCUCCUUGCUUGAGCAACACUUUUCUCUUCUCUGUUCACCCUCCUCUGCAUUGUCGUCACCAGACUUCCACCGGUAUCGGUGCUCCGCCGCCAUCCCAUCAGUGCUUCGCCACCGGACGCCCCAACGCACACUGCUGCCGACCAGGUCGCCACCGAACAAGGUUGCCGCCACCAGACGGCUUCCCGGUACGUCAAACUCCCCCAUAUUUUCACCCCAUGCUCUACGUGUUCGAUGACAUGCCUGAGCCGGUUUUUGAUUCUUUUGGUCAUUACUUCUAGUUCACGAAUGGACUCGGAAAGGAAAUCAGUAAACUUCAAAAAUAUCCUUCGACGGCUUUGUUUUUAACCCCGGUUUGUAAAACUAAAACACACGCCUGGUUCAGUGGACCAGUGAGCCAAACAAUUGCUUGAAGCUAAAGUGUCGCUCGCGUGCAGUGCAUAGUUUUUUAUUCAGAUCAAUUUUCCUUCUGAAAGAUAUAUAAAGUACCAUCUGAAGCAGUAAGAAUCUGUAGCUCACUGCCUAGUCGAUCACGUGCGUGUCGCGGACUCUCGAGUUCUAGUCUUGCGGGAGCAACGCACAACUCUUCUUUAUUUUUUCUUCCUCUUUUCCCACUUACAAUUUUUUUAGAACAUUUCCCACUUACAGGUGGGCCACAUACUUAGAGACCACGCAGAGUUAACAGGGAGAUAACGACUAGGGGCGGAAAUGUAUGUAAAUGUACUUCAAACACAAGUUGUUGGACUACUUUGUGUCAUUUUUCAACUUUGUGUAUGAAUUUGUACGCACUGUGCAAGUUUAUGUACUAAAAGUGUUAUUAACUCAAAAAGCUCAGCUGGUGCCACAAAUUAGUAAAUGUAAAUAAGGUAAGAUCGGCCGCAUUGGAUUUCACCUUAUUGGGCAGUUCUUUUGGCACUCAUUUUGGGAAUGAUAACAAGGUACAUCAGGAAGAGUGACGCAGCAGAUGCACUCCCUUUUCCAGGUCCAUGGGUCACCUUUGGUCUUGCAAUCCUUUUGAAGACACCAUUUCAAUGUCAGUUUGCCCUCAUCAUAGAUGUUCUCUGGCUCAGGACGACCUAUUGCAUAAUAUCAUAUAGCUAUCAGUCCACAGUAUGCAAAUAUAUAUAGAAAACAAUAUGGUAGUUAUGUAUCUUACAUUGUCCAACGAUAAUUAGACCCCCGAUGAAGAAAACAGCAACCGUGUACACCACGCUCCCCUUCAUAUUUUCCAUGGACUGUAUUAGAUACUCCUUGCUAGUACGCCUUUAGACGUGAUUUAAGCACCUGCUACAAAAAGGAAGAAGUAAAGCAAUGUGUUGCAAUGGUAAGUAACAGCGUUUCUAUAACAAUAGUUAGAAAUAGACAGCUCUACGUAAAAGUAGAGGGACCUGAUACAAUAAUAAAAGAUACAUCAUUACAGGAAGCAUACAGAGUAUUCCCUAUUUAAAUAUGUCUAACUGUACGCGACUUAUUCCCUAUUUAAUUCCCUUGAAAUUUAAGUAAAAGUGUAAAACAUAUUGCAGAAAAUAGCUGCGGUUUGGAUGAAAGACAAAUAUUAGAGGCUUCUUUCCGGGUUUACACGUGGUUAUGAAUUAAUUACAAAAAGGAAAAUAAAACAUAAGCAGCAGCUAGUUAUCUUAUAUACAUGCCAACCAACAAACAAAAGGGAAACCAAACAGCCUUUAGACGUGAUCUAUACAGGUCAAGUGCACAACACAACCACAACGAGCAACAUCAUCACCACUUCAACAGAUUCACCACUGAUUCUCAAGUCUUUAGCAUAGCAGUAGCACAUAGCAGUCUUUGGCAACGGUUUGAUACCAUAUUUCUCAGAGUUACAAUUGUAAAAAACAACAAACUGUCACAUAUAGUUGCAGUGGUGAUAGACGUGAUUUAUAUUGCUCAAGAAAUUAGCAGACUACCAACUUGUAUACAUGAAAAACAACGCUUCAGCAAAUCAGAGUCAACUGACUGUACCAACUAGCAGGGAUGUACACAUUAGAGAGAAUUUAGGAUGCACCUUGCCGGCCGUGGGUCGGGAAUGUGGAAAAACUUCAACCUCACUGCGGCGUCCGGCGUGUCGUCUCUCGCCUCGCCGGCUGGAAGCUCACUACGGAGUGGACUGCGAGGGCACUAGCAGUGUUGGGAGGCCGUGAUUUAAGCACCAGCUACAAAAAGGAAGAAGUAAAGCAAUGUGCUGCAAUGGUAAGUAACAGCGUUUCUAUAACAAUAGUUAGAAAUAGACAGCUCAAUGUAAAAGUAGAGGGACCUAAUGCAAUAAUAAAAGAUACAGCAUUACGGGAAAGAGAGAGAGUAUUCACAUGUCAGCCUUCCUUUAAAUAUGUCUAAUUGAACGUGACGCAUUCCCUAUUUAAUUCCCUUGAAAUUUAAGUAUUACAGAAAAUAGCUGCAAGAUGAAUGAGAGACAAAUAUUAGAGGCUUCUUUGCAGGUUUACAUAUGGUUAUGAAUUAAUUAAAAAAAAAACAUAAGCAGCAGCAGCAGCAGCACAAGCAGCAGCAGGAGGUUUAGUAGUACAAGCAGUUAAUUCCAGCAGUUAGCUAUCUUAUAUACAGGCCAAACAACAAACAAAAGGGAAACCUAACAGCCUUUAGACGUGAUCUAUAUACAGGUCAAGCGCACAACACAGCCACAACGAGCAACAUCAUCACCAAUUCACCAGACACCAGUUCACCACCGAAUCUCAAGCCUUUAGCAUAGCAGUCUUUGGCCACGGUUUGGUACCAUAUUUUAAGAGUUAUAAUUGUAAAAACAACAAACUGUCACAUAUAGUUGCAGUGGUGAUAGACGUGACUUAUAUUGAUCAAGAAAUUAGCAGAUUACCAAAUUUCAUAUAUGAAAAACAACGGAUCAGCAAAUCAGAGUUAACAGACUACCAACUAGCAGGGAUAUACAUAUUAGAGAGAAUGUAGGAUGCACCUCGUCAGCCGUGGGUUGGGAACCUCGUCUCUCACCUCGCCGGCUGCAAGCUCACCACGGAGAGGACUGCGAGGGGACUAGCGGUGUUGGGGAGGCCGGGAGGCGCGACAGGAGGGACGGCCGGACGGCGGUACUGGUGCAGCCAGCCGCCGCGACAGGAGGGACGGCGGGACGAGUGCAGCCAGCCGCCGCGACUAGNNNNNNNNNNNNNNNNNNNNNNNNNNNNNNNNNNNNNNNNNNNNNNNNNNNNNNNNNNNNNNNNNNNNNNNNNNNNNNNNNNNNNNNNNNNNNNNNNNNNNNNNNNNNNNNNNNNNNNNNNNNNNNNNNNNNNNNNNNNNNNNNNNNNNNNNNNNNNNNNNNNNNNNNNNNNNNNNNNNNNNNNNNNNNNNNNNNNNNNNNNNNNNNNNNNNNNNNNNNNNNNNNNNNNNNNNNNNNNNNNNNNNNNNNNNNNNNNNNNNNNNNNNNNNNNNNNNNNNNNNNNNNNNNNNNNNNNNNNNNNNNNNNNNNNNNNNNNNNNNNNNNNNNNNNNNNNNNNNNNNNNNNNNNNNNNNNNNNNNNNNNNNNNNNNNNNNNNNNNNNNNNNNNNNNNNNNNNNNNNNNNNNNNNNNNNNNNNNNNNNNNNNNNNNNNNNNNNNNNNNNNNNNNNNNNNNNNNNNNNNNNNNNNNNNNNNNNNNNNNNNNNNNNNNNNNNNNNNNNNNNNNNNNNNNNNNNNNNNNNNCGCCGCGGGAGGAGGCGCUGGCGACCGGGGCCGUGGGAGGAGCCGGCGGCGAACGGGACGACGGCGGGUGGCGUCGCGGGACGAGGAGCAGGGGAAUUUUGGGGACAGGGUUUGGGGGAGUGAGGAAGAUUUGGAUCUCUAGCAGACCCCGUGUAUCGCCGUCCUGCAAAGGUCGUUUACGGUAUCUCGUAAAUAGAAAUAGCGGGACAUGAACGGAUCAGCAGAAUAAAUCCCAUAAAUUUCGUCGGAUUUCUAACUCGAUUUAAAACAUCUAGUUCGCGCCAUUAGCUCACUUUAAAACUACUAGGAUAGUUCAUACAUAUCAUAGUUCAUACAAGCAAACUUAAAACAACUAGAUUGAUAGUUCAGCACAUACAUAGCAUAGUCCAAACUAGCAGAUACUCUUCGCCGGAGUCGCCGGAGGCCUCGCUGGGAGCCGGCUUGUUGUUGUGGAGAGUGUGGUAGAUCAGCGUGGAAGAGAGGAUCUGUCGGACUUGAUACUCCUCAAAGAGGGCCAGGACACGCACGGCCGCAGCUGUAUUGCCGACGGUGGCGGCCUGCUUCGCCUCCCACCAAGCGUGCUGUGACGCCCGGAGGCGUUGGAGGGCCGGAUCGAACAGCCGCUCNNNNNNNNNNNNNNNNNNNNNNNNNNNNNNNNNNNNNNNNNNNNNNNNNNNNNNNNNNNNNNNNNNNNNNNNNNNNNNNNNNNNNNNNNNNNNNNNNNNNNNNNNNNNNNNNNNNNNNNNNNNNNNNNNNNNNNNNNNNNNNNNNNNNNNNNNNNNNNNNNNNNNNNNNNNNNNNNNNNNNNNNNNNNNNNNNNNNNNNNNNNNNNNNNNNNNNNNNNNNNNNNNNNNNNNNNNNNNNNNNNNNNNNNNNNNNNNNNNNNNNNNNNNNNNNNNNNNNNNNNNNNNNNNNNNNNNNNNNNNNNNNNNNNNNNNNNNNNNNNNNNNNNNNNNNNNNNNNNNNNNNNNNNNNNNNNNNNNNNNNNNNNNNNNNNNNNNNNNNNNNNNNNNNNNNNNNNCGCCCUGCACCCGCGGACGCCAUCUCCGGCGAGAUCCGAUGGUCAAAUGCGCCGGAAAUUGCUGCCGGAAGGGUAGAGAUUUCUCGUCGAACUUUGGAAUUUGCAGCGGAGAUGGAUGAGGGGAAUGCCGAACGGGAACCCUAAAAUGACCCCGCACCCGCAUAUAUACGGGAGUGCCACCGGUUUACGGGCUGCCUGUAAAAAAAAUUACGGGGCAGGUCCUUCUUUGCGGACCUGUUCGGGCUGUAUUUUUGGCCCGUCCCGUAAACUGGCCGCAAGAACGCAGUUCGUCGGAGUUAUACGAGAUCUGCUAGAGAUGCCCUUACGAUAUUUUUUUCUUAAAGUUAAAGAUCCAGCAAUCGCUGGCUUUUCAUUGAUUCAGCAAGAGCAGAUGGAAAACAUGGUGUGAUCGAGUGAUCAAAUGGAUGCCUAGGGCAAUAGAGGAAAACCAAUAAUUUUUUAACCCAAAAAAGCAAAGAAUUUUUUAUUAAAAAGAAAAAAAAGGCCAUAUGGACAGAAAACUAGACGGUUGAGCCUGCUAUCUUGCAAUUGCAUCCCCGAAGAGGCUCUUUUAAGGCAGUUUGCGUCUGCCAGCCUCCUAUGAUGUCUUUGUGUUGUCGGGGUUUAGUUUCGAAGGUGCAACUAUUUCUUUCUUGUCAUAUCUCCCACAUUGAUCUAAUGCCUUUUCUUGUCGCCGGUGCAGUUGCGGCAAUGAUGAUGCAAGAGAUGAUCUCGGUCCUCAUCCUCUUGUCAGUUCAACCCCCUGCACGAACGGAGCAUAGCCAUGCCAUUGUGCCACUUGAUUCCAAACCAAUGUACACCUCCUGAAUAAGUUUACCCAGGAUUCCAGGUCCAAACAUAGUGCGCAGAAAUAUCCAUUUGGCUAACCCGGCCCGAUGUUGCAGCCUGUCGUUGCACCAAAGACGAUCUUGGUGCAACAACCAUGCAUGAGGACAUUUUGAUUUUUCCAGGAGCUCAUGCCUUUCAAAAGAGGACUCUGAACGCCAGCUUCUUCAAGGUUAACUUCAGAGAGGGUGCUUGGAUACGUUUUAGUCUCAUGACUAAAAGUAGUGGGACAAAAACUUGCUAGCCUCACCCAUGCUUGAAUCCAAAUACUAAAGAGACUAAAAUCAAGUUAAUGAGCAUUUAUUAUCCUCCAAACCUUCCAAUCUAGAACUCGCAUGUGUUAAAAGAGAGGAGUUAAAUGAGGAGAGAGAGGACUAAUCCACAUUUUAGUAGGGGUACCCCUGAUUAAAAAAAUUUAGUCUCAAGAUUAGUUUUAGCCACUCUUUAGUCAGGGGUGCUUGGAACUUUAGCCUCUUAAAGAGACUAUUUUUAGUCAGACUAAAAUAAGUCUCUUGGAUCCAAGCACCCUCUGAGAUCUCUACCUCAUCUUCUGCAUUUUCUCCUUCCAUGAAAUCCUCACGGCCAUUCACUUCUAGUCGUUCCUCCUCCAGCAACGGCGGCAAAGUCGGUGCAACCAUCUUCUUCACAUGUUUCCACAUGACAAGCAUCUGCACCCAAGGGUUUCUCGCCGUAAUGUCCUCAGUUUCCCAUUAGAAGGCUUCGGGCGAGCAACAUCCGCAGAGGGAGACCCAUAAUCGCUCCACCUACCUCAGGCUUCACCUCGGUCCCGAUCGACGUCAUGCCCUUGGACUGUGUAGAUGACGACAUUGCAGCAGGGAAGAGCUUGUGCGGUGGCGGUGCGGCAGCGAAGACAUAUCGACCUGGUGGCUUUGCCUGCUUUCUGCUGCUUCGCUGCCUCCGCCCUAACCUACUUUAUGUAUGCUUGUCUCUCCGAUUCCUUGCGGGAGGGGUCAAGAAACCCUAGGCCACCGGACCCUUCACGGUUUUUCUAACUUCGGCUUGGACACAGGUGAAUCACCACGACCAAGGAGGCCAUGCCAUGUGAGGGCGGAUAAGGCCGCUGCAGUUCCAUCAUGCUGCCAGGGCAAGCACACGGGGAGGUAGCCACCGGCGGCCGGAGUGGCGGCCGGUGGCGGGGACGAUCGCGUCCUGAUCGCCUAGUGAGUGAAACCCUAGCAAAGUGUUUUCCAUCCUAACACGAUGGAACAACAUUCAUGGACUUCUAGGGAAAAAAAACCCACAAAAAUGCUUUCUUUUUUUUAUCACAGUACAGACGCAAAACGAUCAUACAUACGCGCAUACACUCAUCCCUAUGAACGCGCGCGCACACACAUCUUAUCCCUAUGAGCACCUCCGAAAGAUCGAGCUGGCAUGUCAUCUUGAGAUUUACGAGCACUAGGACUUGAACCCUAGUGGACUGGGGAUACCAGUGUCAGUCUGUCACUCUGACCAUUCAACCACAUAUUGGUUCGCCAAAAAAUGCUUUGAGAAAUAGCCUUUUGAUUUCUCUCGAGAAAUUUUCACACGUAUAAAUCACGUUUCUGGACACGCGGAAUCGCUGGGAGAAUAGAUGUCAUCAUCGGCGUCCAUCAUCAUCAAUCGAUCGAUCAAAGGCCCAUGCCGCCGGACGGACACACCAACCAUCCAUCCAGUCCAGUACAGUCCAUGGCCGCCUCGUCUCCAACCUGCCACCCGCCCCUCUCCUCUCCCAACUCCCCGCUCCCAUGGAUGCCUACCGUUGCCGCUCCCCUCCCAUCCCCGCAGGAGGAGCAGUCAGCCAUUCAAGGCCACCUCCUUCCUUCCUUGUCUCCCCCGCCGCCGCCAUCUUCGACCUUCCUUCCUUCCUUGCCGUGCGCGCGGCCGUCAGGCAUUCUGUCGAACACCUACGGUGCGUACCGGAGUCGGCCAUCCAUCCACUCCUCUUCUUCUCCUCGGAGUAGGACUCCCUCCCGUAAUAAAAGUAUAAAACCAACUGCUCCUCUCCGUCUCCGUGUGUGCUCCAAUCCUGCCCUCCAAUCGAGUGUUCUUUCGUUUUGCUUGCACCAUUCUAACAUCUACUCCAGUUCAGAGGAUACACAACCACAGUAUGCAAGCAAGACUGAAAGAAACAUCUCCCGGUGCUUCGGCUGUUCGCUAACCAGUCAGGAUUUUUCUUCUCCCGGUGCAGUGCGGAAGGUUAGUUAGAGGGGCAAGGCAGCAACAAUGGCGGAAUCCGACCAAGUUAACGGGAUGUCCUCGGUCGACGAAUUCUGUAAGGCGCUUGGGGGCGACUUGCCGAUCCGCAGCGUGCUGGUUGCCAACAAUGGGAUGGCUGCCGUCAAGUUCAUGCGCAGCAUCCGCCCCUGGGCCUUGGAGACCUUUGGGACCGAGAAGGCCAUCCUUUUGGUGACCAUGGCGACCCCAGAGGACGAGGACCUCAGGGUCAAUGCCGAGCACAUAAGGAUCGCCGACCAGUUCCUGGAAGUCCCCGCUGGGACAAAUAAUAACAACUAUGCAAAUGUACAGCUCAUAGUUGAGGUUAGCGCAAUUCAUCCAUCCAUCAUUCUCCUGCUCCCUUAUGUUUUUUUGACCUACUUACUUGUGGAUUAGUUUAUCAUCCAUGUUCAUUGCGCCUUGAUCAACCAAUUAUUUUAACUGGGUUUUCUCCGCUGAACAAGCUCCUGGGACGCGAGGUUUAUAGCUCUCAGUUGCAACUGGGUGGCCCCAAAAUCAUGGCUGCAAAUGGAGUUGCCCAUCUCACAGUGUCAGAUGAUCUUGAAGGUGUUUCUGCUAUCUUGAAAUGGCUCAGCUAUGUACCUCAGUAUGUCGGCGGUCCUCUUCCUGUUCUGAAACCUCUUGAUCCACCGGAGAGACCUGUAACAUAUUUGCCGGAGAAUUUAUGUGAUGCCCGUGCAGCCAUCUGAGGCAUUCAGGAGGACACUCAAGGAGGCAAGUGGUUGGGUGGUGUGUUUGACAGAGAAAGCUUUGUGGAGACAUUAGGAGGAUGGGCGAAAACUGUUAUUACCGGAAGGGCAAGGCUGGGUGGGAUUCCAGUUGGUGUCAUAGCUGUGGGAACCCAGACAAUGACGCAAGUGAUCCCUGCUGACCCUGGCCAGCCUGAUUCUGCCGAGCAUCUGGUCCCUCAAGCAGGACAGGUGUGGUUCCCAGAUUCGGCCGCGAAAACAGCCCAGGCACUGCUGGAUUUCAACCGUGAAGAACUCCCACUGUUCAUACUUGCUAACUGGAGAGGCUUUUCUGGUGGGCAAAGGGGUCUGUUUGAAGGGAUCCUUCAGGCUGGUUCUAUGAUUGUCGAGAACCUGAGGACAUAUGAGCAGCCUGCUUUUGUGUACAUACCAAAGGCUGGAGAGCUGCGUGGAGGCGCAUGGGUUGUGGUGGACAGCAAGAUCAAUCCCGAGCACAUUGAGAUGUACGCCGAGAGGAGCGCAAAAGGGAACGUCCUCGAGGCACAAGGGCUGAUUGAGAUCAAAUUUAAGCCGGACGAAGUCGAAGAGAGCAUGCUAAGGCUCGACCCCCAGCUGUCCAGACUCAAUGCCAGACUCCUCAAAGAAAUUAGGACGGGUACCUCGGAAACGGAGACCGUUAGGAUCAGGAGUGCGAUGACUGCUCGGAUGAAGCAGCUGAUGCCCAUAUAUACCCAGGUCGCUACUCGGUUUGCUGAACUGCAUGACACCACUUCCAGAAUGGUUGCCAAAGGCGUGAUCAGUAAGGUGGUGGAUUGGGAGGAGUCCCGGGCCUUCUUCUACAGGAGAUUGCGAAGGAGGGUUGCCGAGGAUUCGCUCGCCAAACAAGUUAGAGAGGCCGCUGGAGAGCAGAUGAUGCAUACUCACGGAUCAGUACUGGAGUGCAUCAAGAUAUGGUAUAUGGCUUCUCAAGGACAAGGAGAUGGCGGGCAGUGGAACGACGACGAAGCUUUCUUCGCCUGGAAAGACGAUCGUAACCACUAUGACAAGCAUCUUGAGGAGCUGAAAGCUGAACAAGUAUCUCGGCUAUUAUCGCAUCUCGCCGAAAGCUCCGAUGUGAAGGCCUUGCCCGAGGGCCUUUCGCUCCUCCUUGGCAAAGUAAGCUUACUUUCUUUUGUUUGUUUUUCCUUGGCAUAUCUACAUACGCUUCACCUCACUGAUGCAUUCAUCGCUGCGUACACUGUACAGAUGAAUCCUUUAAAGAGGGAGCAAGUUAUGGAUGGCCUCAGGCAGCUUAUUGGCUGAUCUAUCAGUGGCCUUGAAGCAUGGAUUUAUUCAUCUGUGGUGACUUUUGUAAAAUCUCAAUAUGCUAUGCCGGCUCAGUCUCCCGGAGAUGCUCAUAGGGAUAGGUUGUGCGUGCGUGCGUUCAUAGGGGUGAAUGUAUGCUUGUGUGUACGAACAACUUUGAUUGUAUGUGUCAAAGAAAGUAUGUUACUCAAAUGUCACUUUUUAUCAUCUCAUCACUGAAAAUUAAGAAAAUAUAGAAGAACAUACAUGCACAUAUACACGCAACUCCACAUGUACCUCUUUCCAGCUGAAAGCAAGUUUUUUUUUUCUUUUGAAAUUUUUUCGAUCUAUUUGAACAUUAAAAGUAACAAAAAAUACAUCCAGAUCCAUAGACCAAGGCUGUUUGGAUUUUAAUGAAUGUGGCCCUGGAGGUACCACGACUCUGCUAAUCAUCCAACAAAUAGUUUAUACACCCCUUGCACUUGCACUGAUCAACACGUUAUUUUAGUAUUCACAAAUAGGCGAUCUGAUAAUAGUACUGUAUUCUAGUAAUGCUCACUCUUUUUAGUUAAACCCAUUAAGAGGGGCUAGAAUGGUGGCCAACCAGCUACGCCAUGUGGCGCAUGCUGGUUGGUCACGGCGAGAAAGUUUUUUUAUAGUUUUUUAAAUGGUAGUGAGACAUUUUUUUGAGAAAAGUUUUUCUAGGCCUUUUCUUUUUUCCUAUUAAGAUGGUUGUGAUGUCCACAUGAUGCGAGACUAUUUUUUUAAAAAUUUAACAUGAUGAUGAGGUGCGUAUAGCUUCCUCUCAAGCGGCCUGCAAUGGCGGGCCCCGACCACUAGUUUGCAAGCAUGGGUGGGGGCGUUUCUCGGCAAGUCUUGAUGCACUCCUGUUGGGUAUGAGAACACGGUACGUCCGGCGGAGUGAGGCAGCAGAAGCACUCUGAUUUCCAGCCCCAGAAUUCAACUUUGGUCCUGCGGUUCUCACAUGCAAUGGGACCCGCACUCAUGACGCCUGUGGAGAGAUGAUGCUUCAUGAUCCGGGACAAGUCAAGACGCCAUUACCAUGACUCUGCCGUGGUUGCCACCGGCCCACUGGAAUCCUUAACUGCAGCUCGUCUUCCUCCCCAACAGCCAUGGCUCUUGUCCCCAUGACCACGAGGGCCGAGGAGUACAUCUCUAUUUCACUGACGUAGUACUCAAUAAAAUUCAUAAACCCCACUGAUACUGUUUAGAAAAAUGGAACACAAACAGUGAAAUCCUAUGAGGAUUUUCAAUUGUGACAAUUAUCUGAAUACAACGGUUGGUCAAUUUCUCUAGUUAACAUUCCAGUGUGUGCAUUAACAACAUGUACAAAUCAUGUUGAUAGUAGCACAGAGGGGUCGUUUUGCUUAGUCAAACAAAAUAUAAAAACAUAGUAAUCACACAUAGAGAUAAGAAAUAAAAGGAAGUGAGACUUACGGUUAAAAUAUCCAUCACUAAUUUUUUUGCGAGCGAUGUCCAUCGCUAAUUAGAAAUUAACACACAUGAAGUAUCUCUAUACUAUGUCAAGCAUCCUCGAUGCAAUGCCCUACAUUACAAUCAACAUGUCUUGAACACCCACAUGGUGAUUUAAAUAAGUUUCAAUUGCCAAGAAAAAAAGGUAAUUACAAAGCACACCACAGAACGUGAGUGAUGAUAUAAAAUAGCCCAAAGAUAGAACUGUUCUUUCACAAUCGACUUCUGAAUAUAAUCAAAAUGUCGUAGCGAAUAUUAGAGUCUAACAUCAGGAUGUAAAUCACUCAAUGUAUUAACCAAUUUCAAAAGGAAUAAUUCAGAAUAGCAAGGCAUUUCAAAAUACUUGUAUCAAAAGGGCAACUGAUGUACAGAAGAUAAAAUAUCAUGAUAUAUGCAUCCCAAAUUCUUUUGCAGCAAUUUCAACGAAUUAGUGUACCAAGACAGAAGUUAGACAAGAGGAGGAAUUUUUUUCAGAGAGCACACAAUAAUUAGCCAACUAAAAGAUCUAAAUUAGUUAUUUGUUUCCUAGUGGUCGCAAAAGACAGGUGUUCUUUUCUUCUUCGUGAUCCUACAUGCUACUAUAUACACGAACUAAAAAAAGUUGAUGGUUGGUCAAAUAUGAAGCUGGGUUUGUAACUUACUAUUAAUAUGCUAGUUACCGUGGAAAUUCUUCUGAUGGCUUGCAUGUCAUGUAACUUUAUACACUUAAGAAUAAUCACAAGCGAGCAUCGAUCUUCUGAUCUGGCCCAAAAAUCUGAGUGUUGCAGAUAAUAAAAUUCCACAAACCAAUAUGAUUUCCUGGGUUUUUUUUUGCCUAAAGGUUGCGAAAUUAAAACAAAGGGUAGACAACACUAUUUUUUUUUCGAAACACUCGACAACAGUAAUUGCAUAAUACCACUUAACAUAUGAUAAUACUGGGAAUUAUGAUGGAACACCGAGAUGAGCUCAAUUUAACAAUGCCAACAACGAGACACAUAACAUGGAGAGAAACAACAUCAAUCUGGGGUCUCCUUUGCCACCUUGGCACGGACUGGUCAAAACCGGUCAAAACCAAGAGAAGGGACGGAACUUAUUCGGUUUCAAGAGAUGGGGACGCAAUUUGACCGGUUUCGUAGUUGAGGGACCAAAUCUAUAGUAUAUAUAUACUCCUCCAAUAGUUAAGUGGCGAAAAAUAUACUUUUCUCUAUUAAUCAUGUCUUUUUAAAUAGUACUUCCUCCGUUUGGAAUUACUUGUCUCGGAAAUAGAUGUAUCUAGAACUAAAAUACGUCUAGAUACAUCCAUUUUCGCGACAAGUAAUUCCGAAGGGAGGGAGUACUAGUUUGGAUUGCUAAUCACAUGUGUCACGUAGUCUCUGUUAAUCAUGUCUGCUUUUUAUUUUUCACGCUCUCGUCACUAACAUUUUUUGACUAACCGCACAAGAGAGAAACAAAAGCAUGUGUCGUAGGCCAAAGUGCUUGGUCUGCCUCAACGCACUACAUCAGCAAAGACAGAAACAAAAGCACCCACUCUCAGUGCCCCCAAAACUGUCAGGGCCCAAAUCUGGCAUCCCCUAACGCAGAUCCCUAAUCACACUCAACCAUCUUUUUUGGUGCGUGCAAAGAUGAAUGGAUCAUAUAUAGGAGGAAGUAGCAAAGCAAUCAAAGGAAAAAACAAAAGCACGGCGCUGGCUUUGCCAUCGCGAACCACCUUGAAGACGGCAUUUAUCCAACAACAUACUGUGCGUGUAUGUUGCUCGUAGUGGAGCUCUAGCUUUAAGCUCCACUACUUUUUUUUUUGAGAUGUUUAAGCUCCACUACUGGUACUGGCUCGUGCUGACAGUGUGUGUGCUGUGGCCUGCUACUUCCUAUUUGGGUAUCAUCAGGAGCACUAUAUAUCUCUUCAUCCACUCAACUCUAGCUCAGAAAUUCUCCUCAUAUGCCUCGCAGUUCCGUGCCAUCACCCUCCCGUGCAUGCCGUCGAAGAGCUUUGAGUCGACGAUUCACACUUUCGGCUGCACCUUGCCAUCGCUGCACCUUUCGGCUGUUCCUUUGACAUGGUGAUGGAAUAUGAACCAAAUGUACGCAUGAUGACAAAGAGUGUUAACCUAAGAACUCAACUAGUGCCACGAAUUAGUAGAUAAAUAAGAUAUGAUUGACUGCAUUGGACUUCAACUUUUAUUUAUUACUCCCUCCGUUUUUAUUUACUCUACAUAUUAGAGUUGACUGAAGUCAAACUUCGUAAAGUUUAACCAAGUUGAUAGAAAACAAUAUAGACAUUUAUCAUAAUAAAUCUAUACGAUGUGAAAGUACAUUCAAUAAUAAACCUAAUGUUGUUGAUUUGUUAUUGUAUAUCUUAAUAUUUUUGUUUAUAAACUUGGUCAAAGUUUGUAAAGCUUGACUUUGACCAAAGCUAAUAUGCGAACUAAAUAAAAACGGAGGGAGUACUCCCUCCGGUUUUAACUUUUUAUUUGCUUCACAUAUUAGCUUUGUCUCGGGUCAAACUUUCUAUACUUUGAUCAAGUUUAUACAAAAAAAACAUCCACAAUACCAAAUCAAUACCAUUAGAAUCAUCAUUCAACAUAUUUUCACACCCUAUAUAUCUUUUAUUGCGAAAGUUUUCAUUGUUUUCGAUAAAUCUGGUCAAACUUUAUCAAGUUUGACUUAGGUACAAGCUGAUAUACGAAGUAAAUAAAAGUGGAGGGACUACUCUGAUCCAUAUUACUUGUCAAUGGUUUAGUACAAAGUCACAAAAAGUAGCAUAGAUAUACAACCAUGAAAAGGUACGGUGUGCAUCAAUCAACACGUUAUUUUAUUCUAAUAGAUUGCUUUAUGUAUUCUUAUAAUGCACACCCUUAUCUCACUGUGGCGGGCAAUUUUUCUGACACCCGUCUUGGGAGUGAUAGCAAGGUACGUCUGGAAGAGUGACGCAGCAGAUGCACUGCCUUUUCCAGGACCAGGGGUCACCUUUGGUCUUACAGUUCCUUUCGAUACACCAUUCAGGGUUAGCUUGCUCUCAUCUAAUGAUGAGAGCAGCGUAGUCGCGUUGGCAUGGCAUUCAUCGUUGGUUUGCUUGGGCUCAAGACGGCCUAUUACAUACGCAAUAGUAUAUGAUUGUGAGUGCACAAUCGACAACUAUCUUAUAUACAUAGACGAACAAUAAUUAAGAUAAUGUGCUUACAUUGUCCAGCAGCAAUUAAGCAGCCGGUAAACAAAACGGCAAUCAUGUAGACCGCGCUGCUCCCCUUCAUAUUUUCGGUGAACUGCAUAUGAGAUGAUGAGAUAGUUAUAAGCAAUCUGAGGCAAUGUCCCCCUCCCACCUCCCACUUCAGUAUAUAUAGAGUUUGAGGGUACACUCCCAAUUAACGCCGAGACAUGGUAUGCAUUUGCAACGUAAUUGAGAAGAGAAACUUUUUGCCAGGCUAUACUAAUUGAGAGAAAUACAUGUUAGAGAAAAAGGGUUUCCCCCCGCUUUGUAUUUCAAAGCAACCAUCCGAUGUAGCCAACGAUAGGUGUUGGGGCGGAAACAGCACAAGCACGCCCAAAAGAAAGAAAAAAAAAGAAAAAAAAAGAAACAAAAUGCCGAUAACGGCGGAUCGACAAAAGACGACGAAGCCUCGCGACCGCUGCGUCCAUCAGAGAUCGCCCACCAAGCUCCGAGACUCCGAAGCGCCGGUACCAAGCAACACCUCCAAGAAGGGACGCGACGAUGGCGACGCUGCUGCUAAGGGUUUCCCCCGGUACACGGCGAGGAGAGAGGAAGGGUAGCCCCGGCGCCCUCCAGGAAGGUCCGGUGGUACCUGAUGAAGUCAUGUACCUAGGGUAGGGUCAUGAACCUAUCUAGGAUACCCUACCCAAGGACGUCCUUAGAAGAAGCUACCUUCCAGUCGACCAAGAGGGACUCCACUCGACGAUCUCAAGGACACUCGACGAUGAAGAUAGCCACUCGACCAUGAAGCUAAUCACUCGACAACCAGGAGACCUAAAGUCAUGCAGCACGCAACGGCCUGUCAUUAAGUAGCUUUAAUAGUCUUCAUGGCACUUUAUGUGGGCGUUACCAGUAACUCCCUGUCUUAAUGUACUUUAAACCCUGCAUAACUGAGGGCCUGAGGGGUCUGGCGAACUCUAUAUAAGCCACCCCCCCUCCUCAGUGUAAAGGGUUCGCACCCCUGUAACUCAUACGCAUAUAAUCCAGUCGACCGCCUCCGGGCUUCGAGACGUAGGGCUGUUACUUCCUCCGAGAAGGGCUUGAACUCGUAAAUCCCUUGCGUAUACAACUACUCCAUAGCUAGGAUCUUGCCUCUCCAUACCUACCCCCCAUUCUACUGUCAGACUUAGAACCACGACAGUUGGCGCCCACCUUGGGGCAGGUGUCUUAGCGACUUUUUGGAGAAGUUGCAAUUUGUCCGAUCGCCUUCAUCAUGGUUUCUGGCGGAGUUCUAGUCGAGGGCCGCGAGAUCCGUCUCGGUGCGCUCGCUUUCAUUGCCGACGACUCUGCUUGGCUUCAGGAGGCACCACUCAACAUCGACGCGCUCCCCGUCCGCGGUGCGACGCAUUUUCGGGCGUGUGUCCGCGGCGUCCUGCUGCGGCAGCCGUCGACUCCGUACCAGUCGACUCAUGUGCCGUUCUCCCUUCCUGUCUCCCGCCAGCGCAAGCUCUCCGGUCGGUCGAGACUUCAGCGGUGGGUGAGACACGCAGUAGCUCGCCAAUCGGCCACCACCCAAGUCGUGGCAAUUUAGCCCGACGAAUCUCUCUACGGCCUGUUCGAUCUGUCGACUGGCUCCGUAGAGACUGCAUCCGAGUGCGACAGCAGUGAUCCAGCGGCGGAGGUCCUGAUGGUCAAUGGGCCUCGUAGCCCUCCCGGCUUCCCCCGCAUCGACGGGAUGGACGAUGGAGGCGACCCCGCUCAGGCCCAUGAGGAAUAUCAACCCGAGCAACUCACUUCUCAGCAAAGGGAAGAUCUUCGCCGCCGGAACAUGGAUGCUCUGCAUAUUCCUAUCGCAGGAGAAACUCCCGAGGCUCGUGCCUUGGAAGAGGCGCGUUUGGCCAACUUGGCUGAACGCACUCGACUGGAGAACCUCCAGCGAGCACUCGACGAGCAUGCGCGGCAACGAGUACCCGACUCCAGUCGACGUCAGCUCUUUCCGCAACCAACUCAGGUAUAUCGGACCCCGAUUCAGAAUUUAGCAGCUGCAGCCCGUAUAGCGGAGUCAAUUCAGCCCUCUCAGUCGGAGGCUGGCAGAGCCUUGAUGCAGAUCAGGGAUUUGCUCCGAGCAGCAGGAGAUCAGAAUUCAGCUGUGUCACAGUCGCGCAACAGGAUUCACAGUCGAUCCGUCGCUGCGAAUACAGUUCAGUCGGCUCAUAGCCCAAGGUCGCUUCCGAGGCACGUGGGACGUGAAGGCCGGCGGGACCAGUAUGAUGACCGAUUUGAUCGUGAUGAUAGGCGUCGAGUGCCCACUCCUUCCCCGAGGGGUGGGUCUAACGCCCAUCGGCAGCAAGAUGACAGGCGCCAGCUCAGUGUUGGGCGGAGAGCUCCGGUCGACCCCAGGGAACCAGGCUUUGACGCGAGAUCCAUCAUCGUGCAAGGUUUGGUCGAUCGGAACAGAGCUUAUAGAGGUGGCCAUGACAGAGAUGCACCCACUAGCAGUCGAGUCCAUGUUUCAGGUCCAGAAUGCUUUAGCAGAGCCAUCAGAGCCGCAGUGAUACCCCCCAACUUCAGGUUGGCGACUGGGGUAAGUAAGUUCACCGGAGAGUCCAAGCCUGAAACUUGGCUUGAAGACUACCGAGUGGCGGUACAGAUUGGCGGCGGUAAUGAUGAGGUGGCCAUGAAGCAUUUACCACUCAUGUUAGAGGGUUCAGCCAGGGCGUGGUUGAAUCAGUUAGCUCCUAGCAGCAUUUACACUUGGGAAGAUCUUUCCCGAGUGUUCGUCAGGACGUUCGAGGGAACUUGCAAGCGACCGGCCGGAUUGACGGAGCUGCAAGUCUGCGUACAAAAGUCGAAUGAAACAUUGAGAGAUUACAUCCAGAGAUGGAUCACUUUGCAUCAUACCGUGGAGAAUGUGUCUGUUCAUCAAGCGGUCCGUGUCUUCAAGGAUGGCGUCAAGAACAGAGAGUUGAGCCUGAAGUUUGGUCGAACCGGCGAUAUGACCCUGAGUCGAAUGAUGGAGAUUGCCACCAAAUACGCUAACGGUGAAGAAGAUGACAGGCUCCGGAGUGGCAAGUAUAAGCCAAGUCAGUCGGAAAAAGGAAACUCCAAUCGGAAGCAGAAGCGGAAGGCCGAGCCAGCUGCUCCUGGAGAGGCUCUGGCCGUGACUCGGGGCAAAUUCAAAGGGAAGCCCAAAGGAUCUUGGAACCCCAAGAAGGUAAAGGAUAAGGAAGGAAAUGACGUGAUGGAUCUGCCGUGUCACAUCCACACGAAGAAAGACGAAGAGGGUAACUUCAUCUACCCGAAACAUACCACUCGCCAGUGCCGGCUCUUAAUCCAGCAGUUUCAAGGAAAACAGCCCAAGGACAAAGAGAAGGAGUCGGACAAGGCCGAGGACAAGGAGGACAGUGAUGGAGGGUAUCCUCAUGUUAAUUCCACCCUGAUGAUUUUUGCUGAUGUGGAGAGCAAAAGUCGACUGAAAGUUAUCAACCGUGAGGUAAAUAUGGUCGCCCCGGCGACACCAAGCUAUCUGAGAUGGUCACAAACUCCCAUUAUGUUCGACCAGUCCGAUCACCCGACUCACAUAGCCACCCCUGGGAAGCAAGCUUUGGUGGUCGACCCAGUCGUCGAAGGCACUCGACUGACUAAGGUACUGAUGGAUGGCGGCAGUGGGUUGAAUAUACUGUAUGCAGAGACACUAAAGGGAAUGGGCAUUCCCAUGUCCAGGCUCAGCUCCAGCAACAUGAGUUUUCACGGAGUCAUUCCUGGAAAGAAGGCUGAGUCACUCGGCCAAAUAGCUCUAGAUGUAGUGUUCGGCAACUCGAAGCAUUUCCGCAAAGAGAAGCUGACAUUUGAAGUCGUGGAUUUCCAGAGCGCUUACCACGCCAUUUUGGGGAGACCAGCCUAUGCCCGGUUCAUGGCUCGACCAUGUUAUGUGUACCUCAAAUUAAAGAUGCCUGGCCCCAAAGGUGUGAUCACUAUCACUGGCAACCGGAAGAAAGCAGAAGAGUGUUUCCAGAAAGGCUCGAAGAUUGCGGAUGCCCAGAUAACAGUGGUAGAGCUGGAGGGAUACAAGAAAAAUGCAGAUCCGAGUGAUUUGUUGCGGGCCAAGAAGCCCGCCACAGAGUCAGUGUUCCAGUCGUCUGGGAGACGAAGCCAGUUCAUAUCCACCCGACUGACCCCAACGCAGCUCCAGCCCAUAUUUCCACAACACUCGACUCUAAAUAGGAAGAAGCGCUCAUCCAGUUCCUCCGUGAGAACUGGGACAUCUUUGCAUGGUAGCCAGCUGACAUGCCGGGUGUUCCCAGGAGGCUGGCUGAGCAUCGCCAACAUCUUCGACGGUCCGCCGUUCAGAAGAAAAAAGCCAUUGGCGAGGAGGUGGCUCGACUCCUUGCAGCAGAGUUUAUCCGAGAGAUAUACCACUCCGAGUGGCUCGCCAAUGUCGUCAUGGUCCCCAAGAAGGACAACUCACUUCGCAUGUGCAUUGAUUUCAAACACAUCAAUCGGGCCUGCCCGAAAGAUCAUUUUCCUCUCCCUCGCAUCGACCAAAUUGUCGACUCGACUGCGGGAUGCGAGAGAUUGUCUUUUUUAGACGCCUAUUCCGGGUACCAUCAGAUCCGUCUGUAUGGACCUGACGAGAUCAAAACAGCUUUCAUCACUCCAUUCGGGUGCUUCUGCUAUAUCACCAUGCCAUUCGGUCUCAAGAAUGCCGGAGCCACGUUCAUGAGGAUGAUUCAAAAGUGUUUACUCACCCAAAUCAGUCGGAAUGUGGAAGCGUACAUGGAUGAUAUCGUGGUCAAGUCACGAAAGGGUUCCGACCUGUUGACUGAUCUCGCUGAAACAUUUGCCAAUCUCAGGAGGUAUGAUAUCAAGCUUAAUCCAUCAAAGUGCACAUUCGGAGUACGUGGCGGAAAGUUACUCGGUUUUCUCGUUUCAGAACGAGGAAUCGAUGCUAACCCAGAAAAAGUUGGCACCAUACUCCGAAUGAAACGCCCUGUGCGUGUGCACGAUGUCCAGAAGCUUACUAGAUGCUUGGCCGCGUUAAGUCGAUUCAUCUCUCGGCUCGGUGAAAAGGCAUUACCUCUUUACCGACUGAUGAAGAAGGCAGACAAGUUCGAGUGGACUCCAGAAGCUGAUGCAGCGUUUGACGAGCUAAAAGCUCUGCUCUCCACCCAGCCGGUGCUUGCUGCUCCAAUCAGCAAAGAGCCUCUGUUACUUUACAUUGCAGCCACAGGACAAGUCGUCAGUACAGUACUUACGGUCGAGCGGGAAGAAGAAGGGAAAACCUUCAGAGUUCAGCGCCCAGUAUAUUAUCUCUCUGAAGUUUUGACUCCAUCAAAGCAAAGAUAUCCUCAUUAUCAGAAGCUCGUAUAUGGGAUCUACAUGACCAUGAAGAAGGUUGCUCAUUAUUUCUCUGAUCAUGACAUUACAGUCGUCAGCGACGCACCACUGUCAGAGAUUCUGCACAACAGAGAUGCAACUGGUCGAGUGGCUAAAUGGGCGAUUGAACUCCUUCCCCUUGAUAUCAAAUUUGAGGCAAAGAAAGCCAUUAAGUCCCAGGCUAUAGCAGAUUUCCUUGCCGAGUGGAUUGAACAACAGCAGCCGACUCAAGUUCACUCGGAGCAUUGGACCAUGUUCUUUGAUGGCUCUAAGAUGUUAAAUGGUUCUGGUGCUGGGGUGGUUUUGGUUUCCCCCCGAGGAGAUAAGCUCAGAUAUGUGCUCCAAAUCCACUUUGAUUCCUCCAAUAAUGAAGCAGAAUAUGAAGCACUUUUGUAUGGGUUGCGCAUGGCCAUUUCACUCGGCGUCCGUCGCCUUAUGGUUUAUGGCGACUUAGAUUUGGUGGUCAAUCAGGUGAUGAAAGAGUGGGACGUUAGAAGCCCAUCCAUGACUGGAUACUGCAAUGCAGUGAGGAAGCUUGAAAAGAAAUUCGAAGGGUUAGAGCUCCACCAUAUACCCCGACUGAAAAAUCAAGCGGCUGAUGAUUUGGCGAAGAUAGGGUCCAAGAGAGAAGCCAUUCCCAGUGAUGUGUCACGGAUCAGUCACAGAAGAUCCUUUUACCGAAGAAGCUCCGCAGCCUAAGAGUGUCACGGAUCCGACUAAGGUUGAAAUUCCAGCGGUGGUCGAUCUGAUCAUGGAAGCAUUGGUGAUCACUCCUGAUUGGACAGUACCGUAUAUCGCAUAUAUCCUAAGGAAAGAGCUCCCAGAGGACGAAGAAGAGGCUCGACAGAUCGUCCGCCGAUCUAAAGCCUUUACCGUGAUAAGGGGACAACUGUACAGAGAAAGCGCGACUGGAGUUGGUCAGAAAUGCAUAACGCCAGAAGAAGGUUGAAUAAUCCUUGACGACAUCCACUCGUGGACCUAUGGCCAUCAUGCGUCCUCUCGGACCAUCGUGGCCAAAGCAUACCAAGCCGGAUUUUACUGGUCGAGAGCGAAUGAAAUGGCAAAGGAGAUAGUCGACAAGUGUGAGGGAUGUCAAUUUUACUCCAAUAUGUCACACAAGCCCGCCUCAGCUUUAAAGACCAUACCACUCGUCUGGCCCUUCGCAGUAUGGGGGUUGGAUAUGGUUGGCCCUUUGAGAACAGGCAGAAGCGGUUUCACCCAUGUGCUGGUAGAAGUUGACAAGUUCACCAAGUGGAUUGAGGCCAAACCCAUCAAGAACCUUGAUGCCGGUACUGCUGUCAGCUUUAUCAGAGAAUUGAUAUUCAGAUAUGGAGUCCCGCACAGCAUCAUCACUGACAACGGGUCAAACUUUGAUUCCGAAGAAUUCAGAGCUUUUUGCACAUCUCAAGGCACACGAGUCGACUAUGCUUCAGUCGCCCAUCCACAGUCAAAUGGACAGGCAGAACAAGCCAACGGCUUGAUUCUCAAAGGGUUGAAACCCCGUUUGAUGCGUGAUCUCAAGCAUGCGGCUGGUGCAUGGGUCGACGAGUUUCCGUCUGUGCUUUGGGGGUUAAGGACCACGCCUAACCGGUCGAUUGGGAGAACUCCGUUCUUCUUGGUCUACGGAGCUGAAGCGGUCUUGCCAAGCGACCUACUUCACAACGCUCCUCGAGUCGAACUUUACACCGAGUCUGAAGCAGAACAAGCCCGGCAGGACGCGAUCGACCUUCUGGAGGAAAAAAGGGAGAUGGCUUUGAUCCGAUCGACCAUUUACCAACAGGACCUGCGUCGCUUCCACGCCAAAAAUGUAAGGAGUCGAGCCUUCCAGGAAGGAGAUCUGGUUCUCCGAGUGGAUCAGCAGAAACCACAUAAACUUGCUCCUUCUUGGGAAGGCCCCUUCAUCGUCACCAAGGUUCUCCACAAUGGAGCAUACCGUCUUUACAAUGUCGAGCAUCAGAUCGACGAGCCCCGAGCUUGGAACGCGGAGCUUCUCCGCCCCUUUUAUACUUAAGUAUUCACUCGGAUGGAUUGUAAUAAAAGUACUUCUGUAGUUUAUUUAUCAAAGACAAGAGCUUUAUAAUUUUCCAGUAAUUGUCAUUACUUUUGUCCACAUAAAGCAAUUCCCCAGUGGGUGGCUUGGCUGCGAAUCCGAUUCGCCUAAGUCUGUAACAAAAAUCCUAACCGAGUGGUGAGCCAGCCUCCCACUCAGGGGCUUAGCUGCGAAAUCCGUUUCGCCUAAGUUAAACAAAAUCCUACCGAGUGGUAAGCCAGCCUUCCACUCGGAGGCUUAGCUGCAGUCCAAGUACUCGCCUAAGUUCAACAAAAUCCUACCGAGUGGUAAGCCAGCCUUCCACUNNNNNNNNNNNNNNNNNNNNNNNNNNNNNNNNNNNNNNNNNNNNNNNNNNNNNNNNNNNNNNNNNNNNNNNNNNNNNNNNNNNNNNNNNNNNNNNNNNNNNNNNNNNNNNNNNNNNNNNNNNNNNNNNNNNNNNNNNNNNNNNNNNNNNNNNNNNNNNNNNNNNNNNNNNNNNNNNNNNNNNNNNNNNNNNNNNNNNNNNNNNNNNNNNNNNNNNNNNNNNNNNNNNNNNNNNNNNNNNNNNNNNNNNNNNNNNNNNNNNNNNNNNNNNNNNNNNNNNACAAAUACAACAUGCGCUCUGCAAGGAGGACGAGGUGCAGGUCGACUGCUACCCUCUCCUUCCGAGCUACGCCACAAAUACAACAUGCGCUCUACAAGGAGGACGAGGUGCAGGUCAACUGCUACCCUCUCCUUCCGAGCUACGCCACAAAUACAACGUGCGCUCUGCAAGGAGGACGAGGUGCAGGUCGACUGCUACCCUCUCCUUCCGAGACACGCCACAAAUACAACGUACGCUCUGCGAGGAGGACGAGGUACAGGUCGAUUGUUACUUCCUUCUCCAGCGGUACGCCUUGAAAAUCCUACCGAGUGGAGAGCAGACCUCCCACUCGGGGGCUUAGCUGCAGCCCAGUGCUUGCCUAAGUUUUUGAAAACCCUACCGAGUGGAGAGCAAACCUCCCACUCGGGGGCUUAGCUGCAGCCCAGUGCUCGCCUAAGUUUUUGAAAAUCCUACCGAGUGGAGAGCAAACCUCCCACUCGGGGGCUUAGCUGCAGCCCAGUGCUCGCCUAAGUUCUUGGAAAUCCUACCGAGUGGAGAGCAAACCUCCCACUCGGGGGCUUAGCUGCAGCCCAGUGCUCGCCUAAGUUUUUGGGAAUCCUACCGAGUGGAGAGCAAACCUCCCACUCGGGGGCUUAGCUGCAGCCCAGUGCUCACCUAAGUUUUUGAAAUCCUACCGAGUGGAGAGCAGACCUCCCACUCGGAGGCUUAGCUGCAGCCCAGUGCUCGCCUAAGUGUGUUGAGGAACAAGUCGAUUACAACAAGCGUUUCGCCCUAGCCUGCAAAAGACACCUCAAACCAAAAUGCAAACAUAUUCAGUGUUGAAUCCAAGUUCAAAUAACAUCCAACAGAACUGAAAGUGCUCAGGCGCUAAGACCGUUAAGGUUUAUCGGUUACAAAAUUCACUCGGCAUACCGAGGCAAAUUUAAGAUAUCAAGCAUAGAAGUUUUUUACCCCUCCUGCGGAGGGCUGGAAGGCGCAGCAAAUUCGUCCAGGUCGAUUCCGUCUACAAUCAGAGUGGCAGCAGCGAUGAAGGUCUCCAUGAAAGAUCGGAAAUCAUACUUCUUGGUAUUAGCCACCUUAAGGGCCGCCAGCUUGUCCUCUCGCGCGUCCUUGUAGUGAACACGGACCAGAGAUAGAGCAACAUCUGCGCCGCAUCUGGCAAAAGACUUCUUCCAUUCUUGCACUCGACUUGGAACCUCGUUCAGUCGAGUCAUCAAAGACUCAAGGUCAUUCUGGAGCGUCUCUGUUGGCCAGAGUGUUGUGUCGAUGCGGGAAGUUGCGACCUUCAGCCUUGCAAGAUAGUCCACUACGGCAGCAACGCGAGAUUCGAGUCGAAACACAUUCAUGGCGACUUCGUCCUUCACAGGAGAGUUGACGGGAUCCAGGUUUGUUUCCAAUCGACCAGUUUCCUCUUCAAAGUUCUGGCAGAACUCUGCAAACACAGCCCCAGAGUCAAGAUAGCAGUCGGAUGGAGAGAUCAUAGUUAAAAUGCCUGUUCGAUACCAAAACAUUACCUUCAAGCAUGAGGAAUAGCUUUUUGGCGAGUCCUCCCAAAUAAGCCUCUAGAUCAUUCUUCUUUCCCACCAACUCACUGGCCUUGUCACUCAAGGCAAUCUUGUCACUCUUCAUUCGACUGACCUCCUUAUUGGCCGCAUCAAGAGCAGCUUUCAGAUUGGUAUUUUCCUCUUCAAACUUGGUGAUCGAAGCUACUUCUCAUCUGCGAGCUUAGUCUUCUCUAAAGCCGCUUUCUGCAUCUCAGCCAAGUCAAGGUCUUUCUUCUUCAGAGCAUCCCUCAGUUUGUCUGCAAAGUCACAGCGAGAUCAGAAUUUGAAACGGACAAGAGGCCAAAAGCAGUCAUAGAGGUUCUCACCAAACAUACCUUUUGCUUCCUCCUUCGACUUCGUGAAGUUCUCCUGGACCAGUUUCAGAUCAAGCUCAAGCUGGAUUUGUUUUUUCUCCAACUCAGUGUAACGAGCCGCAAGCUCGCAAGAUUUCUGCGAAGAACUAAUCAACAAAUGUCAAAGACAGUUCACUUCCGAGUGACUAAGGAAAAAUCAUAUAAUUUCUAAGACUACAACCGAAUAUAAACAUUCGACUAUAGUCUCGGGGACUACACCCAGUGGGUGCACUCAGCGUGCCCCCACUAGUUCUACCAGUUAGAGUCGAUCAGUCGACCAACAAGUAGCAAAAAAAAGAGAGGUUAUCUUCAGACUGUCGUCGACUGCCAGCAGUCGACCACAGUCUCGGGGACUACACCCAGUGGGUGCACUCAGCGUGCCCCCACCGAUUUCUCAAUCCAUUCGACCUGAUCGAAUAAAGGAAAAACUUAAGACAUAAAGACUAUGGUCGACUGCCAGCAGUCGACCAUAGCCUUGGGGACUACACGUCUACACCCAGUGGGUGCACUCAGCGUGCCCCCACUAAUCCGGAAUGUCAGUCAACACAACCCAGUGGGUGCACUCAGCGUGCCCCCACUAAUCCGAAAUGUCACUCAACACACCCAGUGGGUGUACGACGAAUACUGAAAUUUUCAGAAAGAAGGAUUUUAAGAUAUCAUAUCCUAAUAGAAUAGGUGGUGGUCGACUGACCUGAACAUUGCUCUGAAGAGCUGAACUGGCGUCAUAAGCCGCCUGACUGGCGUCUCGGAUUGCCUUCACUUGCUCCAUCAUGAUCCCUGCUUGGCGUAUUGCUUCUUUAGAAGCACUGGCUUGGUCUUCUGGAACAUGGUGGGUCGAGAAAAGUGAGGGCUGAGCAGCACUCGACGACGGAGGACGAGCACUCGUCAACGGCACCCCAAAAGAUACGGUAGGCCGAGUGACGUUGUCCCCUUCUACGACCAACGUCUCGGGUGCUGGCACGUCCUGAGUCUCCUUGCCAGCAGACGUUUUCCUGUUCCUCCUCUGCCUCAGUGGUUCCUCGUCAUCGUCGUCGGGAAGGUCAAUAACGACGUUAGAUUGAGCUGCAGAAAAGAGUCAAAAUUAAAGACAAAGAGCCAACCGACUGAAUACAGAACUACAAAGGUCAUACCAGGUCUUGAAGUGACAGCAUCUUCCAUCUCAUGAUCCUCAGCCCUGGCCAAAGUAUCAGAAGUAGCAGCACUACAGUUCCAGAAGUCAAUCGGUCAGCUCACGAAUCGGCCAAGAAUAAAUUCAUGUGAAACGAAGAAACUCAAGCUACACUAUUACCCUAAGAUAGUGGGGAUCACCAUCUUCAUCUUUGGCAAGACCUUCGUCGGCUUCGACGGCGCCACUCGAGAUUGCUUCAGAGCUUUUUCAGUCGGCGCCGGAGAAGUCGUCCAAGGACGCUUGGUCGACUGCGUGACGGACGCAACCCCCUUACCACGCUCAGCUGCUGGAUCAUGGACAAGCUUCGAGCGUCUUUCCGAACGAGGAGGUGCAACCUCCUCCUCCUCCUCCUCCUCCUCCUCUUCCUCCUCAUCAGAGUCACCAUCUUCAUCAUCGUCAUCGGCAUCCGAAUCCCACUCCUCCAGGCUUUCACCCCCACUUCCCUCCUCCUCCUCAGUCGGCGCUUGCGCUCCAUUGGGCAUCGAGUACAACUCAGUGGUGGCCUGACAGACAACAAAACAAGACAAAGGUCAAUCGACCAAUUUGCAGUGAAGCAGAAUGAAUAAAGCAAGAUUACAACCGAGGAUAAGUGGUCAUACCAUGUCCGGCGUGUAGGUAUGGUCGAGUGGUGGAAUCCUCCUAGCCCCUCGAGGGUUAUCCUUAUUCCCUGUGAUGGCUGCCAUCCACCUCUCCAGCGUGGUGUCGUCGACUGCCUCUGGAUGGACCCGAGUGGUAUCUUCGGUGUCGCAGUACAGCCACAUCGGGUGGCCUCGGUAUUGGAGCAGCUGAAUACGCCGUCGAAGGAAAACCUCCAGAAGGUCCAUGCCGGUCACUCCGUCCCGAAUGAGCUGGACUACACGCUCCACCAACAUUUUUACCUGAGCCUUCUCCUCCGGAAGCACCUUCAGAGAAGACGGCCUGUUCACUCGGUCUAUGGAGAACGGAGGGAGACCAGUCGACUGCCCCGGCGUCGACUCGUCUUGGCAGUAGAACCAGGUCGAUUGCCACCCUCUAACCGACUCGGGAAGGGUCAUGGCCAGAAAAGCGCUCUUGCUCCUCAUUUGGAUUCCCAGACCCCCGCACAUCUGGAUGACCUUAGUCCUAUCGUCAUCAGGACUCGCCUUUUUCACCGUCUAAGAGCGACAAGUGAAUAUGUGCUUGAAGAGACCCCAAUGCGGUCGACAACCCAGGAAGUUUUCGCACAGAGACACAAAGGCGGCGAGGUAGGCGAUGGAAUUGGGAGUAAAAUGGUGGAGUUGCGCCCCAAAGAAGUUCAGAAACCCCCGGAAGAAAAGACUCGGCGGCAAAGAGAAUCCACGAUCUACAUGAGUGGCUAGGAGAACACACUCACCCUCCAGUGGCUGUGGUUGCCAUUCGGUCCCCGGAAGCCUUGCGGACCCGUGAGGGAUUAGCCCCUCAUUGGCCAGGUCGUUGAGAUCCGCCUGGGUGAUGGUCGAGCGGAUCCAGUCCCCUUGGACCCAACCUUGCGGCAGGCGAGACCUCGACGAAGAUCCACCCCGACUGGUGGCUCUCCCCUUCGCUUUCGCCGUCGUCGUCGCCUUCUUCGCUCGCUCCAAGGCCGCCGUCUUCUCCUUCACCAUUGUCGCCGGCGAAGCGCGCGAGGAGUGGAUGGGCGGAGGCAAAAGUGGGCGCGGUAGGCGGAGAUGAAGGAGGCAGAAAGGGGAAUGGGGAGGCACUGUUCAAAAAACCCUCGCCCGACGCAUUAUAUAGGGACGCUUCCGAGUGGCUGACAAGUAGGCCCGGGUGGACCUGUCAAAUCCCGAAACAGUCGCGCGCAAGCGAUACAUGGCGAAAAAGGCGGUGCAGAAAUCGAGGCGUUUACGCCUUAUCUCAUCCGAGUACCGCGGUCUGCCCCGCUUCACGCGCUUCCCAAAAUUUGGAUCCCGCAAAAUACGCUAACAGCAGAUCAACCUGUCAGACGGUAGAUUUCCUGCGAUCCGUCGCUCGGAGGUUCACCAGGUUCGAAAGUUCACUCGACAAAGGAAAGGAAUGGAUCAAGGCGACUGAAAGAAAAGUUGAUGCCAUCGCUAAAAAAGGUCAUUGAUCCAGAAUAUUGUUGGGGAACGUAGCAGAAAUUCAAAAAUUUUCCUACGUAACACCAAGAUCUAUCUAUGGAGAGACCAGCAACGAGUAGAAAGGGGAGUGCAUCUACAUACCCUUGUAGAUCGCUAAGCGGAAGCGUUCAAGUGAACGGGGUUGAUGGAGUCGUACUCGUCGUGAUUCAGAUCACCGAUGAUCAAGUGCCGAACGGACGGCACCUCCGCGUUCAACACACGUACAGCCCGGUGACGUCUCCCACGCCUUGAUCCAGCAAGGAGAGAGGGAGAGGUUGAGGAAGACUCCAUCCAACAGCAGCACAACGGCGUGGUGGUGGUGGAGGAGCGUGGCAAUCCCGCAGGGCUUCGCCAAGCACCAUGGGAGAAGAGGAGGAGGGAGAGGGGCAGGGCUGCACCAACGAGAGAUCAAAUCAUGUGUUAUGGGCAGCCCCAUGCCUCAAUAUAUAUAGGGGGAGGGGAGGGCUGCGCCCCCUUUAGGGUUUCCCACCCCAAGGGGCGGCGGCCAGCCUCCAGAUGGCAUCUGGUGCGGCGGCCAAGAGGGGGGGGGGAGGAGUCCAUCCUCCCCAAGGCACCUCGGAGGUGCCUUCCCCUUCGAGGACUCUUCCCUCUAGGGUUCCCUAGGCACAUGGGCCUCUUGGGGCUGGUGCCCUUGGCCCAUGUAGGCCAAGGCGCACCCCCUACAGCCCAUGUGGCCCCCCGGGGCAGGUGGCCCCACCCGGUGGGCCCCCGGGACCCUUCCGGUGGUCCCGGUACAAUACCGAUGACCCCGAAACUUGUCCCGAUGGCCGAAACAGGACUUCCUAUAUAUAAAUCUUUACCUCCGGACCAUUCCGGAACUCCUCGUGACGUCCGGGAUCUCAUCCGGGACUCCGAACAACAUUCGGUUACCACAUACAAGCUUCCUUUAUAACCCUAGCGUCAUCGAACCUUAAGUGUGUAGACCCUACGGGUUCGGGAGACAUGCAGACAUGACCGAGACGUUCUCCGGUCAAUAACCAAUAGCGAGAUCUGGAUACCCAUGAUGGCUCCCACAUGUUCCACGAUGAUCUCAUCGGAUGAACCACGAUGUCAAGGACUCAAUCGAUCCCGUAUACAAUUCCCUUUGUCUAGCGGUAUUUUACUUGCCCGAGAUUCGAUCGUCGGUAUACCGAUACCUUGUUCAAUCUCGUUACCGGCAAGUCACUUUACUCGUUCCGUAACACAUCAUCCCGUGAUCAACUCAUUGGUCACAUUGCGCAUAUGAUGAUGUCCUACCGAGUGGGCCCAGAGAUACCGCUCCGUUUACACGGAGUGACAAAUCCCAGUCUCGAUCCGCAUAAAACAAUAGAUACUUUCGGAGAUACCUGUAGUGUACCUUUAUAGUCACCCAGUUACGUUGUGACGUUUGAUACACCCAAGGCACUCCUACGGUAUCCAGGAGUUACACGAUCUCAUGGUCAAAGGAAGAGAUACUUGACAUUGGCAAAGCUCUAGCAAACGAACUACACGAUCUUUGUGCUAAGCUUAGGAUUGGGUCUUGUCCAUCACAUCAUUCUCCUAAUGAUGUGAUCCCGUUAUCAACGACAUCCAAUGUCCAUAGCCAGGAAACCAUGACUAUCUGUUGAUCACAACGAGCUAGUCAACUAGAGGCUCACUAGGGACAUAUUGUGGUCUAUGUAUUCACACGUGUAUUACGAUUUCCGGAUAAUACAGUUAUAGCAUGAAUAAAAGACAAUUAUCAUGAACAAGGAAAUAUAAUAAUAAUACUUUUAUUAUUGCCNNNNNNNNNNNNNNNNNNNNNNNNNNNNNNNNNNNNNNNNNNNNNNNNNNNNNNNNNNNNNNNNNNNNNNNNNNNNNNNNNNNNNNNNNNNNNNNNNNNNNNNNNNNNNNNNNNNNNNNNNNNNNNNNNNNNNNNNNNNNNNNNNNNNNNNNNNNNNNNNNNNNNNNNNNNNNNNNNNNNNNNNNNNNNNNNNNNNNNNNNNNNNNNNNNNNNNNNNNNNNNNNNNNNNNNNNNNNNNNNNNNNNNNNNNNNNNNNNNNNNNNNNNNNNNNNNNNNNNNNNNNNNNNNNNNNNNNNNNNNNNNNNNNNNNNNNNNNNNNNNNNNNNNNNNNNNNNNNNNNNNNNNNNNNNNNNNNNNNNNNNNNNNNNNNNNNNNNNNNNNNNNNNNNNNNNNNNNNNNNNNNNNNNNNNNNNNNNNNNNNNNNNNNNNNNNNNNNNNNNNNNNNNNNNNNNNNNNNNNNNNNNNNNNNNNNNNNNNNNNNNNNNNNNNNNNNNNNNNNNNNNNNNNNNNNNNNNNNNNNNNNNNNNNNNNNNNNNNNNNNNNNNNNNNNNNNNNNNNNNNNNNNNNNNNNNNNNNNNNNNNNNNNNNNNNNNNNNAGUCUCCCACUUGCACUAGAGUCAAUAAUCUAGUUCACAUCGCCAUGUGAUUAACACUCACAGGUCACAUCACCAUGUGACUAAUACCCAAGAGUUUACUAGAGUCAGUAGUCUAGUUCACAUCACUAUGUGAUUAACACUCAAUGAGUUUUAUGUUUGAUCAUGUUGCUUGUGAAAGAGGUUUUAGUCAACGGGUCUGAACCUUUCAGAUCUGUGUGUGCUUUACAAAUCUCUAUGUCAUCUCCUAGAUGCAGCUACCACGCUCUAUUUGGAGCUAUUCCAAACAAUUGUUCUACUUGAAGCUAUUCUAAAUUAUUGCUCCAUUAUAUGUAUCCGGUCUCUCUACUCAGAGCUAUCCGGAUAGGUGUCAAGCUUGCAUCGUCGUAACCUUUACGACGAACUCUUUUACCACCUCCAUAAUCGAGAAAAUUCCUUAGUCCACUAGUUACUAAGGAUAACUUUGACCGCUGUACUGUGAGCCAUUCUUGGAUCACUCUUGUACCCCUUGACUGACUCAUGGCAAGGCACACUUCAGGUGCGGUACACAGCAUAGCAUACUGAAGAGCCUACGUCUUAAGCAUAGGGGACGACCUUCGUCCUUUCUCUCUAUUCUGCCGUGGUCGAGCUUUAAGUCUUAACUUCGUACCUUACAACUCAGGCAAGAACUCCUUCUUUGACUGGUCCAUCUUGAACACCUUCAAGAUCAUGUCAAGGUAUGUGCUCAUUUGAAAGUACUAUUAAGCGUUUUGAUCUAUCCUUAUAGAUCUUGAUGCUCAAUGUUCAAGUAGCUUAAUCCAGGUUUUCCAUUGAAAACACUUUCCAAAUAACCCUAUAUGCUUUCCAGAAAUUCUACGUCAUUUCUGAUCAUUAAUAUGUCAACAACAUAUACUCAUCAGAAAUUCUAUAGUGCUCCCACUCACUUCUUUGGAAAUACAAGUUUCUCAUAAACUUUGUAUACACCCAAAAUCUUUGAUCAUCAUCAAAGCAUACAUUCCAACUCCGAGAUGCUCACUCCAGUCCUCAGAAGGAUUGCUGGAGCUUUGCAUACUUAUUAGCAUAUUUCAGGAUAGACAAAACCUUCCGGUUGUAUCACAUACAACCUUUCCUCAAGAAUCGUCGAGGAAACAAUGUUUUGACAUCCUAUCUGCGAGAUUUCAUAAAUAAUGCAGUAAUUGCUAAUAUAAUUCCAACAGACUCUUAGCAUCGCUACGAGUGAGAAAGUCUCAUCGUAGUCAACUCCUUGAACUUGUCGAAAAACAUCUUAACGACAAGUCGAGCUUUCUCAAUGGUGACACUUACCAUCAUUGUCUGUCUUCCUUUCAAAAUCCAUAUGUACCUAACAGCCUUACGACCAUCAAGUAGUUCUUCCAAAGUCUACACUUUGUUUUCAUACAUGGAUCCUCUCUCGGGUUUUAUGGCCUUGAGCCAUUUAUCGGAAUCCGGGCCCACCAUCGCUUCUCCAUAGCUCGUAGGUUCAUUGUUGUCUAGCAACAUGACUUCCAAGACAGGAUUACGUACCACUCUGAAGUAGUACGCAUCCUUGUCAUCCCACGAGGUUUGGUAGUGACUCGAUCCGAAGUUUCAUGAUCACUAUCAUAAGCUUCCACUUCAGUUGGUGUGCGUGCCACAGGAACAACUUCCUGUGCCCUGCUACACACUUGUUGAAGUGACGGUUCAAUAACCUCAUCAAGUCUCCACCAUCCUCCCACUCAACUUUUCGAGAGAAACCUUUCCUCGAAAAAGGACCCGAUUCAAGAAACAAUCCCUAUUGCUUUCGGAUCUGAAUUAGGAGGUAUACCCAACUGUUUUUGGGUGUCCUAUGAAGAUGCAUUUUAUCUGCUUUGGGUUCGAGCUUAUCAACCUGAAACCUUUUCACAUAAGCGUCGCAGCCCCAAACUUUCAAGAAACGGCAACUUAGGUUUCUCCAAACCAUAGUUCAUACGGUGUCGUCUCAACGAAAUUAUGUGGUGCCCUAUUUAAAGUGAAUGUGGUUGUCUCUAAUGCCUAACCCAUGAACGAUAGUGGUAACUCGAUAAGAGACAUCAUGGUAUGCACCAUAUCCAAUAGGGUGCAACUAUGACGUUUGGACACACCAUCACACUAUGGUGUUCCAGGCUGUAUCAGUUGUGAAACAAUUUCCACAAUGUCUUAAUUCUGUGCCAAACUCGUGAUUCAGAUAUUCAUCUCUAUGAUCAUAUCAUAGAUCUUUUAUCCUCUUGUCACGACGAUCUUUCAACUUCACACUGAAAUUACUUGAACCAUUCAAUAAUUCAGACUUGUGUUUCAUCAAGUAAAUAUUCUCAACAUCUACUCGAAUCAUCUGUGAAGUAAGAACAUAACGAUAUUCACUGCAUGCCUCAGCACUCAUUGGACUGCACACAUCAAAAUGUGUUGCUUCCAACAAGUUGCUAUCUUGUUCCAUCUUACUGAAAACGAGGAUUUUUAGUCAUCUUGCCCAUGUGGUAUGAUUUGCAUGUCCCAAGUGAUUCAAAAUCAAGUGAGUCAAAACGGUCCAUUUGCAUGGAGUUUCUUCAUGCAUAUACACCAAUAGACAUGGUUCGCAUGUCUCAAACUUUUCAAAAACGAGUGAGCCCAAAGAUCCAUCAAUAUGGAGCUUCUUCAUGCGUUUUAUACCGAUAUGACUUACGUGGCAGUGCCACAAGUAGGUGGUACUAUCAUUACUAUCUUUUGGCAUGAACAUGUGUAUCACUACGAUCGAGAUUUAAUAAACUAUUCAUUUUAGGUGUAAGACCAUUGAAGGUAUUAUUCAAAUAAAUAGAGUAACCAUUAUUCUCCUUAAAUGAAUAACCGUAUUGCGAUAGACGUAAUCCAAUCAUGUCUAUGCUCAACGCAAACACCAAAUAACAAUUAUUUAGGUUUAACACCAAUCUCUUUGGUAGAGGGAGCGUGCGAUGCUUGAUCAUAUCAAGCUUGGAAAAACUUCCAACACAUAUCGUCAGCUCACCUUUAGCUAGUCUCCGUUUAUUCCGUAGCCUUUUGUUUCGAGUUACUAACACUUAGCAACCGAACCGGUAUCCAAUACCCUGGUGCUACUAGGAGUACUAGUAAAGUACACAUUAACAUAAUGUAUAUCCAAUAUACUUCUAUCGACCUUGCCAGCCUUCUUAUCUACCAAGUAUCUAGGGUAAUUCUGCUCUAGUGGUUGUUCCCCUUAUUACAGAAGCACUUAGUCUCGGGUUUGGGUUUUACCUUGGGUUUCUUCACUAGAGCAGCAGCUGAUUUGCCGUUUCAUGAAGUAUCCCUUCUUGCCCUUGCCCUUCUUGAAACUAGUGGUUUCACCAACCAUCAACAAUUGAUGCUCCUUCUUGAUUUCUACUUUCGCGGUGUCAAACAUCGCGAGUACCUCAAGGAUCACCAUAUCUAUCCCUGAUAUAUUAUAGUUCAUCACGAAGCUCUAGCAGCUUGGUGGCAAUGACUUUGGAGAACCAUCACUGUCUUAUCUGGAAGAUCAACUCCCACUCGAUUCAAAUGAUUGUUGUACUCAGACAAUCUGAGCACAAGCUCAACAAUUGAGCUUUUCUCCUUAGUUUGCAGGUUAAGAAAGUCAUCGGAGGUCUUAUACCUCUUGACAUGGGCACGAGCCUGAAAUCCCAAUUUCAGCCCUCAAAACAUCUCAUAUGUUUCGCGAUGUUUCAAAAAUGUCUUUGGUGCCUCAACUCUAAACCGUUUAACUGAACUAUCACGUAGUUAUCAAAACGUGUAUGUCAGAUGUUCGCAACAACCACAGACAACGUUCGAGGUUCAGCACACUGAGCGGUGCAUUAAGGACAUAAGCCUUCUAUGAAGCAAUGAGUACAAUCCUUAGUUUACGGACCUAGUCCGCAUAAUUGCUACUAUCAACUUUCAACUAAUUUUUCUCUAGGAACAUAUCUAAACAGUAGAACUAUAGCGUGAGCUACGACAUAAUUUGCAAAAACCUUUUGACUAUGUUCAGGAUAAUUAAGUUCAUCUUAUGAACUCCCACUCAGAUAGACAUCCCUCUAGUCAUCUAAGUGAUUACAUGAUCCGAGUCAAACUAGGCCGUGUCCGAUCAUCACGUGAGACGGACUAGUCAUCAUCGGUGAACAUCUUCAUGUUGAUCGUAUCUUCUAUACGACUCAUGUUCGACCUUUCGGUCUCCGUGUUCCGAGGCCAUGUCUGUACAUGCUAGGCUCGUCAAGUUAACCCUAAGUGUUUCGCGUGUGUAAAUCUGUCUUACACCCGUUGUAUGUGAACGUUAGAAUCUAACACCCGAUCAUCACGUGGUGCUUCGAAACAUGAACUGUCGCAACGGUGCACAGUUAGGGGAGAACACUUCUUGAAAUUGUUGUAAGGGAUCAUCUUAUUUACUACCGUCGUUCUAAGCAAAUAAGAUGUAUAAACAUGAUAAACAUCACAUGCAAUCAAAUAGUGACAUGAUAUGGCCAUCAUCACUUUGCUCCUUUUGAUCUCCAUCUUCGGGGCUCCAUGAUCAUCAUUGUCACCGGCAUGACACCAUGAUCUCCAUCAUCAUGAUCUCCAUCAUCGUGUCUUCAUGAAGUUGCCUCGCCAACUAUUACUUCUACUACUAUGGCUAACGGUUAGCAAUAAAGUAAAGUAAUUACAUGACGUUUAAGUUGACACGCAGGUCACAAAUAAAUAAAGACAACUCCUAUGGCUCCUGCCGGUUGUCAUACUCAUCGACAUGCAAGUCGUGAUUCCUAUUACAAGAACAUGAUCAAUCUCAUACAUCACAUAUAUCAUUCAUCACAUCCUUUUUGGCCAUAUCACAUCACAUAGCAUACCCUGCAAAAACAAGUUAGACGUCCUCUAAUUGUUGUUUGCAUGUUUACGUGGCUGCUAUGGGUUUCUAGCAAGAACGUUUCUUACCUACGCAAAGACCACAACGUGAUAUGCCAAUUGCUAUUUACCCUUCAUAAGGACCCUUUUCAUCGAAUCCGAUCCGACUAAAGUGGGAGAGACAGACACCCGCCAGCCACCUUAUGCAACUAGUGCAUGUUUGUCGGUGGAACCGGUCUCACGUAAGCGUACGUGUAAGGUUGGUCCGGGCCGCUUCAUCCCACGAUGCCGCAGAAUCAAGAUAAGACUAGUAACGGCAAGCAUAUUGAACAAUAUCGACGCCCACAACUACUUUGUGUUCUACUCGUGCAAAGAAUCUACGCAAUAGACCUAGCUCAUGAUGCCACUGUUGGGGAACGUAGCAGAAAUUCAAAAUUUUCCUACGCGUAUCACCAAGAUCUAUCUAUGGAGAGACCAGCAACGAGUAGAAGGAGAGUGCAUCUACAUACCCUUGUAGAUCGCUAAGCGGAAGCGUUCAAGUGAACGGGGUUGAUGGAGUCGUACUCGUCGUGAUUCAGAUCACCGAUGAUCCUAGUGCCGAACGGACGGCACCUCCGCGUUCAACACACGUACAGCCCGACGAUGUCUCCCACGCCUUGAUCCAGCAAGGAGAGAGGGAGAGGUUGAGGAAGACUCCAUCCAGCAGCAGCACAACGGUGCGGUGGUGAUGGAGGAGCGUGGCAAUCCCGUAGGGCUUCGCCAAGCACCUACGGGAGAGGAGGAGGUGUCACGGGAGGGAGAGGGAGGCAACCAAAGGCCUUAGGUAUCAUUGCUCCUCCUUUUCCCCACUAUAUAUAGGGCCAAGGGAGAGGGGGAGGGCGCAGCCUUGCCCCCUCCUCCAAGGAAGGGGUGCGGCUAAGGAUGGGGAGGAGUCCAUCCUCCCCAAGGCACCUCGGAGGUGCCUUCCCCCUUUAGGACUCUUCCCUUUUUCUCUUCUCUUGGCGCAUGGGCCUCUUGGGGCUGGUGCCCUUGGCCCAUGUAGGCCAAGGCGCACCCCCUACAGCCCAUGUGCCCCCCCGGGGCAGGUGGCCCCACCCGGUGGGCCCCCGGGACCCUUCCGGUGGUCCCGGUACAAUACCGAUGACCCCGAAACUUGUCCCGAUGGCCGAAACAGGACUUCCUAUAUAUAAAUCUUUACCUCCGGACCAUUCCGGAACUCCUCGUGACGUCCGGGAUCUCAUCCGGGACUCCGAACAACAUUCGGUAACCACAUACAAACUUCCUUUAUAACCCUAGCAUCAUCGAACCUUAAGUGUGUAGACCCUACGGGUUCGGGAGACAUGUAGUCAUGACCGAGAUGUUCUCCGGUCAAUAACCAACAGCGGGAUCUGGAUACCCAUGUUGGCUCCCACAUGUUCCACGAUGAUCUCAUCGGAUGAACCACGAUGUCAAGGACUCAAUCAAUCCCGUAUACAAUUCCCUUUGUCUAGCGGUAUGGUACUUGCCCGAGAUUCGAUCGUGGGUAUACCGAUACCUUGUUCAAUCUCGUUACCGGCAAGUCUCUUUACUCGUUCCGUAACACAUCAUCCCGUGAUCAACCCCUUGGUCACAUUGUGCACAUUAUGAUGAUGUCCUACCGAGUGGGCCCAGAGAUACCUCUCCGUUUACACGGAGUGACAAAAUCCCAAUCUCGAUUCGUGCCAACCCAACAGACACUUUCAGAGAUACCCGUAGUGUACCUUUAUAGCCACCCAGUUACGUCGUGACGUUUGGCACACCCAAAGCACUCCUACGGUAUCCGGGAGUUGCACAAUCUCAUGGUCUAAGGAAAUGAUACUUGACAUUAGAAAAGCUUUAGCAUACGAACUACAUGAUCUUGUGCUAGGCUUAGGAUUGGGUCUUGUCCAUCACAUCAUUCUCCUAAUGAUGUGAUCCCGUUAUCAACGACAUCCAAUGUCCAUAGCCAGGAAACCAUGACUAUCUGUUGAUCACAACGAGCUAGUCAACUAGAGGCUCACUAGGGACAUAUUGUGGUCUAUGUAUUCACACGUGUAUUACGAUUUCCGGAUAAUACAGUUAUAGCAUGAAUAAAAGACAAUUAUCAUGAACAAGGAAAUAUAAUAAUAAUACUUUUAUUAUUGCCUCUAGGGCAUAUUUCCAAUAGUCUCCCACUUGCACUAGAGUCAAUAAUCUAGUUCACAUCGCCAUGUGAUUAACACUCACAGGUCACAUCACCAUGUGACUAAUACCCAAGAGUUUACUAGAGUCAGUAGUCUAGUUCACAUCACUAUGUGAUUAACACUCAAUGAGUUUUAUGUUUGAUCAUGUUGCUUGUGAAAGAGGUUUUAGUCAACGGGUCUGAACCUUUCAGAUCUGUGUGUGCUUUACAAAUCUCUAUGUCAUCUCCUAGAUGCAGCUACCACGCUCUAUUUGGAGCUAUUCCAAACAAUUGUUCUACUUGAAGCUAUUCUAAAUUAUUGCUCCAUUAUAUGUAUCCGGUCUCUCUACUCAGAGCUAUCCGGAUAGGUGUCAAGCUUGCAUCGUCGUAACCUUUACGACGAACUCUUUUACCACCUCCAUAAUCGAGAAAAUUCCUUAGUCCACUAGUUACUAAGGAUAACUUUGACCGCUGUCCUAUGAUCCAUUCAUGGAUCACUCUUGUACCCCUUGACUGACUCAUGGCAAGGCACACUUUCGGUGCGGUACACAGCAUAGCAUACUGUAGAGCCUACGUCUAAAGCAUAGGGGACGACCUUCGUCCUUUCUCUCUUUUCUGCCGUGGUCGAGCUUUAAGUCUUAACUUCGUACCUUACAACUCAGGCAAGAACUCCUUCUUUGACUGGUCCAUCUUGAACACCUUCAAGAUCAUGUCAAGGUAUGUGCUCAUUUGAAAGUACCAUUAAGCGUUUUGAUCUAUCCUUAUAGAUCUUGAUGCUCAAUGCUCAAGUAGCUUAAUCCAGGUUUUCUAUUGAAAAACACAUUUCAAAUAACCCUAUAUGCUUUCCAGAAAUUCUACAUCAUUUCUGAUCAACAAUAUGUCAACAACAUAUACUCAUCAGAAAUUCUAUAGUGCUCCCACUCACUUCUUUGGAAAUACAAGGUCCUUAUAAACUUUGUAUAAAUCCAAAAUCUUUGAUCAUCUCAUCAAAGCGUAUAUUCCAACUCCGAGAUGCUUACUCCAGUCCUUAAAAGGAUCGCUGGAGCUAGCAUACCUUUUAGCAUCCUUAGGAUCGACAAAACUUUUCUGAUUGUAUUGCAUACAACCUUUCCUUACGAAAACUAGUAAGGAAACUUGUCUUGACAUCCAUCUGCCAGAUUUCAUAAAUGCAGCUAAUGCUAACAUGAUUCCGACGGACUUUAAGCAUCGCUACGAGUGAGAAAAUCUUAUCGUAGUCAACUCCUUGAACUUGUCGGAAAACACUUCGCCACAAGUCGAGCUUCAUAGAUGGUGACAUUACCAUCCACGUCCGUCUUUUUCUUAAAGAUCCAUUUAUCUUAAUGGCUUGCCGAUCAUCGGGCAAGUCCACCAAAGUCCAUGGAUCCGUUCUCGGAUUUUAUGGCCUCGAGCCAUUUAUCGGAAUCCGGACCCACCAUCGCUUCUCCAUAGCUCGUAGGUUCAUUGUUGUCCAGCAACAUGACUUCCAAGACAGGAUCACCUUACCACUCCGAAGUAGUACGUGUCCUUGUCGUCCUACGAGGUUCGGUAGUGACUUGAUCCGAAGCUUCAUGAUCACUAUCAUAAGCUUCCACUUCAAUUGGUGUAGGUGCCACAGGAACAACUUCCUGUGCCCUGCCACACACUAGUUGAAGAGACGGUUCAAUAACCUCAUCAAGUCUCCACCAUCCUCCCACUCAAUUCUUUCGAGAGAAACUUUUCCUCGAGAAAGGACCUGAUUCUCGAAACAAUCCCUUAUUGCUUUCGGAUUUGAGACAGGAGGUAUACCCAACUGUUUUGGGUGUCCUAUGAAGAUGUAUUUUAUCCGCUUUGGGUUCGAGCUUAAUCUUGAAACUUUUUCACAUAAGCGUCGCAGCCCCAAACCUUUAAGAAACGACAACUUAGGUUUCUCUAAACCAUAAUUCAUAUGGUGUCAUCUCAUCGGAAUUACGUGGUGCCCUAUUUAAAGUGAAUGUGGUUGUCUCUAAUGCCUAACCCAUGAACGAUAGUGGUAAUUCGAUAAGAGACAUCAUGGUACGCACCAUAUCCAAUAGGGUGCAACUAUGAUGUUCGGACACACCAUCACAUUAUGGUGUUCCAGGCGGUAUUAAUUGCGAAACAAUUUCCACAAUGUCUUAAUUGUGUGCCAAAACUCGUAACUCAGAUACUCAUCUCUAUGAUCAUAUCAUAGACAUUUUAUCCUCUUGUCACAAUGAUCUUCUACUUCACUCUGAAAUUAUUUGAACCAUUCAAUAAUUCAGACUUGUGUUUUAUCAAGUAAAUAUUCUCAACAUCUACUCGAAUCAUCUGUGAAGUAAGAACAUAACGAUAUUCACUGCAUGCCUCAGCACUUAUUGGACUGCACACAUCAUAAUGUGUUACUUCCAACAAGUUGCUAUCUUGUUCCAUCUUAUUGAAACCGAGGCUUUUCAGUCAUCUUGCCUAUCUGGUAUGAUUUGCAUAUCUCAAGUGAUUCAAAAUCAAGUGAGUCCGAACGGUCCAUUUGCAUGGAGUUUCUUCAUGCAUAUACACCAAUAGACAUGGUUCGCAUGUCUCAAACUUUUCAAAAACGAGUGAGUCCAAAGAUCCAUCAACAUGGAGCUUCUUCAUGCGUUUUAUACCAAUAUGACUUACAUAGCAGUGCCACAAGUAAGUGGUACUAUCAUUACUAUCUUAUAUCUUUUGGCAUGAAAAUGUGUAUCACUACGAUCGAGAUUCAAUAAACCAUUCCUUUAGGUGCAAGACCAUUGAAGGUUUUAUUCAAAUAAAUAGAGUAAUCAUUAUUCUCCUUAAAUGAAUAACCGUAUUGCGAUAGACAUAAUCCAAUCAUGUCUAUGCUCAACGCAAGCACCAAAUGACAAUUAUUCAGGUUUAAUACUAAUCUUGAUGGUAGAGGGAGCGUGCGAUGUUUGAUCACAUCAAACUUGGAAACACUUCCAACACAUAUCGUCAGCUCACCUUUAGCUAGUCUCCGUUUAUUCCGUAGCUUUUAUUUCGAGUUACUAACACUUAGCAACCGAACCGGUAUCCAAUACCCUGGUGCUACUAGGAGUACUAGUAAAGUACACAUUAACAUAAUGUAUAUCCAAUAUACUUCUAUCGACCUUGCCAGCCUUCUCAUCUACCAAGUAUCUAGGGUAAUUCCGCUCUAGUGACUGUUCCCCUUAUUACAGAAGCACUUAGUCUCGGGUUUGGGUUCAAUCUCGGGUUUCUUCAUUGGUGCAGCAGCUGAUUUGCCGUUUCAUGAAGUAUCCCUUCUUGCCCUUGCCCUUCUUGAAACUAGUGGUCUCACUGACCAUCAACGAUUGAUGCUCCUUCUUGAUUUCUACUUUCGCGGUGUCAAACAUCGCGAAUAUCUCAAGGAUCAUCAUAUAUGUCCCUGAUAUAUUAUAGUUCAUCACGAAGCUCUAGCAGCUUGGUGGUAAUGACUUUGGAGAAACUAUCACUAUUUCAUCUGGAAGAUCAACUCCCACUUGAUUCAAGUGAUUGUUGUACUCAGACAAUCUGAGCACAAGCUCAACGAUUGAGCUUUUCUCCCUUAGUUUGUAGGCUAAGAAAAUCGUCGGAGGUCUUAUACCUCUUGACGUGGGCACGAGCCUGAAAUCUCAAUUUCAGCCCUCGAAACAUCUCAUAUGUUCCGUGACGUUUCGAAAACGUCUUUGGUGCCUCUACUUAAACCAUUUAACUGAACUAUCACGUAGUUAUCAAAACGUGUAUGUUCGAUGUUCGAAACAUCCACAAACGAUGUUUGGGGUUCAGCACACUGAGCGGUGCAUUAAGGACAUAAGCUUUCUACUGUCCGCAUAAUUGCUACUAUCAACUUUCAACUAUAUUUUCUCUAGGAACAUAACUAAACAGUGGAACUAAAGCGCGAGCUUACGACAUAAUUUGCAAAGAUCUUUUGACUAUGUUCAGGAUAAUUAAGUUCAUCUUAUGAACUCCCACUCAGAUAGACAUCCCUCUGGUCAUCUAAGUGAUUACAUGAUCCGAGUCAACUAGGCCGUGUCCGAUCAUCACGUGAGACGGACUAGUCAUCAUCGGUGAACAUCUUCAUGUUGAUCGUAUCUACUAUACGACUCAUGCUCGACCUUUCGGUCUCCGUGUUCCGAGGCCAUGUCUGUACAUGCUAGGCUCGUCAAGUUAACCCUAAGUGUUUUCGCUGUGUAAAACUGUCUUACACCCGUUGUAUGUGAACGUAAGAAUCCAUCACACCCGAUCAUCACGUGGUGCUUAGAAGCGACGAACUAUAGCAACGGUGCACAGUUAGGGGAGAACACUUCUUGAAAUUUUGUAAGGGAUCAUCUUAUUUACUACCGUCGUCCUAAGCAAACAAGAUGCAUAAACAUGAUAAACAUCACAUGCAAUCAAAUAGUGACAUGAUAUGGCCAAUAUCAUUUUGCUCCUUUUGAUCUUCAUCUUCGGGGCUCCAUGAUCAUCAUCGUCACCGGCACGACACCAUGAUCUCCAUCAUCAUGAUCUCCAUCAUCGUGUCUUCAUGAAGUUGUCACGCCAACGACUACUUCUACUUCUAUGACUAACGCGUUUAGCAAUAAAGUAAAGUAGUUUACAUGGCGUUCUUCAAUGACACGCAGGUCAUACAAUAAAUAAAGACAACUCCUAUGGCUCCUGCCGGUUGUCAUACUCAUCGACAUGCAAGUCGUGAAUCCUAUUACAAGAACACGAUCAAUCUCAUACAUCACAUAUCAUUCAUCACAUUCUUCUUGGCCAUAUCACAUCACAUAGCAUACCCUGCAAAAACAAGUUAGACGUCCUCUAAUUGUUGUUGCAUGUUUUACGUGGCUGCUAUGGGUUUCUAGCAAGAACGUUUCUUACCUACGCAAGACCACAACGUGAUAUGCCAAUUGCUAUUUACCCUUCAUAAGGACCCUUUUCAUCGAAUCCGUUCCGACUAAAGUGGGAGAGACUGGCACCCGCUAGCCACCUUAUGCACCAAGUGCAUGUCAAUCGGUGGAACCUGUCUCACGUAAGAGUACGUGUAAGGUCGGUCCGGGCCGCUUCAUCCCACAAUACCGUCGAAACAAGAUUGGACUAGUAACGGUAAGCAUAUUGAACAACAUCAACGCCCACAACUACUUUGUGUUCUACUCGUGCAAAGAAUCUACGCAAUAGACCUAGCUCAUGAUGCCACUUUUGGGGAACGUAGCAGAAAUUCAAAAUUUUCCUACGUAACACCAAGAUCUAUCUAUGGAGAGACCAGCAACGAGUAGAAAGGGGAGUGCAUCUACAUACCCUUGUAGAUCGCUAAGCGGAAGCGUUCAAGUGAACGGGGUUGAUGGAGUCGUACUCGUCGUGAUUCAGAUCACCGAUGAUCCUAGUGCCGAACGGACGGCACCUCCGCGUUCAACACACGUACAGCUCGACGAUGUCUCCCACGCCUUGAUCCAGCAAGGAGAGAGGGAGAGGUUGAGGAAGACUCCAUCCAGCAGCAGCACAACGGCGUGGUGGUGAUGGAGGAGCGUGGCAAUCCUGCAGGGCUUCGCCAAGCACCUACGGGAGAGGAGGAGGUGUCACGGGAGGGAGGGAGGCGCCAAGGGCUCAGGUAUGGAUGCCCUUAACUUCGUACCUUACAACUCAGGCAAGAACUCCUUUUUUGACUGAUCCAUCUUGAACACCUUCAAGAUCACGUCAAGGCAUGUGCUCAUUUGAAAGUACCAUUAAGCGUUUUGAUCUAUCCUUAUAGAUCUUGAUGCUCAAUGUUCAAGUAGCUUAAUCCAGGUUUUCCAUUGAAAACACUUUCCAAAUAACCCUAUAUGCUUUCCAGAAAUUCUACGUCAUUUCUGAUCAUUAAUAUGUCAACAACAUAUACUCAUCAGAAAUUCUAUAGUGCUCCCACUCACUUCUUUGGAAAUACAAGUUUCUCAUAAACUUUGUAUACACCCUAAAUCUUUGAUCAUCAUCAAAGCAUACAUUCCAACUCCGAGAUGCUCACUCCAGUCCUCAGAAGGAUUGCUGGAGCUUUGCAUACUUAUUAGCAUAUUUCAGGAUAGACAAAACCUUCCGGUUGUAUCACAUACAACCUUUCCUCAAGAAUCGUCGAGGAAACAAUGUUUUGACAUCCUAUCUGCAAGAUUUCAUAAAUAAUGCAGUAAUUGCUAAUAUAAUUCCAACAUACUCUUAGCAUCGCUACGAGUGAGAAAGUCUCAUCGUAGUCAACUCCUUGAACUUGUCGAAAAACAUCUCAACGACAAGUCGACCUUUCUCAAUGGUGACACUUACCAUCAUUGUCUGUCUUCCUUUCAAAAUCCAUAUGUACCUAACAGCCUUAUGACCAUCAAGUAGUUCUUCCAAAGUCUACACUUUGUUUUCAUACAUGGAUCCUCUCUCGGGUUUUAUGGCCUUGAGCCAUUUAUCGGAAUCCAGGCCCACCAUCGCUUCUCCAUAGCUCGUAGGUUCAUUGUUGUCUAGCAACAUGACUUCCAAGACAGGAUUACUGUACCACUCUGAAGUAGUACGUAUCCUUGUCACCCUACGAGGUUUGGGAGUGACUUGAUCUGAAGUUUCAUGAUCACUAUCAUAAGCUUCUACUUCAAUUGGUGUAGGUGCCACAGGAACAACUUCCUGUGCCCUGCUACACACUGGUUGAAGUGAUGGUUCAGUAACCUCAUCAAGUCUCCACCAUCCUCCCACUCAAUUCUUUCGAGAGAAACCUUUCCUCGAGAAAGGACCCAAUUCUAGAAACAAUUCAUAUUGCCUUCGGAUCUGAAUUAGGAGGUAUACCCAACUGUUUUGGGUGUCCUAUGAAGAUGUACUUUAUCCGCUUUGGGUUCGAGCUUAAUCCUGAAACUUUUUCACAUAAGCGUCGCAGCCCCAAACCUUUAAGAAAUGACAACUUAGGUUUCUCUAAACCAUAAUUCAUACGGUGUCAUCUCAUCGGAAUUACGUGGUGCCCUAUUUAAAGUGAAUGUGGUUGUCUUUAAUGCCUAACCCAUAAACUAUCCUGGCAGUUCGAUAAGAGACAUCAUGGUAUGCAUCAUAUCCAAUAGGGUGCAACUAUGAUGUUCGGACACACCAUCACACUAUGGUGUUCCAGGCGGUAUUAAUUGUGAAACAAUUUCCACAAUGUCUUAAUUGUGUGCCAAAACUCGUAACUCAGAUACUCAUCUCUAUGAUCAUAUCAUAGACAUUUUAUCCUCUUGUCACAAUCUUCUACUUCACUCUGAAAUUACUUGAACCAUUCAAUAAUUCAGACUUGUGUUUCAUCAAGUAAAUAUUCUCAACAUCUACUCGAAUCAUCUGUGAAGUAAGAACAUAACGAUAUUCACUGCAUGCCUCAGCACUCAUUGGACUGCACGCAUCAAAAUGUGUUGCUUCCAACAAGUUGCUAUCUUGUUACAUCUUACUGAAAACGAGGCUUUUCAGUCAUCUUGCCCAUGUGGUAUGAUUUGCAUGUCCCAAGUGAUUCAAAAUCAAGUGAGUCAAAACGGUCCAUUUGCAUGGAGUUUCUUCAUGCAUAUACACCAAUAGACAUGGUUCGCAUGUCUCAAACUUUUCAAAAACGAGUGAGCCCAAAGAUCCAUCAAUAUGGAGCUUCUUCAUGCGUUUUAUACCGAUAUGACUUACGUGGCAGUGCCACAAGUAGGUGGUUCUAUCAUUACUAUCUUUUGGCAUGAACAUGUGUAUCACUACGAUCGAGAUUUAAUAAACCAUUCAUUUUAGGUGUAAGACCAUUGAAGGUAUUAUUCAAAUAAACAGAGUAACGAUUAUUCUCCUUAAAUGAAUAACCGUAUUGCGAUAGACGUAAUCCAAUCAUGUCUAUGCUCAACGCAAACACCAAACAACAAUUAUUUAGGUUUAACACCAAUCUCUUUGGUAGAGGGAGCGUGCGAUGCUUGAUCAUAUGAAGCUUGGAAAAACUUCCAACACAUAUCGUCAGCUCACCUUUAGCUAGUCUCCGUUUAUUCCGUAGCCUUUUGUUUCGAGUUACUAACACUUAGCAACCGAACCGGUAUCUAAUACCCUGGUGCUACUAGGAGUACUAGCAAAGUACACAUUAACACAAUGUAUAUCCAAUAUACUUCUAUCGACCUUGCCAGCCUUCUUAUCUACCAAGUAUCUAGGGUAAUUCUGCUCUAGUGGUUGUUCCCCUUAUUACAGAAGCACUUAGUCUCGGGUUUGGGUUUUACCUUGGGUUUCUUCACUAGAGCAGCAGCUGAUUUGCCGUUUCAUGAAGUAUCCCUUCUUGCCCUUGCCCUUCUUGAAACUAGUGGUUUCACCAACCAUCAACAAUUGAUGCUCCUUCUUGAUUUCUACUUUCGCGGUGUCAAACAUCGCGAAUACCUCAAGGAUCAUCAUAUCUAUCCCUGAUAUGUUAUAGUUCAUCACGAAGCUCUAACAGCUUGGUGGCAAUGACUUUGGAGAACCAUCACUGUUUCAUCUGGAAGAUCAACUCCCACUCGAUUCAAAUGAUUGUUGUACUCAGACAAUCUGAGCACAAGCUCAACAAUUGAGCUUUUCUCCUUAGUUUGCAGGUUAAGAAAGUCAUCGGAGGUCUUAUACCUCUUGACAUGGGCACGAGCCUGAAAUCCCAAUUUCAGCCCUCAAAACAUCUCAUAUGUUUCGCGAUGUUUCAAAAACGUCUUUGGUGCCUCAACUCUAAACCGUUUAACUGAACUAUCACGUAGUUAUCAAAACGUGUAUGUCAGAUGUUCGCAACAACCACAGACAACGUUCGAGGUUCAGCACACUGAGCGGUGCAUUAAGGACAUAAGCCUUCUAUGAAGCAAUGAGGACAAUCCUCAGUUUACGGACCUAGUCCGCAUAAUUGCUACUAUCAACUUUCAACUAAUUUUUCUCUAGGAACAUAUCUAAACAGUAGAACUAUAGCGUGAGCUACGACAUAAUUUGCAAAAACCUUUUGACUAUGUUCAGGAUAAUUAAGUUCAUCUUAUGAACUCCCACUUAGAUAGACAUCCCUCUGGUCAUCUAAGUGAUCACAUGAUCCGAGUCAACUAGGCCGUGUCCGAUCAUCACGUGAGACGGACUAGUCAUCAUCGGUGAACAUCUUCAUGUUGAUCGUAUCUACUAUACGACUCAUGCUCGACCUUUCGGUCUCCGUGUUCCGAGGCCAUGUCUGCACAUGCUAGGCUCGUCAAGUUAACCCUAAGUGUUUUCGCUGUGUAAAACUGUCUUACACCCGUUGUAUGUGAACGUAAGAAUCCAUCACACCCGAUCAUCACGUGGUGCUUAGAAGCGACGAACUGUAGCAACGGUGCACAGUUAGGGGAGAACACUUCUUGAAAUUUUGUAAGGGAUCAUCUUAUUUACUACUGUCGUCCUAAGCAAACAAGAUGCAUAAACAUGAUAAACAUCACAUGCAAUCAAAUAGUGACAUGAUAUGGCCAAUAUCAUUUUGCUCCUUUUGAUCUUCAUCUUCGGGGCUCCAUGAUCAUCAUCGUCACCGGCACGACACCAUGAUCUCCAUCAUCAUGAUCUCCAUCAUCGUGUCUUCAUGAAGUUGUCAUGCCAACGACUACUUCUACUUCUAUGACUAACGCAUUUAGCAAUAAAGUAAAGUAGUUUACAUGGCGUUCUUCAAUGACACGCAGGUCAUACAAUAAAUAAAGACAACUCCUAUGGCUCCUGCCGGUUGUCAUACUCAUCGACAUGCAAGUCGUGAAUCCUAUUACAAGAACAUGAUCAAUCUCAUACAUCACAUAUCAUUCAUCACAUUCUUCUUGGCCAUAUCACAUCACAUAGCAUACCCUGCAAAAACAAGUUAGACGUCCUCUAAUUGUUGUUGCAUGUUUUACGUGGCUGCUAUGGGUUUCUAGCAAGAACGUUUCUUACCUACGCAAGACCACAACGUGAUAUGCCAAUUGCUAUUUACCCUUCAUAAGGACCCUUUUCAUCGAAUCCGUUCCGACUAAAGUGGGAGAGACUGGCACCCGCUAGCCACCUUAUGCACCAAGUGCAUGUCAAUCGGUGGAACCUGUCUCACGUAAGAGUACGUGUAAGGUCGGUCCGGGCCGCUUCAUCCCACAAUACCGUUGAAACAGGAUUGGACUAGUAACGGUAAGCAUAUUGAACAACAUCAACGCCCACAACUACUUUGUGUUCUACUCGUGCAAAGAAUCUACGCAAUAGACCUAGCUCAUGAUGCCACUGUUGGGGAACGUAGCAGAAAUUCAAAAAUUUUCCUACGUAACACCAAGAUCUAUCUAUGGAGAGACCAGCAACGAGUAGAAAGGGGAGUGCAUCUACAUACCCUUGUAGAUCGCUAAGCGGAAGCGUUCAAGUGAACGGGGUUGAUGGAGUCGUACUCGUCGUGAUUCAGAUCACCGAUGAUCAAGUGCCGAACGGACGGCACCUCCGCGUUCAACACACGUACAGCCCGGUGACGUCUCCCACGCCUUGAUCCAGCAAGGAGAGAGGGAGAGGUUGAGGAAGACUCCAUCCAACAGCAGCACAACGGCGUGGUGGUGGUGGAGGAGCGUGGCAAUACCGCAGGGCUUCGCCAAGCACCAUGGGAGAAGAGGAGGAGGGAGAGGGGCAGGGCUGCACCAACGAGAGAUCAAAUCAUGUGUUAUGGGCAGCCCCAUGCCUCAAUAUAUAUAGGGGGAGGGGAGGGCUGCGCCCCCUUUAGGGUUUCCCACCCCAAGGGGCGGCGGCCAGCCUCCAGAUGGCAUCUGGUGCGGCGGCCAAGAGGGGGGGGGGAGGAGUCCAUCCUCCCCAAGGCACCUCGGAGGUGCCUUCCCCUUCGAGGAAUCUUCCCUCUAGGGUUCCCUAGGCGCAUGGGCCUCUUGGGGCUGGUGCCCUUGGCCCAUGUAGGCCAAGGCGCACCCCCUACAGCCCAUGUGGCCCCCCGGGGCAGGUGGGCCCCCGGGACCCUUCCGGUGGUCCCGGUACAAUACCGAUGACCCCGAAACUUGUCCCGAUGGCCGAAACAGGACUUCCUAUAUAUAAAUCUUUACCUCCGGACCAUUCCGGAACUCCUCGUGACGUCCGGGAUCUCAUCCGGGACUCCGAACAACAUUCGGUUACCACAUACAAGCUUCCUUUAUAACCCUAGCGUCAUCGAACCUUAAGUGUGUAGACCCUACGGGUUCGGGAGACAUGCAGACAUGACCGAGACGUUCUCCGGUCAAUAACCAACAGCGAGAUCUGGAUACCCAUGAUGGCUCCCACAUGUUCCACGAUGAUCUCAUCGGAUGAACCACGAUGUCAAGGACUCAAUCGAUCCCGUAUACAAUUCCCUUUGUCUAGCGGUAUUUUACUUGCCCGAGAUUCGAUCGUCGGUAUACUGAUACCUUGUUCAAUCUCGUUACCGGCAAGUCACUUUACUCGUUCCGUAACACAUCAUCCCGUGAUCAACUCAUUGGUCACAUUGCGCAUAUGAUGAUGUCCUACCGAGUGGGCCCAGAGAUACCUCUCCGUUUACACGGAGUGACAAAUCCCAGUCUCGAUCCGCAUAAAACAAUAGAUACUUUCGGAGAUACCUGUAGUGUACCUUUAUAGUCACCCAGUUACGUUGUGACGUUUGAUACACCCAAGGCACUCCUACGGUAUCCAGGAGUUACACGAUCUCAUGGUCAAAGGAAGAGAUACUUGACAUUGGCAAAGCUCUAGCAAACGAACUACACGAUCUUUGUGCUAAGCUUAGGAUUGGGUCUUGUCCAUCACAUCAUUCUCCUAAUGAUGUGAUCCCGUUAUCAACGACAUCCAAUGUCCAUAGCCAGGAAACCAUGACUAUCUGUUGAUCACAACGAGCUAGUCAACUAGAGGCUCACUAGGGACAUAUUGUGGUCUAUGUAUUCACACGUGUAUUACGAUUUCCGGAUAAUACAGUUAUAGCAUGAAUAAAAGACAAUUAUCAUGAACAAGGAAAUAUAAUAAUAAUACUUUUAUUAUUGCCUCUAGGGCAUAUUUCCAACAAAUAUGACAUACUCAGAACACGGGAAAUAGGUCAGAUAAAAUUAUCAACUCCUUCCUCACUCAAACCUCGAUCCAUUCGGGGGCUAAUGAUGAAGUCAUGUACCUAGGGUAGGGUCAUGAACCUAUCUAGGAUACCCUACCCAAGGACGUCCUUAGAAGAAUCUACCUUCUAGUCGACCAAGAGGGACUCCACUCGACGAUCUCAAGGACACUCGACGAUGAAGAUAGCCACUCGACCAUGAAGCUAAUCACUCGACAACCAGGAGACCUAAAGUCAUUCAGCACGCAACGGCCUGUCAUUAAGUAGCUUUAAUAGUCUUCAUGGCACUUUAUAUGGGCGUUACCAGUAACUCCAUGUCUUAAUGUACUUUAAACCCUGCAUAACUGAGGGCCGGAGGGGUCUGGCGAACUCUAUAUAAACCACCCCCCUCCUCAGUGUAAAGGGUUCGCACCCCUGUAACUCAUACGCACAUAAUCCAGUCGACCGCCUCCGGGCUCCGAGACGUAUGGCUGUUACUUCCUCCGAGAAGGGCCUGAACUCGUAAAUCCCUUGCGUAUACAACUACUCCAUAGCUAGGAUCUUGCCUCUCCAUACCUACCCCCCAUUCUACUGUCAGACUUACAACCACGACAGUACCCUCAGUUGCCACCGCGUCGGUGUCGGCCAAGCCAACAGGGAUUUCUCCCGAUCCCAUCCUCCACCUCAGGCACUCCGGAGUUCGCCACCAAACCGACCACCACCCAGCGCCGACACGGACACGAAGCUUCGACGCUGUCUCACCACGGCACCGCGAAGAUGGUCUGCACAACGAAGAAGAGGAGUCGGGACUAGGGCAGCAACACCGUCAGCAUACGGGAGGGCCCCACCUCACCGUCCAUGCCGGUAGCCGACCGGACGCCAAAGCAGGAGCCUACCGGGCCCGUGGACCCACAGGCCCGGCCGGGCCCUCAGAGGCUCGGACAGCUCCCGCCUCCGCGCAGCAGCUGGCACGCCAUCGACGCCGCAGCCCCAGUCCAAGCCGCUCCCCAGCCUUCCCAUACAGAGAACGUCACGGUCGAGCCGGAGCCGACCCGCAAGGACCCAGAUGUGGCCCUACGGGCCCAGAUCUGGGCCGAGGACGCGCCACCGGCCAUCCAGCACCACCGGAGCGCCCCGCCGCCAAGAGGCAGCACCAUCGCGGCGAGCGCCGCCGGCCUCCGCCACCAGGACGCCGAGCCGCCACCAGCCGAGCAGCAUCGCCGCCUCCCCCCACCCCGGGAAGGAGGAGCGUGCGCGGGGAAGGGACGACCCGCCGCCGCCGACCCCACCCGGCCAGAUCCGGGGGCGCCUGCCGGCGGCGGCGGGGGGAGGAACGAAGGGGGGCGAGGAGGGAGGGGGUCGCGCGCCGCCCCGGCCGCCUCCCGGGGAGAUGGCGGAGGCGGCAGGACAAGGAGGAGGGGGAAAAGGGGGGAGGGGCGGGGCGGGGAGCCCGCGCUCGCGCUGGGCAGCGGUGGAAACGGCGGAGCGGGAGCGGGGAAGCGGGGGCGGGGGAGAGGGACGCCGCGCCGGGCGGGCGGCGGCGGCGGGGAGGGUCUAGGGCCCGCCGGCGGCGGGGCGGAACCCUAGCGGGAGCCUAGCGGAGUCUACCUUUUUGAGAGAUACAUGUUCACCCGCUCAUCAAGAAGUGGUGACUAGCAGGGGAAGCUCGCGACGCUAGCAUCGGUAAGCAGUAUAACAUUCAGAUCAAUCUCUCAACCAAUCUCUGCAGAGGCAGCGCAGCAGAGCGUCAGAGCAACUAACUAAUCUCUCCUCUGUACAAAUCUGCCGACGAGCAAUAGGCACGCGCCACACCAGUCAGGUUACAACUAGAUUUCCUAUAAUAAAAUGAGAAGCAAAUAUUCCACAAGUCGUGACUCAAGCACAUGUACAGGAGUAGGAAGCAGAACCUUCAUUACUUGACACCAUGGGCAUCUCCUAUAUAUCCAAGCUGCACAAGCCUCUGCUCUGUGCUGUGUUGGAAGAGGUAAUUGUUUUCCCAAGAGCUAAGAGACUAGACACCCAAAUUAGUUCGGGUGGUGCCAACAUGAUCCCACACACCAACUUUCCGCCCAGAUGUGUUCCAAUACUGGAGCAAUUUUUACAUUCGAUCUGUGUUAAACUGCAAGGUUUUUCAGACCAAACUCACUCUGCUAGCUAAUACUCCCUCCGUCCCAAAAUAAGUGUCAGUACUCAAUUCAGAACAUCACUCGAGACUGGAUACAUACAGUUGAUAGUAAUGCAAGUCUGGACGAGGUGCUCCCUUGCUAGGGUAGAUCCGUGAAAAGAGAAGGGGGGAAAUGGGACGAACCUGAGGCGGCCGUUGGCUUCGUCGUCGCUGUCGCUCGAAUCGGCGAGGGGUUCUCGGGGAGAGGAGUGGGAGUGGGCGCUCGCGUUCUAGUUCUAGGGGGAUCGGAGCUGCUGGUGCUGGGACGUCUUUCUCUCCCCUAAAAUAGCUAGCACACCAGCUAGUGCACACACGAUAUCCAACAGACCAGCGAUUCAAUUUGAUGAAAGGAGCAUUGCUACAUUCCAUGUAUGUGCAACUUUACAAGAACGUCAGACCAGCUAUGCAAUUUGAGAUGGCAAAGUUACGGUAUGGUAAAAGAGUAGUACUAUGCAUUAUGUGAGAUACUCCUGGUUGUUAAGAAUGCGGAUCAGCAGGAUCUUUACCAAAUGUCGUUGGAGUUAAUCACAAAAGAACAGCUCCAGAUUAACUUUUGUACAACACUGCUACUACCGCGGGUACAAUCGCGUGCCUUGCAUUUCUUUUCAUGUUGGCAUUAAUCUCUUCCGUGUUUUUUUUAAAAGAGGUUAAACCCCGGUCUCUGCAUCAAUCGAUGCAUAUGCAGCCUUCUUUAUUAAUUAUUUCACAAAGAUCUGAUGAGAAUAUACAUCAAUCCACUCGAAGCCAUCAUUCACCUACGGAUGUGUUUGGUAGCAUUCUCUACCUAGCAUGGUUGUUCCCCUUUGACACAUGCUGAUGGUGGACGUGCUGAGUCCAUACAACUGCAGUUGUUUGGUAGUCUUGCAUGUGUUGAGGCAUGCUGGGCUGUGACUGUGUUUGGUAGCCUGCACUGUGAUGAAAAAAAAUAUUUUCAUGCCAGAGCCAGUCAACCUUGUAUUCAUUUAUACAAAAUUAAAGUUGCUAGUGCUGGGCAAUCGUUCAGGGGAAAGCUGUACAAUUCUAAACAAAAGCAGAUUCAGGUGGUUAACUGAGCACAAGGAGAUGAAACCAACACAGUAAUGCAUCGACGUAACUGUUGUUGCCGCUUGUCCUUGGCAAUUCAGAGAAAAAAUUAAGAUAUAAUUAUGUCUGCUAGCCCAUGAUCUACCGAUGCCUGCUAAUCCACGAUCUGGGGCAGCAUCCAGUGGCGCAACGACCAGGGCGAUCUGGGGCAGCGGCGAACUGGGGAAACGAUCUGGGGCAGCGGCGGCCAGGGAAAGCGGCGAUCUGGUUCAGCAUCCAGCUGCGGCAACGACCAGGGCCGGCGGCAAUCUGGGGCGGCAACGACCAGGGCCAACGGCGAGCUGGGGCAGAGCCAACGACCAGGGCCAACGGCGAGCUGGGGCAGAGCCAACGACCAGGUCCAUGGCGAGCACGUCGGUUCGGAGCAGGAGGCGCGUCACGGAGAAGACGGGGAGGAGGAGGCGCACGUCACGGAGAAGACGGGGAGGGUCGCGGUGGGAUUUUUUCGAGCGGUGGAGCCAGCCAUGCUGACCAGCGAACGGCUGUUCGGGUGUUCACUCCUCGUGCAGGCUACGGGGCUAUUUGGGCUGAGUUCAACAUAGCUGAGGAGAGCUCAUGCAAGCUACCAAACAGCAAAAAGUGGGUUGAGUAGGAAACUUUAAAGCUCAUGCACUCUCUAUGCAUGCUACCAAACACACCCACAAACUCGAUAAUGUGGAGUGUUCUCACCCUCAUACACUACUAGAAAAAGGGCUAUAGAGGGAUUGACACUAAUGGCGCACCAGACAAGGGGUGCGCCAUUAGUAUAUACUAAUGGCGCACCACCUUCUGAUACGCCAUUAGAGUUGAAACUACUAAUGGCGCACCUGACCCAAGGUGCGCCAUUAGUAUCAAAAAAAAAUUGAACUAGUGUGCCUGUCCAAACAUACUAAUGGCGCAUCCAGACACAGUGCGCCAUUACUAGUUGUAACUAGUAAUGGCGCAUCCGUCGGAAAGUGCGCCACUAAUGUUGUUUUUUUAUUAUAUUUUUUAUUCCUUUUUUUGCAAUACUACUAAUGGCGCACUGUUCAACCGUGCGCCAUUACUAGUUUAAAUUAGUAAUGGCGCACUGUAGAACAGUGCGCCAUUAGUAUGUUUUUUUUUGCAAAACUACUAAUGGUGCACCGCCAGAAGGUGCGCCAUUAGUAACCUGGAUUACUAAUGGCGCAUUUAGUGCUGGUGCGCCAUUAGUAAGUGGGCAGCAAUAAGAUAUUUUUUUAGACAGCCUCUCCUACCCACACUCACUUUCUCCCCACUUCAUUCUCUCCACCUGCUCCUUGUCUCGGGUGCCUCCUCUUUUUCACCUCAUUUCCACCAUAGAUUCAUUCAAAUUAAGUGGUUAAAUUACCUUGUUUUGAUAGGUAAGUAAGGGGGGAAGCUAUAUUUAUGUUGUUCUCCCUACAACAAUGUGCACAUGCACUUUUUAUGGCCUAGCUAGAUCUAUGUAUGUUCGUGGUGUUGCAUAUGUGUUUGUGUUUGGAGGUGUACCGGUAUUUGAAAUGCGAUAGUUGCCAAUAUUUUGCCGGAAUGUUGAUUCAUUUCCGUUUCGGCGAGAAUUUUGGCAUUAAGCAUUCUUUUUGGUCCUAUUUUUAGGAAAAGUCAUGCCAAAUUUUUUCUUGGUUCUAAAAUAUCGUUUUGCUCUACCCCGCAGGCGACCAUGGUCCGCACGAUGACCGAAGGCAUCGUGAAUAGGUUUUUGAGGUCCGCGAAGGCCGAGAUGCUUCAAAAGAACGAGACGGAGAUAAGAUGUCCGUGUCGAAGAUGCAAGCUGAAGAGCCUUAUUGCGGACCCGGAUUCCGGGCAGGUGCGGGACCACCUGCUCUUGCGUGGUUUCAUGGAUGGCUAUCGGUGGCAAGGUGAUGAAGAUGACUACGAAGUCGUCCAUGGGGGCCGGGCAAGAAAUGAGGAAGGGCAGCAAGACAACCACCGCGGCUCGGGCGGGCGAGAAGACGAAGAAUCCCCAGGAGAUGAUCACGACGGUGAUGCUGUACACAGUCAUCAUGUAGAAGAUGCAGGACAUGAUGAUGAGGAAGAUGCCGGAGCAGACGACGGGCAUGAUCAUGAAGAUGAUGAUGCCGGCGAAGCAGACGACGUUGGACCAUCGAUGGGCUGGGUGCAGGACCCUCAUAUUCAAGAGCUGCUUCUCAAGCAGACGGAUAACGCAAGAGUUGCCGCCCGAGAGAAAGCCAAGAUGGAUCAACUUGAGUUAGACGCGGUUACUCCAUUGUAUGAAGGAUGCAGGCCCGAGGAUACCCGCCUGAAAGUAACGCUCAUGGCUCUGGAGAUGAAGGUAAAACACAAAAUGACCGACGCAUGCUUCGACGAGAACAUGUCAUUCUGGCACGAAUGUCUUCCCAAGGGGAACAAGUGCCCGACCAGUUUGGAGGAGGCGAAGAAAAUCGUGUGUCCUCUGGAUUUACCACACGUGAAAUACCAUGUGUGCAUGAACAAUUGCAUCAUUUAUCAGGACGAGCACACGGAGUCUACCAUACGUCCGGUGUGCGGCGUCACUCGAUACAAGAAGAGGAAGAAAGCUCCUCGAAAAGUGGUGUGAUACUUUCCGAUCACUCCUCGUCUGCAGCGGUAUUUCGCGGACCCUAAGGUAGCAAAGCUCCUGCGUUGGCACGCGGAUAGGGAGGAGAAGAAGCGAGAAGAUGAUGCAAAUGAUCCGGAGAUAGAUAAAAAAGACAAGAUGUUGAGUCACCCUAAGAAUGCGAGCCAGUGGCAAGCGUUGAACUUCGAAGACCCAUAAUUUGGGAACGAUCCAAGGAACAUCGUGCUGGGCGCGAGCACCGAUGGAGUCAAUCCGUUUGGCAGCCAGAGAAGCACACAUAGCACCUGGCCUGUGUUUGUGUGGAUGUACAACCUUCCCCCCUGGUUGUGCAUGAAGAGGAAGUACAUUCACAUGAGUAUGCUAAUUGAAGGGCCGAAACAACUAGGGAACGACAUCAAUUUGUAUCUGGGGCUGCUGAAAGAGGAGCUUGACCUGCUGUGGAAAACGCCAGCCAAUACGUGGGACGCCGCAGAGAAAGAAUAUUUCCCUAUGAGAGCCACACUGCUCACGACGGUGCACGACUAUCUCGGUUAUGGAUAUCUCGCGGGGCAGGUAGUCCACGGAUUUUCUGGAUGCGUAAGGUGUAUGGAUGACACAACGUAUCGCCAGCUAGAUAGAGAUCCUGGGUCUUCGAAAACCGUGUUCAUGGGACAUUGAAGGUGGCUUCGCGACGAUGACCCGUGGAGGAAACGCAAGGAUCUGUUCGAUGGUGAAACCGAACCCCGAAAACGCCCGUGUACGAGGAGCGGCGAGGAAAUAGACAAGCUGUUGAAAAAUUGGAAAGACUGCCCACUGUCGGGAAAGAAGCAAAAGGCGCCAGAGCCGGGAAAGAAGCGAAAGGCGCCAGAGCCGCUGCUGAAGGUAUGGAAAACGAGGUCUGUUUUCUGGGACAUGCCGUACUGGAAGAUCCACCGUGUGCCUCACAGCCUUGAUGUCAUGCAUAUCACGAAGAACGUGUGCGAGAGUCUGCUUGGUACCCUGCUCAACAUGCCAGAGAGGACCAAAGAUGGGCCGAAAGCAAGGGCAGACUUGAAAUCAAUGGGCAUCAGGCAGGAGCUUCACGCUAAUGAUGAUGAUGAUGAUGAUGAUGAUGAUGAGGCGAAGCAGGACACAGAAAGUCGUCGCAAAGGCAAAAAGGCCAAGAAGACCGGAAAUGACUACCCUCCCGCGUGCUUCACUCUAAGUCAUGAGGAGAUCGAGCAGUUUUUCACCUGCCUCCUAGGAGUAAAACUUCCUUACGGUUACACGGGGAAGAUAAGCAGAUACCUAGACCCAGCGAAGCAGAAGUUCAGCGGGAUGAAGUCUCACGACUGUCACGUGCUGAUGACGCAGAUACUUCCAGUUGCAAUCUGUGGGAUCAUGGACGCGCACGUCCGUGAAACGCUAUUUGGCCUAUGCAACUUUUUCGACGUCAUCUCUCGGAAGUCGAUUGGCGUGAGGCAACUCAGAAGGCUACAGGAAGAGAUCGUGGUGAUACUAUGCGAGCUUGAGAUGUACUUCCCGCCCGCAUUCUUUGACGUUAUGGUGCAUCUGCUGGUCCAUAUCGUGGAGGAUAUCAUUCAACUCGGGCCGACGUUCUUGCACAGCAUGAUGCCGUUCGAAAGGAUGAAUGGUGUCAUCAAAGGAUACGUUCGGAACAUGUCACGUCCAGAGGGAAGUAUAGCCAGGGGCUUUCUGACCGAAGAGUGCAUCUCCUACUGCACGAAUUAUCUAGGCAUCGAGAACCCCGUUGGUCUGCCCGUCAACAGGCACCUCGCAGGCUCGCUGGAUGGGGUCACCGUGAGGGUCGCCGCGAAAUGCAUGUCGACUUUGAGGGUCGACUCGCCGACUUUGAAAGAGCAAACCUAGUCGCGCUACAACACAUAGACAUGGUCGAUCCUUGGGUGGUAGAGCACAAAACCUUUAUUGAGAAGACGUACAAUGACCGAGGCCAACAGAGGAUGGACGGAGAUAUACUCAAAGAGCACAACUCAUGUUUCACACGUUGGUUCAAGCAGAAGCUUCUGUCGUACCCUUUACAUGAAGAUUCUUCCAUGGAAGAACAACUCAUAUUCACCUUGUCACAGGGCGCCGAGCACAACCUGAUGACCUAUGAGGCGUACGAUAUCAACGGCUACACAUUCUACACCGAGGACAAGGACAUGAAGAGCGAUGGUUAUCAGAACUCCGGGGUAACGAUGGAAUCCUACAUCGGUAAGGACAAGGAUAGAUACUACGGAAGGAUCGAGAAGAUCUGGGAGCUGAGCUACGCUGGAGAGAAGGUGCCGAUGUUCCGUGUCAGAUGGGCCAAGAGCGUCCUAAAAGAAGACCGAUAUUUCAUCACCAUGGUUAUACCCGAAUCCAAAUCCAAGACCGCGGGCGCAAACGUCACCGCGAAAAAUGAGCCAUGGGUACUGGCUUCCCAAGUGGACCAAUGCUUCUUCAUUACCGACCCGCCAAAGCCCAGUCGUGUUGUCGUGAGGAGAGGCAAAAGGAAGAUCAUCGGAAUGGAUGGAGUAGCCAAUGAGCAAGACUUCGACAAGUACGGCGACCCGAGGAUCGAACAUGACGACGAUGAUGAAGUAGCAGCAUACACCACAAGAAGAAGCAGGACCACCCUACCUAAAGGACGUCCGUUCCACAGAAGAACUCCAUUUGAGAAAAAGAAGGGCAAGAAGAUUGUGAACAGAUAGCUAGCUAAGAUCGAUUGUAUUUAAAUCAUAGCCUUCAUUUCUCGAUUGUAUUUCAUGGGCACUUUUUGAACUAUCAUGAAUAUUUUUAAAUUUCAUGGACACUCAAUCUCGAUCCCCCUCCAUCUCGAUCGCUAUCCCACCUCGCCAGAUCCGGUCCCCCUCACCGCCGAGCACCCCCCGGUCCACCGGCCGCCGCCGCCGACCCCCCGCACCCUCGAUUCCCCUACUCAACCGCCGCCGCCGACCCCCCGCACCCCUCCCCUACUCAACUGCCGCCGCCNNNNNNNNNNNNNNNNNNNNNNNNNNNNNNNNNNNNNNNNNNNNNNNNNNNNNNNNNNNNNNNNNNNNNNNNNNNNNNNNNNNNNNNNNNNNNNNNNNNNNNNNNNNNNNNNNNNNNNNNNNNNNNNNNUGAUGAUAUUUAAAAAAACUUAUUACUGUCUUAUAAAAAAAAUAUUACUGUUAUGAUUUAAACAAGUUUGAACAUAUUUAAACACAAAUAAGUAUCAAACAGCAUUUUAAAUGCAUAAAAAAAUUGUGGAGCCUGGGAAUCAAACCCAGGACCUCCUGGUGUGAGAACUGGCUGCUGACCAGUCGAGCUAGUAGAGGGAGCUUGAUGUGGAUCAGGUCAGGUGGAAGAUAACCUGUUGGCUCGAGCAGAAAUAAAAAAAAAAUACUAAUGGCGCACCAGGGCGAGGUGCGGCAUUAGUAUGGAUGUACUUAUGGCGCACCGAGGGGUGGUGCGCCAUUAGUAUUGUCCCGCCAUCCAUACUUCCUCCCCGGCCCAAACCUAUCCCCUCUCUCUCCCUCGCCCUCGCCCUCGAUCCCCUUCCCCUCUCCUCUCCCGACGCCGCUGCCCCGCCGCCUCGACGCCGCCCCGACGCCGCCUCGACGCCUCGACGCCCGCCCCGCUCCUCCUCCGGCACCUCUCCGCCCAGCCCAAGCCCAAGGCCGCUCCGCCUCCACCUCCUCCGCCUUUGCCGUCGGACGAGGGCGCCGCAGCGUGGGCCCGUCGCGCGGCCGCGCUCUCGCUGCUGGGGCUCACCGGCGCCGUCGCCGCCAGCGCCUUCAGCGACCUCUCCGACCUCCGCGAUGCCGCCCUCGACCUCUCCCUCCCGGAGCUCCUCCCGGACCACCUCCCCGGAGCUCGUUCUCUGCCCACCCAAGGUACCGUCUGAAUGCUCCUCCUCUGUCACUGAAUUUGUUUUGAAUUAGCAGCAAUAGAUAGCAAUAGUGCAGUUAGUUUGGUGGGGUUGAAACGAGGAUUGGGGUCAUGGAAGGAACACAAACAUGAUUAAAAUUAGAGAGUUGAUUAAUUGGCAGCAGUGUGUGAGCUAAUUCAGUAGGCAGUUUUGGAACAAUCUUUUUGGAUAAAGGGUGUUUAUAACCUGAACAUACACUUGUUCCCCACUCAUGGAUAGGUGAAAUGAAAUGAUACAGAUGGUGUAUCUGUAGCCUAGAGAUGUGAUUACAACAUAUACACGGUUGAAAAUGAAGCAAGUCUUUGAUAUGAAGUAGAAAUAAAUAAAUAAAUGACAGAAAGGGUGAAAGAGCUAGGAUCGACAGUGACCACCUAUCCAGGAAUCAAGGCCAAGGUCCAAAACUUUAAAGUGAAAACUACAAAUUCACAGUGAUGCGUGUGUCCAGUGCAAAUGCCACACAAGUCAAAUAACGAUGUGGAUGGGGAAUACAAACAAAGGUUAAAAUUGCAUAGAUAAGAUAGAGCAGCAACAGGCCAAUAGCAAUAGUGCAGUUAGUAUAUGGUGAAGUUGAAAGCAUGUCAGAAUGGGGGGAUGGUGAUUGAAGGAACACCAACAUGAUUAAAACCAGAAAGUUAAGUAAUUGGCACAUGGCAGCAGUGAGCUAAAUUAAGUAGGCCAUGGAUAAUACUCCGUCUGGUCUGCAUCAAAAUAUAAGACACUAUCAUAAGCGUCUUAUAUUUUGAUACACGGAGGGAGUAAAAGGGAGGUUUGUUGGUGCAUUCAGACGGUAUCUAUGCCAACAUAACAUAUAUAUAUACUAGUCUGUUAAUACUUGUUUUGAGGGUACUUUUACUUCUUCUUUCCUAAGUUUUAUUAGUGUACUUUUACUGUCCUCUAUAGGUGACGUGUGAACCGUUGCUUAUGCCGAUCGACUUACCGACUACCUAUUUAAUUGGUUUUCUUUUAAAUCUUAUAGUUCCCGUUGAUUAUAAACUGGUCGGCCGCGAUCAAUCAGUUGGUAUUGAUUUUGUCAGCAGACUUUGAGGUCAGUUUAACCUGUCAUUUUUCAACAGUACUCAACUAGUCUAAGUUACUGAGCAAAGUUAUACACAGCAGUCUAAGUUAGCUAGCCGAUCGAUUCCAUGUGGCCAGAGAUACAAGAUUACUCAACAACAUAUCCUAGCAGCUAGAGGAUGUUCGCGUGCAUGACAAGGCUAUAGACAUGCCGCAUGCACCAGCCGUUAAUUAGCACAAGCUGAUCACGUCGUUGUAUAACUCCUUUGUUAUAGCUCAAUUUGGUUCAGCUAGCUGUAUCUAGGAUUAUCCAUGCAACGAGUGGUCAAAACCAAGAAACUAAGAAAAACUGCACUUGGCAAACAUCUCUAUAGUUUUGCUAAAACUGAGAAAAACUGCAGUUUUUAGAAACCAAAGUAUUCAUUGCCCACACAUUGGAAUACCGAGGUUUUCAAUUACCAUGGUUUUGGAAAAACCGUGUUGGCAAACUAGGCCUUAGUAGUUAAGUCUUAACGUGGUUUGCAUUCAUUUGCAAUUACACUUGUUUUUGCCUCCACUUGAUGGAGCCGACAGCUUCCGUUUACCUGAAACGAGUCUUCUUGUUUUGCGGUGCUCAUUUUUUUCUAAGUGCACUGCAGUACUUGUUCCUUUGUGCACCAUAAGUAAAACUAGCUAAUUUUAUGAAAAUGUAUCAUGUCACUGUCUGUGACUCUCUCUUUUUAAGUCCACAUUCUGUUGGUGGCUCGGUUAACUCCUAGGGUUUUAGCAGUUAUGUAUAAAAAACAUUUUGAUCCAGUAUUGCUUGUAGUGGUUUGUCCAAAAUGUUGAAUGAUACUGCUUGGAGAUGCAUAUAUUGUUUCACCUCUUCACAUGCCAAUGUAUUUUCCAUGUUGUGAUGAAGGCCUUUUUUGCCUUGUCCACCCGAGAGGCCCUUGAGUUUGCUGGAAUGUCGAUUAACUUCCGUUCCAGCAAAUUCGGGUACUCCAUAUGUCCUAUUUUCAGCAAAGGUCAUGCUGAAAUUUUCCGUGAAUUUCAGCAUGACUUUGCUAAAAAUAGGACAUAUGGGGUACUUGUGACUAAUGCAUGGGCCGGGGUACUUGUGACUAAUGAUGAAAGCUUAGGCUUUUAGGGUGCCUCGGCAUCGAAAAACCCUCAAUGAUAAAAGCUUAGCUUUUAGGAUGCCUCAGUGUCGACAAACCCUAAAUGAUGAGACCAUGAUCUUGUUCCUUGACAAUAACCAACUUUUUGACCAAACUUUGUUCCUAUUUAGAGAGAAACAUGGCCAACAACGAUGAGACCGGGGGUUCGGGCGGCAAGGCAUUCUGGGAGCUAUCCCAGGAGAUGGAGGAACAACCUCACUUGUAUGAGGACGCCGCCUUCCCCACCGAUCCUGAGACCACUGAUGGUACCGCCGAGGAUGACCCCACUGAUGCCACCACUGAUGGUGCCGCCGAGGAUGCCACCACUGAUGAUGGCGGCGCACACAUAGAUGGCAGCCAAUCGAAGAGGCAACGGAAGGACCGGCGCCCGAUCGUGCUCCGCACCCUUAAGGAGGAAGUUACUGAAGUGGACUCCGACGGGAAUCCAACGGCGCCCGAAUGAAUAGUCAAGGGGUACUCGCUUCAGCUCGGGUGCAUUCUCCGGAGCACCGUCUCGAUCAACACCGAGAACCUGAGGCAUCCUGACCGAGGGAAUUUGCGCAACCUCCUCUUCACGAAGCUGCACGAACGAUACAAGUUCCCCGCUGAUUUUGAAAACACAAGCCUCAAAGGGAAUAAAGUGAACAAUGCUGCCCUCACGAAGAUGAGCAAGGCCCUGUCUACUUGGAAAAGCAAUGUGAAGAUAAUGAUCGAGAAAGGUGAGAGUUAUGAGAAGAUCAAGGAGAAAAAUCCUUCGAUCACCGAAGAUGACUACAACGACUUCAAGAUCAAUUGCUCGAGCACCGCAAACUCCCAAUCAAGUCAGUGGGGGAAAGAAAUGCGGGAGCUGAACUUAGGGGAACACAAACUCGGUCCCGGCGGUUACAGAGUGGCGGAGCCUAUAUGGGACAAGGAGGACGCGGAGCGUGCCGAGCAAGGCCUACCGCCCCGCUUCGAGAAAUAUAGCGGUAACAAGCAGACCAGGAACUAUGUCAGGUCCCGGUAUAAGGAGGACCCGAUAACAAAGGAGCUUACCACGGAUCCGAAGACCAGGGCGCUUGAGCUUGUUCUGGUAAGGAAUACACCCCCGCGUAAUUAGCUCCAUAUGGUUGCAUUCUAAUUAAUGAAGCCAAAUUUCUAAAUGGUUCACAUUCCUUCCGCAGGCGACUGAAAGCAGUAGCGUGGGGUCGACUAAGAGCAACCCUUGGGACACCACUCUAAAUAGGGCUUGAAUGUAAUGAAGAAUAAGGAUAAGCUCAGUAAGCCGACGUCAGCUGGUCGUGUGGCCGGCAAAGGCUUGUCCACAAAAUGGGGGUCAUACUAUACCGCUGGUGUGCGGAAGGAGAAAAAGACCAGCUCGGAAAGCCAGGCGCGCGAGGUUCAGGAACUCAAGGCACAUGUGGCGCGGAUUCCGGAGAUUGUCCAAGAGCAAGUGCAACAACAACUCGGAGCGACGAUCACCGCCAUUGUGCCUACCUUGAUCCAGGGGUUGAGUGCGUGGAUUGCGGGCGGCCAACAGGGGCCGCCCCCGAUUCCUAGCUUCACGGCCAGCAACUCGCAGAAUGCGAUGGCGGGGCCAUUGGUGUCUCCGGCGGAGGCGGCAUUGGUGUCUCCGACGCCAGCACGGGAGCUUAAUGCACCCGGGUGUACGUCGGCCGGCACCUCUGCAGCAAGCGGCCCCUCCGUCAACUGCACGCCCGCCGUUGGCGGUGCCUCGACAUUAGCCGAGCUCGACGCCAUCAUCACGGUAACUAAUUAAGCCUCUCUCGGUCGAGGACUUCAUCUCCUUGCCUUUGACUGGGCAUCCCUGAUGCCCUACAUGUUUUCGCAGGGCGCCGUCAAUGUUCCGUGCACUCUCCUGCACUUCGUGAACAACGAGUUGGUCGAUGUCACCAAGGGCAAAAUCGUUCAACCGGGCAACCCCUUGUUCCACGGUACCCAGAUGCCACCCAACUUGUUUAGGGUUGAACUGGUUCGGGUGCUGCCAGGCUGCGACGAGUUGUUACCUCCGAUUCGACCCGUCGGGGCCGACGAUGAUGACGUGAUGACCCUCAGCGCCUGCCUGAGCUGGCCCCUGCUUUGGCCGAAGAGCCAGAUUCGUUUGGGGGCGGGGGACACCACCCCAAAGACAACAUCGCCAGUCAUGCCGGCGCCAAGUCGGCCCCAUGGCAAGACCGUCGCAACGGUGCCGGACAUCCCUAUGCCACUGGAUCCAAACAUGCAUAUGGCACAGGAUCAGAACGACGACGACGACGAUACAUUUGGCAACGUCGAUUAGUACUUUGCCGAACAUGGGUACGAUGGCGACUUCAUGGGGCCUCCUUCUCAAGAACCCAACCCAACAAAAGACGUGCGCGAUCUAGCUGGUACCGCGGAGAAGCCAAGUUGCAACAGGCGUCGUCUGCCGUUCAGCUCUCAGGAGACGCCUCCAGCUGCCGACUUCACCGAGCCUCAAAUAGGCGAGGUGCGAAAUAUUAUCAGCCCAAAUACACUCAAGAAGGCGGUCUAUGAGCAGAACUCGGUCCCAUUACAGGAGAAGAAGAAGGCAUGCAAAAGAAAGACUAACAAGGGUGCGAGCCAGCCGGCACCGAGUACGAUCCGUGCUCAGGACGGGCCACCUUCACCUGAGGAUAUCUCGAGGAGGGUGCAUGUGGCGGGUAGGGCGAUGCUACCGACAAAUAUGCUCAAUGCUGCAACUGGUGCUAUGCGGAGUCUGCAUGACAGUGUUCUUUUUUUGGAGAAGCGGUGUCUCAGAGAGAAGGAUGUGGCAUACCCGGUUUUUGCGGCCAAGGUGCCAAAGGGCAAGGGCUUUGUGGAUAACUCCAUCGGGCGUAUGAUCGUCCUGUGGUUUGAUGACAUCCACGCUAUGUUGAACCUUCAUCCGCUGCACUACACCUUCGUUCGGCUAUUUUCGCUGAGUAUGGAGAUGCGGAUCAUUCAAGACAAGACCCUGGACAUCGUGAUAGUCGACCCCUUCUACAUGCGUGCCAAGAUCUUGGGCAGCGCUGGGGACCAGCAAGUCGCGAGUUCUUACCUCGAAGGCGUCAUUCUGGCAAACCAAGAUAAGGAUAACUUCCUCGUGCCUUACUUUCCCGAGUAAGUCCUCCCCUCAACCGGCCCGUAACAUAUGAAUUCUUAGAUUUCGAUCGUUUUUCUUUUAACAUUCCGUGUUUUCUGCAGUGACACACAUUGCACGCUCAUCCUCCUAAGCCCCAAAUAUUCCAUGGCCACGUAUUUCGACCCGGACCGUCAGUCGAACGUAGACUACACAAAUGUCAAGAAGGUUCUUGAUGAUGUUCUCCCCGGCUACGCCAAAUCUGGAGGCACCUUCACCAGGCCUAUUCGUAAGUACGACAAGCACGUGUUCUCCCACAAUACGACGUUCUGCUGCGUCAAGCAGCCGCCUGGAGGUCAGAAGGGUGCCUACUACGCCAUCCAUCACAUGCGGGCGAUCGUACGGGACCAUCAUCAACUUCUGCUACCGAGUAAACUCAAAGAUAGGGCCGCGAGCGUGUCGGCAAUCCAGGACGCGGACAUCAGACAAGAAUUCUUUCGCAUCCAGUCGGAGUUUGCGGAAAUCAUCCAUCAAGAUGUCCUUCGUACCUCGGGGCAGUUCUACCUCAGAAAUCAACCGUCCAACAGUGACAUCGACACAAUGCUACAAAUGUAGGCUGAUUACGCCCGUUCUUUCAUGACUCCCACGAUAGACGGCGGCUUCAUCCACGCUCCGGUCCCUUGAGUCGAGUCGAAAGCAGUGAUGCUGUGUCUAGUUCUGAAACAUCGAUUGGCUCAUGUUGUAAUUAAACUUUAAUGAACUUGUAGUAUGUCUUUUUGGUUUCGAGAGUCGUUCAACUUAGAUGUAAUCGAUGCUAUUAAUGUCUUGCUUUUCUCUUCCGAUUGUUCUGUUGCAUACUUAUAUAUUGCUUAUGUAUUGUCUGUUAAUUGGUACUAACGUUUCGUUUGGCUAGUGCAUAGCGAUGUCGUCGUAUGUCGUGUACAAGGGUAAGAUUCCCGGAGUCUACGACGACUGGGAGGAGUGUCGGAGACAGGUUCACUGAUUCAGUGGUAACAGUUACAAAGGGUACACCACUAGGGCCGAGGCCGAAUCUAGGUACGCCCGCUAUCUAGCGGGAGAGGGAAGGGAGCGUUGGAGGAACCGGAUGAAGACGAGUUUCAUCGUGAUGAUGCUCAUCGUGAUGACCGCAGCUCUCUUCUAUGGGAUGGUGGUUUAUAUGAUCGAUAUCGACUUGUAAUGUGAAGACAAACUCGCUACUCGCGGUCUCGAGACUUGUAAUAUAAUGUUCUAUCUUUGUUCGGUCUUUUCAAUUCAGAGACUAAUAUGAUGAAUUGUAUUCAGAGACUAAUAUGAUGAAUUGUAUUCAGAGACUAAUCUUCUAUUGUAUUCAAUGAAUCUGUUAUUGAUGUGUGUUGUCUAUAUUUUGUCCAAUUAUACAUUUUGUAACCUGUGCAAAAAACAGAAAAUAAAAAAAUAAAAAAAACUAAUAUUCAUACUAAUGGCGCAUCAUUAAACAGUGCGCCAUUAGUAUGCCGAAGUUACUAAUGGCGCAUCUUGUUGUUGUGCGCCCCCUGGUAUACAUGGCCCCCUGGGAGGCAUACUAAUGGCGCACUGUUGUAUAUACUAAUAGCGCAUCCAGUGGUGCGCCAUUAGUAUACCAGAUACUAAUGGCGCACCAGUGGUGCGCCAUUAGUAAAAUAUACUAAUGGCGUGGCACUAAUGGCGCACCACUAAUGCGCCAUUAAUGGCCAAAUUAGGUGCUCCAUUAGUAGGCCUUUUCCUAGUAGUGAUAUAUCUAAAAUCGGUGUCGUCGCCGAUCUAUCCACAUAACGUAUCAGGACCCACAGCCGGUGCAGCCUACCUAAAGCGCACACCACAUGCACACGUUUUAGAAGCCGUCAUCAUUGGACCAUUGAUUCAUCUUCAGGAGAGAGAUUCGCAUCAUCCUUGCCAUUCCAGAUAUCCGUCGACGCCACCACGGCACCUAAAGGCGCCACCGCCCUGCGCUCGUCCGUCCCGACGCAAAGACUCUAGAAGAUCUGUCGUGCGUAGCACCUGCUAAACAGGCAUGACUCAGCGUAGUACCUAUCGGUCAGGCAUGACUUGAAAGCUCCACCGAAGCUCCGUGCAAAAUGAAGCCGCUCCACCUCAUGUCUCUGUCUUCCAGCACUGCUCGACAAACGAUGCUCUCAAGAGAGAAACGGCACCAAAGUACCGCCAUCGUCCGAUCUGGAAGACCGGAUCCUAGGGUUUCCCCCAAAGCAGCAUGAGUGAGUCGACAACAGUUACCCGAUGAUGCCUUCAUCAAGGUAACGGCGCAAAACGCCGUCAUCGCCCGCCAAUGGCUCGGUUUUCAUCGGCAACUACGUCUCCCCGACUCGUAGCCGGGACUAGAUGACGAAUCUCGAGACCUGACCACCCAGCCACAGGCUGACCACCUCUGACAGAAGAGAUGACCACCACCGCCGACUGCAUCGAUCAGAACAUAUCUGACCGGAGGUGCUGCCGACGCAACCACCAAGCCCUCCACGCCACCGCUACCGAUCCAAAGGCAGAUGGCGUGUCGCCGCCGUUGCCAUCCGGACAGGGCUGGUCGCCGCGCCCGCAGCCCGCGCCGUCCCUGACGCCGCCGCGUCACAGCCAUCACCGUUGCCGAUUAGAUCGGGCACGCCUCCACACGAUUUGAGGCCCCGCCCAACCCCAGAUCGGCGCGAUAGAGGGUAUGUCCUUCGCCACCGCCGUCGGCCCCCGAGCUUAGACCGGCGUCGUUAGACCUGGCCAUGGGAAGCCCGGCCCGACGCUGCCCCUUGGCUUGGCUCGGGCCUAGAUUUUGAGCCCGAAGGCCGUGCCGGGCCGGGCCCGGGCCCGUCGUUUUCACGUUUUUUUGAAGGUUGGGCCGGGCCGGCCCGAAGCCCGACGGGCUUUUACGUGUUUGGGCCGGGCUUGGCCCCAGAAAACAAGCCUCAUGGCCGGGCCGGACCCGGGCCUGGGUUUUUUGCGUUGGGCUUGGUUGGCUAGGCCCGGCCCGAAGCCUGGCCCGGCCCGAGGUAUGGCCAGGUAUAGGCGUCGUCCCCCGACGGCGGCGGAGUGAGGGGAGGAGGGAGUGUGCGCUGAGUCGCCCGACACGGGGGCCUCAGGGCGGUGGUGGGUGUUUUUUCUUCCAUGUUGUUUUACAGUUGUGUGCCUGGCGUUCUUUUUCUAUGGCAUUAAUCCAGAUAUCGGGUGGACAACUGAAAUCACGGUAUCCGGCCAUGGAGCGGCAUGGCAAAAAGCGGUGCCACAACCCAACAGCCACCUGACAUGAAAGAAACAACUCUCAGGGAUGAGACGGACGCGAAGCCGAUGGAGGAAGGAUCCCAAUACCCUGACGACCAGUGGGGUAUUUGGAUUAUCAUUCAACUCCCCCUGUUGGUGGCUACAUCAAGUUUUCUCGUCAUCAUUCAAACAUUAUGUUUGUGUCUACCAUGUAUAUUUACCAACGACAUUGUCCAUGUCCUACUUUGGAGCUAGUUCAAAGGGCACCUGAGCCCAAUUGAAGCCGAGAAGCAAAGCAACCUACAAAUAACAUAUUUUACGAAUAAUCCGCAAAGGAGAAAAAACAUAUGCAAAUGAGAACUUAGGCGAUCUAUUUCAAUGAUGUUUGUGAGGAGUUGCCUGCAAAGUGAUUAUGUUCGACCGCACGUCCUACGGCAAAUGAACUGAUCCAUCGGAACCGGCCUUGCCCGGGGAGAGGUGGGUAUCACUACUCAAUCCAGCACACGACAACAAUCGAAUGAACGUCGGAUCUCGGCAGUCACCACACGAGCGAGCAACCAACCCUAGCGAUAGUGGCCACUGUGGGAGGCGGUCGAUCGGUCUGGCAAACAAUCGAAGCAGUGGAGGCUAGACAAGGCCCAACUGUCAGUGCAGGCGACAAGUGAGCAGCAACAGCGGUGCAGCGGCAUUGCUAGUGGCCGGUGUUGGUUGACGUGUUGCCGAGAUGGUUGUCGAUGCAAGGUUCGCCCCAUCUUAAUUUUUUUUACCCCCCGUCACUAUUUUGGCCUUGGCGUUCUUAUGUCUGGCUCACACGUCCUUGAGGUUUGAGUGCGUAUGUGUUCGUCUAAACCUUACUCAAACCCUAGUUUUUUUGGUGAGUCUCCUCCUCUCCUUGUAUGAAAUGGCAGAGCUCCUGCCUGCCUCAGCAAGUUUCCCAGGAAAGGGAAAAGAGAAAAAUUCAUUGGAGGUCAUCAUACUCGUCGCGUUGGCCACAUUAGUCCCUGUAGUUACAAAUACCCGAAAAUACGCCACUAAACUUGUCUCAGGGGUUCGCUUACGGUCCAAUCUACGAUUUCUUAUACGUACGCGCUGAUUUGGCAGCUGACUGGCUUGUCCACGCGUGUGUUGACUGCCAACUCAUUAGCACCCGGUCUAAACGAAUUAAUACGAAGGAAUGCGGGGAUUGUUUUGCAAAAUCUCCUCCUGCUGCUGCUCGCGCCCUCGGUCGUCUCCGCGUCGACGCCGAACUGGAGCUUCCGCGAUGAUGGCACGCCGCUCGUAAAUAUGCACUGCCAGCCGCCCCUCCGCUCAUCAACACCACAAACACAUCGGCGGGGAGGAUCCAAUGGAGUCGUCGUCGGUGGCGGUGGUGGCGGUGCCGUUCCCGAUGCAGGGCCACCUGAACCAGCUGCUGCACCAGGGCCGGCCCUGAGGGGGGGCAGGGGGGGGCGCCCCGGGCCCCCAAAAUCAAGGGACCCCUCCCUAGACGCGCAGGUAGCCCAUGGGCCAUUGCCCAGAGAGGUAGGGGAGGGGCGCAGCCUUCGAUCACGCAGAAGCAACCUUCGUUCCUCAAAAAGAGGCAAGCAUUCCUUUGAUCGAGCAAACGCUGCCUUCCUCCGAUCCUUAAUUGCCCAGUUUGUUGAUUCCUAUCCCCCACCGAGUAGUACUAAUUUUUUCUUCCCAAACUCUUCAAACGGCUUACUCAAAGCCGUGGCGAUCUCUAUUCCGAGUCCUGGUCUCCUGGAUCGUUGGACGUGCACAUCCUCGAGCUCCUGCCGCCGGAGUCAGACGCCGGUCCAAUGGCUUUAGCCUCGAGCGCUGAUGAUCGAUGCCGAUCCGAUCUAUCCCAGGUGCUCCGUAUUGCAGUUACAUAUUCCCCACACAAGUAUAUUGCUAAUUAAGUAAUUUACUUCAGCAUAUACAUUACAUACUUUGCAUUGUUCAUUCAUCACAUCUUUUUAUAAAAGAGAGCGUCCUCUUCGUUUUUAUAUUUAACUAAAAUCACAAUGUUCUUACAGUACCUUCACCGCUUCACCACAUGUAUCUUUCGAAGUAUACAUGUUCAUUAUAUUAGGGCAUGUACAAUGUGAGAGCUAGUAGCGAGCGCCAAUGUGGAGUUCCUUUCGGUUAUACCUCGUUUCCGUUUGAUCACUAGCGCCAAUGUGGAUUUCCUUUUGGUUAUGCCUCUUUUCCGUUUGAUCACUAGCGCCAAUGUGGAUUUCCUUUCGGUUAUGCCUCGUUUCCGUUUGAUCCAAGAGUUUCCCUUUGCGUUGAUGUAUGAAGUGUUGCAGGGCGUCCCAAAGAGAUUCGCUCCCACACACACAUAUUUGACGAGAGGCUAGCGCUAUGCUGGACGCUAAAAACGUCCUAGAAAAUCUUUUAGCUUCAACUAACUCAAAAGAUUUUAGUUGUUGGAUGGAGUAGACGCUAGCAUAGUUGCUCAUCCAUUUUUUCACUCGUAUCGCCUCUAAAUUGAUUUUAUCGGUCAAGCAACAUACUGUAACGACAGAUCAUGCUCGCGCAAUGUGGUAGAUCGCGUUGCGCGACAGGGCAUACAAGCGAAUGUUAGCGCUUUAGAAUUUUUGUAUUUAUUAUUAUUGCUAUAAUGUUUAUAUUAAGGGCCCCAAAUUUUAUUUCGCCCCGGGCCCCCAAAAUCUCAGGACCUGCCCUGGCUGCACCUGUCGCUGCAGCUCGCGUCCGAGUCUCACGGGCUGGACCUGCACUACGCGGCGCCCGCGGCGCACGUCCACUAGGCGCGCGCGCGCGUGCACGGCUGGGACGCGGAGGCGCUCCGCUACGUCCACUUCCACGAGCUCGAGAUCCCCGCGUUCGCCGCCCCGCCCCCCGACCCGGACGCCGCCUCGCCCUUCCCCACCCACAUCAUGCCCAUGUUCGAGGCCUACGUCGCCGGCGUGGCCGCCCCGCUCGCCGCGCUCCUCCGGGAGCUCUCCGCAUCCCGCCGCCGCGUGGUCGUCCUGCACGACGUCCUCAACGCCUUCGCCGCCGUCGAGGCGGAGCGGCUGCCCAACGGGCAGUCCUCCGGGCUCUACUGCGGCGCCGUGUUGUACAUGGUCGGCAUGGUGGACGCCGGGCACCGCCUCCUGCGGGACAGGGGCCUCGAGUACGCCCCCAUGGACAGGUUCGUGUCCAGGGAGUUCAUGGAGUGCGCCAAGAGACAGUACAUCAUGGCGCAGUCGGUCUCGCGCGACGGUGGCAUGAUCGCCAACACGUGCAGCGCGCUCGAGGGCGAGUUCGUCGACGCCUUCGCCCAGACCCUCGCCGCCGUCCGCCAGAGGAUCUUCGCUGUCUGGCCGUUGAAUCCUCUGCUGGAGCUGGAGCUGGACCAGAUCGACGCGAAGCAGGGGCGGCACGAGUGCCUGGACUGGCUCGACAAGGAGCCGGCGGCGUCGGCGCUCUACGUGUCGUUCGGCUCGGAGUGAGGUCCUCACUCCGAGGUUCGCAGGUCGCGGAGCUCGCCGCAGCAAGCAGCGCUUCAUCUGGAUGCUGCGCGACGCCGACCGCGGCAGCGUGUCCACGGCCGACGCCUACAGCUUUGCAUCCAUCCAUCCGUGUGCUUUGCUUUGCUUGCUGGAGUGGUAGUAAUCGAGGCGCUGGUUUGCUUUGAACAGCAGCCGCCUCGGUCGCAUACAUGCGUCGCCACUAGCUAGGCUACGCUAGGAUGCAUGCUCCAUGCAAUGGAACAAAAGAUUGUGCACGACUACAUAUGCAAACCAAGACCAGCAGAACAGGCGGCACAGCAGGGCGGCCAAUGAGUGCGCGGUUGGACUGGCUGGCUGCGCCCUGCCGCUCUGCUCCUGUGGAUGACAGUCUUGGCUCGGCUUGGGUGGCCGGACGACGGGAGGCUGGAUGGAUGGGUGACUGCUCGAAGCAGAGGGGCAGAGGCCGCCGAUCUGCCGCGCUUAUCCCAGGGCUACAGCUGCCGCUACAGCGAGCGAGCCCAUGCAAGCACGUCGCCUCAGGAAUCAAAUGACCGCGGGCAGGGUGUCCACGCACGACGACCACAGGGCGCGGGCGGCGGACCGCGGGUCGAGCCAGAUGUCGAGGCCGGGGACGGAUUCCCAGCGGCGGCGCCAGGUGCGGACCAGCUCCUCGAAGGGGAGCCGAGCACGACGACGAACAUGGGAGAGCAGGGGAGAGCUAGUGGUGCAGCGGUCCGGUCCGACCAGAUGGAUGGCUCGGGCCAAAUUUGCGAAAACCCUCCACAUUCAUUCGUAUUACUUCGUUCCAACCAGCUUCGUACUAGGUGGCAGUCAACGCACACGUGGCCAAGUCAGUCAGCCGCCAAAUCAUCGCGUACGUAUAAAAAACGUACAUUGGACCGUAGGUGACCCCUGAGACAAGUUUUGUGGCGUAUUUUCGGGUAUUUGUAACUACGGUGACUAAAGUGACCAACACGACAAGUACGAGGACCUCCAGUGAAUUUUUCUCAAGGCAAAAAAACAUACGGGCUGUGGCGUGGGCUCCGUGGGCCGGUGCUGUGGCCGAGUGGGGACCACCUGUAAGCGCAGAAAACUCUGAAUUAAUGUGUCAGUUUCUCUCUUGGCUCUGCACUUUCUUCUACCUCUCCUCUCCCCUCCCCUCCCCUCCCCUGUAAUCUCUCCUCUUCCCCAGACCCCUCUCUGUUCCUCUCAUUGGAUCGGAAAGAAGAGAGAUUGGGCGGUGACACUCCACCUCCAUCGAUCCCCUCGAGACCUAACCAGCAUACGCGAAUCGCCGAUCCGGACCAUGGACGCCAACUGGCGGCCCACCCAAGGGUCUGGCCCCGCCGGCGGCGGCGGCGGCGGCGGCGCUGACCCGCCCCCCGCCGGAGGCGACUGGCGCGCCCAGCUCCAGCCCGAGGCGCGCGGCAGGAUCGUCGAUAAGAUGUACGUGUGCCUGUAGGGACUCACUCUAAUUCAUUGAUUGAUUUGAUCUGAUUUCCCCUUCCUCUGCUCUUUCGGUUUCCCGCAAAGAAAAAAAAAGAGGACUUUUUUUUCAUCGAUCCGUCUGACGAGAGCCGCUUUGAUCUAAACUUCCAGUUUCGUGCAUACUGAUUCGUAGCGGCACCGGCAGAUUCGUCCGUCGUCGAUCUAGCUCCCAGUUUCUAUUUUGAUUCUGUAUAUAUAUAUAUAGUCAAAAUCCCGUCUGAUUUGAAUCCAGCUUAUCACUCCAUUAACUCUGAACUGUUUUAACACAAUUUUGCCAUGGCACAACGUUUGAUCACCUAGGGCAGACCCUUCUAUUCGUACUAUUCCAGGACGCAAUUUUGUUAUGAAGUCACACACACAAAAUUUGUUCACAUUUUGCGCUGUGCGUGUAGAAUGGAGACUCUGAAGAAUCAUCUGCCAGUAUCUGUGCCUGUGACGCCAGAGGCACUGAACGAACUUCAAAAAAUCGCUGCGCGAUUCGAAGAAAAGGUCUAUACCGAAGCAACCAGUCAGGUAAUUUAACAUAUCCUCGACCGUGCGAAACUGCUAAUCACACAAGAACUGUUGGUUGUGAGCCGCUAUCAGUAAUUUGGUAUAGAACUUUACAUCGUUUUCUUUUUGUAUUACUCAGUAUGAUUAUUUGCGGAAGAUUUCUGUGAAGUUGCUCUCAAUGGAGACGCAGAGACAGCAGGCUCCUGGAAAUGCUUUGCUGAUUCCAAAUCAAAACAACCCUGGUAACGUACCAUGUACACUAAACUGUGCUGCACAAUUUAUCAUCUUCGCUUGGAUGUCAAUAUAUUUUAUUGCAUCAGGUGCUGAGAUUAUGUGCUUUAUUGCAUCAAGUGCUGAGAUUAUGUGCUUUAUUGCAUUAAAUCACCCUCCACCCUCGUCAGCAUAAUGUAUAAGCUUUUUGCAUAUAGCUUGUGUCAUGUGUACGUGGUUAUUGAACUUGGAGCGACACAGUAAGUGCCUCAGUUCAACCUAUUGGUUCAAUAUAAUAUUAUAGCAUGGUUUUUCUGUUAGUAUGGUAGAAACAAUGUUAAGUACGAAGAUAGCAAAUGAACAGACUAGUUAGUUAUUCAACUGGGGUAAUCCGCCUUCCUACCUUAAAAUGGUCAGAUUCCUUGCACAUACAGCAUUUUACUGACCCCUGGUACAGCGUCGGAUUGGGUUGUUCAACCAGGUUUUCACCGGUUCACAGCAACGAUCUUCAGCUCUUUGUAGAAUUAUGUUUAUUCCCUCCUUGCUACCUUUAGAAGGUACUCCCUCUGUCCUAAAAUAUAAGAACGUUUUUAACACUACACCAGUGUCAAAAACGUUCUUAUAUUAUGGGACGGAGGGAGUAGAUCAGUUGGUUAGCUGUCAGCUGUAUUUACGUUGACUCUCAUAUUAAUAAAAAGAUAUGCAAACACUUGUUUGCAUGCUCUCUAAAACAAAUCAGGUUGCCAGUCCUUUAAUUGCUCUGGCACAUUUAUUUUUCUCAUUGAAAAUGCAGAACGCCUUCAUUUGAUCUGUAAUAUGCUGCUUUCAACACUUUGUGUGCCUGUUACAGUUCCACAGGAAGUAUUUGUUCACAAGAUACUUUAUUAACACACAUAUGGUACCUUUUCUGCACAGCCCCUGGACUCCAUCCACAAGGCAGUAAUCAAGCACAGACAUCAGCAGUUCCCUUGAUGUCUCAGCAACAGGCCCGGCAGCCAAAUGCUUCUACAUCUGUACAAGCUUCUUCACUCACUAAUAUCAGACAGAACUUGCCAGGUGUCAACCAAACAUCAAUGAUGCAGACUGCGUCUGUCAUUCCACAAAACACAAUGAAUAAUGGCUUGGCGCAAGGCACUUCACAAGAUGUUUAUGCUGCACAAAGGCAAAUGGCAGGCAGGCAGCAACAGGAACAAUCUCAGCAAUUAAUUUAUCACCAGCAUCAACAGCCUUCUCUGCAGAGUCAGCAGCCCAAUAUUCCUUUACAACAGCAGCAACAACAGUUGAUGGGACAACAGCCAAAUUUACAACAAAAUCAGCUAAUUGGUCAACAGAAUGGUGCUGUGAUGAUGCAGCAGCAACAGAGGCUAACAGUUCAGUCAAAUAAUCUUUUGAAUGUGCAGCAAACACAUCAGAUGUUGAACCAGCAGUAUAUGCCUUUGUAUCAGCCACAACAAUUGGGCUCUCAAGCAAAUAUGUUGAGUCUAAAGCAGCAUCAACAAAAUCAACAGCAGCAGCAACUUUUUGGAACUGUGCCUAAUGUGUCAAACAUGCAGUGGAUGCAUAUGCAACAAACAAAAGCUCAGCAACCACAGCAACAACAUGCUCAGCAGCCACCAAUGGGUUUGAUGCAACCUCAGUUUCAACACAAUCAACUUCAACAAUUGCAACAUCUUAUGCCACAGUUCCAGUCUCAGCCUAACCAACUACAAGAGCAAUUAAGGACGCAGCAGCAAUCCUCCAUGCAGCAAAGACUUCAAACUUCAGGAGCCAUGUUCUUGCAACAAAAUAACAUGGAUCAGCAAAACCAGUUUAUUCAGGCACAGAGGGGCCUUCAAGAAGUUUCCUCUAGUAGUAAGUUUUCACUUUUCACAUAUACCUUUUUUGUAGAUCCAUCAUAUGCUCUUAUUGUUCUCAUCUUCUUUUUCUCCAUGUUCUUAUAUCAAUCUUCCUGUUGUCACCUUACAUUCCUUGUGCGGUUUAAACUAGCUUAACAAUCUGGCCUCUCAUUAUUUUUGCCUUACUUACAUAGAAACGUUUAGGGAAAAAUGUGUGUUGUCCAUCAGGACCCCCACACCCUUACUUAUCGUGCUAACAAUUACGUUGGACUAUAAUACAAGGUCCGUAUGAGACUACAACCGGAAUUUUUGGAUCCUAACUCUUAUUGAACCCUUAGGGCACUCCCGGUGCAUUGUAUCUUGCAUUGUAUCAUAUGCAUUAAAUAUGUGUAGAUAUAACUCUUCCAAUGGCUUAUAUCUUAGUGUUAUAUCUAAUGGAGCUGCCAUUUAAUAUGUUUUGUGGGAGGAAAAAAAUUAUUUUGGGUUACCCGAUAAGAGUUGUAUUUUCAUAAGAUACAACAAUAUCUCUCUUUUUCCUCACUAACUAGGCUACUUCAACAGUAUUUGGACUUCUGCACAGAUGGCAUGUUUUAGAUACAACCGGCAUUAUUGCACUGGGUUUGCCCUAAGUACGACUCAAAACAGUUUAUGAAAUUAAUGUGAUGCUACAUGAACUAGCUUGAAUGUUCUUUAAAACUUCUUUGAAGAUGACAACCAGAUUCAUAAUUCAGAUGCAAUUAUAUGAUUUUUGACAAGUGAAAUGCGCCACAGGUCCUAGAACUAUCGACUGGUGUGAAGUUAGUCCUAAAGCUUCAAAAGUGCAUUUCAAUCUUUUUUUUUGCCUGAACUACGGUGGAUAGAUGGACAGCUUGAAGAUGGAAUUAUAUUGCGAUGUUUAGUGAUCCAGUACUCUGUAAUAAUAUGUUGACUAAACUGACCCUAUUGAUCUUCAGUGACUUCUGUUCAGCACAUUGGUUUUUCUUAUUUGUUGGAAUUUUUCUGGAAAAGUGCUACUGUGCGAUAAUCAUAUUGACUAAGCUGACCAUAUUGAUCUUCUGUGAUUGUUUGAUUUGGUUCACAAGUUCUCCAAUUGCCCCAUAUUGAUCUUCUGUGAUUGUUUGAUUUGGUUCACAAGUUCUCCAAUUGCCCCUGCAUUCCAUCCUACAAUGUCUUUUUUUUCUUUUCGAAAAGGAGGUUAAACCCCCGGCCUCUGCAUCAAUGCCUACGAUGUACUUGUAGCUUGUUAUUUGUUGGCUUUGUUCAUUUUAUCCUGAUACUCUUUGCCAAUCUUGCUUUUUAUGCAGCAUCUGCGGACUAUACUGCUCAAACAGGCCAUGCAAGUGCAGGUGAUUGGCAAGAGGAGAUACAUCAAAUGGUAAGACAUGAUACUGAUAUCAUCCUUUUUGGCACUCCCUUUCUUGGUACUUCCUAAAAUUCGUAGACAGUGGCCCCUAGAACAAAGAUGUUGAGAUUGCCCUGAUCUAGAUUGUUAGAAGAUGAAACUACACACCAUGUUGGAUGUUGGGGCCUUUUACUUUUGCACUUAAUGUUGUCUAUCUCUUUUUCUUUUGGUCUGUGUUCCAAGAAAUUCCUCUUUUGGAAUUUCAUACAGCAAGUGUGUAGAUGCACUACAUUCUGGCAUUCCACUUAUAAGAUAUACUCCCUCUGCCUGGAAAUACUUGUCAUCAAAAUGGAUAAAAGGGGAUGUAUCUAGACGUAUUUUAGUUCUAGAUACAUCUCUUUUUAUCCAUUUUGAUGACAAAUAUUUUCGGACGGAGGGAGUAUAUUACAUGUAUACGGAAUUCUGUUUGAAUGCGGAGUAUGGAGCAUACAACCAUACAGUCUAUCUAGAUGUAGUAAAGUCUCAAGGCAGAUAGCAAUCUUUAUUAAAGCUAUUUUAUUUAAUGGGCAUCAUAGUUUCUUAUUUUCUUCUAGAUUUGUGUGCUGCUAAAAGCUACUUGAAAUAUCUUGCCAAUGCCAUAUUUUCUGACUUGAUGACAAACCAUGGUCUAUUAGCUGUUCUGUUUUCAUCUCUAUAUUGCUUCUGCACCAAAUUAAUGUUUAUGUGGUCUUUGUUGUCGACAGAUUAAGAGGUUAAAGGACCAAUACUUUGCAGAACUCAGUGAAUUAUUCAAUAAGAUGUCUGUGAAGCUACAGCAUGUUGACAGCAUUAUUCCACCUCAAAUAUCAUCUGAGCAGUAUGAUAGAAUGAAGAGCUUUAAAAUAAUGUUGGAGCGCAUAUUACAAAUGCUGCAAAUUGGUAAAAGUAGUGUCCAACCUGCUAUGAGGGACAAAGUUCCUCGAUAUGAGAAACAGAUUAUCAGUAUCUUGAACUCAAAAAGGAAGCCAGUGCAGCCACAAAUACAACAACAAUUCCAGCCACCUCCAGGUCAAGCUCCUAAUUCUAGUAUUUCACAGCAGCUACAACCUUCCCAAAAUUUGCAGUAGCAUGAUAGUCAUACUAAUACUCAAAGUUUGUUAAGUAUGAGCACCAGAUUACAGUCCUCUAGUGUAGCUGGUAUCCAGCAUGUACCUGUGCCUCGAACAAUCCUUGUGUAGUUUAAACUAGCUUAUCACACUACUGCAGCAAUGCCUACCAGUGGCGGUUGCAAUAAGGCUACCAGUGGUGGGUAGGGCACCUCGCCACGGUAUCCUGACACUGGUAAUAUGUUGCCUGUGGCGGGUGUCAUUUCUCACCCAUGGUUGGCAACCAAUUACCAGUGGGGGCUGGCCUAUUCACCCUUGUAUGUGGCACGCUAGUGGCGGCACGUUCCCCCACCCGCCACCGGUAACCUCCCCCUAGAUGAAAAAUGAACGCUGCCACGGCAACAUAAAGCACUACCAUGUCAGAUUUUUUUGCUGUCGUGGCAGCGUUUUUGCACAUUACAUUAUAUAUGCAUCGCAUUACAUAGAUAAAUUGAUUCAUCACAUUAUACAUGCAUCCAACUACCUAGGAACUAUACUAGAACUAAUUAGAAGUAGGAACUAUGAACUACAUCUUGUAACUAUACUGGGACUAUAUACUAGAACUAAUCAGAAUUGCAUAACUAAGAACUAUAUCUUUUAACUAUACUAGAACUAAUUAAGAGUUGAAUUUAAGAUUUGCAUCAUGAGAAUCAAAUCCCUAGGCCUCGAGAUUGAAUUUCUGAUCAACAGGGAGAAGAGGGAGAGAGCUUACUGUGGUGGCUGAGGCAGAGGCACCCCACGAUCGAGUUGGGCAGGACCGUAUGGCGGUGAGGGUGGUCCGGGCACGCGUGACUAGCGAGGGUGACGACCGUGCAAGCAAGGCAAGGGCGAUGGGCAGCUAGGGAUUUGUGCAAAGGAAGAAGGGGAAUUUGGCCAGGUCCUGUGUGGCCUAGGGUUAAGUGGAAUGAACUUACCGGAGGUGUUGUGGGGGUUGAUUUAAUCAUAAAGUAAUUAUGUGGAAUGGACUUACCGAUGGUUGAAGGGUCUAACAGUUCGGGUAAUAGUAGACAGGACCAGCCAAUGAUUGUUUUCUAAGGCCCACAACUGAUAUUGUUUUUGCAAUUUCCCAUACAAUAUCAUAAAACCAUAAAACCCUAAAACCCUAAAAAUGACAAUAAAUACCUAACAAUGUACCAGUGGUGGGUGGCAAGAGAGCCCGCAAUUGAUUUGUAAAGUAUCAGUGGCGGUCGUCAUAUUUUAACCGCCACCGGAGUUUGAGCUCAGAUAUUAGCCCAUGGCUAAUUUGGGCCAAUCUGGGCAGGUGGGUAUCAUAGACCGCCACUCGUAACUCAAUUACCAGUGGUGGGCGGGCGAACACACUUGCCACUGGUGCCCACGGCUAAUCUGGGACCAUAAUACCAGUGGCGGGUGCGAAAUGAUGCAAUUAAGCAGUAUUGUCGAUCUGGCCUCUCAUUAUUUUGGACAUGGCUAGCCAGCGCCCAUGCGUUCAUUGGGGCUGACGAGCAGUUGCCCAUAUACGGAAAGUCGGUCUGUCACUUUCCCAAAAGAGCAAAACUAGUGUCCCCCACCACGUGAUUCCAAAGCUAGCCGAAUCCAGAAGGGAAAGUACUCGACGUCUUCACCUUACAAGGAAAUCAAUUACGAUCCUAUCCCACAUGCAUUUAUUUGGGUUUCAAAAAAUUUAAAAAGCUAUAAUUUUUGUUUACACGUCGGAACUCAGAUCUGUUUUCACCGCUGGGUUUCUCGCGACAAGUUCUUCAAAAGUAGAUCCCAUAUGGGUAGGUUUGGACAGACUUUUUUCGUGGGCAACUUUGGGUGGUAUUGAGGCAACUUUAGUGCUAUAGGAAGCAACUUCUUUUUUCCCAGUAUAAUUGCCUAACAACAAAAAAUCCUAUGGAGGCAACUUUAAUGCUAUAGAAAAAUAAUUUCUUCUUAGUUUGUCUAGCAUGACUGCCUACAAUAGAAAGUCCUUAUAUUGUUAGCUACCAUUACUAUCGAGUUAACUAGAUUCACCAUCAAGUUGCCUACCAUAACUAGCAAUAGAAGACAAUAUAGCAUCAACUGUAGACGACUUCGGAAUAUUAUAGGCAAUUUAGGAACAACGACAUAUGAGCAAGAACCGUACGCAACUUAAAAGCACCGGUGAGCAAGUUAGGAGAAUGUCGGGCAAAAUUAACUAGAACACAAAAUUUGGUGAAGUUGGCUAUUUUUAGCACCAAAGUUGCCUCUAGUAGAACGAAAAAUGGUUAGGAAGGUUAUGUGAUGUCACCUACCUCUCGAAGUUGUUCACUAUUAGUAGUGAGUGGCUUAUUGUUGCCGAUCAUAACUAGCAAUGGCAGACAAUAGAGCAUCAACGACAGGCGACUUCAUUGUAUUAUAGGCAAUUUAGAAAUGAGCAAUGCUACACAUACAUGAACUUACGUCCAGGUUUUACGUAAAUGAUGAUGUGGGUGUUGUUAAUUGGGCCAGGAUUAGCAGCUGGGGCCCACCCUGGUUGAAAUCAGGGGAGAGGAGAGAAUGAUAUGGAAGGUUAAGUAAGCAUACUUAGGACCUUUCGUAGGUCUAGCAUUUUUGUUUAGAAUUUACGACAUACAAGCAUGAAUGGUAGGCAAGGUUUACGAGUCGAUGAGUGGACAAGUCGUUCUGAGGUUGAGACUCAUAGACUAAGUGUGACUAAUCGACACGAAUCGACACUGAAGUUUCGACUCAGAGACUAGUCGACACUGAAGCCUAGUCGGCCCUGAAGUUGAGACUCAUAAACUAGUCUACAGAAUAGUCUUGACUAGUCCUUGGACUCAUAAUCCAUGAUAGUAGGCAAGUUAGAAGUAGCGGUGAGCAAGUUAGGAGAAUGUUACACAAAAUUAACUAGGACAUCAAAUGUAGUGAAGUUGCCUAUUUUGGUGAACUAACUAAAGUUGCCUCUAGUAGAAGGAAAGUUGCUUAUGAAGGUGAUGUGGUGUUACCUACCUCUUUUUUGAAAGUUGUUCGCUAUUACUAGUUAGUCGCUUAUAGUUACUAAUUAGUUGCUUUUAAUAGAGUGAGUUUCUUCUGUUUAGCACUACAAUUGCCUCAUCUAACAUCAAAGUUGCUUUUGAAAAACAAAUCGAAACAUAUCCAUAUGGGUUCACAUUUUGAAGAGCUAGUCGUGACCUGGCUAGCCAGUGCCCACACUCUUAGUAGCGUUGGCGGGCACAUAAUCCCCCCUACCUCGAAAUGGAAAGCACAAGGCUCUCGUACAAUCCGUCCCCACUUAGUUUCCAAAUUUGGAAUCAUGAUAGGCAACUUAGAUCCCACUUUUUUUUUCUGAUGUUGUAGCCAACUUAUAUCCCUUGAUGGACAACUUCCAUAGUAUUGUAGGAAAUUGAGGAUUACCCAUAGGGAACUUCGUAGCGACGUAGGCAACUAGGUUUUUGAGGUCGACAACACUAGGAGCCAUCUUAGGCAACUUUCCGCUCUAUGAUAAGCAACUUCCAUAGUAUGGUAGGCAACCAAACUAUCAACAACUUAGUUUUUGAUAUAUGUAAUGUAGCAACCAUGUUAACACUUAUAACACUACUGCACACAACUAAUUAGAAGGCUACUAGGUGAAUUCACUAAUACACAUAGUGCAAUUAAGUUGCUUCUUUGUAGCGCCAAAGUUGCCCAAUGUAGCAUCAAAGUUGCUCUAAAAAAAGUUCGUCAAAAUAUACCCAUAUGGGAUCUAGUUUUGAAGAACUCGUCGCGAGACCCAACGGUGAAUAUGAAUCUGAAUACCAAUACUCUAAUCAAAAGCUAUGACUUGUUAAAUUUUAUAAAACCCAAAUAAAUGCACCUACUUUUCCUUUCUUGAUUGAUGUGUGCAAAAUAGGGAGCGUUCGAAGGGAUGAGGACCAGAUACUUUCCCUUUUUGUAGUGUAAUGAUGACACGGGGUGCCAAUUACCCUUUAUAGCAGGUCUGCUCAGAUGCACCCCGUGCCGUGUGAGUUUUUUGUCGUGUACUGCGUGCGCUCAGGAAGCCCAAUUAGUGCAGCUGCACUAAGAAGCAUUUGGGCAUUAUUUUUACCUUACAUAGAAAAAAAGUUUAGGGGAAAAUGUGUGUUGUCCAUCAGGACCCCCACGCCCUUACUUAUCGUGCUAACAGUUACGUUGGACUAUAAUACAAGGUCCUUAUUAGAAAACUGGACUUUUGGAUCCCAACUCUUAUCAAACCCUUAGGGCACUCCUGGUGCAUUGUAUCUUGUGUUUUAUCAUGUGCACUAAAUACGUGUUUAGAUACAACUCUUCCAGUGGCUAAUAUCUUGUUGUUGUAUCUAAAUGAGCUGCCAUUUAAUAUGUUGUGUGAGGGAAAAAGAAUAAUUAUCUUGGGUUACCUGAUAAUGGUUGUAUCUUGGUAAUAUACAUUCUCUCCUUUUCCUCACUAACUAGGCUUCAACAAUGGUAUUUGGACUUUUGCUUAGGUGGGAUGUUUUAGAUACAACUGGCAUCAUUGCACUGGGUUUUCCCUAAGUACGACUCAAAUAGUUUACAUGAAUUAGCUUGAAAAUAUUUUAAACUUUUUUGGAGAUGACAACCAGAUUCAUUUCAGAUGCAAUUAUAUGUUUUCUGACAAGUGAAAUGCACCAUAGGUCCUAGAACUAUCGAGGGGGUGGCAAGUUAGUCCUAAAGCAUUAAAACUGCAUUUCACACUUUUUUUAACCUGAAUUAAGAUGGAUAGAAGGACAGCUCGAAGAUUGAAUUAUAUAUUGUGAUGUUUAGUGAUCAAGUACUGUGUAAUAAUCAUUUUGACUAAACUGACCUUAUUGAUCUCUGACUGUUGUUCACCACAAUGGGUUUUCUUAUUUGUUAGAAUUUUUUGUGGAAAAAUGCUACUGUGCAAUAAUCAUGAUGACUAAGCUGUCCAUAUUGAUCUUCUGUGAUUGUUUUAUUUGGUUCACAAGUUUUCCAAUUGCCCCUGCUUGUAGCUUGUUCUUUGUUGGUUGUUCAUUGAAUCCUGAUACUCAUUGACAACCUUCUUCUCCAUGCGACAUCUGUGGAUUCUACUGCUCAACAGGCCAUGCAGGUGCAGGUGAUUGGCAAGAGGAGAUCUAUCAAAUGGUAAGACAUGAUACUGAUAUCAUCCUUUUUGACACUCCCUUGGAACUUCCUAAAAUUCGUAGACGGUGGCCCCUAGAACUAAGAGGUUAAGAUUGCCCUGAUCUAGAUUGUUAGAAUAUGAAACAAGACACCAUGUUGGAUGUUGGGGCCUUUUACUUUCGCACUUCAUGUUGCCCAUCUCUUUUUCUUUUGGUAUGUGUUCCUGGAAAUUCCUCUUUUGGAAUUUCAUAUAGCAAGUGUGGAGAUGCACUAAAUUCUGGCAGUCUUUAUAAGAUAUAUAUUACAUGUAUGCUGAAUUCUGUAUGAAUGUGGAGUAUGGAGCAUACAACCAUACAGUGUAUCUGGAUGUUGUAAAGUCUCAAGGCAGUUAGCAAUAUUUAUUAAAGCUUUUUUUUAUGGGCAUCAUAGUUUCUUAUUUUCUUCUAGAUCUAUAUGCUGCUAAAAGCUACCCCCUCUGUAAACUAAUAUAAGAGCAUUUAGAUCACUAAAGUAGUGAGAUCUAAACGCUCUUAUAUUAGUUUACAGAGGGAGUACUUGAAAUAUCUUGCCAAUGCCAUAUUUUCUGACUUAAUGACAAACCAUGGUCUAUUAGCUGUUCUGUUUCAUCUCUAUAUUGCUUCUGCACCAAAUUAAUGUGUAUGUGGUCUUUGUUGUCGACAGAUUAAGCGGUUAAAGGACCAAUACUUUGCAGAACUCAGUGAAUUAUUCAAUAAGAUGUGUGUGAAGCUACAGCAUGUUGACAGCAUUAUUCCACCUCAAAUAUCAUCUGAGCAGUAUGAUAAAAUGAAGAGCUUUAAAACAAUGUUGGAGCGCAUAUUACAAAUGCUGCAAAUUGGCAAAAGUAGUGUCCAACCUUCUAUGAGGGACAACGUUCCUCGAUAUGAGAAACAGAUUAUCAGUAUCUUGAAUUCACAAAGGAAGCCAGUGCAGCCACAAAUACAACAACAGUUCCAGCCACCUGCAGGUCAAGCUCCUAAUUCUAUCAUUUCGCAGCAGCUACAACCUUCCCAAAAAUUUGCAGCAGCAUGAUAAUCGUACUAAUGCUCAAGCAAGUUUGUUAAGUAUAUGAGCACCGGAUGACAGUCCUCUAGUGCAGUUGGUAUCCAGCAUGUACCUGUGCCUAGAACAAUCCUUGUGUGUAGUUUAAACUUGCUUAUCGCACUGCUGCAGGAAUGCCUACCAGUGGCGGCCGUAAUAAGGCUACUAGUGGUGGGCAGGGCACCCUGCCACGGUAACCUGACACUGGUAAUAUGUUACCAGUGACGGGUGCCAUUUCUCACCUGUGGCUGGUAACCUAUUACCAGGGGCGGGCUGGCCUACUAACCCGCCAUUGUUAUGCGGCACCAUACCUGGCCAUGGGAUACCCAACCCGGCCGGCCCAACCUGACCCGGUCUGGUCUUGCCCAUGGGCCAGGUCUGUGCCUGAAAUCUAAGCCAAAGGCCGGGCCGGGCUUGGGAUUGGCAUAUUUGCAUUUUAGGGAAGAGGCUCGACCUGAGGCCUGACGGUCUUUUCCUUUCAUGUGCCGGGCUUGGCCCUGAAAUCUAGGCCCGAUGGCCAGGCCAGGCCUGGGCCUAGGUUUUCUGCUUUGGGUUUUGUUAGGCCCGCCCCGGCCCGACGGAUGGCUAGGUAUACGCGGCACACUACUGAUAUCAUACUUUUUGCACUCCCUUUGUUGGAACUUCCUAAAAUUCGUAAACAGUGCCCCUAGAACAAAGAUGUUGAGAUUGCCCUGAUCUAGAUUGUUAGAAGAUGAAACAACAUGCCAUGUUGGAUGUUGGAUCUUUUACUUUUGCACUUCAUGUUGCCCAUCUCUUUCUUUUUGGUAUGUGUUCCAACAAAUUCCUCUUCUGGAAUUGGAACCGGAAUUUCAUAUUAACAUGUGUGUAGAUGCACUACAUUCUGGCAUUCUUCUUAUAAGAUAUAUAUUAUAUGUAUACGGAAUUCUGUAUGAAUGCGGAGUAUGUAGCAUACAACCAUACAGAGUAUCUAGAUGUAGUAUAAAGCCUCAAGGCAGUUUAGCAAUAUUUAUUAAAGCAAUUUUAUUUUAAGGAUGUUAUAGUUUCUUAUUUUGUUUUAUAUUUGUAUGAUUCUAAAAGCUGCUUCAAACAUCUUGCGGGUGCCAUAUUUGAUUCUAUUAGCUGUUGUAUUUUCAUCUCUAUCUAGCUGUGCACCAAAUUUAUGUGCAUGUGGUCUCUUGUUGUUUCACAGAUUAAGAGCCUGAAGGAUCAAUACUUUGCAGAACUCGGUGAACUGUUCAAUAAAUUAUCUGUGAAGCUACAGCAUGUUGACAACAUUAUACCACCUCAAAAUCCAUCUGAUAAGUAUGACAGAAUGAAGAGCUUUAAAAUAAUGUUGGACCGUAUAUUACAAAUGCUGCUAAUUAUCAAGAGUACUAUCCAACCUGCUAUGUGGGACAAAGUUCCUCAAUACGAGAAACAAAUUAUCAGUAUCUUGAAUUCACAAAGGAAGUAGUGCAGAAAAAAAAGGAAGCUAGUGCAGUCACAAAUACAGCAACAGUUCCAGUCACCUUCAGGACAAGCUCCCAAUUCUAGCAUUUUGCAGCAGCAACAGACUUCCCAAAAUUUGCAGCAGCAUGAUACUCAUACUAAUACUCAAGCAAAUUUGUCAAGUAUGAGCACCCCAUUACAGUCCUCUAGUGCAGAUGGUAUCCAGCAUGUACCUGCGCCUCCAACAACAAACUUCAGUGGCCCCAUGCAGCAAAAUGGUGCAAGCAUAUAGCAUCAGGUUCGCUCUAAUUUGGAGGCAAUUUCAAUUCUUUGCAGCAUGGUUCGUUGAGUGGUGCAUUACAAUAGGGAAGCUCUGGGCCGAUGCAGGGAACAAUGAAUACACAACUGCCGACAAGUAGUGGCAUGUUAUAUCACAACCCAAUCAGUAUGCCAACCUAACGGUAACUCCAUGCAAGAAAAUGCAAGUUUAUUACAGCAGCUGAAGCAGCAACAGCAGGAUCAUCAUAUGAUGCAGUGUCAGCAAACAAAGCGUCAGAUGUUUCAACAGUACCAGAAAAGCAACAAAUGCUUCAACAAUUAUAGAAACAACAAGUACAGAUGCAUCUUCAUGCUGGAGAUGAUGUUAAUGAGUUAAAGGUUAGACAAGGAAUUGCAAUGAAAUCUGGAGUUUAUCAACAGCACUUGGGCCAAUGCAGUAACUAUUAUCAUAAUCACAGUUGAAACAGAGUGGUGCUUUCCCAAUUUUGUCACCACAAAACUUGCAAGCAUCAUCCCCACAAAUUUCGCAGCAUUCCCCUCAAGUUGAUCAGAACAAAUUUCGGCUGUUCCAAGUACUACUUUACGAUGCAAAACAAUUCUUUAACUGCAUGGUGCACAUUCAUGAGUAUCCUUGGAUCCUGAUGUAACUAUCAAGUCCCUCGCCUUGUGAUAUCCUUCUGGUCACUCCUCGAUCAAUAAUCGCUGCAAUGAGAAUCCAACCAGGCCAAUCCUUUUUUACCUUAACAUAUAUGGUAUGCUCUGUACUCUAGUGUUUUUUUUUGUUAAUUUUGUAUCAUCCCCUGGCAGAACGAUUGCAAGUGCUUAGUUACAGACUUCUUCUGUCGGUCCCUUUGGCAGAAAUGGUCGAGCGUUUGCUUUGCAAAGAUAAAGGUGCUGCUGUUGGAGCAUGGGCACAAUCAGAGCAGGGUGGAGGCAACUCGGCACCAGAUCGUGGAUUGACAGGGAGGCGGUGAUUGGCAGUUGCAAAUGGUGGACGGGGUGGACGCUGGUGGCAUCUGAUCCCACAUUCGGCAACAGUGGGAUCCGUUCAUUGGUCGUUGUUUGCCACUGGUGUGGAAUCAGUAGUAGCAAGACUAAUUUACUUGCUGCUGAAAAACUGACUGUCGAUUUGGAAGGGUACCAGCCACAUACGAAAGCAUGCCACUCAGUUCCUACUUUACAAUGCUCACGGUGACACGCAUCUGAGAUUCUGAAUGUGCAACAUCCAAGACAUGGUGCCACGCCUUGAAGAAUCAGCUUUCUAACCACACAGCAUGCUUUCUAAAGGGCACCGCUAGGCAUCAGCUACAACUGAUGGUUUGCUUCCUGUCAGAUCGGUUGGUAGUGAUUAGGUGCAUUCCAGUCGUCUGAUCUAUUGUCUAGAUUCCUUUGUUCAAUGCCUGAUUUGUUGAUAACUACUUCCGUGAAAUCUGCUGCUUCCUAAUCGUUGUCCCCACAAUCUGUGAUUUGUUUCCUAAAACUGCUUGCUGGCUUCAAAUUCCAUUAUUUGCGGAUAUAAUUUCAGAAAAAUAUGGCCAUUUCUCACAAGUAAAUCCUGCUAUUAAUUAUGAAAUUUAUAAGAUGUGUUUCCUUACUCAUGGUAGCAUGGUUUUAGUACCAAUCUUCCGUGCUAACGGAAGCAUCGUUUUCACGUGAUUUAUACUUGCUUCCAUCUACCAAUGAAUUGGUUUCCAUGAUGAAAUAAACUUGCUAUAAAUGUAUAUGAAGCUCUACUUAAGUGGUGAUUUGUUUUACUUCAAAAACAUCAACAUCGUGUUUCUGUCAACUGGAAAAUCGCUUCUACACAAAAAAGACAUUUCAAUAGGAAGAAUCAUUAUAAUGAGUACAAUUGCUUCAGACACAUCAGGGAAGUUUGUUUCCAUGGAUGAAAGAUUUUGCUUCCAUAGUUUCAUGGAGAAACAAGCAUCCAUGACAAACAAUUUACACCAAACCGUUCCUUACAAACUGGAUGUUGCUUCUACUAGUUUCAGUCGUGCAUGUGCGAUGCCAGGUAGGUGGCCGCACUUAUGUACUAGUAGUUGGGGCGCCACCGGGUGGCGCCGCUUGAGUCGUGCAUGUGCGAUGCCAGGUAGGUGGCCGCACUUUUCAUUCGCUUUUUGGUGCUAUGGGUAGAACAUGUACAUGAAACUGCCGGUCAACUCAUGUGGACUUUGAUUACGUUCAAGCUGAGCAGCGUAUGUAGUAGUUACAAGACCAACAGAAAUGCAUUACUUGCAAUGUACAUUCAUAAAAUAAAUCAGAUAUAUUAUUAAUAGAUAGGCUUAUAUGAACACAGAGUAGCAGUCUUAUAUCCUACAAAGACUUGUACAUAUAGAGAUGGACUGCAGAGCCUAAAUUUUCUGAACUCAAGCAUCCACAAAAUGAAAUCAUCUGACGACGAUGAUGAACGAUAACCACUGGACAUAACUUCAAAGACCCAAUAAGAAGCCAAGACUCUUCGACUAAAAUUUUUAAUCAUGAAAGAGAAUCAUAGCAGGCCGAUGAUCUGAACUACAACCAAGGAGUUCUUUCCUCCCUCUUUCUUUGAAUUCAUUUCUGCAAAUAAAUUUCAGAACCACGGGGAUGACAUGGAGUUCCAGUGAGUUGGUAUGAGAUCGCAAGAAAGGAGAUCCUGAAGCUCUCUAUCCGAAAUCCAUCUGUAGUAGCAAUAUAUAUCAUACCCACAUAUGAAAAAUGUGAUACUGACCACAAAAAGUAUUGCAGGACAAUUAGAAAAGAACACAUGAGAUCCUAAAAAGCAAAACAUAUGAGAUCUUAAUCACAACAUAUAAAGUUCAAUGUUUUUUCAAAAUCAAAUGACUCUUAAUCUUUUACUGUUAGCAUAUGUGGGACCCGACAAUUUUGCUAAACAAUGAUUCUAUUUUAACUUUGGUUAUACAAAGUUCCUAUAUCAAAUAAUUUAAACAUCAGAAAAUCAUGCAAAAUAUUUAUUGAAAUUUCUGAACACACAAGAUAAGAGCGGAAGGGGAAGACUAAUCAUGAAAAAUACUAUGCAGCGGACAAUAUUUAUUGAUAAUUAGACAUAUUUUCUCAAUAACAUCAAUAACAAAAUGGGGCCCCUAAGUUUUGGAUUAAUGUCAAAGAAGAAGCAAGUGCAGACCUGUGGAGUUGCCAAUCUUUUGACUUUUUGAGGCUACUCAAAGUUGUCCUCCGCAACAGAGAUGCUGCUAUACAGAUGCAUUUGAGAAACCAACACCCAAGCAUAUGAGAUGCGCCAUAUUUCAGCACCAACCCCAUGUUGUGGAAAGCCUUUUUCAACGGUUACCAAUUUGUUUGUUUUCCUAACAAAUGUGUUGAUAGCAGCUCUAUCCGGUGGUCUAAUUGACUGAUGGUUGAUCACAUGUUAACAAAUAUUAGAGGAUAAUAAGAACAUACUAAUGGAUGUAGUCAAAAAACGUAACAUAAUUGUACUACAUAAUGUGUUUUGCAAAAGGUACCUCAGCACUGAUUCCCUCCUUGGAAAGUAUAUCUGCAGCCUGAAAAUUGACUGAGCAUAAUGUAACCAGAACAGUAGAUCAAGAAUUUUAUGUACAAUGUGAAAUGAUCAUCGAUGCUAAUUAAACAAAUGCAUUCACAUCUCAAACACAACUGAUUUCUUAAAAACUUUGUCCCGUUCAAUCAAUGGCUCCAAAAUGAGAUCUCUUAAGCACUGCAGAACAACAAGGAAAUUUCAUCUCUUUUUUUCUUGCUUUAUAAGAAUGUAGUAAUCAUGAGGGUUCUUGACCACAGCCACUGAUGACGAAGACAAUUAUUUUGUGUCAGUCAUCUAGUAACAAAAAUGAAAGAGGCAUAUGAGAAAUAUGCAUAGAUUGAUAGAUAAGCAGAAUACGUAGUCAUUAAAAAAAGAAAGCAAAUGAACGGGAUUGAUCCUUCUUGAUUCUAAAAAAGCGACAACUCCCUCGCGUCGUCUCUCCGAGGCGACCCGGGGGCCCCAAAUCCCUCCACCGCCGGCCGGCAAUCUGCUUCUCCCCUGCCGCCGCUGCCGCCGGCCCUUGCCGCGGUGGCGGCGGGCCCCGUUCCUCGAAGGGGAGGGGGACCUCCGGCCGAUGCGUGGGGCGCGGCGGCGGAUCUUGGGCCCCGGGGCGGCGGCCUCGGUCUUGGCGACGACGGCUGCUGCGGCUGCUUGGGCGGCGCGGUGGUUGGGCCUGGGCGCGGUGCUGCUGCGGCCAUGCUGGGUGCUCGCGGUGGAGGAAGCUCGGUCCUCCUGCUGCACGACGUUCUUCGGCGCGACGACUCCGGCGACUUCGCGGCCUUGCGUCGCCGAGGUCCUUCUCCAGCUGGCCUAGGCGGGGUGGCAGCCCCCUGGUCUGCCUGUGCGAGCUCGUCCCCGUGGCCGGCUUGUCGAUGGUGUUGCCGGCUCGUCGGAUCGGCUUCGGCGGGAUCUGGCCGGCUGUGGUCGGUUUUGGUUUUCUGCGUCCGUGAGUUCUGCCACGACUGGGAGCUCUGUUCUCCGGUGUGCGGUGCCCGUGCAGUGGUGGUGGGUGCCAGAUGUUGGAUCUGGCUCAUCUGUUUUGGCAGACGGACGACGAGGGAGGAGGUGGCUCUGGCGCGGCGGUGGCGUGUUCGCGGCGUCGGAGGUGUGCGGGCCAGCGGAGUGCUCUGCGUGGGACUGUUGUUCGUGCUGCUCCAGGUGAAAGCCUAGCCGAUGCUCGCAGGCCGGCGGCGGCGGCGCCUGUGGGCGUCGCUUUCCUCCUUGGAGGCGCCGUCGAGGAGUUUCUGCACUUUCUCAGCUCUCGGGUUAAGAUCUACGGGCGAAAGUCAUGAUCCUGUUCAAUCGGGCGGCGGCGGCAUCUUCAAUGUCGUUUUCCCUCUUUGGGGCGUCGUCUUGGAGAUCUUGGCCCCUUUUGUGCUUCCUGCAGGCUGGACGUGCGCGGCAUCACGGUUGGCCGGUGUGCAACUGGUGAUGCGUGUGGUUGGCGUUGCGACUCGUGUGAUGACGACGAUGAUGGCGUGCGAAGCUGGGUCACGGCUUGCCCUUCUGAUGUCGACGGUCCGGUGCGCCAAUGGGUGUGCCUAUGCUGGCUUCUGGCUGUGACAGAGAAGUCGAAGUUGCGUGCGAUGCCUCUGCGGCAACGAUGACUCCAUGAGGGCGGUUUUCAGCGGGCGGUGCUCUCCGGAUGAUGCGCUGGACUAGGUCGGCGCGAGGCUUGCAACUUUCUCCUGUGAAGCAUUUCAGCAAAAUCGGAGCUGCCAUGUCCUCGACGCUUCGGUCGACCGUUUGGCUUGUCUGUGGCCAGGUCGGCUGUGUGUGCCCCGUGUGGGGUUGUAUCUGGGUUUUCGCCCGGUUUUCCUCUAAUUAACCGGACAAAUCUCUUCUUCUUAAUCAAUGAAAAUGGCAAAUCUUUUGCCUCGUUUCAAAAAAAAAGCAAGAUUCUAAGGAGACUGAGUGUAGGAUAAGUGAUAAAAAUGAAAUAAAAGCAGUGGAGAAAUAUGCAUAGAAUGGAGUAUGUGUUUCUAUAUACAUACAAGGAUAAAUAAAAUGCAUGAUAGCAUUAUCUUCUUCUGAAUUUUCUUAUCAGUCAUGUCAGUUUCAACAUCUAGUCCCAUCUUAUGUAUCUUAGCAUGAACCUGGGCAUCAAAAGCAGAUUGUCAUUUAACUCGGAAGAAAAAGAACCCGGCUGAUUGAUUACCAUGAGAAACAGCUAAAACUACUAACAAACUGCUAGACAUAACGAAUGGAAAAACGGUCACUGACAAGUUUCAAACUAACACACAAGGGUCAGUUAACUAUUUCCACUCUUAUGGGCGAUCCGAGCUAAACGAGGGCAGGGACGGGGGAUUAAAACAGGACGACUGCCCAGAUUGGAUGUCACCUUCUCCUCGCACUUGGCGUCGGCACUUGGAGCCGGGGUGGAGGUCGAUGUACAUCAGGAGAUCCAGAAGAGGAAGGUCAAUCAUGGCAGCUGCCUGAUGCAAAUACUACAAAACGGAGGGGAGGAAGAGCAUGACAUAGUGGCAUAUAAACUCUACCACUGCUAUAUUUGAGGUGAUAAAACGAAAUAUUCCGACGUUAACAACUGAUUUAGGCUCAAACUGAAAUUUGACGUCCACACUAAGUCAAACUGAAGGUGAAUUCUAAUCAGUUGAGAAGGUCAAAACUGCGUAAUUGACCCAAGUAUCUCAGAGUUCAUGCUGACAAUCUACAAUUUACAUAUUAGAUAGAUGAAACACCACGCCAUAGUUGGCCUAUUAGAUGAUUUUCACCUACCUCUUCGUAUUAAAAGGCCGGUGAAAAACUCAAUAAAAGAGGAAGUGCAAGACUAUGAUAAUGUACAUACAGUUCAUUCAGGAACUUGACGCAUUUCCUCAAAGAGCGCAACCUCCUGCUUAUGGCGCCCACUCGUGUCAAUAAUGAUGAGAUCAUAUUUCACUUCCCUGAACCUUUCCAGGCCAUUAAUGGCAAUCUUCACAGUAUAUGAUUCCAGGUAGCUACAAAGAAAAGCGACAACUUUAUUUAGCGCAGAUCUUGGGGAGAAGCUGCACCAGCUCGGACCAUAUAGGCACAAAUCAGUGAUGGUUUAAAUCCCUUUCAUAUUCAUUCCUUUGCUAGUGUAGUAACCCUCGUAGAAAUGAGCAAUACCGGCAGUGAAGAGAUGGGGCACUACAUGAAAAAAAUAACAUUACUUGAAGAGGUCAGAGAUAACACAUUAGCAGCCAAUUGAGCAGAUAUUCUUUUAUGGUCUAUAACUCUCCUGAUAUUAAUUUCUCAACAAAAAAAUGUGUUCAGGCCAUUAGGGAAAUAUAAUACGCGUAUUUGGUACAUUUAGUGGUUUUUCCAGAACCCACAGACAUAUAUCGUUGCAUGUUCAGUCUUCAACGAUCUUGUAAUUCAAAUCAGCAAACCAUAUAUGGAUAUUGAAAUUCAGAGAUAGGUGUACAACAACAUCAGAAAAAGCAUAAGGGAACACACAACCGAGGUCGGUCAAUCAUAUUGACCUUGCAAAUCUGACGAACAUGGCCUUCUUUAUGACGAGGAGCUUGUUGGUGCCGGCGGUGAGGACCCCAAGGUUGACGGUCUUCCUGAUGUUGUUCUGCAGGUCGCUGAUCUUGAAGCGGACGUCGGACUGCAUAAGCGCGCGCAUGACCUCUAGCCCGAGGCACUAGUAGAAAAACAAUAGUCCCGGUUCGUAAGGGCCUUUAGUCCCGGUUCAUGAACCAGGACUAAUGGGUCGUUACUAAUACCUCCACCCAUUAUUAGUUCCGGUUCAAACACGAACCGGGACCAAUGUGCCUCCAUGUGGCCCUGUGCGCCGAACCCAGUCAGGGGGCCUUUGGUCCCGGUUGGUGGCACCAACCGGGACCAAAAGGCAUCCACGUGUCAGCAUUCCAGUGGUNNNNNNNNNNNNNNNNNNNNNNNNNNNNNNNNNNNNNNNNNNNNNNNNNNNNNNNNNNNNNNNNNNNNNNNNNNNNNNNNNNNNNNNNNNNNNNNNNNNNNNNNNNNNNNNNNNNNNNNNNNNNNNNNNNNNNNNNNNNNNNNNNNNNNNNNNNNNNNNNNNNNNNNNNNNNNNNNNNNNNNNNNNNNNNNNNNNNNNNNNNNNNNNNNNNNNNNNNNNNNNNNNNNNNNNNNNNNNNNNNNNNNNNNNNNNNNNNNNNNNNNNNNNNNNNNNNNNNNNNNNNNNNNNNNNNNNNNNNNNNNNNNNNNNNNNNNNNNNNNNNNNNNNNNNNNNNNNNNNNNNNNNNNNNNNNNNNNNNNNNNNNNNNNNNNNNNNNNNNNNNNNNNNNNNNNNNNNNNNNNNNNNNNNNNNNNACGCUACGUACUAUAUACAUAAGUGAUCGAGAGAACCAUUGAGUACAGAAGUUCGUCAUGCAUACCGAGUGAAGUGAUCGAUCGACCUCUCCUUCUCCGAGAGAACAACAAGUUUUCGUAUCAUGUAUCCGACGCUAUUGGCUACAUACAUGUGCAAUAUGUAUAAGAUCUCUUAAUUACAAUCCCUUAGCAAUUGAAAUCAAUUUCCACAUGGUAUUCUCCGGCUUUAUUGAUGACGUGGUCAAGAAAGAAUCCCGCCAAUUCCUCUUGAAUUGCUUUCAUGCGAUCUGGUUCUAGGAGUUCAUUUCGCAUCUGCCACGUCUAAUUUGAAGAAAGGGAUUAAUUAAUACAUAUAUAUAAAUGAAACUCAACAGAAAUGAUGGUGUAAUAAAAUGAAAUUGUGAAUAUUAUUUCUUACGCACUUCAUAUUGUCUUUUAGAGUAGCCCCGCUUGUUUUUCAAAGUCGCGUUGUGGAUGAACUCGCACACGUAGUAUCCACAGAAAUCAUUCCCUUGUUCCUGCCACGAGCACUUUACGAGAAAUAGAGGUCAAUCAAACUGAUAAUGAAGCAUUAUAAAUGGCAUUGAUGAAAGUAUAACUAUAGAAUCAACGGGAGAUGCGCGCAACUAGCUAGCCAGUAGUACUUACUUUCGGGUAUGUAUAUCGCAGCUCCUUCGGCAGUCCCGGAGCUUCUGCGAUGAAUUGUUUCCAAACCCUGCAAGACAAAGAAAAUAAUUAUUAUUACUUGAGAUAUCAGGAAAUGAACAAAAAGUUGCCGAUAUGGUGCGAUAAUGAUCGAUUGAACUUACUUGUUGAGCAAUUCAGUCAUGUCCGCAUAGGUUUCGGGAUCUUUCUGUCUCGAGUCUAAGACGGUUACUAGUCCCCGCUCAAGCUUAAUCUCCAGAAGAACAUAGUGGUACCUGCGCACGCAUGCAUAACUCAUCAAUUACAUUACUAUAACCUCGCUCGAGUAAUAAGGGAAACCGAAUAUGCACACGACAGUAACACUCACUUGCCGUUAUAAGGAAAGAGUAUGGUAUCUUUGUUUUGAUUUUUGAUCAACGAUCGUAGCAAGUUGUCCUCAGCCUCUUUGACGUCCUUUUUAACCAUAAAUUCAUCUAUGAUAUUUGUGUUAAUGAACCCAAUAUCGUAAAUUUCUUGUUUUUUGCACUCGACGAUCUUCAAUCUGCAUAAUAUAUUGAGGAUAAUUAAUUAUAAAUACAUGAAAUGAAAGAGCCCAACUAUAUAUAGAGACUUAAUGACAAAAAUAGUACUUACAGACAGUAGCAAAAGACCAUUAGUUUAUCGAGGGCCUUUUGAUUGAAGAACGCGAAGAAAUCAUCAAAUGGAACAGUCAACAGAUCAGUUGCAACGAGGUCGUGCUCCUCUUUAAUAUUCAGAUACAAAGCAUUCGUCCCCCAAGACUCUCUGCAGGUUUUCAUGUACCAAUUAUGGAAUCUUCGCAUCAUUGUUGUCAGAGAUUUUUCAUCUUUGACGAGAGGCUUCCCGUACUCGUAUCUGUGUUCGUCCACCUCCAAGAAAUCAGGAAGUUGAUCGUCAGGCAGGUAAUCUGCAAGAUUGCCAUAACCGGCCACCGUCCCCGGAGCAUUAGACACAUUGAGCGGGGGGCAUGAUUGCUGUGCUUGUUCGCCGAGCUGGGCAAUUUUUUCCCCUUUGCUCGUUCUUUUAACCUUUUAUCACUGACAGUACUUCCCGACCGCUGGGCUUCGAGAUAUGUCUGUUCAGUAAUGCGCUGAUAGUUGGUUCUCGGCGGAGACUUUGGUGGUUUCCUCAGGGCAUCGAUAGUGCGCUUUGCUUUCACCGGAUCUACCUUCUCCUCCGGAGGUGGAUGUCUCUUUGCUUUCACCCCUUCAAAGAACUCCUUCACGUGGGUCCGCACAAUCGUAUAGUUUUCCUCCUCGGUCCUCUCGUACGGUAACUUCUCUAGAGGCUUGAGAGGUGGACCGUAUCUGUAUUGCCUCCCGCCUCUGGUUGUGCUGCUAGACGCCGGAGCAGACGGAGCGGCUGCGGCGUCUGUCUUCUUUCGUGCUUGCUUACAAGGUGGAGGAGAAGAAGUACGACGCGUCGAAGCAGCCGGGGCGGCGGCGGGUCUCUUCCGCCCUUGCUGGCGAGGCGGAGAAGGAGGAGGCUGCUGGCUGCUCGGGAGCGCCGGCGCAGGCGGAGAAGGAGGCGGAGUGCCGCCAUGCGCCGGAGAAGGAGGCGGAGUUCCGCCAUGCGUGCCCUGAUCGUCACUCGCCGAAGGAGGAGGCGGUGAAGGAGGCGGAGUGCCCUGACUCACCGGAGGAGGAGGAGGAGGCGGAGGCGUCCAGUUCGGAAGGUUGAUGAGCUCCUUCCGCCAUAGGCAUGGAGUCUUCAGAGCAGAACCCAGUCUAGUCUCCCCUUCACCGGUAGGGUGGUCAAGCAAGAGGUCCUCAAAUCUCUCCGUUAUUUCAUCCACCAUCACCUUAGCAUAUCCUUCUGGAAUCGGCCGGCAGUGAUAAGUUGCUCCGGAUCCAGUAGGAUAAACAGAGCCAACAGCCGCCUUGACCUUCAAAUUCAUCCAUCGCGCCAUAAUGUGGCAAUGUUGAGACUCCGUGAUAGCAUCCACGGGAUAGCUGGCAGGAGCCGUCAAGACAUGCUCCGGCUGAAGCAGCUCGGUGGAAGCCACGCUGCUGCUCCGCUGAGAUGGCAGGGUAGCUUCGGGGGAAGCUUCGGCAGGUCGUUUGCUGCGAUCUGCUGCUUCUCGUUCCUCUUCUCGUUCCUCUAGCCCCAUUACCCUUUCGUGCAGCGCCUGUAGUUGGCCCUGCUCCAGUUUCUUCCUCCUCUCGUGGGUUUUGUAACCCCCUGCGUCCGGAAAACCAACCUUCCACGGAAUGGAGCCUGGCGUGCCUCGUGUCCGUCCAGGGUGCUCAGGAUUCCCGAGGGCCAUUGUGAGAUCGUCCUUCUCCCUGUCUGGAACGAACGUCCCUUGCUGCGCUGCAUUGAUAUAGUGUCGAAGGUUCUUGAGGGGUAUUUGCAGUUGCUCGUCCGUCCAACGGCACUCCCCUGAUAUAGGGUCCAAGGUUCCGCCAGCCUGAAGAACCAAGUCCGGUAACGGUCUGGCCAUCUCAUUGUCUCUGGUUCGAUCCUUUUUUCAAGCAGAUCAUUCUCCUCCUUGGACCACUUAGGCCGGGCUUUGAGGUAGCCACCUGACCCCGUGCGAUGGUGAAGGUUCUUCUUCGCAGCAUUUUGCUUGUUCGUCGCCGACAUCUUCUUACUCUUUUCCGAUGUCUUGUGGGCCACAAAUGCGGGCCAGUAAUCUUUGAUCUUCUCAUAUUUGCCGAUGAAUUCUGGUGUCUUUUUUUUGUCGACAAAAUGGUUCAACUCUUUUCUCCACCUCCUGAAUAGGGUUGCCAUCUUCUUAAGAGUACAAGACUUGAUUAAUUGCUCUUUAACUGGCUUCUCCGGAUCCUCCUCUGGCGGUAGGGUGAAAUUUUCCUUCAGCUGAGUCCAAAGAUCUUCUUUCUGCAUAUCAUUGACAUAAGACACCUCAGGAUCGUCCUUAGGCUUAUACCAUUGCUGGAUGUUGAUCGGGAUCUUGUCCCUAACAAGAACCCCGCACUGAGCAGAAAAUGCGUUCUUUGUCCGGAUGGGUUCAAUCGGUUCACCGUCGGGCGCGAUUUCUAUGAUCUCAAACCUUUCAUCCGAGCUCAACUUUUUCUUCGGGCCUCGUCUCCUUAUCGAAGUUGUGCUCGAUCCGGAGGGCUAGAAAUUAAAAGGAAGAAAGACGAGAGUAAUUAAUAUGUGUACAUAUACCAAAACAAUGGAUGCAUCAAUUAACUAGUCAGCACAGGCUUAACUAAUAUAUAUAUAUACCUGGCCGGACUCGGUUCGGUCACCGGAGCAGUCAGCACGGUCUCCUUCUUGUACCUCCAUUGUGUCACCGGAGCCAUCAUGAACAUAGCCCUCUUCUUGUAACGGCAUUAAUGGGCCGAAGCCAUCAUGAACAUAGCCCUCUUCUUCACCCAGUCCUUCCAGCUGACCAUCGGUGUCGUUGAGAUAUGACGCAACUUCAUCACUUCCUUGUGCGAUUAUGUGCCUCAACAUCGCUUUUGUUGCUUCGUCUCGGGAGUGCUCCAUAGUUUCUGCAAAUAUUUACAACAUGUCAAUUAUUAUUCAAACAUGAUACAGAUGGAUAUAUAUAUAUAUAUAUAUAUAUAUAUAUUAGUGGCAAACAUAGAACUAGCUAGCUAAUCACAAUAAGGAAUCAUGUUAGUGGCCUCGACGCUGCUUCUCUAGGGUUUGGGAUCGCCUCGACACAACGCUUCAAGGGUUUGGGGUGGCCUCGACGACAACGCUCUUUUAACUUGGUAAAUUUGGGUGGGCUCGAGAGUUUUGGUCGAGCGAGAGGGCCGAGGGGGGUGUUGCCGUUGUAUAGGUUAUCACGGUCGAGAGGGGGUAUAUAUAUCGACCGCCCCUCAUGUCGAAUUAUCUCGAGGGGACGGCGAGGGCGAAGGUGAGCAGCCUGACGGCGACAGACCCGAUAAAACAUAAGAAAACGAAGAAGAAAUAAAAAGAGGAGAAGAAGAAAGGAAUAGAGGAGAAGAUCUAAGAAAAAAAGAAGAAAAAAAAGAGGAGAAGAAGAAAGGAAUAGAGGAGAAGAAGAAAAAAUAGAAAAACUUUGUUCUUCUCCUCUUCCUUUUCUUCUUUUUUGUUCUUCUUAUUUAUUUCUCCUCUAUUCCUUUCUUUCUUCUUUUCCUCUUCUUUUUCUUCUUCUCCCUCGAGAAAGGAAAAUAAUUAAGGAAAAGGAAGAAAAGAGGAAGAAGGAAGAAGGAAGAAGAAGAAGAAAAAAGGAAUAGAGGACAAGAAGAAAAAAUAAAUUUUUUUUCUAUUUUUUCUUCUUCUCCUCUAUUCCUUUCUUCUUCUCCUCUUCCUUUUCUUCCUUUUUCUUCUUCUUAUUUAUUUCUCCUCUUCUUUUCCUCUCCUCUUCUUAUUUCUUUCCUCUUCUUAUUUUCUUCUUUCCUAUCCUUCUUUUUCUAAAAUUGUAACUUUUGCAUAUAUAAAACUUUUCUAAAAUUGUAACUUUCUAUAUAUGAACAAAAAACUUUCUAUGAACAAAAAACCAUUUUAACAUAUAUAUUUAGCAAAUUCUAGCCACAUACAUCACAUACACAUAUACAUUAUAGCCACAUACACAUAUACAUCACAUAUGAACAAAAAAAUAAACUAAUAAAAAAAAACAUAUAGCAACAUAUGAACAAAAACAUAUAGCCACAUACAUACACAUACAUUAUAUAUAUAUGAAAAAAUUAAACUAAUAAAAAAAACAGAGCCGGCCGGGCAGAGGGGCAUGGCGGCAGCGGUGGCGCCGGCGGGGCAGGGCAGGGGUGCAGGAGCGAGGCAAGGCAGGGACGCGAGGCAGGUGCUCACAGGGGGGUGGCGGGGCACGGCAGGCGGCGUCGAGGCGCGGGGAGUGGCGUCGGCAUCGGGGCAGAUGGCGUCGAGGGCGGCGGCGAUGGUGAGGUGGACCAGCCUGACAGCGUCGGAGGCGGCAGCGACGACGAGGUGGAGCAGCCUGACGGCGUCGGAGGCGGCGGCGACGACGAGGUGGAGCAGCCUGACGGCUCGGCGGCGACGGCGACGAGGCAGAGCAGCGGGCGUCGGACGGAGAAGAAAGGGAUGGAUUUUGGAGAAACUGCUAAGUGCUAGUUAUAUAUGAAGAGAAUUGGUCCCGAUUCGUGAAACCAACCGGGACUAAUGCCCCCUUUAGUCCCGGUUGGUGCCACCAACCGGGACCAAAGGCCUCUUUUCAGCAGCCCAAAAGGCGGGAAGCAGCGGCCUUUGGUCCCGGUUGGUGGCACCAACCGGGACCAAUGCCCUUCCCCUUUAGUCCCGGUUGGUGCCACCAACCGGGACCAAAGGACCCUGUGCUGCCCGCGUCGGGGCCAAAGUUUAGUCCCACCUCGCUAGUUGAGAGGGGCGCGCAGUGGUUUAUAAAGCCCCACUGCCGCACCCCUCUCGAGCUCCUCUCCACCGUAGGCUUGCGGGCCUAUUUACUACUGCUUUGCCUGAUGGGCCUUCUGGACCUACUGCGGGCCUGAAUCCUGGCCCAUGGUAGGGUUUCUAGUCGUAUUCAGGCCGUGGGGGCCCACUAGGAGGCAUUUUUUGUUUUCUUUCUUGCUUUAUUUAUUUUAUUUUGUUUCUACUUACAACAAAAUACUUAUUGUUGCUAUUUUUAAUUAUUUUUCAGUUUUUUUGUUUUGUUUUCUGCAUUAUUUAUUUUCUUUUGUUUUUUGCUUUAUUUUUUAAUUCUUUUUGCUUUUAGUUUUAGAAAAAUUAUAAACUUUCUGUUAGUGCCAUNNNNNNNNNNNNNNNNNNNNNNNNNNNNNNNNNNNNNNNNNNNNNNNNNNNNNNNNNNNNNNNNNNNNNNNNNNNNNNNNNNNNNNNNNNNNNNNNNNNNNNNNNNNNNNNNNNNNNNNNNNNNNNNNNNNNNNNNNNNNNNNNNNNNNNNNNNNNNNNNNNNNNNNNNNNNNNNNNNNNNNNNNNNNNNNNNNNNNNNNNNNNNNNNNNNNNNNNNNNNNNNNNNNNNNNNNNNNNNNNNNNNNNNNNNNNNNNNNNNNNNNNNNNNNNNNNNNNNNNNNNNNNNNNNNNNNNNNNNNNNNNNNNNNNNNNNNNNNNNNNNNNNNNNNNNNNNNNNNNNNNNNNNNNNNNNCAUUAUUUAUUUUCUUUUGUUUUUUGCUUUAUUUUUUAAUUCUUUUUGCUUUUAGUUUUAGAAAAAUUAUAAACUUUGUGUUAGUGCCAUUAGUUUUCAAAUUUGAAAACACUUUUUUUGUUUUUUUGUUUUCUUUCUUGCUUUAUUUAUUUUAUUUUGUUUCUACUUACAACAAAAUACUUAUUGUUGCUAUUUUUAAUUAUUACAAGGGCCGAACCAUAAGACAUUAAAGCAUUUCAAAUGAACUAUGAAAAAGUUGAAAGUUGGCAUGGUAUCAUAAAUUCACCCACAUAGCAUGUGCAUGUACAAAACGGACAAUGGUAUCAUACUCGUCUGUUACAAAGUUGGCAUGGUAUCAUCAUAAUAGUUGCGGGAGAAAGUCUUCACUUUUUCUUUGCUUGUGUCAUUUGCUUAUUGCGCCGUAACCAUGGAUAAUCUUCAUCGCUUAUCAGGAUGUUGGGGUCAGCCUUGACUUCGAAGGGAGGAAUUUCAUGAAACUUUUCAUAAUCUUCAGACAUGUCUGUCUUGCCCUCCACUCCCACGAUGUCCCUUUUUCUUGAAAGAACUAUGUGGCGCUUUGGCUCAUCGUAUGAUGUAUUCGCUUCCUUAUCUUUUCUUUUUCUCGGUCUGGUAGACAUGUCCUUCACAUAGAUAACUUGUGCCACAUCAUUGGCUAGGACGAACGGUUCGUCAGUGUACCCAAGAUUUUUCAGAUCCACUGUUGUCAUUCCGUACUAUGGGUCUACCUGUACCCCGCCUCCUGACAGAUUGACCCAUUUACACUUAAACAAAGGGACCUUAAAAUCAUGUCCGUAGUCAAGUUCCCAUAUGUCCACUAUGUAACUAUAAUAUGUGUCCUUUCCCCUCUCGGUUGUUGCAUCAAAGCGGACACCGCUGUUUUGGUUGGUGCUCUUUUGAUCUUGGUCAAUCGUGUAAAAUGUAUUCCCAUUUAUCUCGUAUCCUUUCCAAAUCGUAACAAUCGAAGAUGGUCCCCUGGACAACAAGUACAGCUCAUCACAAACAGUGUUGUCACCUCUGAGACGUGCUUCCAACCAACUGCUGAAAGUCCUGAUGUGUUCACAUGUAAUCCAGUCGUCGCACUGCUCCAUGUGUUUGGAGCACAGACUGUUCUUGUGUUCAUCGACAUACGGGGUCACCAAGCUAGAGUUCUGUAGAACUGUGUAGCGUGCUUGAGACCAAGAAUAUCCGUCCCUGCAUAUUAUUGAGUCCCUUCCAAGCGUGCCUUUUCCAGUCAGUCUCCCCUCAUACCGCGAUUGAGGGAGACCUAAUUUCUUAAGGUCAGGAAUGAAGUCAACACAAAACCCGAUGACAUCCUCUAUUUGAUGGCCCAUGGAGAUGCUUCCUUCUGGCCUAGCGUGGUUAUGGACAUAUUUCUUUAGGACUCCCAUGAACCUCUCAAAUGGGUACAUAUUGUGUAGAAAUACGGGGCCUAGAAUGACAAUCUCGUCAACUAGAUGAACUAGGACGUGCGUCAUGAUAUUGAAGAAGGAUGGUGGGAACACCAGCUCGAAACUGACAAGACAUUGCACCACAUCACUCCUUAGCCUUGGUAUGAUUUCUGGAUCGAUCAUCUUCUGAGAGAUUGCAUUGAGAAAUGCACAUAGCUUCACAAUGGCUAAUCGGACGUUUUCCGGUAGAAGCCCCCUCAAUGCAACCGGAAGCAGUUGCGUCAUAAUCACGUGUCAGUCAUGAGACUUUAGGUUCUGAAACUUUUUCUCUGACAUAUUUAUUAUUCCUUUUAUAUUCGACGAGAAGCCAGUCGGGACCUUCAUACUAAGAAGGCAUUCAAAGAAGAUUUCCUUCUCUUCUUUGGUAAGAGCAUAGCUGACAGGACCUUCAUACUGCUUUGGAGGCAUGUCGUCUUUUUCGUGCAAACAUUGCAGGUCCUCCCAUGCCUCAGCUGUAUCUUUUGUCUUCCCAUACACGCCCAAGAAGCCUAGCAGGUUCACGCAAAGGUUCUUCGUCACGUGCAUCACGUCGAUCGAAGAGCGGACCUCUAGGUCUUUCUAGUAGGGUAGGUCCCAAAAUAUAGAUUUCUUCUUCCACAUGGGUGCGUGUCCCCCAGCGUCACUCGGAACAGCUAGUCCGCCGGGACCCUUUCCAAAGAUUACGUGUAAAUCAUUGACCAUAGCAAGUACGUGAUCACCGGUACGCAUGGCGGGCUUCCUCCGGUGAUCUGCCUCGCCUCUGAAAUGAUUGCCUUUCUUUCGACAUGAUGAUUGGUCGGAAGAAAUCGACGAUGGCCCAGGUACACAUUCUUCCUGCAGCUUCCCAGGUAUAUACUAUCGGUGUCAAGUAAACAGUGCGUGCAUGCGUGGUAUCCCUUGUUUGUCUGUCCUGAAAGGUUACUGAGAGUGGGCCAAUCGUUGAUGGUCACGAACAACAACGCCUUUAGGUGAAAUUCCUCCUGUUUGUGCUCAUCCCACGUACAUACACCGUUUCCAUUCCACAGCUGUAAAAGUUCUUCAACUAAUGGCCUUAGGUACACAUCAAUGUCGUUGCCGGGUUGCUUAGGGCCUUGGAUGAGAACUGGCAUCAUAAUGAACUUCCGCUUCAUGCACAUCCAAGGAGGAAGGUUUUACAUACAUAGAGUCAUGGGCCAGGUGUUGUGAUUGCUGCUCUGCUCCCCGAAAGGAUUAAUGCCAUCCGCACUUAAAGCAAACCAUACGUUCCUUGGGUCACUUGCAAACUCAUCCCAGUACUUUCUCUCGAUUUUUCUCCACUGCGACCCGUCAGCGGGUGCUCUCAAUUUCCCGUCUUUCUUACAGUCCUCACUGUGCCAUCGCAUCAACUUGGCAUGCUCUCCGUUUCUGAACAGACGUUUCAACCGUGGUAUUAUAGGAGCAUACCACAUCACCUUCGCAGGAACCCUCUUCCUGGGGGGCUCGCCGUCAACAUCACCAGGGUCAUCUCGUCUGAUCUUAUACCGUAAUGCACCGCAUACCGGGCAUGCGUUCAGAUCCUUAUACGCACCGCGAUAGAGGAUGUAGUCACUAGGGCAUGCAUGUAUCUUCUGCACCUCCAAUCCUAGAGGGCAUACGACCUUCUUUGCUGCAUAUGUACUGUCGGGCAAUUCAUUAUCCUUUGGAAGCUUCUUCUUCAAUAUUUUCAGUAGCUUCUCAAAUCCUUUGUCAGGCACAACAUUCUCUGCCUUCCACUGCAGCAAUUCCAGUACGGUACCGAGCUUUGUGUUGCCAUCUUCGCAAUUGGGGUACAACCCUUUUUGUAGUCCUCUAACAUGCGAUCAAACUUCAGCUUCUCUUUUUGACUUUUGCAUUGCGUCCUUGCAUCGACAAUGACCCGGCGGAGAUCAUCAUCAUCGGGCACAUCGUCUGGUUCCUCUUGAUCUUCAGCAGCUUCGCCUAUUGCAGCAUCAUCGUGCACAUCGUCUGGUUCCUCUUGAUCUUCAGUAGCAUCACCGUAUUCAGGGGGCACAUAGUUGUCAUCGUACUUUUCUUCUUCGCCGUCUUCCAUCAUAACCCCUAUUUCUCCGUGCCUCGUCCAAACAUUAUAGUGUGGCAUGAAACCCUUGUAAAGCAGGUGGGUGUGGAGGAUUUUCCGGUCAGAGUAAGACUUCGUAUUCCCACAUAUAGGGCAUGGACAGCACAUAAAACCAUUCUGCUUGUUUGCCUCAGCCACUUCGAAAAAAUCAUGCACGCCCUUAAUGUACUCGGAGGUGUGUCUUGAACCGUACAUCCAUUGCAAGUUCAUCUGUGUGCAUUAUAUAUAAUUAAGUGUGUCAAAAAUCAUUACAGAACAUCAUAAAUAGAUAAUUAAGUGACCAAAUUAAUAGAAGUUCAUCAUCACAUUAAAACCAAAGUACAUACAUAGUUCUCAUCUAACAACAUAAAGUUUUGCAGAGCAUCUAAAUUAAUUAAAUCAUACAUUGAAAUUAUGUAAAACAUUUCAAUGCGAAAACAAAUGCGAUCAUAAUCGCAACCAAUGUAACAACUGAUCCAACGACAUAAUGAUACCAAGCCUCGGUAUGAAUGGCAUAUUUUCUAAUCUUUCUAAUCUUCAAGCGCAUUGCAUCCAUCUUGAUCUUGUGAUCAUCGACGACAUCCGCAACAUGCAACUCCAAUAUCAUCUUCUCCUCCUCAAUUUUUCUAAUUUUUUCCUUCCAGAAAUUGUUUUCUUCUUCAACUAAAUUUAACCUCUCGACAAUAGGGUCGGUUGGAAUUUCCGGUUCAACAACCUCCUAGAUAAAUAAAAUCUAUGUCAUGUUGGUCGGCAUAAUUGUCAUAAACAAUAGAUGAACCAAUAGUUAUGAAAAUAUAAUAUAUACCACAUCCGAAUCAUAGACAGGACGAGGGCCGACGGGGCGGAUACCAAAACCAUCGCACUAUAUAAGAUGCAAUAAUAAAAGUAAGAAAAUUAUACAAGUAUCUAUAUAAACAUACAAGUAAGAUUUUUUUCCUUUCAGAAAGAAGAUAAGAACAAGAGGCUCACCACGGUGGUGCCGACAACGAGAUCGGCGCGGGCGAUCGACGGCGGUGAAGACGGGGAUGGGACGUGACAGACCGCUAAACCUAGACAAAUAUUGAGAAAAAUGGAGCUUGGAGGUCGAGCUUGGAGAGGAGAAAGCUUAAGUAGUGUGGCUCGGGCAUUCCAUCGAACACCUCGUGUGCAUAAGAGGUGAGCUAGAGCACCACAAAGCUCUCUCCUCGCCGGCCACGAAAAAUAGAGCAGUGAGAGUGCUCUGCUCGCGGGCGAGGGGUAUAUAUAGGCAAUUAAUUGGUCCCAGUUCGUGGCUUGAACCGGGACUAAAGGGAAGCCUUUGGUCCCGGUUCAGGCCACCAACCGGGACCAAUGGUGGUGGGCCAGGAGCAAGGCACAUUGGUACUGGUUCGUCCCACCAACCGAGACCAAAAGGUCCAGACGAACCGGGACCAAUGGCCCCACGUGGCCCGGCCGGCCCCCGGGGCUCACGAACCGGGUCCAAUGCCCCCAGUGGUCCCGGUUCUGGAUUGAACCGGGACUAAUGGGCUGACCCGGCCUGGACCAUUGCCCCCUUUUCUACUAGUGAGGCCUUGACUACGACAACGACCCAUGUGAGGAAACCGACCGCAUUAGGAAGGAAAGCAAAUCAGACCUCCAUGAAUAACAACAACGCAACAUCAAAAUCGAAUCCAAUCGAAGAAAGAGGAGAAAAGAGGGGCGUGAGAGGACCUUGUAGCUUGUACAGUCGGGCUCUUAACGUCGGAUGGAACGGCUGUGUCGUCGCCGGAGAAAAACCACGCGGAGAAGCCUGGCUCCUCUUCCGGCGCGCAACCGUUCACCUUGUACCAGAAGCGGGCCCAUGCCGGUGGAUGCAUCGCAAACGUGGCGGGGUCCUGUACAUGAUGCAAACAAAGUCGUGCCAAGUUAUGGCACAAUUACACAAGUCAAUAACUGAAUCCACAACUGUAUUUGCAUAUGCUGCAGCAAACAAGAUUGAUAUUAGUUUUUCUUUUUGGUUGAGGUUGUGAUUCAGUUAGGCGUUGAUGGGUGGAAGGAAUACAAAGUGCAGGUAGCAGCAAUGUACAACUAGCUAGAGCAGGAGUAGGAGGAGCAAAACCAAACCUCCUACAGAAUAGCAGUUAGGCGUUCAGUUGUGCAUUUCUGCUGGUGAGCUACAGAAUAGCAGCAAUGUACAACUAGCUAGCUUUUCUUUUUGGUUGAGGUUGUGAUUCAGUUAGGCGUUGAUGGCUGUAUUUUAAGGUGUUCGAGGUUGCAUCUCAGAUUCUCCUACAGAAUAGCAGAGAGGAAGCUUCACCAAUAGAGCAUAACCAAGGAGAGAACUUCUUCUCCAGAUUGCCAUUGGCGUUCACCACACACUCAUACUUGUCCUGCAAAUAAUGUCAUCAUGAGUUCAACAUCAGCCAUCUACCUGCCUUUCAAAUUAGUAACCAUCAGAACAGAGAUACAACAAAAUAAUAGGCAAAAUAAUAAGUUGUGAGGAGCAAAUUAGAAACCAUCCCUGCUGUAGUAUGUGAAGGGAUUACUAUGAGCUAGACUGGAGUAGAGCAUGUUCAUCCUGGGCAUAGAAAUUUUACCACUUGGACGGAAUCAAAUCACCGGAGGAAGUGCCAUAAUCAUGAGAAAUCAAUCACUUGUCAUAAUUAAAUUAAUUUCCAGUUGCAGCUUUUUUCCAAUCUGAUAAAUUGGUGGUUGUCUUCAUACCAACACAAGCAAAAGGGUUGCACGAACCUCAUGCAUCUCUAGAACAACAAAAGGCCUUAUUAAUCUUCAUCAACUUCCAUUCGAUCGUCAUAUACACCUACUGAAUAAAAGACAGAGAGCUUUGGAGAGACAACAAGCUCAUGUGUGUGUGUCUUGUGUUCUCCAGAGCAAAGGUUCAGAGAACAAACCUUGUGCGUCUGUUGUGUCCUUGUUGUCCGGGAGCCCAAGAAUUGGAGGCUAGCUCGUGUCCCAGGUUGGUUUUCUGACACCCACCUCCUGCAGCAAGAUCCAGGGGUGUCCUGCAGCACAGCGGAACACGACGAAUCGGAGCAACGUACACUGCAGUCAGUGUUCAUCCACGGUUGCCAGAUGGGAUCGACACGAAUCGAUGAGAGAAGCCGAAGGGGAAGUGGUGGGUGUUCAUCCACGGUUGCCAGAUGGGAUCGACACGAAUCGAUGAGAGAAGCCGAAGGGGAAGUGGUGGGUUACCUUAAGGAUCGAAUCGAUCCGCGCCGUUGCCUUCCUGGUAGCCGGAGACCCGUGGCCGGUGUGUAGCGCCGCCACCGCAAACCCUACGCAGAUCACACGCGCGCCACGGUCCGGCCAGCUUGACGGAGGGCCGCGCAUCGAAGCACGCACGCACGCGCCGGCGAGCAAGCCCGCCGUGACGCCAUGGUCGCUGGGCGCCGACGCCGGGGCUGGUCGAGAAAGAGGUGGACAGGACAUGCGCCCCCUCCAUCGAUCUAAAUCGGGGAAGAGGGAGAUAGACGAAAGGGGGUCGACAACAUCAAAGAGCGCCGCUGCCGGGGAGGGAGGCGGGAAGGAGGGCGGGCGCCGUCGCCGAAGGCGAGAGGGACAGGGGCAUCGGGUGGAUUCCUUCGGCCUUUCUUCGCGGCGAAGCGAACUCGCUUGUCUUUCUCUUGAAAAAAAAACUCCCUUGUCUCGUAGCUUGCCGACGUGGACAGAGCCAUCGACCGCUCCUUGCGCGACUGUUAUUGGGUUGUAUGGGAUGUGACGAUGUGGCCCUCAAGCUGGGUGUUGGCGUAGUUCCUCAAGGCACGCAUUAUCUUGGCGCCGAUGUGACACACUAGGAGCUGCAUAUCAGUUUUCUUCUGCCGGCUUGAAAAAAUAACUAGUCAAUGUGGCAGUGAUUCAAACGGUGCAUACAACACUGUCCAAAUCACCUGAAGCAAAACAACGUUCCAACCGAAGCAACAAAAGGUUUGAAUGGACAGUGUUGUAUGCAAGGUAUGUUUGGUGAACUAGUGUGGAAAAACAUGUAUAAUCAAACCUCAUACUUUAGCAUUUCAAAGCAAUAGUAAGUAAGAUGGAAGCAUACAUAUACAAUUAUGUACUCCAGCAAAUGAGUGUCAUUGUAAUUGUCUUAAGCAUUAAAACACAGGGUUACAACCGACGAUAGAGAGACCGCCUGAGGAGAUAUAUGCAAUGAAAUAUAAAUAUAUAUGGAUUAACUAUAGGACAUAUAUGCAUCAUUACUAGAAUGAAAAGGCUAAUUACAACCUGAAGUGGCAAUGCAAGGAAAUGAAAUUAUACAAGUGAUGAGAAAUAUAAUGAAGCAUGUGUUUAAUAAAAAUAAAAUAAAAAUCUACAAAUAAUGGAAACACAUAUACUAAAUCAAGAAGCAUGAUUGCAGUUCUAUCUAUACAUAAAAUAACAUGGAUGCUCCGAAGCAAUGGACUUUACAUCUGUACAUCUACGAAACAUGGCAAGAGACUGAAGCUCCAUUGCAUGGAAGAAGUAUCUGUACAUAAGACACCUAGGAAGUAUAGAUGCUAACUAAUGAAAAAAAUAAUAUGUACAGCGAGCAUGCAUGGCAAUAGAUUGACAUUCCAAUCGUACAUACGAAGGAUGGUAGAUGCAGCAGUACAUAGGAAGCUACCUAGAAGCAUGGAAAUAGAUUGAAAUUCCGCUGUACGUAGGAAGCACGAAUGCAUGAAGGAAAUUGCUAUCACUAUAUAAACAAGGCGUACCGGAAGCACAAAAAAAUGAAGAUGCAAAAUAGCAUGCUCGCCACUGAUAUCGGGUGCAGAAUUUAUGAUCUGCAAACGUAUCUCAUCUGCUCUAAUUGGAGGUUUUGUGAGCUUACAUCAACUUGAAUUCUUCAAAUACAUGAAUGAAAACAGAUCCACACAGAUCCCACCGCUGGUGAAUCUCCCAGCCACAUGUUGCAUCCUUUACGAAGACCUACACAGAUGCCUAGAUCGGCGACGAUGCUGCAGCUAGGUAGGGAUGUGAUCAAAUACAUAUUAGCUAGAACAUCCUUAUUUUCCGGAUGGCAAAGUUGGGCAGUGAUCCUGGAAAUCUCCUCUGGAACUAAAAGGGAUGUGAUCAAUUACAUAUCAGCGAACAUCCUUAUUUUCCGGGUGGCAAAGUUGGGCAGUGAUCCUGGCAAUCUCCCCUGGAACUAAAACAAGGUGCUCCCUGCGCAUUGAGGCAGCAAAAGCAGUGAUGGGCAUUUGGUUCACCUUUGGUGUUACAAUCCCUUGCGACACACCAUUUUAUGGUAAGUUUGCUCUCAUCUAAGGAUGAGGCCACCAUAGUCUCGUUGUCAUGGCCAUCUCUGUAGGUGCUCUUGGGGACGGAACGACCUGUUGCAUAUGACAUAUUAUGUGCUCAUCAGUGCACAGUAGGCAAGUAUCUUAUGUACAUAGAGGAACAAUAGUUUUGAAAGACAGUGCAAAGAUAUAAGCAAUAUGAUAGUGAAGGUGCGCUUACAUUGUCCAACCAUGAUUAGGCACCCGACAAAGAAAACAGCAACCACUACGCUGCUCCCCUUCAUAUUUUCAAUGAACUGUAUACGAGAUUAUGAGAUAGUUAGAAGCAAUCAGAGGCAAUAAUCACAAUCCCCUCUCACCUCAGUAUAUACAUAUAGGGUAGGGUUGGAGUCGAGCCGAGUUCAGUCCGAGCCACGCUCUGGCUCGUUCUGUAUGGGUGUCUUUGCUCGGUCCAGCCCAACCACCAGAAAACAAUGCAUCCCUUUACAGUGAGUAAACAGUAGUUUUUUUUGUGUGUCUUUUGUUGUUUUGAUUGCAAAUUAAGACAAUAUAUUGAAUAUUUAGCACUCUAUAUUAAUUGCUAAAAAAAUUGAAGAUCAAGCACCAUAUAUUGCUAAUAAUGAUCAAAGUGUUGAAAACUAAGCAUAUGCAUCUUGAUGUUGUCAAGUACAUGGUUUGGUGCUCUUCACCUCUGUGUUACAAGUUACAACCAAUUAAAAAUUGACAAGUCUAUACUUCAGACUUCUGCAGACGCAAAAACAUGUUGCAGUCACUGCAGUCUAGAGGCUAGAGACUAGCACAGUUUAGCAUCUCAUUCUUGAGCAGAUAAAGCUAGCAGCAAGAACCAAACUACCAGAUGCCAGGUGAUGUAUUAUCAACCAUUCAGGUUACAAGCAGGCUUCCUAUGUAAAAAUGAGAAGCAAAUAUUCUCAAGCACAUGUACAGAAGUACGAAUCAAAAGCUUCACUACUUGACACCAUGUACAUCUCCUACCCAAGCUGCACAAGCCUCUGCUCUGUGGCCGCUCUGCUCUUGAUCCGAGAAAAAAAGGGGGAAGCAGACGAACCUUAGGCAGCCGUUGGCGUCAUUGUUGCGGGAGGGAAGGAAACUUCUUGAGUAGUCGUCGCUUGAAUCAGCGAGGGGUUCGGGGCGCUUCUGCUUCCCCAAGACGUAGGGAAGUGGGCGCUCGUUCUCAGGGAGCUGCUGGGACGUCUUCUCCCCUAACAGACCAGCGAUUCCAUCAGUUGAAAGGAGCAUUGUUACAUUCCAUAUAUGUAGAACAAAGAACGGCAGAACAGCUAUGCAAUUUGAGAUCGCAAAGUUAUGGUAGUAAAUAGUACUCCCUCCGUCCCAGAAUAAGUCUUUGAUUUAGUACAAACUACAAAGUGUACUAACUUUGUAGUCACUUAUUUUGGGAUGGAGGGAGUAUGCAUUAUGUGAGGGAGGCAACUAUACCCAAAACGGAAAUGGGUCGGUUUUCCACCCCUGCACGUGUCCGUACCCACACCAUGCCCCCAGCUGGUCCCGAUCACGCACAGGCAAAAGCAAAACAGGGGAUAAAAUGCCACCACACAAGAAAGGGUGGAACAAACAGGAAAAAGAGGCGGCCAUGGCGUCCUGAAGGUUAAGAGAAACAAAAACAUAGAAGUCUUCACAACAAGUUAUGCAAGCACAGGCGCAAACACAGAAAUCUAGGUGUAUUUAUUUUGUCACAACCCUGGUCUGUAGCAACACUCAUAGUAUUCUGAUCUGUUUGGCAGAAGACACAGGAAUCUCGAAAAAUAUCCUCCUACCUCUCCCCUUGAUUUGAUUCUUCAAAGAUUCUGGGUACAAGGUCUUUGGAAACUUGAAGCCAGAAUUGUAGAUUCGGUUUGCCUGUGAGUGAUCCUGACCUGCAUAUAUGCAUAGGAGAUGUUAGGUUGGCUUGUGCACAACUGAAUUGUAAUAAGUUGCUUCACAUAUAGUUGGUUUAUAAGUAAAAAAAUUGUUGGUUGCUUGCCUUUCACGACAAAACGACCUAUAUGUUCCCCAGAUAGUACUAUGCUAGUUUGUUUGUGUGAGAAGUUUUUAGAAUACACCAUUUUUCUGUGGAAAAAGCAAACUUUUUACUAUAGAGUCCAGCUUUAUAAAUGGAUCAUCUUAACAUGAAAUGCAAAUUAACCCGCUUGUCGCCUAGGCAAUGCACUAUACCAACUAGGAAGAUUGUUCCAGUUAGUAUUACUGGAAUAAAACUAAUAUUCCCCAGUAAUAAAAAUUACCAAUUCAGGCAAGGAUCCUCUUUGUGCUAUUGUGCAACAUGGAAAACUUGCUCACAAAAAUCUGGUGCAAGACACAGCUACUGCAUCUUAAACAAGACCAUGGAUAAGCUACAUUAUUGCUGGACUGUGGGGAAGCAACUUUACUAUGCUAAGUAAGGAACAAAAGAAAAACAGAAAGUAUCAACGAAAUGACUUAAGUAGUCGAGUAAAAGUGUCCUAUCUAUCUGCGUAGCAACAAACACAGAUAAGUAGUAAGAGUGUUCUCUCAGAAAAAUGCCUCAUGUUGUCCCAAAGGUUUAAUGGAAUGUAUUGUAUCAGGCAUCUGAUCAGUGUUUUUUUUUUUGCGGGUUAGGCAUCUGAUCAGUGUUGACCAACAAAGACCCAAAAACACAAAGUGAGCAACCACGCAGGCUCUUGCACGGACAUACAGAGGACAAACGAAACCCUUGCUUCAUUAACACAAAAAAGGUGGGAGAACUAGAUGUAUCAAAUGGCCUGGAAAAGCUACUGAGCACAAGUAGAUUGCUUCUCUCUAUCUGUUAUAUCUCUAUCUCUUCUACCUCUAUUUUUUCUCUACCUACCUAUCUACUUGCUUCAUUGGCACACACAAAAAUACAACAAUGCCAGAUCGCCAUGAAGGGAUAGACAUAAGAAACUUGCUUCACCGGCACAAACAAAGUGAGAGGACUUGCUUUAUCAAUUUGCCUGAGGAAAGCUACUUAUAUAGCACAAGUAAAUUGCAUGUGUCGAUGAAAACAAAAUGCUACAACCAGUCGCACUAGAAAGCACAAAAAACAUGCCCCCUCGCGCUAAUCUUCACCAAUCUCCUGGAGGAGUUUGUGAGCAUGCCCCUUGACGGUAAAAACAUCGACUAAAUAAACAUUCCCCCAAAAUCUACUGUAAUUCGUAAGAAUGAACAGUAGGUGCUCUACUCUCCUCAGCAAGAAUCGUAAGAAACGAGCGCUUCUAAUCGAUGAACGGGUGCUCUGCUCAGUGCUCACCCUUCUAAAUCGGCCAAGGGAGUGGCUCUGGUCCUGGCGCAGCUACGGAACGGGGGUAAACUGCAUUACGGCGCCCUCUUGCUAGGCUGCUACCCACCCCUUCCGAAUGUGGCGGGCCCCGUGGAGCGCGCGCAUACCUGAGGUGUGGUCGUCGGCGGCAGGCAGCAGGCUGGGUCGAUGCUGCGCUCCUCCUUUCGCCGGCGCUCCAAUCCCUCAAACUUCCAGCGCCGCCGCGACCGCCCUGCUUCGCUUCUCUCCCCUCUCCGUCUUCCCCAUCUUCAGUGACCCAAGCAGCGCCACCGAGGCCGCGGCGGCCGCCUUCUGAUUUACCGUUCCCCGCGCUCGUCUUCCUUUCUCUGCCUCCACACGAUCUCCGCUGGGAAACCCUAGCAAUGGGGAAUUUCGUGCUCACUUAUCAGGGCAUCUCCAAUCUCCAAUAAUGGGCAUUGCUACAGUCGGCCGGCGGAUAUUUCUACAAGCCGCCGCAUCGGCUGUUAGGCUAGUCACAGGGAGUUAUCCCAAGAAAAUAUUGCUUAUGUGGCAUAGAGUUAAUAAAAAGUGAGACACUUGUGGUAACAUAAUAUGUUACUGUAACAUAACACAUCCCGAGAUAAUGAGACUAUAUCUCAAUUAGUGAAGGCUUGCAUGUUAUCAUUCAUAUGUUACUACUCAUUAUAAAAGUAGUAUGCUUAGCACAGAGAUGCUUGUUUUGAAAUGUGCGACCCGUUAGGUGUACGGCCUGGCGACUGCGCUGGCGACCGCGAGCCCCCGGUGGGGCGUGCGCUGGGUGGGAUUCCACCGGCGGCAUGAACCUUGGUCCGCCAUGGAGUGGGUUCGGCCUAGGUACGCGCGGCGGUGGAGCGUGCUGUUUCACCGGCGACGGGGGCUGGGGCCUGCCGGAACCGUUUCUGGGCGCUGUCGGAGGCGGACUUUGAUGAUGAAGACGAGGGGGAGGAUUGCGAGAGUUGUGUGCGUGCGGUGCUGGAGGGGCCGUCGAUUGGUGAUUUUGUGACCUUCGCGGCGGAGGCGCGUGGCCUGGGAGCAGCGCGGGGGCGGCGCUUUGCUCCGGGAGGUCGCGGUUCCAGGGCCACGGCCCAGCGCAUCUGGCAGCCGGUGUUGGCGGGGAGUGCGGGCUCGGGUCCGGCGGAGGCGACGGGUGCGUCCCGUCGCAUCAGAUCCUUGACGGCGGCUUGUCCGAUGAAGGACAGGGCUGCACAGUCCGGGGAGGACUGGCCUCGCCUGCCUGCGCCUUCGUCUCCUGCGCCGGCGGCGGCGUCGUCGGGCGAGAGGGAGCAGGCGUUGUCUGCCCGGGGGCCUAGGGUUGGGCCGUUGGGGCCGAGUGCUGGUGUACCGGAGCCGGCUAACGAAGCGGUUCAAGGGUUGGGCCCAUCCGCGGGGCAGGUGCUGGGGACGACUCAGGAAGCGAAUACACUUGGGCCUCCAAGGCCCAGGUCGCCCCGGCCUGCCGCGCGUCCGGUCGCCGGCUAUAAAUGGAUGCGGAGAGGCUGUCUGGACCCCCUUUUAGGGUUUCCAGCCACUGCGAGCGAGGUGCGGCGCCUCACACACUCCGCCCGCACUCUCAAGAUCUCGCCCCCUCCCCCUCCCCUUCUCAAAUCCUUUGCGGCGGUGGUGAUGGAAGACCGGCGAGCUGACAAGAGGCCCAUGGAGGUCUCAGAUUCGGAAGCGGAGCGGCGCAGGGAGCGGGAGCUGCGGGACCAGGCGAAGCGCUCGAUGCGGGAGCGCGCGGACGGUCAUGAGGUUAGAGCCGAGCGCGGCGGAUCUCGUGACCAGGGCAGGCACGAGGGGGAUUGGGGUCCUCCUCCCCCAUGGUGAAUCCAGCAACAAGAAAGAAAGAAGAAGAAGAAGGUCACUCAGAGGCGGCGCGAGCUCGAGUAGAAGCCGGAGGCACAUCCCAACUGUGGUGGGGGCCAUGGGGAUCCGAUGGCCAAGAAACCUUGGGCGGCCGCAGAUCCACUGGCAGUUGCCUUUCCUUCUUCCUCCAAGGGCACGACGGAGGAUCCCAUUCCGGUGGAAGAGGUGCCAGAUGUGGAAUGCUUUAAGUGCGGCCGCCUCGGGCACUACCAAUCCAAGUGUAAGUUUCAACCCUUGUGUGUGCUCUGUAAGGAGGAAGGACACGCGUCUGCGCACUGUCCGACGCGGGGGCGUCAACUCCGUUUGCAGAUCAUGGGUAGCGCCAUCUCCGGAGAGGGUUUUUUCUGCUUGGAGUUCGAUGAGGAGGAUGAGGCAGAGCUGCCUGUGGAUGCAAGGAUCGAGAAUGCGACAAUUCUUUCUGCCGAGCCAGGGAGGCUCAACCUUCGCAUCCUCAAGCAAGAACUUCAACACAUGGUGACUGGAUCUUGGAAUUGGCAAGUGACCCAGGUUGGUGACAAUGAUUUCUUGGUUGUUUUCCCUUCAGCUGAUCUCCUUCACAUAUUGAAGACAAGUGGAAAGCUUUUUCUAUCUAUCAAUGACAUCACAGCCUCGGUCCGGGACAUGAUUCACGAGGAGGUGCAGCCGAUGGCCAUGCUAGAGACUUGGGUGCGGCUGCACGGCAUCCCGAAGAAACACAGACGCGAGGAUCGCAUCAAGGAAGGGUUCCGGGAUGCUUGGUCGCCCAAUCGUGGUAGACGAACUGUCCCUCAUUAGGAUGGGGCCGGUGAGGAUGAAGUUAGCAUGCAAGGCUCCGAAGAAACUAAAUGGUUUCGUGGAAGUAUGGUUCAAUCAUGAAGGUUACCAGAUUAAGGUGGAGCGUGAGAUGUUGCCCAAGCGUGGCGGUGAGCGUGUGGUGACCGUUCCUGGUCCAUCUACCCCCCCCCACCCAAAGAUCCCGCUGCCAAUGGAGGGGCGCACCCUUCGGGUAGCGUGCGUCCCAACGGCGUGGCCCCUGGUGCGGCCCCUCAAGGAGAUGAUCGGGCUCCCACCAUGGGAUCAGACGGUGACACCAAGAUGCAUGACAUGGGAGAUGAUUUCGAGGAUAGCCAGCAAGAUACUUCUAUAGACACGGAAACUUGGGACAAGCUGGGUGCUCUCUCAACUGAUGCGGGUACCAUGGGGGUGGCGACGCAGGACACGGCGACGAGCGUCCCACCGCUGGCUCGAUCCCUUGCGUUGACGUUCGACGAAUACAGAUCAAACUUGACGGCCACUAUGGUGAUGCAGCUGAAGCCUAACAAGGAGGUUGGGUCAUUUCGGUCCCGGCGCCAUCUCUGGCUGUGGCAACCGGGGCAGACUCUGGGUGUGUCGUGGAUUGGGACCUGACCCCCUCCAACAAGCGUGGCUCCAACAGUGUGGGGCGUCACGCAAAGAAGACGACGGACAGAAAACCGACCAAUAAGCAGGUGGGGCGGGGGAGACGGGAGCGGCGGCAACCCUUCGUGGCGAAUUGGGGGCGGCGCUGGGUGCGGCAGAAGUGGGCACCAAGGCCAGGCGUUCCAAGGUUACUCCUGUUGCGCAGUGGGUGCCCAGCGCGCGUGCCAAGGCCAAGCUUGGGGAGCUGACUUCACUAGAGAGUGCCAAACUUCGGCUUGCUGACAAGAAUCUGGAGGCCGCAGGUAAUCCCUUACCAUCUUAUUGCAUUCUGAACACUUUUUCGGAUGAACAUCUUGCGAACAUCUUAGACGAUAGUGGAGUUGUAAUUAGUGCUCCGUGUAGUGAGAUCAUCUCACUGGUGCGCGCGCAGGAGGAAGCGCAGGCCAUGCUCGCGGCUGCGGCUGCGUGUUGUGCUGACUUGAAUCAACUUUCCAUCGUGCCGGUAGAGGCUGGCUGCAAGGCAGGGCCCGAUGAGGGGAUAGAGGCAAGGGAUGCCUCUGAUCUACCUUCUUCCAGCCGGAUCCCAGCGCGGAAGCGAGUGUUGAAGGCGGUGACAUCCAGGGGGGUGCGCUUGCGUAAUCGAAUCAUAUAGAUGCGCUAUCUAUUUUGGAACAUCCGUGGGUGGCCACGGCGGGAGACGUACACAGCUCAAGGAAUAUAUUUCCAAGGAGAGGAACGGCGCAGUUGCGCUUUAGGAAACGAUUAAAUCUGACUUCUCGUACCGUGAUAUCCUUUCUUUUGACCCGCUGCAACGUUUCUCUUGGCACUGGGUGCCCUCGUCGGGGCACUCGGGUUGCAUUCUUAUGGGUUGUAACCUUGAUAUCUGUGAUGUACUACAAUGGGAUGUUGGUGUAUUUUUCCUUGCGGCUACAGUUCAUCAUCGUGUCACGGGUCUCUCGUGGGUCGUUGUGUGCGUAUACGGACCUGCAGACCAUUCACGUUCAUCAGAGUUCUUAUUGGAGUUAACCAACUUGGUAGGGGCCAAACGAACAAUCAAUUUGUCACUUGUGGUGGGUGGUGACUUCAAUCUAUUCCGUUCGGGGGCGGACAAAAGCAACACCAACAUUGACUGGACUAGGGUGUCCAUGUUCAAUGGUGCCAUUGCGGCAAUGGCUUUGCGUGAGGCGGCUCGGACCGGUGCGAGAUUUACAUGGACUAACAAGCAAACGCAGCCAGUACAGAGUGUGUUAGAUAGGGUUUUCUUUACUCCCGAAUGGGAGGUUCUAUUUCCCUUAUGCACACUAGUUGACGAAACACGUAUCGGCUGGGACCAUGUUUCGUUGUUUUUCUCCUCUGGGGAGGAAUUCAUUAGGCGUAGCCCACGGUUCUACUUUGAAAUGGCUUGGUUUGAAUCCGAGGGGUUUGCCCAGAUGGUGGCAGAAUGUUGGUGUACGAUCUGCGCCCAGCUUGGGCCACAAUGUGGACCAGCUGAGUUCUGGAUCUCGGCGGCUAGCAAACUCCCGGCUUUUCUUCGUGGGUGGGGGGCUAACCACGGCAGUGAGACUAAGAAAGAGCGGGCUAACAUUGUUGAGGCAAUAGCCGCGAUGGACUAGGAGGGUGAUCAGCGGCCCUUCUCGGAGGGAGAAUGGGCCGCUCGUUACGACCUUGAACGCAAGGUCUUAGCCAUCCUUCAAGCGGAAGAGGAGCAUUGGCGCCGUGGGGGCGGUAUCAAGUGGGUCACCAAAUGAGACGCUAACACUAGUUAUUUCCAUGCCUACGCUAACGGUAGGAAACGUAAGAGUAUGAUCCUUCUGUUACAAUCUGAUCAAGGUCUAUUAGUUACUAACGAUCGCAUUGUGACCCACAUUUAUGAGUUUUUCAUUGGGCUUUUGGGGACGGCCGAGGAAAAGGCUCUUUGCCUCCAUGAUGACCUUUGGGACCCUUCCGAACAUGUCACGUAGGAGGAGAACGACGGGCUCAUUCUCUCAUUCCUCCCGGAGGAAAUUGAUCGUGCUUUACACGAUAUGAAAACGGACACGGCACCUGGUCCGGACGGGUGGCCGGUAGAGUUUUUCAAAAAGUUCUGGCCUAACCUUAAACACAUUUUCUAUGGUAUAGUGAACGGGUUCGCGUUAGGUACUGUUGACCUGGCUAGAUUAAACUAUGGGGCCAUCAGCUUGAUCCCCAAAGUUAAAGGGGCUGACGACAUUAAACUAUUCAGACCAAUCUGCCUGAUUAAUGCCCCUUUCAAGAUUUGCGCGAAAGCUUACGCUUCUCGCCUGGCGCCCGUAGCUCAACGGGUGAUUAGCCCUAGUCAGACAGGUUUUUUGAAGCACUAUAACAUCCUAGAAGGACCUUUAGUGCUUCAGGAAAUCAUUCACGAGCUUAAAUGCACCAAGGUGCGUGGCGUCCUUCUCAAGUUAGAUUUUGGCCUAUGAUCGCGUGAACUGGGAGUUCGUGCGAGAGGUCCUCAUCAAAAAGGGUUUUGAUGGGGGUUUUGUUCACCGUAUCAUGCACCUCAUGAGCAGUGGGCACAUGGUGGUGACCAUCAACGGUGAGAUCGGCAAUUUCUUCCGCAACAAGCGUGGCCUCAGGCAGGGGGACCCGAGCUCACCUUUGAUCUUUAAUUUUGUUGCGGAUGCGCUCGCGGCGAUGAUUAGCAAGGCCAGAGAUGCGGGACACAUCAAAGGGCUAAUCUCUCAUCUUAUUCCAGGCGGUGUGACAUAUCUGCAAUACGCAGAUGACACGAUGUUGUUAUUCCAGCUGGAUGACCAUAGCAUUGCCUCGAUUAAGUUACUGUUAAUCUCUUUCGAAAUUUUGUCGGGCCUUAAAAUUAAUUUUCUCAAAAGCAAAGUGAUCACCAUAGGGAUGGAGGAGCACGAAAGUAGGGGGGUCGCAAACUUGCUCAAUUGCAAGAUUGGCAAGUUCCCGAUCAAGUAUCUUGGACUACCGAUAACGCACAAGAGCCUGACUAUAGCUGAAUGGGCGCCACUAUACGGCAAAUUGGUGAAUCGGGUUAGUCUGUGGAGAGGAAGGUUUAUGUCCUCGUCCGCUAGGUUAAUUUUGACCAACUCUAGCUUAUCCUCUCUUUCCAAUGGGCAUGUUCCUCCUUGCCAAUGGAGUGCAUGCUAAACUUGACACGCCGCAUGCCCAGUUCUUUUGGGAAGGAACUGGGACGAAGCGCAAAUAUCACUUGGUAAAGUGGGCGGCGGUCUGCAGGCCGAAGAAGUUCGGUGGUAUUGGGAUCACGAAUUCGAAACUGAUGAACGUUGCCCUGCUAACCAAGUGAUGGUGGCGGCUAGCCCAAAACGAGAAGGGUCUCUGGGCGGACAUUCUUCGGGCAAAAUACUUCCCGGACGGUAACCUGUUUAAGGCCAAGACCAAGGGAUCGGCCUUUUGGAAUGGCAUACAAGCGGUGAGACCUGCCUUCUCGGUUGGGGCCCAAUUCUCUGUCAACAACGGAGCGUCCGAUGUAGGAAUGGGACAUCCUCCCCCAUCCCACAGAUGGUGCAUGUCCCAUUCGCCAAGCGCAACGGUCCGACGAAUGGGACAUGCACCAUCUGUGGGAUGGGGGAGGAUGCUAACCACGUCUUCUUCAGAUGCGGUCUCGUUAGAUUUGCGUGCAGUGCGGCCAGAGAGGCUUUUAACCAGAACUGGAAUCCGCAAACUAGCAACCACCUUCUUACCAUACUAACCGCGCAGAAGGGUAUGAAUGCUCGGGUGGUGUGGAGAUGCGUAGGGGCGAUGCUUUGGUCAAUAUGGACCGUGUGGAACAAAAUUACUAUCGAACACAUGUUCCCUGUGUAGGGGAACGUAGUAAUUUCAAAAAAAUUCCUACGCACACGCAAGAUCAUGGUGAUGCAUAGCAACGAGAGGGGAGAGUGUGUCCACGUACCCUCGUAGACCGUAAGCGGUAGCGUUAUGACAACGCGGUUGAUGUAGUCGUACGUCUUCACGAUCCGACCGAUCCAAGUACCGAACGUACGGCACCUCCGAGUUUAGGACACGUUCAGCUCGAUGACGAUCCCCGGACUCCGAUCCAGCAAAGUGUCGGGGAUGAGUUCCGUCAGCAUGACGGCGUAGUGACGAUGAUGAUGUUCUACCGGCGCAGGGCUUCGCCUAAACUCCGCGACGAUAUGACAGAGGUGGAAUAUGGUGGAGGGGGGCACCGCACACGGCUAAGGAACGAUCACGUAGAUCAACUUGUGUGUCAUGGGGUGCCCCUGCCCCCGUAUAUAAAGGAGGGAGGGGGAGGUGCGGCCGGCCAAGGAGGGCGCGCCAAGGGGGAGUCCUACUCCCACCGGGAGUAGGACUCCUUCUUUCCUAGUCCAACAAGGAGAAGGGGGGAAAGGAGUGAAGGAAAUAUGCCCUAGAGGCAAUAAUAAAGUUAUUAUUUAUUUCCUCAUAUCAUGAUAAAUGUUUAUUAUUCAUGCUAGAAUUGUAUUAACCGGAAACAUGAUACAUGUGUGAAUACAUAGACAAACAUAUAGUCACUAGUGUGCCUCUACUAGACUAGCUCGUUAAUCAAAGAUGGUUAUGUUUCCUAACCAUAGACAUGUGUUGUCAUUUGAUUAAUGGGAUCACAUCAUUAGGAGAAUGAUGUGAUUGACAUGACCCAUUCCGUUUAGCCUAGCACUUGAUCGUUUAGUAUAUUGCUAUUGCUUUCUUCAUGACUUAUGCAUGUUCCUGUAACUAUGAGAAUUAUGCAACUCCCGUUUACCGGAGGAACACUUUGGGUACUACCAAACGUCACAACAUAACUGGGUGAUUAUAAAGGAGUACUACAGGUGUCUCCGAAGGUACAUGUUGAGUUGGCGUAUUUCGAGAUUAGGUUUUGUCACUCCGAUUGUCGGAGAGGUAUCUCUGGGCCCUCUCGGUAAUGCACAUCAUUAUAAGCCUUGCAAGCAAUGUGACCAAAUGAGUUGGUUACGGGAUGAUGCAUUACGGAACGAGUAAAGAGACUUGCCGGUAACAAGAUUGAACUAGGUAUUGGAUACCGACGAUCAAAUCUCGGGCAAGUAACAUACUGAUGACAAAGGGAACAACGUAUGUUGUUAUGCGGUUUGACCGAUAAAGAUCUUCGUAGAAUAUGUAGGAACCAAUAUGAGCAUCCAGGUUCCGCUAUUGGUUAUUGACCGAGAAUAGUUCUAGGUCAUGUCUACAUAGUUCUCGAACCCGUAGGGUCCGCACGCUUAACGUUACGAUGACAGUUUUAUUAUGAGUUUAUAAGUUUUGAUGUACCGAAGUUUAUUCGGAGUCCCGGAUGUGAUCACGGACAUGACGAGGAGUCUCGAAAUGGUCGAGACAUAAAGAUUGAUAUAUUGGAAGCCUAUAUUUGGACAUCGGAAAGGUUCCGGGUGAAAUCGGGAUUUUAUCGGAACACCGGGGGGUUACUGGAACCCUCCCGGGGGUUAAUGGGCCUUAGUGGGCCAUGAGGGAGAAGAGGAGGGCCGGCCAGGGCAGGCCGCAUGCCCCCUCCCCCCUAGUCCGAAUAGGACAAGGAAGGGGGGGUGGCGCCCCCCUUUCCUCUUUCCCCUCCCCCCUUUCCUUCUCCACCAAGGCAAGAGGGGGGAGUCCUACUCCCGGUGGGAGUAGGACUCCUCCAAGCGCACCCCAAGGGGGCCGGCCGCACCUCCCCCUCCCUCCUUUAUAUACGGGGGCAGGGGGGCACCCCAUAAGACACAAGUUGAUCUACGGAUCGUUCCUUAGCCGUGUGCGGUGCCCCCCUCCACCAUAUUCCACCUCGGUCAUAUCGUUGCGAAGCUUAGGCGAAGCCCCGCGCCGGUAGAACAUCAUCAUCGUCACCACGCCAUCGUGCUGACAGGACUCAUCCCCGAAGCUUUGCUGGAUCGGAGCCCGGGGAUCGUCAUCGAGCUGAACGUGUGCUGAACUCGGAGGUGCCGUACGUUCGGUGCUUGGAUCGGUCGGAUCGUGAAGACGUACGACUACAUCAACCGCGUUGUGCUAACGCUUCCGCUUACGGUCUACGAGGGUACGUGGACAACACUCUCGCCUCUCGUUGCUAUGCCAUCACCAUGAUCUUGCGUGUGCGUAGGAAUUUUUUUGAAAUUACUACGUUCCCCUACAGUGGUAUCAGGGCCUAGGUUUUAUGCGUUGAUGUUAUAUGCACGAGUAGAACACAAGUGAGUUGUGGGCGAUACAAGUCAUACUGCUUACCAGCAUGUCAUACUUUGGUUCAGCGGUAUUGUGAGAUGAAGCGGCCCGGACCAACAUUACGCGUACGCUUACGCGAGACUGGUUUCACCGUUGCGAGCACUCGUGCUUAAAGGUGGCUGGUGGGUGUCUGUCUCUCUCACUUUAGCUGAAUCAAGUGUGGCUACGCCCGGUCCUUGCGAAGGUUAAAACAGCACCAACUUGACGAACUAUCGUUGUGGUUUUUAUGCGUAGGUAAGAACGGUUCUUGCUAAAGCCCGUAGCAGCCACGUAAAACAUGCAACAACAAAGUAGAGGACGUCUAACUUGUUUUUGCAGGGCAUGUUGUGAUGUGAUAUGGUCAAGAGUGAUGCUAUAUUUUAUUGUAUGAGAUGAUCAUGUUUUGUAACCGAAGUUAUCGGCAACUGGCAGGAGCCAUAUGGUUGUCGCCUUAUUGUAUGAAAUGCAAACGCCCAAUAGUUGCUUUACUUUAUCUCUAAGCAGUAGCGAUGGUCGUAGAAGCAAUAGAUGGCGUAACGACAACGAUGCUACGAUGAAGAUCAAGGUGUCGCGCCGGUGACGAUGGUGAUCACGACGGUGCUUCGAAGAUGGAGAUCACAAGCACAAGAUGAUGAUGGCCAUAUCAUAUCACUUAUAUUGAUUGCAUGUGAUGUUUAUCCUUUAUGCAUCUUAUCUUGCUUUGAUUGACGGUAGCAUUUUAAGAUGAUCUCUCACUAAUAAUCAAGAAGUGUUCUCCCUGAGUAUGCACCGUUGUGAAAGUUCUUCGUGCUGAGACACCACGUGAUGAUCGGGUGUGAUAGGCUCUAUGUUCAAAUACAACGGGUGCAAAACAGUUGCACACGCGGAAUACUCAGGUCAUACUUGACGAGCCUAGCAUAUACAGAUAUGGCCUCGGAACACGGAGACCGAAAGGUCGAGCGUGAAUCAUAUAGUAGAUAUGAUCAACAUAGUGAUGUUCACCAUUGAAACUACUCCAUCUCACGUGAUGAUCGGACAUGGUUUAGUUGAUUUGGAUCACGUGAUCACUUAGAUGACUAGAGAGAUGUCUGUCUAAGUGGGAGUUCUUAAGUAAUAUGAUUAAUUGAACUUAAAUUUAUCAUGAAACUUAGUACCUGAUAGUAUUUUGCUUGUCUAUGUUUGUUUGUAGAUAGAUGGCUCGCGCUGUUGUUCCGUUAAAUUUUAAUGCGUUCCUUGAGAAAGAAAAGUUGAAAGAUGAUGGUAGCAAUUACACGGACUGGGUCCGUAACCUGAGAAUUUUCCUCAUUGCUGCACAGAAAAGUUACGUCCUGGAAGCACCGCUGGGUGCCAGGCCUGCUACUGAUGCAACUGACGAUGUUAAGAACGUCUGGCAGAGCAAAGCUGAUGACUACUCGAUAGUUCAGUGUGCCAUGCUUUAUGGCUUAGAACCGGGUCUUCAAAUGACGUUUUGAACGUCAUGGGGCAUAUGAGAUGUUCCAGGAGUUGAAGUUAAUAUUUCAAGCAAAUGCCCGGAUUGAGAGAUAUGAAGUCUCCAAUAAGUUCUACAGCUGCAAGAUGGAGGAGAAUAGUUCUGUCAGUGAACACAUACUCAAAAUGUCUGGGUAUAAUAAUCACUUGAUUCAACUGGGAGUUAAUCUUCCUGAUGAUAGUGUCAUUGACAGAAUUCUUCAAUCACUGCCACCAAGCUACAAGAGCUUCGUGAUGAACUAUAAUAUGCAAGGGAUGAACAAGACUAUUCCCGAGCUCUUCGCAAUGCUAAAAGCCGCGGAGGUAGAAAUCAAGAAGGAGCAUCAAGUGUUGAUGGUUAACAAAACCACCAGUUUCAAAAAAAAGGGCAAAGGGAAGAAGAAGGGGAACUUCAAAAAGAACAGCAAGCAAGUUGCUGCUCAAGAGAAGAAACCCAAGUCUGGACCAAAUCCUGAAACUGAGUUCUUCUACUGCAAGCAGACUGGACACUGGAAGCGGAACUGCCCCAAGUAUUUGGCGGAUAAGAAGGAUGGCAAAGUGAACAAAGGUAUAUGUGAUAUACAUGUUAUUGAUAUGUACCUUACUAAUGCUCGCAGUAGCACCUGGGUAUUUGAUACUGGUUCUAUUGCUAAUAUUUGCAACUCGAAACAGGGACUACGAAUUAAGCGAAGAUUGGCUAAGGACGAGGUGACGAUGCGCGUGGGAAAUGGUUCCAAAGUCGAUGUGAUCGCGGUCGGCAUGCUACCUCUACAUCUACCAUCGGGAUUAGUUUUAGACCUAAAUAAUUGUUAUUUGGUGCCAGCGUUAAGCAUGAACAUUAUAUCUGGAUCUUGUUUGAUGCGAGACGGUUAUUCAUUUAAAUCAGAGAAUAAUGGUUGUUCUAUUUAUAUGAGUAAUAUCUUUUAUGGUCAUGCACCCUUGAAGAGUGGUCUAUUUUUAUUAAAUCUCGAUAGUAGUGAUACACAUAUUCAUAGUGUUGAAACCAAAAGAUGCAGAGUUAAUAAUGAUAGUGCAACUUAUUUGUGGCACUGCCGUUUAGGUCAUAUCGGUGUAAAGCGCAUGAAGAAACUCCAUACUGAUGGGAUUUUGGAAUCACUUGAUUAUGAAUCACUUGGUACUUGCGAACCGUGCCUCAUGGGCAAGAUGACUAAAACACCGUUCUCCGAAACUAUGGAGCGAGCAACUGACUUGUUGGAAAUCAUACAUACUGAUGUUUGCGGUCCAAUGAAUGUUGAGGCUCGCGGCGGAUAUCGUUAUUUUCUCACCUUCACAAAUGAUUUGAGCAGAUAUGGGUAUAUCUACUUGAUGAAACACAAGUCUGAAACAUUUGAAAAGUUCAAAGAAUUUCAGAGUGAAGUAGAAAAUCAUCAUAACAGGAAAAUAAAAUUUCUACGAUCUGAUCGUGGAGGAGAAUAUUUGAGUUACGAGUUUGGUCUACACUUGAAACAACACGGAAUAGUUUCACAACUCACGCCACCUGGAACACCACAACGAAAUGGUGUGUCCGAACGUUGUAAUCGUACUUUACUAGAUAUGGUGCGAUCUAUGAUGUCUCUUACUGAUUUACCGCUAUCAUUUUGGGGUUAUGCUUUAGAGACGGCCGCAUUCACGUUAAAUAGGGCACCAUCAAAAUCCGUUAAGACAACGCCUUAUGAACUAUGGUUUGGCAAGAAACCAAAGUUGUCAUUUCUUAAAGUUUGGGGCUGCGAUGCUUAUGUGAAGAAACUUCAACCAGAUAAGCUCGAACCCAAAUCGGAGAAAUGUGUCUUCAUAGGAUACCCAAAAGAGACUAUUGGGUACACCUUCUAUCAUAGAUCUGAGGGCAAGAUUUUCGUUGCUAAAAUCGGAUCCUUUCUAGAGAAGGAGUUUCUCUCGAAAGAAGUGAGUGGGAGGAAAGUAGAACUUGAUGAGAUAACUGUAUCUACUCCCUUAUUGGAAAGUAGUUCAUCACAAGAACCGGUUCCUGUGACAACCACUCCAAUUAGCGAGGAAGCUAAUGAUAUUGAUCAUGAAACUUCAGAUCAAGUUUCUACUGAACCUCGUAGGUCUACCAGAAUAAGAUCCGCACCAGAGUGGUACGGUAAUCCAAUUCUGGAAGUCAUGUUGCUUGACCAUGAUGAACCUACGAACUAUGAGGAAGCGAUGAUGAGCCCAGAUUCCGCAAAAUGGCUAGAGGCCAUGAAAUCUGAGAUGGGAUCCAUGUAUGAAAACAAAGUAUGGACUUUGGUUGACUUGCCAGAUGAUCGGCAAGCCAUUGAGAAUAAAUGGAUUUUUAAGAAGAAGACUGACGCUGAUGGUAAUAUAACUGUCUAUAAAGCUUGACUUGUUGCUAAAGGUUUUCGACAAGUUCAAGGGGUUGACUAUGAUGAGACUUUCUCACCCGUAGUGAUGCUUAAGUCUGUCCGAAUCAUGUUAGCUAUUGCUGCAUUUCAUAAUUAUGAAAUUUGGCAAAUGGAUGUCAAAACUGCAUUCUUGAAUGGAUUUCUGGAAGAAGAGUUGUAUAUGAUGCAGCCAGAAGGUUUUGUAGAUCGAACAGGUGCUAACAAAGUGUGCAAGCUCCAGCGUUCCAUUUAUGGACUGGUGCAAGCAUCUCGGAGUUGGAAUAAACGCUUUGAUAGUGUGAUCAAAUCAUAUGGUUUUAUACAGACUUUUGGAGAAGCCUGUAUUUACAAGAAAGUGAGUGGGAGUUCUGUAGCAUUUCUGAUAUUAUAUGUAGAUGACAUAUUAUUAAUUGGAAAUAAUAUAGAAUUUCUGGAUAGCAUAAAGAGAUACUUGAAUAAAAGUUUUUCAAUGAAAGACCUCGGUGAAGCUGCCUAUAUAUUGGGCAUCAAGAUCUAUAGAGAUAGAUCAAGACGCUUAAUAGGACUUUCACAAAGCACAUACCUUGAUAAAAUUUUGAAAAAGUUCAAAAUGGAUCAGGCAAAGAAAGGGUUCUUGCCCGUACUACAAGGUGUGAAGUUGAGUCAAACUCAAUGCCCGACCACAGUAGAAGAUAGAGAGAAAAUGAAAGAUGUUCCCUAUGCUUCAGCCAUAGGCUCUAUCAUGUAUGCAAUGCUGUGUACCAGACCUGACGUAUGCUUAGCAAUAAGCUUGGCAGGAAGGUACCAAAGUAAUCCAAGAGUGGAUCACUGGACAGCGGUCAAGAACAUCCUGAAAUACCUAAAAAGGACUUAGGAUAUGUUUCUCGUAUAUGGAGGUGACAAAGAGCUAGUCGUAAAUGGUUACGUCGAUGCAAGCUUUGACACUGAUUCGGACGAUUCUAAAUCGCAAACCGGAUACGUGUUUUUAUUAAACGGUGGAGCUGUAAGUUGGUGCAGUUCUAAACAAAGCGUCGUGGCGGGAUCUACAUGUGAAGCGGAGUACAUAGCUGCUUCGGAAGCAGCAAAUGAAGGAGUCUGGAUGAAGGAGUUCAUUUCCGAUCUAGGUGUCAUACCUAGUGCAUCGGGACCAAUGAAAAUCUUCUGUGACAAUACUGGUGCAAUUGCCUUGGCAAAGGAAUCCAGAUUUCACAAGAGGACCAAGCACAUCAAGAGACGCUUCAAUUCCAUUCGGUACCAAGUCCAAGUGGGAGACAUAGAGAUUUGCAAGAUACAUACGGAUCUGAAUGUUGCAGACCCGUUGACUAAGCCACUCUCACGAGCAAAACAUGAUCAGCACCAAGACUCCAUGGGUGUUAGAAUCAUUACUAUGUAAUCUAGAUUAUUGACUCUAGUGCAAGUGGGAGACUGAAGGAAAUAUGCCCUAGAGGCAAUAAUAAAGUUAUUAUUUAUUUCCUCAUAUCAUGAUAAAUGUUUAUUAUUCAUGCUAGAAUUGUAUUAACCGGAAACAUGAUACAUGUGUGAAUACAUAGACAAACAUAUAGUCACUAGUGUGCCUCUACUAGACUAGCUCGUUAAUCAAAGAUGGUUAUGUUUCCUAACCAUAGACAUGUGUUGUCAUUUGAUUAAUGGGAUCACAUCAUUAGGAGAAUGAUGUGAUUGACAUGACCCCAUUCCGUUUAGCCUAGCACUUGAUCGUUUAGUAUAUUGCUAUUGCUUUCUUCAUGACUUAUACAUGUUCCUGUAACUAUGAGAAUUAUGCAACUCCCGUUUACCGGAGGAACACUUUGGGUACUACCAAACGUCACAAUGUAACUGGGUGAUUAUAAAGGAGUACUACAGGUGUCUCCGAAGGUACAUGUUGAGUUGGCGUAUUUCGAGAUUAGGUUUUGUCACUCCGAUUGUCGGAGAGGUAUCUCUGGGCCCUCUCGGUAAUGCACAUCAUUAUAAGCCUUGCAAGCAAUGUGACCAAAUGAGUUGGUUACGGGAUGAUGCAUUACGGAACGAGUAAAGAGACUUGCCGGUAACGAGAUUGAACUAGGUAUUGGAUACCGACGAUCAAAUCUCGGGCAAGUAACAUACCGAUGACAAAGGGAACAACGUAUGUUGUUAUGCGGUUUGACCGAUAAAGAUCUUCGUAGAAUAUGUAGGAACCAAUAUGAGAAUCCAGGUUCCGCUAUUGGUUAUUGACCGAGAAUAGUUCUAGGUCAUGUCUACAUAGUUCUCGAACCCAUAGGGUCCGCACGCUUAACGUUACGAUGACAGUUUUAUUAUGAGUUUAUAAGUUUUGAUGUACCGAAGUUUAUUCGGAGUCCCGGAUGUGAUCACGGACAUGACGAGGAGUCUCGAAAUGGUCGAGACAUAAAGAUUGAUAUAUUGGAAGCCUAUAUUUGGACAUCGGAAAGGUUCCGGGUGAAAUCGGGAUUUUACCGGAACACCGGGGGGUUACCGGAACCCUCCUGGGGGUUAAUGGGCCUUAGUGGGCCAUGAGGGAGAAGAGGAGGGCCGGCCAGGGCAGGCCGCACGCCCCCUCCCCCCUAGUCUGAAUAGGACAAGGAAGGGGGGGGGGGCGGUGCCCCCCUUUCCUCUUUCCCCUCCCCCCUUUCCUUCUCCACCAAGGCAAGAGGGGGGAGUCCUACUCCCGGUGGGAGUAGGACUCCUCCAGGCGCACCCCAAGGGGGCCGGCCGCACCUCCCCCUCCCUCCUUUAUAUACGGGGGCAGGGGGGCACCCCAUAAGACACAAGUUGAUCUACGGAUCGUUCCUUAGCCGUGUGCGGUGCCCCCCUCCAUCAUAUUCCACCUCGGUCAUAUCGUCGCGAAGCUUAGGCGAAGCCUUGCGCCGGUAGAACAUCAUCAUCGUCACCACGCCAUCGUGCUGACAGGACUCAUCCCCGAAGCUUUGCUGGAUCGGAGCCCGGGGAUCGUCAUCGAGCUGAACGUGUGCUGAACUCGGAGGUGCCGUACGUUCGGUGCUUGGAUCGGUCGGAUCGUGAAGACGUACGACUACAUCAACCGCGUUGUGCUAACGCUUCCGCUUACGGUCUACGAGGGUACAUGGACAACACUCUCCCCUCUCGUUGCUAUGCCAUCACCAUGAUCUUGCGUGUGCGUAGGAAAUUUUUUGAAAUUACUACGUUCCCCUACAAGGAGGGGAGUGGAGAAGGAAGGGAGAGGGGAGCCGCGCCCCAAACCCCUUGUCCAAUUCGGACUGGGCUUGGGAGGGGCGCGCGCCACCUCCUGGCUCCUUUCCCACUAAGGCCCAUUAAGGCCCAAUACUCUUCCCCGUAUUCCCGUAACUCCCCGGUACUCCGAAAAAUACCCGAAUCACUCGGAACCUUUGCAAAGUCCGAAUAUAGUCGUCCAAUAUAUCGAUCUUUACGUCUCGACCAUUUCGAGACUCCUCGUCAUAUCCCCGAUCUCAUCCGGGACUCCGAACUCCUUCGGUACAUCAAAACUCAUAAACUCAUAAUAAAAUUGUCAUCGAAACCUUAAGCGUGCGGACCCUACGGGUUCGAGAACUAUGUAGACAUGACCUAGAACUAUUCUCGGUCAAUAACCAAUAGCGGAACCUGGAUGCUCAUAUUGGCUCCUACAUAUUCUGCGAAGAUCUUUAUUGGUCAAACCGCAUAACAACAUACGUUGUUCCCUUUGUCAUCGGUAUGUUACUUGCCCGAGAUUCGAUCGUCGGUAUCCAAUACCUAGUUCAAUCUCGUUACCGGCAAGUCUCUUUACUCGUUACGUAAUGCAUCAUUCCGUAACUAACUCAUUAGCUACAUUGCUUGCAAGGCUUAUAGUGAUGUGCAUUACCGAGAGGGCCCAGAAAUACCUCUCCGACAAUCGGAGUGACAAAACCUAAUCUCGAAAUACGCCAACCCAACAUGUACCUUUGGAGACACCUGUAGUACUCCUUUAUAAUCACCCAGUUACGUUGCGACGUUUGGUAGCACCCAAAGUGUUCCUUCGGUAAACGGGAGUUGCAUAAUCUCAUAGUUACAGGAACAUGUAUAAGUCAUGAAGAAAGCAAUAGCAAUAUACUAAACGAUCAAGUGCUAGGCUAACAGAAUGGGUCAUGUCAAUCACAUCAUUCUCCUAAUGAUGUGAUCCUGUUAAUCAAAUGACAACACAUGUCUAUGGUUAGGAAACAUAACCAUCUUUGAUUAAUGAGCUAGUCAAGUAGAGGCAUACUAGUGACGUUAUGUUGGUCUAUGUAUUCACACAUGUAUUAUGUUUCCGGUUAAUACAAUUUUAGCAUGAAUAAAAAACAUUUAUCAUGAUAUAAGGAAAUAAAUAAUAACUUUAUUAUUGCCUCUAGGGCAUAUUUCCUUCAGUCUCCCACUUGCACUAGAGUCAAUAAUCUAGUUCACAUCAGCAUGUGAUUCAACACCAAUAUUCACAUCUGUAUGUGAUUAAUACCCUUAGUUCACAUCGUCAUGUGAUCAACACCCAAAGGGUUUACUAGAGUCAAUAAUCUAGUUCACAUCACUAUGUGAUUAACACCCAAAGAGUACUAAGGUAUGAUCAUGUUUUGCUCGUGAGAGAAGUUUAGUCAAAGAGUCUGUCAUAUUACAGAGUCGUAUGUAUUUUGCAAAUAUUCUAUGUCUACAAUGCUUUGCACGGAGCUACUCUAGCUAAUUGCUCCCACUUUCAAUAUGUAUCCAGAUCGAGACUUAGAGUCAUCUGGAUCAGUGUAAAAGCUUGCAUCGAUGUAACUCUUUACGACGAACUCUUUUAUCACCUCCAUAAUCGAGAAACAUAUCCUUAUUCUACUAAGGAUAAUUUUGACCAAUGUCCAGUGAUCUACUCCUAGAUCACUAUUGUACUCCCUUGCCAAACCAGGGCAGAGUAUACAAUAGGUCUGGUCCAUAGCAUGGCAUACUUUUAUAGAACCUAUGACUGAAGCAUAGGGAAUGACUUUCAUUCUCUUUCUAUUUUUCUGCCGUGGUCGGGAUUUGAGUCUUACUCAAUUUCAUACCUUUGCAACACAGGCGAGAACUCUCUCUUUGACUGUUCCAUUUUGAACUAUUUCAAAAUCUUGACAAGGUAUGUACUUAUUGAAAAACUUAUCAAGCGUCUUGAUCUAUCUCAAUAGAUCUUGAUGCUCAAUACGUAAGUAGCUUUUCCGAGGUCUUUCUUUUAAAGAACUCCUUUCAAAUACUCCUUUAUGCUUUCCAGAAAAAUUCUACAUCAUUUCUGAUCAACAAUAUGUUACUCACAUAUAUUUAUCAGAAAGGCGGUAGUGCUCCCACUCGCUUUAUUGUAAAUAUAGGCUUCACCGUAAGUCUGUAUAGAACUAUAUGCUUUGAUCAACUUAUCAAAGCGUAUAUUCCAACUCUGAGAUGCUUGCACCAGUCCAUAGAUGGAUCGCUGGAGCUUGCACAUUUUGUUAGCACCGCUAGGAUUGACAAAACCUUCUGGUUGCAUCAUAUACAACUCUUCUUUAAGAAAACCAUUAAGGAAUGCAGUUUUGACAUCCAUUUGCUAGAUUUCAUAAAAUGUGGCAAUUGCUAACAUGAUUCGGACAGACUUAAGCAUCGCUACAGUUGAGAAAAACUCAUUGUAGUCAACACCUUGAACUUGUCGAAAAACCUUUCACAACAAGUCGAGCUUUGUAGAUAGUAACACUACUAUCAGUGUCUGUCUUCCUCUAGAAGAUCCAUUUAUUUUAUAUGGCUUGCCGAUCAUCGGGCAACUCCACCAAAGUCCACACUUUGUUCUCAUACAUGGAUCCCAUCUCAGAUUUCAUGGCCUCAAGCCAUUUCGCGGAAUCUGGGCUCAUCAUCACUUCCUCAUAGUUCGUAGGUUCAUCAUGGUCUAGUAACAUGACUUCCAGAACAUGAUUACCAUACCACUCUGGUGCGGAUCUUUACUCUGGAAGACCUACGAGGUUUGGUAGCAACUUGAUUUGAAGUUUCAUGAUCAUCAUCAUUAACUUCCUCACUGAUUGGUGUAGGAAUCACUAGAACUGAUUUCUGUGAUGAACUACUUUCCAAUAAGGGAGAAGGUACAAUUACCUCAUCAAGUUCUACUUUCCUCCCACUCACUUCUUUCGAGAGAAACUUCUUCUCUAGAAAGGAUCCAUCUUAGCAACGAAUAACUUGCCUUCGGAUCUGUGAUAAAAGGUGUACCCAAUAGUUACCUUUGGGUAUUCUAUGAAGAUGCAUUUCUCCGAUUUGGGUUCGAGCUUAUCAGGUUGAAACUUUUCCACAUAAGCAUCGCAGCCCCAAACUUUUAAGAAACGACAACUUUGGUUUCUUGCCAAACCACAGUUCAUAAGGCGUCGUCUCAACGGAUUUUGAUGGUGCCCUAUUUAAAGUGAAUGCAGCUGUCUUUAAUGCAUAACCCCAAAAUGAUAGUGGUAAAUCAGUAAGAGACAUCAUAGAUUGCACUAUAUCCAAUAAAGUAUUGUUAUGACGUUCGGACACACCAUUAAGUUGUGGUGUUCCAGGUGGCAUGAGUUUGUGAAACUAUUCCACAUUGUUUUAAUUGAAGACCAAACUCGUAACUCAAAUAUUUGUCUCCGCGGUCAAAUUGCAGAGACUUUAUUUUCUUGUUACAAUCAUUCUCCACUUUACUCUGAAAUUCUUUGAACUUUUCAAAUGUUUCAGACUUGUGCUUCAUUAAGUAGAUAUACUCAUAUCUGCUCAAUUCAUCUUGUGAAGGUCAGAAAAUAACGAUACCCUCCACGAGCAUCAAUACUCAUUGGACCGUAUACAUCGGUAUGUAUUAUUUCCAUCAAGUCAGUAGCUCGUUCCAUUGUUCCGGAGAACGGAGUUUUAGUCAUCUUGCCCAAAAGGCACGGUUCACAAGCAUCAAAUGAUUGAUAACCAAGAGAUUCCAAAAAUCCAUCUUUAUGGAGUUUCUUCAUGCGCUUUACACCGAUAUGACCCAAACGGCAGUGUCACAAAUAAGUUGCACUAUCAUUAUCAACUUUGCAUCUUUUGGCAUCAAUAUUAUGAAUAUGUGUAUUACUACGAUCGAGAUCCAACAAACUAUUUUCAUAGGGUGUAUGACCAUCGAAGGUUUUAUUCAUGUAAACAGAACAACAAUUAUUCUUUGACUUUAAAUGAAUAACCGUAUCGCAGUAAACAUGAUCAAAUCAUAUGCAUGCUUAACGCAAACGCCAAAUAACAUUUAUUUAGGUUUAACACUAAUCCCGAAAGUAUAGGGAGUGUGCGAUGAUGAUCAUAUCAAUCUUGGAACCACUUCCAACACUCAUCGUCACUUCCCCUUCAACUAGUCUCUGUUUAUUCUGUAACUCCUGUUUCGAGUUACUAAUAUUUAGCAACCGAACAAGUAUCAAAUAGUCAGGGGCUACUAUAAACACUAGUAAAGUACACAUCAAUAACAUGUAUAUCAAAUAUACCCUUGUUCACUUUGCCAUCCUUCUUAUCCACCAAAUAUUCAGGGCAUUUCCGCUUCCAGUGACCAUUUCCUUUGCAGUGUAAGCACUCAGUUUCAGGCUUUGGUCCAGCUUUGGGCUUCUUCGCGGGAGUGACAACUUGCUUGCCAUUCUACUUGAAGUUCCCUUUCUUUCCCUUUGCCCUUUUCUUGAAACUAGUGGUCUUGUCGAUCAUCAACACUUGAUGCUCUUUUCUUGAUUUCUACCUUCGUCGAUUUCAGCAUCACGAAGAGCUCGGGAAUCAUUUUCGUCAUCCCUUGCAUUAUAGUUCAUCACGAAGUUCCAGUAACUUGGUGAUGGUGACUAGAGAACUCUGCCAAUCACUAUCUUAUCUGGAAGAUUAACUCCCACUCGAUUCAAGUGAUUGUAGUACUCAGACAAUCUAAGUACUUGCUCACUAGUUGAGCAAUUCUCCUCCAUCUUUUAGGCGAAGUAUUUCUCAGAGGUCUCAUACCUCUUGACACGGGCAUGAGUCUGAAAUACCAAUUUCAUCUCUUGAAACAUCUUAUAUGUUCCAUGACGUUUCAAAAACGUUUUUGUAGUCUCGGUUCUAAGCCAUAAAGCAUGGUGCACAAAACUAUCAAGUAGUCAUCAUAUUGAGCUAGCCAAACGUUCAUAACGUCUGCAUCUGCUCCUGCAAUAGAUCUGUCACCUAGCGGUGCAUCAAGGACAUAAUUCUUCUGUGCAGCAAUGAGGAUAAACCUCAUGUCACGGACCAAGUCCGCAUCAUUGCUACUAACAUUUUUCAACUUAGUUUUCUCUAGGAACACAUAUAAAAACACAGGGAAGCAAAAACAUAGGGAAGCAACAACGCAAGCUAUUGAUCUACAACAUAAUUUGCAAAAUACUACCAGGACUAAGUUCGUGAUAAAUUAAAGUUCAAUUAAUCAUAUUACUUAAGAACUCCCACUUAGAUAGACAUCCCUCGAAUCAUCUAAGUGAUCACAUGAUCCAAAUCAACUACACCAUGUCCGAUCGUCAUGUGAGAUGGAGUAGUUUCAACAGUGAACAUCAAUAUGUUGAUCAUAUCUACUAUAUGAUUCACGCUCGACCUUUCAGUCUCCGUGUUCCGAGGCCAUAUCUGUUAUAUGCUAGGCUCGUCAAGUUUAACCUGAGUAUUCCAUGUGUGCAACUGUUUUGCACCCGUUGUAUUUGAACGUAGAGCCUAUAACACCCGAUCAUCACGUGGUGUCUCAGCACGAAGAACUUUCGCAAUGGUGCAUACUCAGGGAGAACACUUCUUGAUAAUUUAGUGAGAGAUCAUCUUAAAAUGAUACCGUCAAUCAAAGCAAGAUAAGAUGCAUAAAGGAUAAACAUCACAUGCAAUCAAUACAAGUGAUAUGAUAUGGCCAUCAUCAUCUUGUGCUUGUGAUCUCCAUCUUCGAAGCACCGUCGUGAUCACCAUCGUCACCGGCGCGACACCUUGAUCUCCAUCGUAGCAUCGUUGUCGUUACGCCAUCUAUUGCUUCUACGACUAUCGCUACCACUUAGUGAUAAAGUAAAGCAAUUACAGGGCGUUUGCAUUUCAUACAAUAAAGCGACAACCUUAUGGCUCCUGCCAGUUGCCGAUAAGUUCGGUUACAAAACAUGAUCAUCUCAUACAAUAAAAUAUAGCAUCACGUCUUGACCAUAUCACAUCACAACAUGCCCUGCAAAAACAAGUUAGACGUCCUCUACUUUGUUGUUUGCAAAUUUUACGUGGCUGCUACGGGCUUAGCAAGAACCGUUCUUACCUACGCAUCAAAACCACAAUGAUAGUUUGUCAAGUUAAUGCUGUUUUAACCUUCGCAAGGACCGGACGUAGCAACACUCGAUUCAGCUAAAGUGAGAGAGACAGACACCCGCCAGUCACCUUUAAGCACGAGUGCUCGUAACGGCGAAACCAGUCUCGCGUAAGCGUACGCAUAAUGUCGUCCGGGCCGCUUCAUCUCACAAUACCGCUGAGCCAAAGUAUGACAUGCUGGUAAGUAGUAUGACUUGUAUCACCCACAACUCACUUGUGUUCUACUCGUGCAUAUGACAUCUACGCAUAAAACCAGGCUCAGAUGCCACUAUAGGGGAACGUAGUAAUUUCAAAAAAAUUCCUACGCACACGCAAGAUCAUGGUGAUGCAUAGCAACGAGAGGGGAGAGUGUGUCCACGUACCCUCGUAGACCGUAAGGGGAAGCGUUAGUACAACGCGGUUGAUGUAGUUGUACGUCUUCACGAUCCGACCGAUCCAAGUACCGAAGGUACGGCACCUCCGAGUUCAGCACACGUUCAGCUCGAUGACGAUCCCUGGACUCCGAUCCAGCAAAGUGUCGGGGAUCAGUUCCGUCAGCACGACGGUGUGGUGACGAUGAUGAUGUUCUACCGGCACAGGGCUUCGCCUAAACUCCGCGACGAUAUGAUCGAGGUGGAAUAUGGUGGAGGGGGGCACCGCACACGGCCAAGGAACGAUCACGUAGAUCAACUUGUGUGUCAUGGGGUGCCCCCCUGCCCCCGUAUAUAAAGGAGGGAGGGGGGAGGUGCGGCCGGCCAAGGAGGGCGCACCAAGGGGGAGUCCUACUCCCACCGGGAGUAGGACUCCUUCUUUCCUAGUCCAACAAGGAGAAGGGGGGAAAGGAGGGGAGUGGAGAAGGAAGGGAGAGGGGGGCCGCGCCCCAAACCCCUUGUCCAAUUCGUACUGGGCUUGGGAGGGGCGCGCGCCACCUCCUGGCUCCUUUCCCACUAAGGCCCAUUAAGGCCCAAUACUCUUCCCCGUAUUCCCGUAACUCCCCGGUACUCCGAAAAAUACCCGAAUCACUCGGAACCUUUCCGAAGUCCGAAUAUAGUCGUCCAAUAUAUCGAUCUUUACGCCUCGACCAUUUCGAGACUCCUCGUCAUGUCCCCGAUCUCAUCCGGGACUCCGAACUCCUUAGGUACAUCAAAACUCAUAAACUCAUAAUAAAACUGUCAUCGAAACCUUAAGCGUGCGGACCCUAUGGGUUCAAGAACUAUGUAGACAUGACCUAGAACUAUUCUCGGUCAAUAACCAAUAGCGGAACCUGGAUGCUCAUAUUGGCUCCUACAUAUUCUGCGAACAUCUUUAUCGGUCAAACCGCAUAACAACAUACGUUGUUCCCUUUGUCAUCGGUAUGUUACUUGCCCGAUAUUCGAUCGUCGGUAUCCAAUACCUAGUUCAAUCUCGUUACCGGCAAGUCUCUUUACUCGUUACGUAAUGCAUCAUUUCAUAACUAACUCAUUAGCUACAUUUCUUGCAAGGCUUAUAGUGAUGUGCAUUACCGAGAGGGCCCAGAAAUACCUCUCCGACAAUCGGAGUGACAAAACCUAAUCUCGAAAUACGUCAACCCAACAUGUACCUUUGGAGACACCUGUAGUACUCCUUUAUAAUCACCCAGUUACGUUGUGACGUUUGGUAGCACCCAAAGUGUUCCUCCGGUAAACGGGAGUUGCAUAAUCUCAUAGUUAUAGGAACAUGUAUAAGUCAUGGAGAAAGCAAUAGCAAUAUACUAAACGAUCAAGUGCUAGGCUAACGGAAUGGGUCAUGUCAAUCACAUCAUUCUCCUAAUGAUGUGAUCCCGUUAAUCAAAUGACAACGCAUGUCUAUGGUUAGGAAACAUAACCAUCUUUGAUUAAUGAGCUAGUCAAGUAUAGGCAUACUAGUGAUGUUAUGUUGGUCUAUGUAUUCAAACAUGUAUUAUGUUUCUGGUUAAUACAAUUCUAGCAUGAAUAACAAACAUUUAUCAUGAUAUAAGGAAAUAAAUAAUAACUUUAUUAUUGCCUCUAGGGCAUAUUUCCUUCACCCUGCUCACCCCGCUGAGAUUCUUUUCAAAUGUCAUACUUUAUUACAGGCUUGGGCGCCAUUGCGGAAUCAGCGUGACGAGGGAAGCAUGAUCGAGACUAUGGAGAAGAUCAAGUGGUGCAUGACGAUAUCAAGAUUACCAACGCUGCAAACUUGAUUCUUUUGCAUAAUACUUAUCUAGUUGCAAACUAAACUAUGUUAUAUCUUCGCCCAUGUGAACUGCUAGCUUUAUCUUUGUCGAGACUGCGAGCCCGCUGAACUUAUGUUAUUCUGGUUGUAAGGUUGAACUGAUGUGGAUGUUGCCUUGUGGCUUUAUUAAUUUAUAAAGCCGGACGCACCAUGCGUCUACGUUCCAAUUUUUUUAUAAAAGUAGUAACAUAGACUAGUAACAUACAUGUUACUAGUUUAAGUUACUCCCCAUUGUGACCAAACUUAGAUACUUAGAGCAUCUCCACUCGGGCCCCAAGACGCCCCCAAGCACCUUUUUUAGCACCGGCGGUAGGAAAAGUCCUAGUCACGCCCCAAAGACAUUGUUUUGCGCCGGAUUUGAGCAAAAAUAGCCCCGGCGACCCGGACCAAACUCAGCCCCCCCACGGGGGGGGGGGGGCGCUAUUUUGUGCAUGGUCAAACCCUACCAGUUAGUCUCUCUCCUCUCUCUCGUCCCUUUUUCUGCUAGGCCCACCCCACCCACUUGCAUGAAAAAAGAAUCUCCCCUCUCUCUCUUGUUGGGGAACGUAGUAAUUUCAAAAAAAUUCCUAUGCACACGCAAGAUCAUGGUGAUGCAUAGCAACGAGAGGGAAGAGUGUUGUCCACGUACCCUCGUAGACCGUAAGAGGAAGAGUUAGUACAACGCGGUUGAUGUAGUCGUACGUCUUCACAAUUCGACCGAUCAAGUACCGAACGUACGACACCUUCGAGUUCAGCACACGUUCAGAUCGAUGAUGUCCCUCGAACUCCGAUCCAGCCGAGCUUUGAGGGAGAGCUUCCUCAGCACGACGGCGUGGUGACGAUGAUGAUGUUCUACCGACGCAGGGCUUCGCCUAAGCACCGCUACGAUAUUAUCGAGGUGGAAUAUGGUGGAGGGGGCACCGCACACGGCUAAGAGAUCAAUGAUCAAUUGUUGUGUCUAUGGGGUGCUCCUUGCCUCAGUAUAUAAAGGAGGAGAGGAGGGGAGGGGCCGGCCCUCUCUAUGGCACGCCCUGGGGAGUCCUACUCCCAUCGGGAGUAGGAUUCCCCCCCCCCCCUUUCCAUGGAGUAGGAGUAGGAGUCAAGGAAAGGGAAGAGAGAAGGGAAGGAAAGAGGGGGUGCAGCCCCUCCCCCUAGUCCAAUUCGGACUAGGCCUUGGGGGGGGGGCUGCCCUAGGCAGCCCCUCUCUCUUUCCCGUAUGGCCCAAUAAGGCCCAAUACUUCUCCCCGGUGAAUUCCGGUAACUCUCCGGUACUCCGAUAAAUACCCGAAUCACUCGGAACCUUUCCGAAGUCUGAAUAUAGUCGUCCAAUAUAUCGAUCUUUACGUCUAAACCAUUUCAAGACUCCUCAUCAUGUCCAUGAUCUCAUCCGGGACUCCGAACUACCUUCAUUACAUCAAAACACAUAACCUCAUAAUAUAACCGUCAUCGAACUUUAAGCGUGCGGAACCUACGGGUUCGAGAACUAUGUAGACAUGACCAAGACACGUCUCCUGUCAAUAACGAAUAGUGGAACCUGGAUGCUCAUAUUGGCUCCCACAUAUUCUACGAAGAUCUUUAUCGGUCAAACCGCAUAACAACAUGCGUUUGUUCCCUUUGUCAUCGGUAUGUUACUUGCCCGAGAUUCGAUCGUCGGUAUCUCAAUACCUAGUUCAAUCUUGUUACCGGCAAGUCUCUUUACUCGUUAUGUAAUACAUCAUCUCACAACUAACUCAUUAGUCACAUUACUUGCAAGGCAUAUAGUGAUGUGCAUUACCGAGAGGGCCUAGAGAUACCUCUCCGACAAUUGGAGUGACAAAUCCUAAUCUCGAAAUACGUCAACUCAACAAGUACCUUCGGAAACACCUGUAGAGCACCUUUAUAAUCACCCAGUUACGUUGUGACAUUUGGUUGCACACAAAGUGUUCUUCCGGUAAACGGGAGUUACAUAAUCUCAUAGUCAUAGGAACAUGUAUAAGUCAUGAAGAAAGCAAUAGCAACAUACUAAACGAUCAAGUGCUAAGCUAACGAAAUGGGUCAAGUCAAUCACAUCAUUCUCCAAUGAUAUGAUUCCAUUAAUCAAAUAACAACUUAUGUCUAUGGCUAGGAAACUUAACCAUCUUUGAUUCAACGAGCUAGUCAAGUAGAGGCAUACUAGUGAUGUUAUGUUUGUCUAUGUAUUCACACAAGUACUAAGUUUCCGGUUAAUACAAUUCUAGCAUGAAUAAUAAACAUUUAUCAUGAAAUAAGGAAAUAAAUAAUCUUGCCUCUAGGGCAUAUUUCCUUCAUAUCUCUCUCUCUCUCUCUCUCUCUCUCUGCAAGCAGAGCUCCUCGCUCUGGCCGCGCUCGCCGCUGUCUCCUUGCUGCCUGCAGAGCCCUCCCCUUGGUCGCCGCGCGCCCUUGCAACGCCUCCUCGUCUCCAGCAAGGGGUCGAUGCACUCCGGGUGGAAGGCGUGUGAGCAGUGCGGCAGCAACCGGAGGUCUUCGACCUCCUCGAACGCCAUCAGGCAGACGUCACACUCCAGCAUGCCCCUGCCGAUCUUGUGCCACCACCGCCGGGUCCAGCUCGCGCUUCCCCCUCCUGGAUGCCCAGACCCCGGCCACAGCGGAGUUGCCCCCCUGCGGCGCGGUGUUCUUGGUGAGGCGGCACUGGUUGAUGUAGCCGCAAAAUAAGAGCAGGAAGAAGAAGGCGUUGAUGGCCACGGUGAUGACUGUCGACAUGGUGCGCCUGAAUGGCGUGGGCCUGGGCACCGCCGCCGCCGCCCCGAACUGUGGCACCGGCGACGACGGCAAAGACUGCGCCAUGCCCACGACGACGCCGAUGCCAAGAAGGAAAACAAGGACGAGGAGGUGUGGACGCACGUUGGUCCGUCGCACGGUGCACCGGCUGGAGGCCUACCCCUACGUCACAUGGCCUCCCUCCCGCUCCACGGCUUCCUCGGGCUGUACCUGUGACACUCGGAUAAUUAGGCUACAGUAAUCCCAUGUUAACGAUGCCACGUCACCUCGGUUACUGUUGAUAAUCUCGUGUUAGAUCGAAACGGAUUCAAAAUCAAAAUUCGAACUAAAGUUAAAACAAUUAAAGUUUUCAAAAGUCAAAACUAAAAUGUUCGAUGUGUUGAAAAUAUUCCCUAACUAUUUAUCAUGAAGAAACCAUGUUUUUAUAUAAGGCCUAUAUAUGUAAAAUGAGCAAAAACAGAAAAAAAAUAUAAAUAAAAAGAGAAACAAACAGAAACAAACCAAAAAAAAAGAGAAGAGGGAAACCCCUAGGACCCCCCCGGCGGACCGGCCCAGCUGCCGGCCAGCCAGCCCAGUUGGCCCAGCCNNNNNNNNNNNNNNNNNNNNNNNNNNNNNNNNNNNNNNNNNNNNNNNNNNNNNNNNNNNNNNNNNNNNNNNNNNNNNNNNNNNNNNNNNNNNNNNNNNNNNNNNNNNNNNNNNNNNNNNNNNNNNNNNNNNNNNNNNNNNNNNNNNNNNNNNNNNNNNNNNNNNNNNNNNNNNNNNNNNNNNNNNNNNNNNNNNNNNNNNNNNNNNNNNNNNNNNNNNNNNNNNNNNNNNNNNNNNNNNNNNNNNNNNNNNNNNNNNNNNNNNNNNNNNNNNNNNNNNNNNNNNNNNNNNNNNNNNNNNNNNNNNNNNNNNNNNNNNNNNNNNNNNNNNNNNNNNNNNNNNNNNNNNNNNNNNNNNNNNNNNNNNNNNNNNNNNNNNNNNNNNNNNNNNNNNNNNNNNNNNNNNNNNNNNNNNNNNNNNNNNNNNNNNNNNNNNNNNNNNNNNNNNNNNNNNNNNNNNNNNNNNNNNNCUCGCGGCGCGCGCGCGCACACACACACACCAUGCCAGGGAGAGAAGCUCCCUACGCCCGAUCCCCACACCCUGACGACCGCGCCUCAACCAUCGUUGCCCGCCCCUGACGCGUCCCCGGCACCAUCGCACCGGCGCCACCCCGCCGUCGGCACGUCGUCCCCGUCGCCCCCGACCUCGUCGCCGUCGUCCUUCCCGCCCCGCUGCCCAAAUCCCUACGGCCCCCGUGAGCGCCCCCUCUCCUCCUCUCUCCAUCGCGCGCACGCGCUCAUGGUCGUGGCCUCCUCCCCGCGGCUCAUCUGUCACCGACGUGACCCGGGAGUGGUGCUGCACCACCGCCCCGUACUGCGCUGCUCCCCGCCCCGUGAUGCAGCAGCUGCUGACGCCGCUAUUGCUGCAGCUUCGCGCCGACCAGUGCUCCGCCACCCGCACCUGCUCCUUGCGCCGGCAUCCUUUCCCCCUGCCGCGCCGCCCGCAUCCGCCCCCCUGGCCGCUCGCCGCUGUUGCACGCGCGUGCACAUCCACACUUGGGUAUGCCCCGACUCGCCGACGCGCACCCACACCCCACCGCACGCCCCUGCUCCCCUCGCCCCGCCUCAGGCGCCGCUGCCGGCCAGCCGCCCCGCUCGCUGCUGCGCUUGCUGCAGCCGCUGGCACCUUCACUGGCAUAGGCGGGCACCCAAACGGGCGGAUGCCCACACUGCCCGACCCGCUCGGGCUGUGCCCCGCACCCGGCGCCCGUUAAGCUCCCCAGAGCCACUGGCAAUCGGGCCCCACGCCAAAAAAAGAGUUAAAAAUGUAUUUAAAAUAAAUGAAUAAAUUAUUAAUUAAUUAAUUAAUAAGUUAAUUAAUUCUGUUAACUAAACUAAGUAACCCUAAAUUAAUCUACUAACUAAUCUAAUUAAUCUAUUAGUUAAUUAGACAACCUAUGACAUGCAAGACCCACGCGUCAGUUUGACCAAGUCAACUGAGUGUUGACUGCUGACAUCACCCUGAUGUCAUGCUAACAUCAUAAUGGCAUUUCCUAAUUAAAUUAAUUUUGUUAAUUCUAAAAAUAAAAUAAAACUUUGAAAAUUAAUAUUAAAUAAUCCGUAACUCGGAUGGAAAAACUGUGUACAUGAAAGUUGCUCAGAUCGACGAGAUGAAUCCGAAUACGCAGCCCGUUCAUCAGCCACACGUCCCUAGCAUAGUGAGCCUGCAACAUUUCACCUCCGGUUCAUCUGUCCGAAAACGCGAAACACUGGGGAUACUUUCCCGGAUGUUUCCCCCUUUCACCUGUAACACCUACUACCGCGUUAGGGCACACCUAGCAUCGCUGUUUGACAUGUCAUGCAUCGUCAUGCUUAUAUUUGCAUUAUAUUUAUUGUUUCUUCCCCGUCUUCUCUCCAGUAGACUACCAGACCAACGCUGCUGCUUCCCCGGUCGACUAUGGAGUUGACGACCCCUCCUUCUUGCCAGAGCAACCAGGCAAGCCCCCUCCCUUGAUUACCAGAUAUCGCCUAUUCAUUCACUCUACUGCUUGCAUUAGAGUAGUGUAGAAUGUUAUUGUUUCGGUUAAUCCUAUUAUGUUGCAUAGCCUGUCAUUGUUGCUACAGUUGUUGAUACCUUACCUGCAAUCCUAAAUGCUUAGUAUAGGAUGCUAGUUUAUCAUCUGUGGCCCUACAUUAUUGUCCGUCUGCCUUGCUAUACUAUCGGGCCGUGAUCACUCGGGAGGUGAUCACGGGUAUAUACUAUACAUACUUACAUACUAUACAGAUGGUGACUAAAGUCGGGUAGGCUCAUAGAGUACCCGUGAGUGAUUCAUGGAUUGGGGGCUGAAAGGACAUUUGUUCCGAUGACCCUCUAGGUGGAUCUUUGUGGCGGAGCGAUCGGGCAGGCUGAGACCACCUAGGUGAUAGGCGGGCCUGGCCCUGGUCGGUGUCCACGGUUACUUCAAAAUAACACGCUUAACGAGAUCUUGGUAUUUGAUCUGAGUCUGGCCACUGGCCUAUACGCACUAACCAACUAUGUGGGAAUAGUUAUGGGCACUCGACAUUGUUGUAUCAGCCGAAGCCUUCUUGAUGUCAGCGACUAAGCAGCGCGCGCCGGGUUGGACGGUGUAAUGCAACUUCCUUUGUAAUGGAGGUUGCUAGGUCUGCUCAUCGGCCGCCCUCGCAACGUGUAGGUGUGCAAUGGGCGAUGGGCCCAGACCCCUGCGUGCAUAGGACUUAGACCGACGUGCUGACCUCUCUGUUGUGCCUAGGUAGGGCGGCGACUUGUUGAUCUUCUGAGGCCGGAUGGGCAUGACCCAGGAAAGUGUGUUUGGCCAGAGGGAUCAAGCAUGUUGGGAAAUGUGGUGCACCCCUGCAGGGAAGUUUAUCUAUUUGAAUAGUCGUGUCCCUUGGUAAAAGGACGACUCGGAGUUGUACCUUGACCUUAUGACAACUAGAGCCGGAUACUUAAUAAAACACGCCGAGACAAGUUCCAGAUACAACCCGAUGAUCGCUUUCCCACAGGAAGACGAGGGGAGGAUCACCGGGUAGGAUUAUGCUAUGCGAUGAUACUUGGUGAACUUCAAUCUACUCUCUUCUGCGUGUUGCAAGACGGAGGCUGCCAGAAGCAUAGAUUUCGAUAGGACUAGCUAUGCCCCUCUUAUUAUGGCAUUUUGCAGUUCAGUCCAUCGAUAUUGCCUCUUUACACAUAUACCCAUGCUUGUGUAGUGUAGAUCCUUGCUUGCGAGUACUUUGGAUGAGUACUCACUGUUGCUUUGCUCCCUCUUUCCCCCUUUUUCCUCUUCCUCUCGGAUGCCGCAACUAGAUGUUGGAGCCCAGGAGCCAGACACCACUGUCAACGAUGACCCCUACUACACUGGAGAUGCCUACUACUAUGUUCAGGCCGCUGACGACAAGGAGUAGUUUAGGAGGAUCCCAGACAGGAGGCCUGCGCCUCUUUCGAUCUGUAUCCCAGUUUGUUAGCCAUCUUAUAGCAACUUGUUUAACUUAUGUCUGUACUCAGAUAUUGUUGCUUCCGCUGACCCGUUUAUGUUCGAGCACUUGUAUUCGAGCCCUCGAGGCCCCUGGCUUGUAAUAUGAUGCUUGUAUGACUUAUUUUACUUUUAGAGUUGUGUUGUGAUAUCUUCCCGUGAGUCCCUAAUCUUGAUCGUACACAUUUGCGUGCAUGGUUAGUGUACAAUUGAAACAUGGGCUUCACAAGUUGGUAUCAAAGCCAACUACCUGUAGGAAUCCCUUUCCAACUCCUUGGCCGAAGUCGAGUCUAGUCAUUGCAAUUUUUUACUAACAUGGCUGUGUGGCUUACGGGCCCACGUCGCCAUGGGGUGGUGUUAGGAUCUUUUAUUCCUCGUCUAUACUCUGGGACUCUGAUCUCUCUUCUAUUCGGGUUAAAUGAUUUUAUUAACUCUGGCCUUAGGUUCUCGUAACUACUUCCUCUCGGAGAGCCUCUUACUAAUGAAUCAAGCCUUCAUCUAGAAUGUAGAUCUCGAAGACACUCUCCGAUGUUUUCUCGGGACCCUCGUGCCCUUUGCCGUUGCAAUCCCUACCAUCGAUAAAUCCUUAUGGAUAACUACCUACAUUUGUCGUUCAUAUCUUCAUCCCCAGUUUCUCUUGAAUUUACGGGAUGCCCUGAAAUACUCUCCGAUGUUUCGAGAAUCCUUUAUGCUUACUGCCCUGCAGUUCCUUGCCACCUGAAUACCCCUACGAAUAAUUCUUCACCCUUACCAAGGAAUUUUUCAUUACUAGUUAAUCAUAUGAUUCACAAGAUACAUUGAAAUACUAUCCGAUCUUCCGGUAAUUCUCAGCCAACUAUUGCUCUGUAAAUACUUGUCUACUUGCAUUAUGGUUGAUGUCCAUAUGUCUAGCAAUAUUCAUUAGUAUCCUUUGUCGUCGUCAUUUUCAGCUUUUGAUUUGAUAUGUUGUGAAUGCUCGUAAUCCUUAGUCAAAUCCUAUAAUUCAUCCUUCCGGCUCAGACGUCAUUUUGUACAUGAGCUGGUUCUCGGCAAAUCAAAUUGCCGUCGAUUAUACCCCUAAGUCUAUUCAAAUUAUCCAUUCUAAUCAAAGCGUUUGCUUCUGACCCCUUGAUUUGGAAAUCAUAAUUCCUUUGCAUUUGAUCUUUGAAUUAGUCAGUUGUUUGUAUAAUCCGAUGUGUUUGCAUUCAUUCUUCCUCUGAUUGAGUACCAAUACUCAUGUCAGCUCUGUUGUAGACCACAAGACCCCUUGUUGGAUAAUUAUCCAACAGUGUCAUUCACAUUCAAAAUUCUUGUGAGCCUUUCCUCGGAUACAUAAUGCCUUUGGUAAAUCGUAUGCUCUACUUUCUCAACCAUGCUCUGUUGUCGAGGUGGUAUAAUUUACUCCUGGAGUUUGUGUUAUAUGUUCCUAAGAUGCCCUGAUGGGUUGGACCUAUCCCUUCCCUAAUAUGUGUAAGCUCGUAAGUUAUGCAACUUAUACUCUACUGAAUUUUCGUCAGAUAAAAUUUCAACACUACAACUUCUUCGAUAGCGAGAAGUGAAUGGUAAAUUGUGCAUUGAAGAAGUGGGAGUCGACCUUGAACUUUGUGUUCAUGCCCAUGGAAACAAUGUUGAUCUUAUCAUGAUAGCUUCUCGUAACAAUAAUUAUUCACUUAGCAUAUUUUGAUCUUGUAUCUAUGAUUUUGUCCUUUGCAAUCGUGGUUCUGACCGUGAUUGUUCUUCUUUGAUCCCAUUCUCGGACAAGUUAAAAGUACUUGCCUUCAGCAGAUCAUUACGUCUGCCAAACCUCUAAUUUGAUAUACCUCCGAGUAUUAUCCCCCUGGUAUCUCGAGGAUAUCAUGCCAUUGCACUACAUCUUAUGAAUUUGUACUAGAGUAAUACCUUUCCCUAUCAUAGUCACUCCACGAGUUCUGGGUUGUCUCCAACAGAGAACACCGAAUAGUGAAUCAGGUCCACACUAUGAUUCGACAACUCUUAGUAAUCUUCAUUGCUUACGAGUUUGUACUCGAUCAUGUCAGUCCCAACUGAUUGACUACAUCAUCAUUGUCAGGCUGACUGCUUGACCAUUCCACCUAUGUCCUUCAUCCCUGGGACACAAUCCCGACAGUGCUCUAAGCUUACAUCGAACUUUCCGCAUCAUAUUGUUUGUCUUGAGAGACAACUCCAAAUUCUGAGUUGGCAUCCUAUCUAUGGUUAUAGUAACCUUAUGCUUCACCAUUCCCCUUGGUGUGAUGUCGUCGCUGAUCGAUUACAUCUUCUAGAAGCCUCUCGAUAAAUGUGUCAUGAUCAUCGUCAACAUUUUAACUUCUCCUGAGACGUACAUUGAGUUCCUGAUGAGAAAUUCCAUGCUUACCCCCUCGAUGAUUUGUGUUAACAUCGACAACAUUAUUGAUUUCCCUCCCAACACAAAACUUGUUCUAGUUUUGCGUUGUUCCUUGAGUUCCUUGCUAUCCGACUUAUAUUAUGCUCUACCUUGGAGUAUUACCAUCGUUUAUGUCAAAAAUCUCGUGAGAAUUUCACCACCUGAGGGAGUCCCGGAUUAGGGGGUGUCCGGAUAGCCGGACUACCAUCAUCGGCCGAACUAUCAUCGGCCGGACUAUCAUCAUCGUUGACCGGACUCCAAGACUAUGAAGAUACAAGAUUGAAGACUUCGUCCCGUGUCCGGAUGGGACUUUCCUUGGCAUGGAAGGCAAGCUUGGCGAUACGGAUACGUAGAUCUCCUACUAUUUUAACCGACUCUAUGUAACCCUAGCCCUCUCCGGUGUCUAUAUAAACCGGAUGGCUCUAGUCCGUAGGACACAACAACAACCAUUACAAUCAUACCAUAGGCUAGCUUCUAGGGUUUAGCCUCCUUGAUCUCGUGGUAGAUCCACUCUUGUAAACAUCCACAAUAUCAAUAUCAAUCAAGCAGGACGUAGGGUUUUACCUCCAUCAAGAGGGCCCGAACCUGGGUAAAACAUCGUGUCCCUUGUCUCCUGUUACCAUCCGCCUAGACGCACAGUUCGGGACCCCCUACCCGAGAUCCGCCGGUUUUGACACCGACAUUGGUGCUUUCAUUGAGAGUUCCUCUGUGUCGUCACUGAUAGGCUUGAUGGCCUCUUCAAUCGACAAUGACGCAGUCCUGGGUGAGACUUUUCUCCCCGGACAGAUCUUCGUAUUCGGCGGCUUCGCACUGCGGGCCAACUCACUUGGCCAUCUGGAGCAGAUCGAAAGCUACACCCCUGGCCGUCAGGUCGGGUUUGGAAGCCUAAACUUCACGGCCGAUAUCCGCGGGGACUUGAUCUUCGAUGGAUCUGAGCCACAGCCGAGCGUGCCGCGCUGUCACGAUGGGCACGACCUAACUCUGCCGCCGGACAGCACCUUGGAGGCCGCACACGAAUCCGCUCCGACCCAUAGUCCGGAGCCGAUCGCUCAGAUCGAGGACGGAUGGCUGGACACCGCCUCGGGAGCUGCAACUUCUACGGUGAUGGAGCCGAACACUUACCUUGUCCCGCAUAAAGCUCAUGACUCCGAGGUGCCGGACUCUCUGCCGGACUCCGAACCUCCUGCGCCCCUGCCAGUCGAAUCCGACUGGGCGCCGAUCAUGGAAUUCACCGCUGCGGACAUCUUUCAGCACUCACACUUCGACGACAUCUUAAAUUCGCUGAAGCAUCUCUCGCUAUCCGGAGAGCCCUGACCGAACUACGGCCAGGAUGGUUGGGACGCGGACGACGAAGAAAUUCAGAGCCCACCCACCACCCACUUCGUAGCCACCGUCGACGAUCUAACCGACGUACUCGACUACGACUCCGAAGACAUCGACGGUAUGGACAAUGAUGCCGGAGACUAUCAAGAACCAGUGCCUACAGGACACUGGAAGACCACCUCAUCAUACGACAUAUAUAUGGUGGACACCCCAAAAGAUGGGGACGGCGAAGAAGCAACGGAGGCCGAUUCCUUAAAGAAAUAGCCCAAGCGCCGACAUCAGCGGCCCCGCUCUAAAUCCCACCACAGCAAGAAUAUAGAUUCCGGCACAGGAGAUAAUAACACCCCAAAAAGUGCCGAAGACAACCCCCUCCAGCAUGAUCCAGCGCAGGAGGAGGCAGAAGCAAGCCCUCACGAGAGGGCGGCAGACGAAGAGGUCGAGGAUGAUCAUUACUUACCUCCCUCCGGAGACGAGGCAAGCCUCGACGACGAUGAAUUCGUCGUGCCUGAGGAUCCCGUCGAACAAGAGCGUUUCAGACGCAGGCUAAUGGCCACGGCAAACAGCCUAAAGAAAAAGCAGCAACAACUUCAAGCUGAUCAAGACCUACUGGCCGACAGAUGGACCGAGGUCCUCGCGGCCGAAGAGUAUGAACUCGAACGCCCCUCCAAAAGUUACCCAAAACGCAAGUUGCUCCCCCGACUAGAGGAGGAAGCGUACAAACCUGCAUCACCAGCGCACAAUACGGCAGACCGACCACCUCGUGGCCGCGAUAGAGAGGCGUGCAAGCCCUCCACCAAAACUGUACCCCGACACUGCUCAAAAAGCAUGAAGCCACGGGGGAACGCGCCGGACUUGCGAGAUAUAUUGGAGGACAAGGCAAGACAAUCCAGAUCUAUCUAUGGAUCACGUGGGCGCCCCAAGACCCACGACGAAUACCGUCGCGCCGGAUACAACUACUCCGGCCGGGCCGAACACAACAGACAACGCUCUCUCGAGCUUCGUCGCGAUAUUGCUCAAUACAGAGGCGCCACGCACCCACUAUGCUUCACUGACGAAGUAAUGGAUCAUCAAAUCCCUGAAGGGUUUAAACCCGUUAAUAUCGAAUCCUACGAUGGCACAACAGACCCCGCGGUUUGGAUUGAGGAUUAUCUCCUCCAUAUACAUAUGGCCCGCGGCGACGAUUUUCACGCCAUCAAAUAUCUCCCGCUCAAGCUUAAAGGACCAGCUCGGCAUUGGCUUAACAGCCUGCCCGCAGAGUCAAUUGGAUGCUGGGAAGACCUGGAAGCCGCAUUCCUCGACAACUUCCAGGGCACGUAUGUGCGACCACCGGACGCAGAUGACCUAAGACACAUAAUCCAACAGCCAGACGAAUCGGCCAGGCAAUUCUGGACACGGUUCUUAACAAAGAAAAAUCAAAUCGUCGACUGUCCGGAUGCAGAGGCCCUCGCUGCCUUCAAACAUAACAUCCGCGACGAGUGGCUGGCCCGGCACCUAGGACAGGAAAAGCCGAAAUCCAUGGCAGCCCUCACAUCACUCAUGACCCGCUUCUGUGCGGGAGAGGAUAGCUGGCUAGCUCGCAGCAACAACCUCAGCAAAAACGCUGGCAGUCUGAAUACCAAGGACCGCAAUGGCAGGUCGCGUCGAAACAAAAACAAACGCCGCAUUAACGGCGACAACAAUGAGGAUACGACAGUCAACGCCGGAUUCCGAGGCUCCAAGCCCGGUCAACGAAAGAAUCCAUUCAAAAGAACCACUCCGAGCCCAUCCAAUUUGGACCGAAUACUCGACCGCUCCUGUCAAAUACAUGGAACCCCUGAAAAGCCAGCUAACCACACCAACAGAGAUUGUUGGGUAUUCAAGCAGGCAGGCAAAUUAAUCGCCGAAAACAAUGACAAGGGGCUACACAGCGAUGACGAGGAAGAGACCCGGCCGCCGAACAACAGAGGACAAAAGGGAUUCCCCCCUCAAGUUCGGACGGUAAACAUGAUAUACGCAACGCAUAUACCCAAGAGGGAGUGGAAGCGUGCACUAAGGGACGUAUACGCGAUGGAGCCAGUCGCCCCAAAAUUCAACCCAUGGUCCUCUUGCCCGAUCACUUUCGAUCGAAGAGACCAUCCGACCAGUAUCCACCAUGGCGGAUUUGCCGCAUUGGUUUUAGACCCAAUCAUCGAUGGAUUUCACCUCACGAGAGUCCUGAUGGACGGCGGCAGUAGCCUGAACCUGCUUUAUCAGGAUACAGUACGAAAGAUGGGCAUAGACCCUUCAAGGAUUAAACCUACAAAGACAACCUUCAAAGGCGUCAUACCAGGUGUCGAGGCCAGUUGUACAGGCUCAGUUACACUGGAAGUGGUCUUCGGAUCCCCAGAUAAUUUCCGAAGCGAGGAGUUAAUAUUCGACAUAGUCCCAUUCCGCAGUGGCUAUCACGCUCUGCUCGGACGAACCGCGUUCGCAAAAUUCAACGCGGUGCCGCAUUAUGCAUACCUUAAGCUCAAGAUGCCAGGCCCUCGUGGAGUCAUCACGGUCAAUGGAAACACGGAACGCUCCCUCCGAACGGAGGAACAUACAGCGGCUCUCGCGGCAGAAGUACAGAGCAGCCUUUUGAGGCAAUUUUCGAGUCCGGCCGUUAAACGACCGGACACGGCCAAACGCGCCCGGAGCAACAUCAACCAAGACCACCUGGCACGUUCCGAGCACGCGUAGCAAUGCGGCCUCAACCCCAGCCCUCGCACAAUUGUAAGACAAACUCUCCGCGUACAUAAUUACGCCCUGGAGAUACCAUGGGCAUAGGGGGAGAGGCACAACCACAACAGACCUAGAGUGCGGUUCGACCACACCAGGGGCUCCCAAGUGUGUCGCUCUUUUUAUCUUUUAUUUCUCUCUUUUUUAUACAGAACUCUGUUCGGCGGCGAACCUGCCGAACUCAUGAUGCAACAGCCAGGGAGGGACAAAGGCUGCGACGAACACUCAGGUGGUCUCCAUUACGAGCAUUAAAUUUGUUAAAUACACCAUUCCGCGGCCUACCCCUGGAGGGAGACGCCUUUAAUUCGUCCAAUCCCUUGCUUUCCGCACUAUUUGUGUCAUUCCGCACUCAUAGCAAAUCUUCUCAAAUAAAAUGCAGCACUUUUUGCCCAUAAUUGCAUUAGCUUAUAUAUAUAUAUGUUCAUUUACGACAUGUUGCAUCCGUACAUUCUGGUACGGCCAAAUACACCAAGGGCUUAUGUUCCCCGCAUUAUGGUGUGAUAAAGUCCGCACACUUUCACAAGUGCGGCACCCCGAACUUAUAGCAUUAUAUGAAUCGGCUCCGAAUCAUGUCUUGGGUCAAUAGUUGGGUUUGCCUGGCUCCCAUGUUUGGCACCUUACGUUCCAUUCUAUCGGCUAAGGUAGCACUGGGAGAACCACUGCGAUUACGCCCCGGUUGAGCCGGGUUAACGCCUCAGUGGAGAAAGCUAAAACUGACUAUCAUGAUAAGGCGAGAGACUGGUCGCUGUUCGAGAGGUCUUUUCGGGUCCUUAAAGACCUACGCCGCUUCGAGCGAAGUUCCGGAUAAUGUCCGACGAAGGCGUGGAUAGCGCCCCGAAUUCGGUCUUCCGAAUACUAGGGGCUUCGCCGAAAUUUAAAAUUAUAGAAUUCUAUGGCUAAGUGAGAGUGUUCAAGCACUAUAAGUCCGGUUGCCUUGUUUGUUGUGUUGAGCGCCUCCCUAGAUGGACCCAACAAUGGGAACAAGAGUGCUCAAGUUUAUCCCGAACACCCCAGCACUCGUGGCAUGGGGGCUGAAGCCGACGACUUGCCAUCUCUCAGAUUUAAUAAACGGCCGCACAGAAGGUAAUAUUUUAAAUUAACAAGCGCUGCUUAGCGCAUAUGAACAAAGUUUUCAGCGCGCAGGAUAACACAUUGCAAAUUUACUCAAUAAUUACAUCCCUGGGGCACUCAUCCGCAAUCUUGCGGGCACCCUUUAGGACAGUCUUAUAGUACAUCUCGGGCGUAUGAUAUUCCUUGCCCGCUGGUGGCGCGUCAGUGAUUAGCUUCUCCGCAUCUAGCUUGCCCCAAUGCACCUUUGCGCGGGCAAGGGCCCGACGAGCACCUUCAAUACAGGCGGAGCGCUUGAUAACCUCCACCCAGGGGCACGCAUCCACCAACCGUCGCACGAGGCCGAAGUAGCUCCCAGGCAUGGCCUCUCUAGGCCACAGCCGGACUAUGAGGCCCUUCAUGGCCUGCUCGGCCACCUUGUGGAGCUCGACCAGCUGCUUCAGCUGGUCGCUAGGGGGCACUGGAUGGCCGGCCUCAGCAUACUGAGACCAGAAGACCUUCUCCGUUGAGCUCCCCUCCUCAGCUCGGUAGAAUGCGGCGGCAUCAGACACGCUGCGAGGCAGAUCUGCAAACGCCCCUGGAGAGCUCCGAAUUCGGGUAAGUAACACAUAAUUUACAUUCACAUGCUUGCUUUGCAUGAAAAAUGCCUUACCCGCCGCUAUCUUCCUCACCAACUCAAUCUCCAGAAGGGACUUAUGGGCAUCGGCCUUGGCAGUUUUGGCACUUUCGAGAGCCGAGGCAAGCUCGGACUCUCGAGUCUUUGAGUCACGCUCCAAACUCUCAUGCUUUUCCAUGAGAGCCUGGAGUUCUUGCCGAACCACCGCCACCCGCGCCUCCUGCUUUUCUCGCUCUGCCCGUUCCACGGCCGCAUUGCGUUCGGCCGCGGACACGGCCUCCUUCAGGGUCGCCACCUCGUUCGUGGCCCCUGCAGUACCCAUGUUAUCCUUGUUAUUUUUUGUUGCAACCUAAAUCCUUUUCUGUAAGGUACAAGUUCAAAGUGGUGUUACUCACCUUCUUUGUCCUGGAGCUGCUUCUUGGCGCGGCCGAGCUCUUGCUCGGACCGCUCGAGCUCCUACUUCAAAGCACCGACCUCCGCAGUCAGUGCGGCAGAGGUCAGCAGCGCAGCCUGCAACCCAUAUUGACAUAAUUUUUUAGCAACCCUGCGUAUAUCUUCUUUUUUUUUCAGAUCCUCAGUCCGGCUUUUCUUUCUGAACACCGAACCGAGCAUCAGGGGCUACUGUCUAUGCGGUAUGACAUUGCAUAUUUUUAACUUCUUACCUCAAAGCCUGAUAGAAGGCUAUUGCAGGCUUCGGUCAGCCCGCUCUUGGGAAGCUGUACCUUCUGAAUCACCGCACUCAUAAUAGUGCGGUGUUCUUCCUCGAUGGAAGCGCUCUGCAGCGCCUCCAACAAAUUGUCCGGCGCCUUCGGUUGGACGGAAGCUGCCGGCGUCACGGUCUUGCCCUUCGUGCGAAGGGGCCGCCGACCGGACUCCGGAACCACUGCGGGUUCUGAUGUGGAGUCCAGCGCAAAGUCCGGGAGGCCGCCUUGUGGUGCCUCCGGAGCCUCCCCCUAAUUGGUCCCUUCUUGGGAUCCCACCUUGGCGUCCUCGGUGUAGCGAGGGGUGGAGGCGGUCGGGAUGGAGUCUACAUCCGACGGAGCCAACGACCCGCUCGAUGAAGCGGGGAGAUCAUCAUUGGCCGGACUACAGGCAGCAUGCGGCAUCAGAAUGACACUAUGUGACGCAGAAAAAGAAAUUAUAAAUCAUUCAGGAAUCCGGAUACUUACGAUCUCGCCGGAGGCCUGGCCCUUGAAGGCCAUUCUUCCUCGCCAACGUUGAUGUUGGCGGACCUGUCCGGGGGAAUAGUCCUUCCCCUCUUGGACCCUUCGGCCUCCCCUGUUGGGGAAGCCUUCCUCUUCCUCUCUCCCUCCUCUGGGAGAGAGUCCUCUUUCUCCUCCUCGUUUUCGAGGGAGGAGUCCGCCCCGGAGUCGUCGGACACCUGAAAACGGGAACUCUUUCGAGCACCCGUGGCCUCCUUCUUGGCCUUCUUCUCCGGCACCACGUGCGGUGCCGGAACCAACAGCCUCGCUAGAUGGGCGUCUACUGGGUUUUCUGGCAUAGGAGCCGGGCUGAUAAUCUGCUCCGCCUUCCUCAUCCAGUCCUGUCAAAGGAAAAGGGGAAAUUAAAACCCGCAUAAAGUCAAACUAUGAAAAGCAAGUGUCCCGUCAAGGGGUAGAAUCACUUACCUCGUCGGCUUGAUGCUGCGAGCGAAAUUCGCGAUCUUCAGUCGUGGAUGCGGGGGCUUCGGCGCCCUUAAACAGCACCCUCCAAGCGCCUUCGUACGUCAUGUCGAAGAGCCCGCUCAAUGCUUGGUGCUGCUCCGGAUUGAACUCCCACAGAUUGAAUGCCCGCCCCUGGCAUGGGAGAAUCCAGCGGACGAGCAUGACUUGGACCACAUUAACCAGCCUGAGCUUCUUCACCAGCUUCUGGAUACAGGCUUGGAGUCCUUUCAGCUCCUCCGAACUACCCCACAGCAAGCCCUUCUCUUUCCAGGAGGUGAGCUGCGUGGGGAUACCAGAUCUGAACUCGGGGGCCGCCGCCCACGUAGGGUCGCGCGGCUCGGUGAUAUAGAACCACCCCGAUUGCCACCCCUUGACGGAUUCCACGAAGGCCCCUUCAAACCAAAGGACGUUGGGCAUCUUGCCCAACAUGGCGCCUCUACACUCCGCUUGAGUGCCCUUCACUACCUUCGGCUUGACAUUGAAGGUCUUGAGCCACAAGCCGAAGUGGGGCUAGAUGCAGAGGAAGGCCUCGCACACGACGAUAAACGCCGAGAUGUUGAGGAUGAAGUUCGGUGCCAGAUCAUGGAAAUCCAGGCCGUAGUAGAACAUGAGCCCCCGGACAAAGGGGUGAAGUGGAAAGCCCAGUCCGCGGAGGAAGUGGGGAAGAAAAACGACCCUCUCAUGGGGCCUGGGGGUGGGGAUGAGCUGCCCCUCGUCGGGUAGCCGGUGCACAAUGUCGCCGGACAGGUAGCCGGCACUGCGCAAUCUUUUGAUGUGCUCCUCCGUAACGGAGGAGGUCGUCCACUUGCCUCCCGCUCCAGACAUGACUGGGGAAGGUUGAGACAAGAUGUGCGGGCUUGGGCGAUGGAGCUCGAGUGCACGGAGAUGGAUAAGCAAAGGAGGAAGAAGGUGUAGGUGAAAAGGUGAAUCCUUAUCCCUUAUAUGGGCGGGCGAAGUCUACGCGUCCCCCACCGGCCUGGUAAAACUCGCUUAUCCCCCAAGCGUCACCAUCAAUGGCGCGGUUGGGUUACCCACGUCCGUAUUGAUGAGAAUCCCGGAUUAAGGGGGAACACGAUCUCUGCUUCGACAAGACGUGCCAAGGAAACCGCUUCGCUAAAUGCACUGAGGUGGUGGAGUAAAAAACGAUUCAAGUAAUGGCUUGGUGGUGGCGUGACGUCAUGCCGCAAAAAACGUCAGCAAAUUGAACUUGUGUAUAUAUUAUUCUCUCUACGGUGGAAUGUGGAAUUUAUUUUGCAGAGCCGGACACUAUCCUGGUGUUCACAAUCUUCUAUCAUUCGGAGGAGGAACCCGCCUUGCAAUGCCAAGCAAUAUACGCGCCGGACUUAUCAUCAUUGAAGCCUGGUUCAGGGGCUACUGAGGGAGUCCCGGAUUAGGGGGUGUCCGGAUAGCCGGACUACCAUCAUCGGCCGAACUAUCAUCGGCCGGACUAUCAUCAUCGUCGACCAGACUCCAAGACUAUGAAGAUACAAGAUUGAAGACUUCGUCCCGUGUCCGGAUGGGACUUUUCUUGGCGUGGAAGGCAAGCUUGGCGAUACGGAUACGUAGAUCUCCUACUAUUGUAGCCGACUCUAUGUAACCCUAGCCCUCUCCGGUGUCUAUAUAAACCGGAUGGCUCUAGUCCGUCGGACACAACAACAACCAUUACAAUCAUACCAUAGGCUAGCUUCUAGGGUUUAGCCUCCUUGAUCUCGUGGUAGAUCCACUCUUGUAAACAUCCACAAUAUCAAUAUCAAUCAAGCAGGACGUAGGGUUUUACCUCCAUCAAGAGGGCCUGAACCUGGGUAAAACAUCAUGUCCCUUGUCUCCUAUUACCAUCCGCCUAGACGCACAGUUCGGGACCCCCUACCCGAGAUCCGCCGGUUUUGACACCGACACCACCUCUUAUGAAUUAUUGAUGCAAGUAAUACUUCUCCCCAUAACCUUACCUUCUUGGCCCCCAUGUUGAUUCUAACUGGGAUGCCAACAAGUGGACGGUGCUGCUUGGAUUCUGUACUUCUAGCAACCCUAUUGCUUUGAAGUUGAUGGUCAAUAGUUCGUUCUUAGACUAUUGGUUGUUGAACCCCCAUUCUAACGUUGAUCACGCUACAUAUGCCCAUCUUUCGGGUGCACCUUUCAACCAAUGUUUACUUGCGUAUGUUUUCCUCAGGCAUACAUCAUUAUAUCAUUUGACCUGACAAAUGUUAUAUCUUUGUUUACAUUAUCAAGGAGAUACAUCUUUUUGGAAAUCUCGAUGAGUUGUUGCCAAGUCCAUCUGCCACCUCCUCAUCUUCUCCUUGGUUUAAUGAUGAACUCUUGUUUUGGAACUCGCUUCCAUAGUUCAUUUCCCAAGAAUUUUCGAUGUCAUCUCAUCAAUUUGUGUCGCACCUUUUCUCCUCGGGCAUCCUGAGUCUGAGGUAUCAUAACACCAAUCAGAUCUGAAUCUCGGUCAGUUAUGAUGGUUGGAACAUAUAUCCAAGAGUUAUAACAUUGGUCUUUAUAUGAUCCGGUAAGAUGAUGUCAUGCCUAGCACACCCGGCCAGAGGCCCUAUUGUUAUAGUUUCCUUUUCUCAAGGUUAUCCAUUCUUCCAUGAGGAAAUGGUAAGACUUAUUCUACAAGUUGUUCCUGAUAAAUCCUUCGUGUAUCCAAGGCCCGACCUAUGCUUGAAGACCUUUUCAAUGCCAUCUCGAAGUAUGUCUGUGCUACUCCGAUUCUCAAUAAAAAGAUAUAAAGCACAAGGCUAAGUUUUCCUUAUCAAUUAGCCAAACACCGUUGUAUGGGUAAUGCAUGAAAUUUCUCUCCCCUUUCCUAAAGGGUUUUCUACAUUAUAUCCUGUCAUGGAUAUCUUGCUCUGUUUGACCUUGGAAAGGAUAUACCCCUGAAUUAUGUGUUUAAACACAUUUUCCCUUUCCAUUGUUCUGUUUAAUCUGAUAAUCACAAUUUCCUUUCCAUUGCUUUGUUUAACCUUUCUUGAAAUCUACUUAACUAAGCAGUAAUAAUUCCCUGCUUAGGUAAGCACCUCGUUGUAUCAUUUCAUCAUUAAGACCCUGUUACUAUUGUUGAUGACAUUCCGGUAACCACCGAUGGACGAGAACUUUGCCUAUUGGCCUGCCUCGUUCAACGAGCGGGAAAAUGGUUCUCUUUGUCCCUCGCCCUUGGUACCGGCAUUGUUGCCAACAUAACUGACAAGCUAUCCUCCGUCAUGCCUUGUUAUCGUGACUGUGCAAUAUGUUAGUGCACCUUAUCUACUUUUGACCCACAUGGUGGGCCCAUAACCCAAAGUUCCACAGGAUCGAAACCUGACUCUCCUGUACACCCCUAUUGCCAAUGCUAUUCCUCAUGGUUGACUUCGUAUGUAAUUCAUGUGCCACGUUCCUAGUGAUCUAUUAUGGUAUCGGACGCUAUACUUAAACUCGUUGCUCUAGACCCCUUUCACAUGUUAUUUCACACAUCGAACGAUUGCCUGCCCGUCCGAAACUUCCCUUGAUACCUCCUUACUUUGCUCUUGAUAUUUUCUUCAGUUUCAAUACGAGAGUUACUUUCCGCCACCUUCCCCGAUGUUAUCUACCAGAUAGUCAACCUUGCAGAGGUCCGUUCUCCCGGAAUACCCACCCUUUAUUUUUUCAUAAGUACAACAGAGUUCCCGAAGGAAGAGUGACAACUUCGUCAUGAUGCCCUGGAGAAAAUAAAUAAAGACAUCAACGAAAAGGAUCCACUACUUCGGGAAGAGCAACCAAGACCAAGAAAAUUCAUUAGAAUUUCGUAACCAGACCUUCCCCCCUUAUUCCACCUCAUAUCGGGAUGAGAUUUCUUGUAGUGGAGGAGAUUUGUGACGCCCGGAUAAUUAGGCUACAGUAAUCCCGCGUUAACGAUGCCACGUCACCUCAGUUACUGUUGAUAAUCUCGCGUUAGAUCGAAACAGAUUCAAAUUCAAAAUUCGAACUAAAGUUAAAACAAUUAAAGUUUUCAAAAGUCAAACUAAAAUGUUUGAUGUGUUGAAAAUAUUCCCUAACUAUUUGUCAUGAAGAAACCAUGUUUUUAUAUAAGGCCUAUAUAUUUAAAAUGAGCAAAAACAGAAAAGAAAUAUAAAUAAAAAGAGAAAGAAAAAUAAAACAGAAGCAAACAAAAAAAGAGAGAAGAGGGAAACCCCCAGGACCCCCCUGGGCCAACCGGCCCAGCUACCGGCCGGCCAGCCUAGUUGGCCCAGCCGCCCCCCUCACCCCCUCGUAUCCCCCAAACCCUAACCUCCCUGGCCGCACCCCUCGCCCCACUCCCCACUCCCUCGAUCCCCAUCUCUCUCCUCGAUCCCCUCCACCUCGCGGCGCGCNNNNNNNNNNNNNNNNNNNNNNNNNNNNNNNNNNNNNNNNNNNNNNNNNNNNNNNNNNNNNNNNNNNNNNNNNNNNNNNNNNNNNNNNNNNNNNNNNNNNNNNNNNNNNNNNNNNNNNNNNNNNNNNNNNNNNNNNNNNNNNNNNNNNNNNNNNNNNNNNNNNNNNNNNNNNNNNNNNNNNNNNNNNNNNNNNNNNNNNNNNNNNNNNNNNNNNNNNNNNNNNNNNNNNNNNNNNNNNNNNNNNNNNNNNNNNNNNNNNNNNNNNNNNNNNNNNNNNNNNNNNNNNNNNNNNNNNNNNNNNNNNNNNNNNNNNNNNNNNNNNNNNNNNNNNNNNNNNNNNNNNNNNNNNNNNNNNNNNNNNNNNNNNNNNNNNNNNNNNNNNNNNNNNNNNNNNNNNNNNNNNNNNNNNNNNNNNNNNNNNNNNNNNNNNNNNNNNNNNNNNNNNNNNNNNNNNNNNNNNNNNNNNNNNNNNNNNNNNNNNNNNNNNNNNNNNNNNNNNNNNNNNNNNNNNNNNNNNNNNNNNNNNNNNNNNNNNNNNNNNNNNNNNNNNNNNNNNNNNNNNNNNNNNNNNNNNNNNNNNNNNNNNNNNNNNNNNNNNNNNNNNNNNNNNNNNNNNNNNNNNNNNNNNNNNNNNNNNNNNNNNNNNNNNNNNNNNNNNNNNNNNNNNNNNNNNNNNNNNNNNNNNNNNNNNNNNNNNNNNNNNNNUCCGCCACCCUGGCCACUCGCCGCCGCUGCGCGCGUGCGCACAUCUGCGCUUGGCUGCGCCCUGGCUCGCCGGUGCGCGCCCACGCCCCACCGCACGCCCCCUGCUCCCCUCGCCCCGCCUUAGUCGCUGCUACCGGCCAGCCGCCCCGCUCACUGCUGCACUUGCCACAGCCGCCGGUGCCUUCACUAGCAUAGGCGGGCGCCCAAACGGGCGGAUGCUCGUAGUGCCCGACCCGCUCAGGCUGUGCCUCGCACCCGGCGCCCGUUAAGCCCCCCAGAGCCACUAGCAUAAAUGAAUUUAAAAUAAAUGAAUAAAUUAUUAAUUAAUUAAUAAGUUAAUUAAUUCUGUUAACUAAACUAAUCAACCCUAAAUUAAUCUACUAACUAAUCUAAUUAAUCUAUUAGUUAAUUAGACAUCCUAUGACAUGCAGGACCCACGCGUCAGUUUGACCAAGUCAACUAACUGUUGACUGCUUAGAUCACCCUGAUGUCAUGCUGAUGUCAUAAUGACAUUUCCUAGUUAAAUUAAUUUUGUUAAUUCUAAAAAUGAAUUAAAACUUUGAAAAUUAAUAUUAAAUAAUCCGUAACUCGGAUGGGAAAAAUUUGUACAUGAAAGUUGCUCAAAUCGAUGAGAUGAAUCCGAAUAUGCAGCCCGUUUGUCAGCCACAUGUCCCUAGCAUAGCGAACCUGCAACAUUUCACCUCCUGUUCAUUUGGUAAAAAUGUGAAACACCGGGGAUACUUGUCACAUCCCUAGUCUGGUAUGACCUAGACUAGCUAGCCAUUUGUGCAUCAUAUUUAAAUUUCAUUUAAAUUUGAAAUGAGGAUUGGUGGAACCCUCAGAAUCAUUUUUGAAAAUGACCCAAAUAAAUAUUUCUCCAAAAGGGUCCAAGAAAAUGCUCAUGUUGCCCUCUGAAAAUAUUGGAUAGAGAUAAAAAUCAAAACAAUAUUUUUAGGAGCUCAUGGACAUUUAUUUUGGCCAUUUGGAUUAAUUCGAUAAAUAUUUGCAUUGGAAAGAUAUUUCUAUAUAUAUGAAAUAUGGCCCAAAAAUUAUGUCAUCUUUAAAGGAGCUCUGGAAUAAUACCAUUAGCCCCUACAAAAAUUGGCAUAAUAAAAUUAAAUGAUUUAAUAUAUUUAUUAAAUCAAACAAAUGUCAGAAAAAAAUAGAAAAACAGAAAUAAAAGAAGGAGGGGCUUACCUGGGGCCUCCCCUGUGCAGCCCAGCCGCAGCAGGCCGGCCCAGCCGGGAGGUGGCCCAGCCCACCAGGCUCCCCCUCCUCUGUCGUCUUCCUUCCCGACAGGGGAACAGAGUGUGGCCGGCGCGCGCGCGCGCCACCGCGCCACGCCUCCUCCCUCCCUGUCUGCCUGUCCUCCCCUCGCCGCUCUGGAUGGAUCGCGCGUCGCCACGCAGCCGCCCCGGUCCUUUUCCCCUCCCUCUCGCUCAUCCCCUCCUCUGGCUCCCCCUCACUCCCACCGAACGCGACCGCCGCCGCCGACGGGCAUCACCGUAGCCACCGCCUCUCCCUCGCCUCCCCGUCGUCCCCAGGAGCUCCGCCUCGUCGCCAGCUACCUCCUCGCCGAGCCACGCAAGCCGGAGUGCCCCGUGGAGCCGUCGCCGUCGCCAAAUUCGACUCCGGCCGCCGUGGAUCCUCGCCGGCGAUUCGGGAGCUACCGGGCAUCCCCGACCUCGCCCUCGCGCUCGCUGGUUCCGCGGUGAGCCCCCGCACCGAACCCCCUCCCCCCCGUGUCCGUUCGCGCCGUCCAGGCCUUAGCUCCGCUAUGGCCGAAGCUCGCCUCCGCUCGAGCUUGUCGCCGGCGUUGCUCCGGCGACCUUUUGGCCACGCCAGUGCACCUAGCACUCUCGCCGCACCUCGUAGUGCCCCGCUAGCGCUCUAGUUUGCGCGUUUGCACGCUGCAGCCGCGUCCCCGAACAUAGCCGAGCUCCGGCCGCCGCCCCGAGCUUCGCUCCGGCGAGCUCCGGCGCCCCCGCAGCCCCCCACCAGCUCCCCUGGUUGCGGACGACGACGGGCUACGCCCUGGUGGUUUUCGCGCGACCAAACGCCGCCUGCAGCGCAAGUCCGGCGAGUCGCCGCCGCGCUAAUGGUCGCCGCCGGCCAGAACCCCGGCGGGCUGACGUGGCUUGUUAAUUAGUCACUAAUUUCCCCACCCACUGACGCUGACAAGUGGGCCCCAGGGUUUAGUCAAAGCUGACCAGCCCAGGUUUGACUCGGGGUUAACCCCCUGUCACUGACGUGUGGGUCCCACACGUCAGAUUUGACCUGGACAGCCGCGUUGACCCGCUGAUGCAAUGAUGACGUCAUGCUGACGCAAUUAUACAUUUUCUGGAAUUAAAAUAAUUCAGAAAAUCCAGAAAUUGAUUUAAACUUCAAAAAUUCAUAUCAAUUCAACCGUAGCUCAGAUUUAAAUAAUUUAUAUAUGAAAAAUUAUCAGAAAAAUGCAACCUUUCCAUCUGUACUAGUUUCAUGCAUGAAAAACCAACUUAUACAUGCUGAAUAUGGGAAAACACAUUAUGGCAUAUAUAAGAGACCUAAUUUAGAAAUGCAUUUGAACCUUUGGUUCAAAUGGACUUCAAACCAAUUGAACACUAGUUGCAUUAGCUCAACAGCAUCACAUCUACAUGCCAUGUUCAUGCAUCAUAUUGUUGCAUAUGAUUGUGUAUUGAUUGCCGGCACCGUUCCUUCUCGAUAGGUCCUACUCCGGAGACGUUCCAGAGUACCUGUCUGUGAAGCAGUGCCUCCCUUGUUGAAUUACCAGGCAAGCAACCCCCCCUUGUUCAUUUCGAUAAAACCCUACUCUCUCGCUCCUGCUCUCAGAUAUUGCAUUAGGACAACAACGAUUCAUCUGCUACUUUGUGCUGCGGUAGUUGAACCCAUUCCUCUGCAUGACCUGUCAUUGCCACAGUAAAUAGUUGAAACCCACUAGCAUGUGUAGGAGUUGAUUGAAGCCACUGAUGUGUUCCUACCAUGCUAUGCCUGCUAUUGCUUAGAGUGUGUCAGGUCUGGUUCAUUGGGAAUGAAUUGGAGUGUCACGAUAUGUUCUAUUGCUGAGAGUUAAGUGUGUGAACACGAUUUGGUAAAGGUAGCGGUGAGAGGCCAUGUAGGAGUACAUGGUGGGUUGUCUCACUGGAACCGUCCUUAAGCACUGAGUUCUAUGUAUGUUGUCCAAUGACUCGAUACUACCACACAUUGGGCUCCGGGCGCUCCAAGCCCUCUCGACUUAUUAACCAACUUGAUCUCUGUCCAGGAGUCGCAACUAGUUUCUGGCGUUUGUAGGUAGUGUUAGUAGUCUACCAAGUGGCACCCGGCCAGGUGGGCUUGGGACAGACUAGGCACCAGUGGCACGGUGUACCAAGCGUAGAUCCAUCCGGCGAGGUGGGCUUGGGAACCCUGCACACAUCGUUUGGGGCCGUGAGUGAAACCCCGGCCGGAUCUCCUUGCGGAUGGAACCCGAAUAGGCGAUAAACCUGGAUUAGAGUCCUGUGUGGUUAGUCAGGUCGUGGCCGACACCCUCGCCAGGCUUCCGCUUGAAGGUUGCCGAGAUACAUGACGUGUACAUGGCGGUAAGUGGCGAGAGCGUGUGUGAAGAGGUACACCCCUGCAGGGUUAACAUGAUCUAUUCGAAUAGCCGGGUCCGCGGUUAUGGACUUCUUGGAUGCUUACAUGGUACAUAGACAACUUGAAGUGGAUACUAUAAAAUGCUCAAGACAAGUGUGAGUGCUAUGGAUGGCCUUCUCGUAGGGAGACGGGGAUGAAUCCAUAGUAGUGUAUUGUGUGGUGAUUAGUGGACUCGUGUACGUUGUUUCACCUCCAGAGUUUCUGGUAGUCGUAGAACAGGAUAGCCACAGAGUCUAAGCUGGCUUGCUGCAACCAAACCCCACAUUACCCUCUUGGUACAAAUGCAUGUAUGAUAGGAUCUGAUGUAAGUCUUGCUGAGUACCUUUGUACUCAUGUUGCUUUAUUUAUGUUUUUGCAGCGGAGACUUCGGUCUUACUAGGGUUCUCAUGGACUUCGACUAGUAGCUAGUACCUCAGCUACGAUCUUGAUCGGAUGUUGUAGAUAGUCAGGCCUUCAGCCUUUUUCAUUUAUAGAUGUCUGUACCCAGACAUGUAAUGCUUCCGCUUGAUGCUUGUAUGCUCUGUAUGACGGGUCUUGUGACCCCUGUUUGCAAUAAAUGCUAUGAUGGCUCUUCUGAGCCUUUAUCUAUAUAAUUGUUGGGUUAUGCUGUGACGCCAUGUUGUACAGCACAUACUUGCAUGUUAUGCGUACGUGUAAUGUGUAGUGCUAUGUGUGGGAUCUGACUAUCUAGUUGUUUAUCUUUAGUAGCCUCUCUUACCGGGAAAUGUCUCCUAGUGUUACCGCUGAGCCAUGGUAGCUUGCUACUGCUCUGGAACACUUAGGCUGGCCGGCAUGUGUCCUUCUUCGUUCCUGUGUCUGUCCCUUCGGGGAAAUGUCAUGCUUUGAGUACCGGAGUCCUGUUAGCCCGCUACAGCCCGGUUUACCGGAGUCCUUCUAGCCCAGUGCUACAGCCCGGACCCACUUGCUGAUGACCGACACGUUCGAAGCUGGGUCAUGGAUGCCUGUCCCUGUAAGUCUGUGCCACUUUGGGUUUACGACUAGUCAUGUCAGCCCGGGCUCCUUAUCAUAUGGAUGCUAGCGACACUAUCAUAUACGUGAGCCAAAAGGCGCAAACGGUCCCGGGAAAAGGUAAGACGACACCCGAGGGGAUACCGUGCGUGAGGCCGCAAAGUGAUACGAGGUGUUACCGGCUAGAUCGAUGUGACAUCGAGUCGGGGUCCUGACAAUACUUUCCCGCAUGUUUCCCCCUUUCGCCGGUAACACCUACUACCGCGUUAGGGCACACCUAGCACCGCUCUUUGACAUGUCAUGCAUCGUCAUGCUUAUGUUUGCAUUAUAUUUAUUGUUUCUUCCCCCUCUUCUCUCCGGUAGACUACGAGACCGACGCUGCUGCUGCUCCGGUCGACUACGGAGUUGACGACCCCUCAUUCUUGCCAGAGCAACCAGGCAAGCCCCCCCUUGAUCACUAGAUAUCGCCUAUUCCUUCACUCUACUGCUUGCAUUAGAAUAGUUUAGCAUGUUACUAUUUCGGUUAAUCCUAUUCUGUUGCAUAGCCUGUCAUUGUUGCUAUAGUUGUUGAUACCUUACCUGCAAUCCUAAAUGCUUAGUACAAGAUGCUAGUUUAUCAUCUGUGGCCCUACAUUCUUGUCCACCUGCCUUUCUAUACUAUCGGGCCAUGAUCACUCGGGAGGUGAUCACGUGUAUACUAUACAUACUUACAUACUAUACAGAUGGUGACUAAAGUCGGGUCGGCUCGUAGAGUACCCGUGAGUGAUUCACGGAUUGGGGGCUGAAUGGACAUUUGCCCCGACGACCCUCUAGGUGAAUCUUUGUGGCGGAGCGACAGGUCAGGUUGAGACCACCUAGGUGAGAGGUGGGCCUGGCCCUGGUUAGUGUCCGUGGUUACUUGAAAAUAACACUCUUAACCAGAUCUUGGUAUUUGAUCUGAGUCUGGCCACUGGCCUAUACGCACUAACCAACUACGCGGGAAAAGUUAUGGGCACUCGACGUCGUGGUAUCAGCUGAAGCCUUCUGGACGUCAACGACUGAGCGGCGCGCGUCGGGUUGGACCACGUAACACAACUUCCUUUGUAAUGGAGGUUGCUAGGUCUGCUCACCGGCCGCCCUCUCAACGUGCAGGUGUGCAAUGGGCGAUGGGCUCACACCCCUGUGCGCAUAGGACUUAGACCGGUGUGCUGACCUCUCUGUUGUGCCUAGGUAGGGUGGCGACAUGUUGAUCUUCCGAGGCCGGGCAUGACCCAGAAAAGUGUGUCCAGUCAGAGGGACCGAGCGUGUUGGGAAGUGUGGUGCACCCCUGCAGGGAAGUUUAUCUAUUCAAAUAGCCGUUUCCCUCGAUAAAAGGACGACCCGGAGUUGUACCUUGACCUUAUGACAACUAGAACCGGAUAUUUAAUAAAACACACCCAGAUAAGUUCCAGAGUCAACCCGAUGAUCGUUUUUCCAUAGGGCGACGAGGGGAGGAUCGCCGGGUAGGAUUAUGCUAUGGGAUGAUACUUGGUGAACUUUAAUCUACUCUCUUCUACAUGCUGCAAGAUGGAGGCUGCUAGAAGCGUAGUCUUCGAUAGGACUAGCUAUGCCCCUCUUAUUCUGGCAUUCUGUAGUUCAGUCCACCGAUAUUGCCUCUUUACACAUAUACCCAUGCAUAUGUAGUGUAGAUCCUUGCUUGCGAGUACUUUGGAUGAGUACUCACGGUUGCUUUGCUCCCUCUUUCCCCCCUUUUUCAUCUUCUUCUCGGAUGCCGCAGCCAUACGUUGGAGCCCAGGAGCGAGAUGCCACUGUCAAUGACGACACCUACUACACUGGAGGUGCCUACUACUACAUUCAGGCCGCUAACGACCAGGAGUAGUUUAGUAGGAUCCUAGGCAGGAGGCCUGCUCCUCUUUCGGUCUGUAUCCUAGUUUGUGCUAGCCAUCUUAUGAAAACUUGUUUAAUUUAUGUCUGUACUCAGAUAUUGUUGCUUCCGCUGACCUGUUUAUGUUCGAGCACUUGUAUUCGAGCCCUCAAGGCCCCUGUCUUGUAAUAUGAUGCUUGUAUGACUUAUUUUACUUUUAGAGUUGUGUUGUGAUAUCUUCCCUUGAGUCCCUGAUAUUGAUCGUACACAUUUGCGUGCAUGGUUAGUAUACAAUUGAAAUGGGGGCGUCACAGUACCCCAUCAGCAUCUAGGCGCAUGUGUCUGCGCAUGCGGAGCGACAGCAACACCAGCAGCAGGAGCACGCGGCGACGAGGAGGCCAGCUUCAGGUGGCCCGACAGCUUCAGGCCGCCACCACUAGGCGUCAGCGCACCACCACCAGCAGUAGCACGCAUCAAUGAGGAGGCUACUUCGGGUGUCCUGGCAGCUUCAAGCCGCCACCACCGGGCCCGACAGCUUCAGGCCGCCCCGCCCUCACUCAGGGCCCAAGCCUGGCGGUGUGGGGGUGCGAGCAUCUCCACUCGGUGGCGCAUGGGGAAGAAGAUAAAGGGGAUUUUGACACUUUGGCGUGGUGGUGGCAGUGCAGUAGAGUGGGGAGAAAAAUUAUCAUCCCCAAUACAAUUUUUUUGCUGGGGCAACCCUAGGAGGCCAAAAAAGGCGUCCUUGGGGCACAACGACUGGAGAUGCUCUUAGAGCAUCUCCACCCAUCCCCACAGGAACCCUUUUUUGGCGCCGACAAAUGACAAAGUUUCGCUUGCGCCCCACGAGCUUGAUUAGUGCCCGAUUUGGUCAAAAUUUCGACCGGCAAACCAACCCCAAACCCAAGAUCCUUGUGGGCAGCUGGGGAGGAGAGAGACUGUUUUGCAUGUCAUUUGGUUCACCGCUAGCCUUUCACUCCCUCUCUCCUCACUUUUCCUUCGAGGCCCACCCACGUGCUGCUCUCUCUUCUCUUCUCUUCUCCUUCUCCCCCCACCAACUCCCACACCCACGCAGAACGCCUCGCCCAGCACUCCGCCGCCCUCUACUCGCCUCGCUGCGCACAGGUCUGGGACAAGCUCCGCGCCACCGCCACCUCCUCGCCGCGGCAUCCCAGCUCCGUCACAGCGUGAGUAGGGACACCCUCCGCGGCAUGCCAGGCACAGGCGAGCUCGCGGUUCGCAACAGGGCGGGCAGCCACGGCAGGGUGCUGGCCCGGGCGGGGUGCGGUCGAGGUCGACGGGGUGCGGGCGGUGGGCGCCGGCCCAACGCCGACACGGGCGAGCUUGGCGGCGAGUGGCGAGGCGGCGGUGAGUGGCAAGUCGGCUCUGCGAGCGAGCGUGGCGCGGACGUGGGCAUGUGGGAGCGCGGGACGAGCUCUGCACCGUCGGGCGAGCAAGCUAGCGCGGGGCGGACGCGGCGGCUGGUGCGACGAGCGAGUAAGGCGGCCAGGCGGGCGAGCGAGGUGGCGUGGCGGGCACGCACGGGUCGCUGGCGAGGGACAAUGAUGACACGACACACACACCUCCAGCACGGCGGCGGGCUCCGCGGUGCGCGGCGUUGACUUGCUCGGGUACUCGAAGGCGUGGACUUGGAGCUCAACUACUUGGAAACUUUGCCCCCCCCAGCAAAAUUAGCGCCGGCAAAUCUUCAUCUGGCACAAAAGUCGUCCCUGUGGGGGCACAAUGGCUGGAGAUGCUCUUAGAUUCGGCACAAUCCAACGAUCCAGCUAAUUCAUUGUAACAAAGAUAGUGUUCUAAAGCAUUUCGUAAGAAAGAUCAUAUUGUAAAAACAUUUGCAACAGAGUUGUUGCAUAAUUUUUUUCCGUCUUCAUCUUUUUCAACAUAGAUAAUAUUGCAAUUACACCGUGCAUGAUGUUGUAGUUUUUUUUGGCGAUGAAUGAUGGUGUCGCACCAGCACCGUCGUCGUUGUCGUCGCCGUUUUGCAACUCCGUCAUUGUUGCAGAAACUCGUCAAUAUGCGGUGGCACAAUCGGACAUGGACAACUUCCGUUGGUGAUGUUGUGGAUUUUUUUCGUCUUCACUUUUUUACAACAUGAGAGUUGUUGCGAAAGAAAUUUUUACAACACAGAUGAUGUUGGAGAAAACUUUCUUCGCUACGCAAGCACGCGUCGCACGGAACCGCUAGAAAUAGUACUAGAUGGAUCAUGCAAGAAGGAGGUUGCGGACGCUCGCUUGGGAUCCACCGGCUGAAACCAAGCGUUUCCGUAAACCAUAUUGUGGUUGGAAUAAAAUAUACAUCAUAAAAAAUGCUUUUUUACAUCACCAAAAAUGUUCAACUUCAAUAGAUGAUAUAAAAUAGGGCAGCCUCAACCGCUCUAAUAGACGAUGUAAAAAUAGGCCAACGCACAACAACAACAAAAAAACACAUAUUUGAAUCGAAAUCAUCCCAAAUUAAUCUUUAUAAGGAAACAUAACAACAAUUUCAUCACACACAUUGCAUAUGAAUUAGGCAAAAAUAAUAUGUCAAACUUUCAUCACAUUCAUAAUGAACGAUAUGUCAAAUUCGACAUCAACAUAAUAAAAUCAUAGUCUCAUAGUGCAUCAUAGCAAACAUAGUUUAUGGUGCAACAAAUAAAUGUGUAUAUAAACAUAAAGAUAAACAUAGCCUCUCAACUUCUAUCUUCUCUGUUGUCACUUGGCAUGUUGUGAACAUUGGCUUGAAGAUCAUCAUUGACUUCUUUCUCGCCGUUGUCACUUGCACAUUGUGAACAUUGGCUUGUGGUCCAUCCAUGCCGCCACCUGCACCAAAGACACCCCCCAUGCCACUCAUGUUACCACCAUAUCCACCUCCCAUGUUAACACCAUAGCCACCUCCCAUUCCUCCUCCCAUGUUGCUACCCAUGCCACUUGUUGCUCCUCCCAUGCCACCCACUGCUCCUCCGAAGCUACCCAUCAAGUCCCUCAUGAUCAUGGUCUUCUUCAUGAUCAUUUCAUCGCGACAGAAGCUCCAUAAAUGCUUUUUGCUUUGCUUGAGGCCACUUGUGUCCAUGCAAAUAAAUUUAUCCACUUUCUCCUCCACCGACUUAAGCUAUUCGUCCGCCACCUUUCUCUCCUCUAGCUUAACCUUCCUCUCCCUGGCCGCCACUUUCUUCUCCUCGGUAUCCGCCUUCCGCCUCUCGGCCUCCGUCCUCUCCUCCAUUUCCUUCAAUUUCAAGAGCUUUUUUCUUUGACAUACUGUUUUCUUGCAAUGACGAUGACUUCAAAUCAUUCUUUAAGAUCAUUGUCUCGGCCUUUGAACCCUUUGCUUUUUUUAUUUCGAUUGGGCCUAUAUGCUUUGGCAACCGAGUGAGGAGUGGGGCUCCUUCUCACCUCCUCACCACCACCAUCAUCUUCUUCUUCAUCGUCACGAUCGACAACCAAGCUCUUCCUCCUUGCAACUUUAAAAGCUUCCCGAUUCUUCCACUUCUUCUCAUCCUUGAGCUCUUUAUAGCAAUGUUGGAAAGUGAACGGUUUUCCUUUCCUCUUCUUCUUAUCCCCAUUAUUCCCUCUUUGUUAAUACAAAAUACAAACAAAGUAAUUUGACUCUAUUAUGCCCACAAGAAAAGUACAAAAUACAAGCAAAAAUGCAAAAGGAGAAGAGCCGUGACAAUUUUUCCAGUGAUACAACUAACAACAUAAAGCAAUGGAGACACGAAUAAUACUCUACAAACUUGGUGAGUAAUUCGAAUGUCGUGUACACUAGUGAUCUGUUAUGUAGGCCACACAUUAUAGAUGUUUUGCACACUUAAUCAUAUGUAAUAUCUCAUUUGGCUAUAUUUAGUAACCAUUCAAUUUUCUCUGCAUUUUUAUGGAAAAAAGGAUCCAACAAUUUUUUUGGCAAAAACAAAUUGGAUUUUGUCAAGUGGUCUCAUCGUGGGCGUAUUAGAGGCCAAUAAGUGUUGCAACAAACGGCGAAUGUUUGAUUGACCCUGGCUUCGAAAAGGUUUGAUCCACCAUGAUGUGAGCAUGAUUAUAUGGGCUCGGAGAGGUUUGCGAUGAACAAACCAUGUCAUUUUCAUGUCACGUUGACAAUAAUGGGCAUGGUUUAUGUCUUAUAGCGUUGUUGAUCACUAGUUUAACCUCACAUUUGAACUUGCCAUGUGAUGAUGUGGACUCGUGUUUACUCUUCGAACAAUGCGUAUGUAGGAUCUUUUUGAAGCACCUCAUUGAACAUCGUGUAUCGCGUACACUAGUGAUCUACUAAGAAGGCUACACAUUUAUAAUCAUGCACACUUGUAACAUCUAGUUUACUCAUUUUCCAUUUCACGUUGACAAUAAUGGGCAUGGAUCAUGUCUUAUAUCAUUGGUGAUCACUAGACCUCAUUGAACUUGCCAAGUGAUGAUGUGGGCGUGUGUUUACUCUUCAAACAAUUCAUAUAUGUGAUCUUUUUGAAGCACCGUAUGUGAGAAUGGCAUUUGAACGUUGUUUACAUUAGUGAUCCAUUAUGUAGCCUACACAUUAUAGAUGUUUUGCACUGACGGUGCGUGAUCCCAUCAGUACCCGAGGUAGGGUACCUAGCAUGGCUGGAAGUCUUAGAUUGGAGGUUACACAAGGGUUUUGCCCAGGUUCGGGCUUCCGGUGAGGAGUAAUACCCUACAUCCUGCUUGUUGUUGUUAUUCAUGGUGGGUAAACCCCGUUCGAGGGAUUACAAUGAUGUAUAGAGUGCUACUGAGAGUUUAAUCUAUGAGUAUAGAUGGGAAUGCGAGCCCCUAGCCCUCCCCUUAUUUACAUGGUGGGGGCUAGGGUUUUACAAAGAGGGAUAUGCGAUCUAGGUCGCCGACAGUAUAGACUUGGGGCCAAGAUGGUCUGAAGAUACCCAUCUCGAUCCUCCUCUGGGCUCCUUCCCGUCGAUAGGUACACGGUUGGCCUUCUAGGCCCUUGGGCAGGCCUGCUGAUGGGCUCCCUGUGGAUGAGCCACUCUCAGUGUAUUACACCAUCAUGCACACUUACACAUGUGUCAUAUCUAAUCUGGUUGUUUCUAGUCACCAUUCAGGUUUUCUUUGCAUUUUUUUAUGGAAAAGAUGAAUCCAACACAAGUGUUGGUAAAAAAAUGGAAUUUGCGAAUGGGUCUUAUCGUGGGUGUAUUAGUGAGGUGAAAAAGUGUCGCAACCAAUGGCGAGUGUUUGGUUGACCUUGGAGAUUUGAUCCACCGUGAUGCAAGCAUGAUUCGACGGGCCGAAGAGGUUAGCGAUGAACACUACUGCCGCUGCACCAACACNNNNNNNNNNNNNNNNNNNNNNNNNNNNNNNNNNNNNNNNNNNNNNNNNNNNNNNNNNNNNNNNNNNNNNNNNNNNNNNNNNNNNNNNNNNNNNNNNNNNNNNNNNNNNNNNNNNNNNNNNNNNNNNNNNNNNNNNNNNNNNNNNNNNNNNNNNNNNNNNNNNNNNNNNNNNNNNNNNNNNNNNNNNNNNNNNNNNNNNNNNNNNNNNNNNNNNNNNNNNNNNNNNNNNNNNNNNNNNNNNNNNNNNNNNNNNNNNNNNNNNNNNNNNNNNNNNNNNNNNNNNNNNNNNNUAAUUGGCGUGGAGAUCGUGAAUUUCGUUAUAUUUUCUGUUGUGUCUUAAUCCGCAAAAAAGGUCGCUUUUAGGAACUACCUCCUUCAUCAAGGAAUGCCAAUGUAACCACGCGGGUGGUUACCUUUUAAUUUUUUGCUUCUAUUGUUCGUUCUUCUUCCUUAUUCCUUAUUUUCGUUUUACUUUUUAAAAAUUUUGUUUUCUUUUUUUCUCUUCGUCUUGGUCCGAUGAAUUGGUUCGCAAAUACAUGAACGUUUUCUUCAAAUUGAUGAACUUUUUGAAAAAUUUGAUGAAUUUUUACUCAAAUUUGAUGAACUUUUUUGAAUUUCGAUGAACUUUUUUAAUGUUGAUCAUUUUUUGUAAUUUUUCUCAAAAUCGAUGAACUUUCUUCAAAAUGGAUGAACAUUUUUUGAAUUUUGAUGAACUGUUUUCUCAAGAUUUGUGAACUAUUUUUUCAAACGGAUGAACCUUUUUCAAAAUUGAUAGAAAUUUUUCUCAAAAUUGUGAACUCUUUUUCAAAAUUGAUUAUUUUUUUCAAAACAAAUGAACUUUUCUUUAAUUCAUGAACUUUUUCCAAAAUGUUUUCCAAAAAAAUAAAAAUCAAAGCGCCACAGUAAAUGGUGACAUGUGUGAUAAAUUACGCGGCUACGAAGUACUUAAAAUGUUCGCCCUGUAAUUGGUCAGCAGCGCAAAGUUGGUCAGGUAGUUAGUAACUCGUUCGCUGUUCUCACGGCUCGCUGAGAACCAAUUUUAGAGUGUUUUUUUUCCGCUUUUUUCGCGCUACGCCUGUACCCGAUGGAGUUUUGCUGGGCUUACGUGUGUUAGCACCCACGCCGCAUUUGUCUGACCGUUUUUGUCUGACCGUUUGCAGCUAAUUAAUAUUCAUUUUACUUUCUCUCUCAAAAAUAUUAUUAUUGUUAGAUUUUUGAAGAACAUAAAUUAAUAUACAUAUAUAUUUAAAAUAAUUAAAUAUGUUCGGAAACUACUAAAAAUAUGAGAAACACUUACCAUUACCCAGCGGAUCAUAGCAGCCGUGUCCGCCACCUUCUCUGCAUGACACGCGUCUAAGUGAAGGCCCGCAUGCCAUCCUUUGUCGAACUAGGUUUUGCAACUGGACCUAUACUUAUGAAACGUAUGCGUUGUUGCAAUGAUCUACGACAGGUCUAUGUUUUGCAACAAAACUUCCCUUGCAAAAAAAUACUUAUGAAACAUAUGCUUGUUGCAAUGGUCUACAACGGCUCUACGUUUUGCAACAAAACUUCACUUGCGCAAUUUUUCUGCAACAAGACCUUUUUAUAUUUAGGAAAAAGUCCAAAACAAACCUUGAAGUUCUAGACGAAAGCUAAAUCAAACCCUGAACUCUGAAUCCCGGAAAUUGGCACUCUGAACAUGUAGUCUCGGUCUAUUUUGGACCAUAGACCUGUUUGGCACACUGGGAAUAAGAAAAUCCCGGCCGGGAUAACCUGCUACUCAGAAUUUGGGCCGGCCCACUAUAACACAACAAGAAAUCAUGAACUUUAAAAUAUAUUCGCGCAUUUCUAAAUUUUCCAGCAGUUAAAAAAUAUUUCUGUUUUUAAUUUAUCACACAAAUUUAAUUCAUUUUGUGUUUUGAAUUUUUUCUGGAAUUUUGAAAUUCUAUUCGCAUUUUAAAAAGCUGUUUGUGAUUCUAAAAACAACUACAAAAAAUAUUCAGAUUUCAACAGUUUUUCACAUGCUAUGAAAAUGUUUCGUAUUUUCAAAAAUUGUGUCACAUUUUAUAAAUAACGUUUUUUUAUUUUUUUAAAUUUUUUUUUAGAAUAUGCUUCGGAUCGUUGGCUACGUACUCGUCUGGGCCGGCCAACCAGACAUGAAGCGACCUUUUCUGUUCUGAAAGCUGAACAAAAAAUUUAAGUGCGCACACUUUUUGAAACAUAAACAUAAUUUUAAUGUGUGAAUGCUUUUUGAAAAUUUAAAAAAUAGGAACAAAUUUCAAAAUCUGAACAAAUUGUAAGAAAAAAUUUUGUGACAUCUAAAAAAUAUCGCAGGUUUUAAGAAAAUGUACGGACCAAUUCAAACAAAUGUUUAUAUAAUGUAUAAUAAUAUUUGUGUGAUUCAAAAAAUUGUUUUGUACAUUCGAAAAAUGUAGCAUUUCAAUAAUGUUCAUGAGUUUAAAAAAAUGUGUUCGUGACAUUUUCAAAGAAAAAUGUGUGUACAAUGUAAAGAAAAAGUGUGCAUGUUGUAAAAAAUUGUGUCUUACAUUUAAGAGAAUAUACUUGGCAUGUGCUUGAAAAAAGUGUCUACAUAUUUAAAAAUGGUGAACCAUGCAGCAGAGUUUGUUUGAUUUUACAAAAUGUUUAUUGUCAGUAAGAAAAUGUAAACAUGCAUUUGUAAAAAAUAUAACCAUGUAUUCAAAAAAAAUGAAAACAUUUAAUUUAAAAAUGUACAUAAAGAAUAUGAAAGUAUCAAAAGUUUAUCAAAAAAUAUUUUAUGUGUUCGUUAAAAAUGUACAUUGGAUACGAAGAAAAAAUAGACAUGAUUAAAAAAGAGAAAAAAAACAAAAAAAAAACAAAGAUAUCCCAGAGCAGUGCGCGCGCGCGAGCGACGACGUUAAUGGGCCGUCCUAAUUCAGCAAAUACCGGCUAAGUCCUCUCAAGGUUUAAAAUAGACCGGGAUACGGGAGUUUGGUGUGCUGAUUUCAGGGAGUGAGAGUUCAGGGUUUGAUUUACCUUUCCCUGACAAAUUCAAGGUUUGUUUUGGACUUUUUCCUUAUAUUUAUGACUUGGUCCUCACCAACUGGUAACAAAAAUCCACCUUGAUUCCUCUUUUAAUUUCUUGGCAUGUACAUCCUCUGUUAACAAAUAAGACGAUUUGGAUAUUUCAAUAUUAAUUACAUAUGAACUGAAAUGAGUCGACCACCACAAUAGAGCGUGUUUAUAUACAUUUGAUUCAAAACAUUCGAACAUCUUUAUAUUUAUGAAGGGAGGGAGUUCUUUUCUUGAAAAGGGGGAUUACCCGCCUCUGCAUCGAGCGAUGCACACAAUUAUUUAUUAAACAAAGAAAUGUGUCAAAGUACUAAUAAGUACAUCACGGUAAUGCAUUGUAAUCCAGAAGCCUGUGCUCAUAGACACGAUGGAAAUCCACCAAUGAAGAAGAAACAAAAUAAUAACCCACAGAAAAAGGAGAAGAACAAACAAAAUAAAAUUAGGCGAGGUACUCCGUACGUUGUUACCAAGUCUUGGUUAUGAAAAGGUCCUGCAUGACGCCGAUCGCUCUCAUGACACCCACAAACUUGUCGCGCGUGGCCCGUUCGUCCUCGGUCCUCUCGGGGAUUGGCUUCGGGCAGUCGUCCCCGCAUGUCGGCCUGAACUCCGAGCUGAAGGACAGCACCCCCGCCUCGUCGCCAGGCUUAACCGCCUCCACUGGGAGCCCCUCAAAUGCCUUGGCCACUCUAUGAAGGUCGUCGAUGCAGUUUUGGAGGCAUUUGGCGGGGUGCGGGUUCGUGGUGAGCCUGGCAUUGGCGAAUCCGUUGGCCAUCUUGGCGAGCUUUGCCGCGACUUGCAGGGACAUUAGGGGGACGCUGUUCACCUCCGGUGAGCCGGCGGCCGUGUUGGCGAGCAGGACGUGUUUGCAAGAGUCUGGCUGUAUUGUCUUGGCGCAUGUAUAUUGGAUGGCCUCGAUGGUGGGGGCCGAAUGAACAACCGGGGCGAUGGCGAGGCCGAAAGCACCGAGCAGCGCCAGGGCUAGUGCCGGGGCCGGCAUGCAAGGCAUUGCGAUGGGCAUGGUGUGUGGUGUUUGAUGAGCGAGCUGGUCAGGUCGGGUGCUUCCUUAUAUAACCUGCAUGCGUGUGUGCAUGAGUCUAGUCUUUAUUUUUAGUAGAGAAGCAGGGAGCUAAUUAAUUGGUGGUCACGAAUCCACUUGGUCUUCCUAUCCACACAUGUUUCACUGGUUUGCCCUGGGUUCCGCCGUACCUCUAGUGUUUUUCAGGGGUUGGACAAUCACAAGAGGCAAAGAAACACAUAUUUACCUCUAGUAUUUUUCAGGGAAUGGACAAUCACAAGAGGCAAAGAAACACAUAUUUACUCUUGUAGUCAUGUCAUGUGUGUACUGACCGUAUGAAAAAAUUUCUGGAACGAUCAACGCCAGAUAACAAAUUUUUUUUCUCAAACGGAGACAAAAUAUUUGCCUAAUCAGUUAAUUAAGCAUAAGAGAAUUAUUCAGUUAGUUAAUGAAAAAUCAGAAAAAAAACACGACACAAACCUAUCACACGCGCAUGCAACCCCAUAAAAGCACGAUCACUCCGACAAUCAAACCCAACAGGCAAAGAAAACAUGCAAGACGAUGCAAGUGGCACGAUCAGCCAGAUAUCGAAUUUGUUGGGCAAGCGCCCAGUGUGAUGUACGUUGGGAAAACUUGCAAGAGGAUGCGACCAAAUGAACUGGUAAACCAUCCCGUGAGCGUGGCCUACACAUUUUAAGCCAGCGGUCUCUUUCGACUUGUCUUACAAAAGCUGGUCCAGUCACGAGCCUUAGCCCUAACCAUAGCCACAAGUACAUCUCAUCCAUUUAAGGCCUCUGGCUGCACCAAUGGCAUCCAAGCUGCAGAUUUCUUUUCACCACCGUCUCUCUUGUCAGCUGUCACCAAGCACCAACCAAUUAAUUUCUCUAUAUUCUUGUUCCCUCAAGGCUCAAGCUCUUUAAAUAGCUCCAUACAAUCUCCUCUUAAACCAUCUCCACACACUCAAGCCACACUAUUGGAGAACACACAGGGACAACACACCAUAAGUGCAGCGCAAUGGCGGCCACCACCAUGUCUCUUUCCUCUUCGUCCUUCGCCGGCAAGGCCGUCAAGAACUUGCCCUCGUCGGCUCUCAUUGGUGACGCACGUGUGAACAUGCGCAAGACUGCGGCGAAGGCCAAACAAGUUUCGUCGAGCAGCCCGUGGUACGGCUCUGACCGUGUGCUCUACCUCGGCCCGCUUUCCGGCGAGCCCCCCAGCUACUUGACUGGUGAGUUCCCCGGUGACUAUGGGUGGGACACCGCCGGGCUCUCGGCUGACCCUGAGACCUUCGCCAAGAACCGGGAGCUCGAGGUGAUCCACUGCCGAUGGGCCAUGCUCGGUGCGCUUGGUUGUGUCUUUCCCGAGUUGCUUGCCCGCAAUGGUGUGAAGUUCGGCGAGGC